CAAUGUCAAUAUGAACAUUGUCUUGAUACAACUUUAUUUGUAUUUUAUUUCAGAAUUUAAACAACUAGUUUGGGCGGGUCACACACGACGUUGUGUGACACUUUAUUUGUCACCGCUGCAUCGACAUAUCCAUCGACUAAACAACGGUGAUCCAACUAUAUAUUACUAGAGACCUUUCCUUAUCAGUAGGCACCAACUCCGGUGCCAACGCUGAAUGGCACACUAGUGGUGGUUCUAUACAAGGGCACAUUGACACGGCACAUCGUUGGCAGGGUACGGAGCGCAAUGGAAGUCAUCACCUCAAGCUGAGCUAUCUGGUGUGGAUGCAAAAAGGUACCCUGUGCCAAUUGUUGUUGUUGAGGUUGUUGCCCGAGUUGCUGCUGCGACUGCUGUUGGGGUUGGGAAACGCAUUGGCCCAACUAUUGCGGUUGCUGCUGCUGAGUUUGGAUGGAACCCUGAACCUGUUGUUGUUCUUGCAGGACGAUGGAGUAGAUGAUAGCACGGAUUGCCUCAUAGCGGGAUUGCUGGGGGAUUUGCGGCAACUGCUGGCAACAUUGUUGUUGCAUCACAUGGCAACUGCUCUGCUGCAACAUUUGCGACCUAGCAAGACUUUGUGGCAUUGCCACAGGGCUGCAUUGCUGCUGGAGGAAUACCUUGCAUGGGUUUAGUUGCUGCAAGAUAGAUGGAUGAACAAAUGGUAUUUGUUGUUGCGGUAGAACUGAUUGUUGUUGUUGCGAAAAUGGUGGUUGUUGCGGUAGUACUGGUUGUUGUUGUUGCGAAAAUGGUGGUUGUUGCUGUGAAAAUGGUGGUAGUUGUUGCUGCGAAAAUGAUGGUUGUUGCGGUAGAACUGGUUGUUGUUGCUGCAAAAAUGGUGGUUGUUGCUAUGAAAAUGGUGGUUGUUGCGAUAGAACUGGUUGUUGUUGCUGUGAAAAUGGUGGUUGUUGCUGUGAAAAUGGUGGUUGUUGUUGCUGUGAAUAUGGUGGUUGUUGUUGCUGCGAAAAUGGUGGUUGUUGUUGCUGCGAUAAUGGUGGUUGUUGUUGUUGCUGUGAACAUGGUUGCUGUUGUGGAAAUGGUUGUGGUUGUUGUUGGAUAGGUUGUUCUUGUUGUUGGUGCCAUAAUGUUUGUUGUGGUGGUAAUGGUUGUUGCUGCGAUGGUCUCUCCAAACCAGGGAUGUGGCUAUUCUCCAUUUGUGCAAUGGCACUUGUCGCCGCAACGGCGAGGAGGGCAAAGAUGAGGAAGGUCUUCAUGGUGGAUUGGUGUUAACUAGUGUUGCUUGGUUUUGAUGCUUGUGCUUGUGACGAUCUUUAUACUUCAUGCCUAUUUAUAGUAGCCCGGGCACCACCUUUUUCUUCUUUGCAUUAGCUUUAAUAAUUUUGUUUGGAUGCAAAAAUGAUUUUUGGUACAAUGUGUUAGGUUGCACUAGCUACACGCGUACUUUUGGAUUGAUCAUCAAAGUUGCUUUUUAGUUGUGCAUAUGAUCACACAUAAAGUACAGAAACCUUGAUGUUUGGUAUAUAUGACUCACCUUAUUCACUUUACAUGUCACACACUUAUCUGGAUAGUAUCACUUUUGCAACCGAGUUUGGAACCUUGUAUAGGCUGUCAUCCAUAAACAAGAAAGGCAAAACUUGUGUAGGACUAAGUGUAGAACUAACUUUGUAUUUUUCCUCUAAAAUGAUUAGAUGAACCGACGCCUAUAGAGCAUGACAUGACUCAUCGAAUUCCCUUUACAUGUAAAGGAUGGUAAUUGCUUACAAGCUACUCCUACUAGCAUAUAUCCGGUCCUAACUCUUGACACGUCAUCAUCAGUUUCGCCUAUUUUUUUAGAUAAAUCAUCAGUUUCAUCUAUUUGUGAAGGGUUUUUUUGGGGGAAAUGAUAGUUUUUUUAUGCUAGGGGGAUUUUUUUGGGGGGGGGGGAUGACGCUAGGGGGAAAUGAUAGAUGGGGCUGGAACAGAGGCCCCCAGCCUGGAGCGAGAGAUUAGGCCCAACAUAAGUGCCGUGUGUUAGGGCACCAAUUCGAUUUGGGCUAUAGUUCUCGUAGGCCCCAACGACACAAGCCCAGCCCACACUCCGCGGAUCUGCGUCCCUCCCUUCCUCGUCCUCCUCGCCGGCCGGACCGCUCGCCGUCGCAGCCUCUCCCGGACGCCCACCGCUCGCGGCCCCUCCACGUACCUCCGCGGCAGCGGAGACGUCAGCCUCCCUCCCACCCUCAACAUCCGGCCCCCCACCACCACCACCACCGCUCGACAAAAAAGGUCACUUUUGAAGCUCCUCCGUCGAUUGUGGGCCGUACGUCGACGGCAGCCACUCCGACCUCCCCAUCAACACAAGGUAUCGAUUUGUUUCGUCUGUCUCUUCCAACGAUUCAAUGCACAUAAAUCCGAGAGGCAGACCCAUCUCCAUGCUAGCUGCACGGAUUAGGAGGGUCAGGCAUCAGAAUUCAGCUGGGAAGCCUGACAGUAAUGUACAUUUGUGGCUUUAGUAGCUGAAUAUAACUAUGUGCUUUCUGAGAAUUUCACUUCAAAAGUUCCAAUAAUCAUCAAAUUUCCCCCUAUGCGCGCUAAGCAGGUGGACCAUAUAUUUCUCAUGUCGACGAACGAAAAAACAAAACUCCACAACUAGAAGUCUAUGAUAUUGACACGGAACCGUGCUGUAGGGUCGCAAGUAAAAAUAUGAAAAGCAUGCCUAAUAAGCGAGAUGACGCAGUUCCUGACCGCCCCGCUACGACUAUUGGUUCCAGCGUGGCGUUUGAAUUAUGCCGCGCUAGAUGUCUUUUGUCCGGCGAGGAACAAGUGGGGUCAAGCGUGCUUCGGCAAUUCCCGCCGUCAGAAGACUUCCUUGUAGUCCGGUGUAGAGGUGAGGUUGUGGGGAGAUACAUCGACUAGCACUACUAGGGAAAAGGCUAGCAGCAGCGCGGGUUUUAGAUGUAUCAGUAGUGCGGGUACCCGCGCUACUAAUACGGCGCUACAGCUAACUCAUAGCAGUAACGCGUGAGCACCCGCGCUACUGCUACACAAGUGUAGCAGCAGCGCGGUUAUGAGAAGCUCGCUACCGCUAGUAGCGCUAGCGCUCUUUGGCCGGACGCUCUACUGCUAUUGAGGCGCUGCUGCUAACUUUUGUACACUCGCUACUGGUAAUUUAAGUAGUUUUUUGGCAUAUUUGUUUUGUAUUUGAACCGGCUUUGUAGAAGAAUCUUUAGCACAUAGAAAUGUCAUCAUGAUACACAUACAAAUGCCUGCGAGACCACAAAUGUAAUCAUAGCAUGUACAUACAAAUAGUCUCUUCAUAAUCAUCAUCCAACACAAAGUGAUAUCUUGUCAUCAUCUCGAAAAUAGCAAUACAUGCAAGUCUCGAAUACUUGCAACUACAACAACGUCAUCCAUCUAAACAAAGGUAUACGCAAGAAGUGCUAUCACUAUGAGUGAGAGCGGAACCAUGCAGUACAUGAGGUGGCGGUUAUGAGUCCUCUCUUGCGCUAGCGUGAACCUCAAGUAACUAGCUUCUCCUUCUUGUCUGCUUUUGAAGCCUUUAUGGCUGGCGCCCGUGAACCCAUUCACUUGCGCCUGACACUCAUGCCACUCGUUGUACACCCCCGGAACCUUCCCUUUGUACACGACAUAGCAUUUCCAUCUCGCCAUCAAGAAACUAGGUACCUGUUAGAGAUGCAUGUUCAUGAAGAGGAUGUACAAUCAUAUAUAUGCAACAAAAUAUACUAGAGCAACACUAAGAAAGAAAGGUUAGCAACUAGAUGCAACAUAUACAUUACGCAAAUUAAUUAACUAGAGGUACGCAGGUCAUCGUACGCAAACUAACAAAGUAGCGUUACGCAAGUUUGGCAGGGACCAUGGACAUCACAAAGUUUCAUCGCUACAAAAAGUAUACAAGUUCAACCGACACAUAUCAUCAUCAUCGGCAUCAUAAAUCACUAGAAGUUCCAUCCUUCCAUAUCAUCGAGGACGAACCCUAGCUGCUUGAACGGCGUGAGGUCUAGACGUUGCAUGCCUAUGCGAGUUCGGACGUCAGCUCGCGAUAUAGGGCCGUGGUGGAACAUCCCCUUCUCAUCGACGACUUCUUUCAUGAUGAUCAUCGCAAUGUCGCUUUGGAUGCGAAAGAAGUCAUCUCUAAGUUUAUAAUUCGCUUCUCCAUGAGAUUCUAGCCACUUGUGGAUAUGAUCAUCAUUUCUGCUGUUAAUGCGAAGCUUUUGGUGAUCCGUGUUGAACUGAAUCAUGAGAUGGACGAUGUAGAAUCCAUCCUUCUUGCUUGGUUUUGGGACGUGGAUGCAGGAGAAGUUAGUUUUAUGCGCGAAACCCAUCUUCUUGUUCCUUUGUUUCCUGAUAUGCACGUGGCCACCUCUAAAGUUGAAGCCUUGGAGAGCAUCAUCUAGAAUAUUCAUUAUGUGGGUGUAGUCCUUUUUCUCGUAGUCUCUAGAAGGGUCAAAAUACACGGCGUGGGAGACUUGCGGGUAAAGAAUGAUAAGGACGGCGCGCCCGUUGCUGCGGGGAAAAGACACCUCAAAUUAUUCCCCAUAUGAGAGAGAAGGAAUGAUUGAAAUGUACGAAAGGGUUGUCCGGAACUGACUUACUUUGGAUGAUAAGGCACGAGGACAAUUUCCCGGUCCUUAUUCUGUACCAUGAAGUUUUGGAGGUACUCCCUAGCAGUUUCACGCUCAAAGUCGCCGAGACUCAAGAAAGACUCGUGCAUGUAGUACGGAUCCGCCACACAGAUUUGCGAGACUUCUUCACUCUUCACGACGGAGCUCAUAUGUAGCGCAAAAAGGCGGACGAUAGUAAAAUCAAGCCGCCUUGUUAGAAACAUCUCAAAGAUAUGGUCAAACCGCAGGAAGAACACCUCCGUGGGCCGUGUGUCGACGUAGCACUUCCCCUCAGGCACACGAGCUGCGUAUGUCGGAUAUCCUGGAUCCUUUGAGGCUAGUAGGCUUUUCUCAGUCGACAGCACGUGGUCGUGCAGUCUCCUGAGAUUCCCUGAUAGUGCCUCCAGCGGUUUCGGCGGUAGCAUCGGCUCGCCCGUGAGAUGGAACAUGACCGCACCUUUCACGGGUACACGCUCUUCAGAAUGCAUCGUCUGGCUGCUGUGUGCUCUGGCUUGUUUGGAGGCAGUUACCUUCCCCAAUCUCUUCCUCUCCUUUUUCUUGGGCACACCUUCCAGACCCUUCCUUAACCCCUGCCCAAGUGUUCCCGGGCUAAGUAUUGUACGACCCUCACGCCCGGCUAGUUGAGCCUGUGUUGAGGCGGCAUCUUCAGGCGUGUCCUGUGAGGAUUUCAUGAAGAGAGACUUUUUGCAUUCCAUGGUACGGCCCUGCCCGGGCAUAUCAUCCAUAUCCUCAUUAGCAAGCUGAUAGCCCGAUUCGUCAUAUGGUUGACUCAUCAUAUCUAUGUCACAGUCAUACGCGUUUGUAUUGAGGUAAUCCAUCGGGUCGACCUCCGUCUCAUCAUCCAUUCUCUGUUCUACAGGAGAAAUUACAUCAGCCAGUACUAUUGCACCCCCUUCAUCAUGUCGUCCGCCGCUCUCACACGGCACUACUACAGGAGCUGGUAAUUGCGUAGGUGGGGUGGUGGUCUCCGCACAUGCUUGCUGAUGUGUGGUAGUUAUUGGUGUGCUCUCGGCCGGCUCCAGACGAAUAAGAUUCUUCGGCCAUAGCAGCACCCAACCCUUGCAGCGUCCAAUCCGCGGCGGGGUCUCGUCGUCCGCUCCCACCUGCUGUACUGGAGGAGGCAAAUCCUCGUGCCCCGAUUUCACACUGGUCAAGCUAACCCUGAAGUGCCCAGCGGGGAUCGGCUGGUUGUGGAAUGUGCGUUGAGAGGGGUCCAUUAUCAUCCCCUUUCCCACGUCCACCUUCUGGCCUUUGAUCAAGUAGAGUAUGGUGCAUGGGGUUUCUUUCGCCUGCAAACACAUAUGUCUGUGGUGUAAAACAACCGAAAGGCAACAAAAAUGGAAUAUUAUAUAUAUAUAUAUGUUGGUGCGACAUGUAAUUACCGUGACGGCGUCGAGCUCAGCCAAAGACGAAGGCCCACCUAGCGCGCCUGAGACUGAGGACGGGCUGCUAUGAGCUGGAGCGGCUGCGAGAGGAGGCCCGGUUGCUUGAGCAAGUGAUGGUGCGAUGGUGUUGUUCAUGGAGUUGCUCGCGACGAAACUGGGCAUUGGGAAAUCAUGUACCGUCUUGUCUGGAUUUUCCUUCGCCCAGUUGAUGAUAACUGGAACCAAGUUAGUAGCGAAAUCAUUUCUGCAGGCAUUUACAGCUGCAUUGACUGCCUGCUGUAGCAACUCAUAUUUGUCCUUGGCUGCUUUUUUCGCGUCCUCGGCUGCUUUUUUCUCGACCGCAAGCUUCACCUUUGCGUCGAUGUCCGCCUAACUAAACUUCUUUUUCUGCUUCUUGGCCUCCGGGCCGUCGUUGUAAAACACCUUCCACGUGGCGCCGUCUCCAGCGCCGUGCACACGACCAUAUUGCGGCCGCUGGUCCAACGGGAGUCCCUUAAGUUCGUUCAAGGCCCAGUUGAGAGGUGUGUCCCACUUGGGCCUCAUCGGAGAAGUAGGGCUUUCGGCUGCAAGCCGGUGUUGCUUCUCCAGUAGUCUAAUCAAUUUCCUCGUGAUCUUGUCCGUGUAAAAAACCUUUUUCUCCUUGUCCCACUUGUAGCGGGCCCUGAUGAAGUCAUGCUCCAAGGGGUUGGUGAACUUCGCGAAGGGGUCUGGGAGACCCGCGGCUUCACGUUCCGCGUCCUCCUUAUCCCAUAUGGGCCUUUUACCGAGGUAGCCACGGCUUCCGAGGCGAUGCUUCCCCAUGUUCCGGAGCUGAAGGCUUUUGAAUUUCGCAGCCUUAGCCUUGGCUGCCUUGGUAGCGCAAGUGUCCUUGAACUUUUCGAACUCCUCUUCCGUAAGUGUCGGAUUUUCCUCCAGAAUCUUGGACAGGGGUUCAUCAGCCUCAAUAGCUCGUUUCACCCUCCCUUUCCAGGAGGCCAAAUCAUUGCUGAACAUGCCCAUGGCGUGAUUGUUAAUCUUUUUCAUCUUCGGAUCAUCCCACGGUUGUUCUAUGUUAUCAUCCCGGUCGGGGAACUUGAAUCUCUUCUGCAACUUCGUUAGGAGCAACUGCGUCAAAUGUUCUUUACUCCUUAAGUCAUCAUCGUUGAUGCUCGCGCAUUCCCGUAGGAUGCAUCCUACUUGGUUCCCAUAGCACUUGCGAGGUUCUUCCGGCUCUAACGGCUCAAACUUUCCAGGUGCCAUCUUUGUGAUCACAAGUCGUCCAAUCCCUAGUUUGUUAGGUUUUCGUAUCCUCUGCUUCUUAUGCUUCCUCUUUUCGGUAUCGGCAUCGGGGCCGGUACCUUCCCCGCCGGUCUCGGCGCCGCCAUCGGUGCCGGCGCCGUCGGUGCCGGCACCGUAGGUGUCGAUGUCGGCGUCAGUACCAUCAUCGAGGCCGACCUGCAAACCUUGCUUAGCAGUCAAAUAGUCGAGGUACUCUUGUUCACCCUCAUAAUCCAUCUCGUCUGCAUCUUGGUCAGAAGGCCCAGUUUCUUCGUUGUUCGACAUGUUUCCUAUGAUUAAGUGGCCUCAUUUAUUUCUAAAAGUAUGAAUAAAUGAGAAAUGACAUAAAAAGAAAUCUAUGUGCCAACACUCGAUAUGCCAACUAUGUAGCACAAAUCAUGCCUUUAUUCACGGGAAAUUUCGGCAUGACCUUUGCUAAAAAAUGGACAUAUCGAGCGCCUGAAAUUCACCGAAACGGAAAUGAAUCAACAUUCCUGCGCAACAUAGGCCACUCGGAUCAUUUUCCAAACAUGACAUGUCCAAAACAUGACAUAUGCACAUAUCACAUGUCCAGUUCAAAUUUCCAUAUAAAUUCAGCUAAUUCAUAACUAAAUAGAUAACCUAAUUAAUUAACAUGAAGANNNNNNNNNNNNNNNNNNNNNNNNNNNNNNNNNNNNNNNNNNNNNNNNNNNNNNNNNNNNNNNNNNNNNNNNNNNNNNNNNNNNNNNNNNNNNNNNNNNNNNNNNNNNNNNNNNNNNNNNNNNNNNNNNNNNNNNNNNNNNNNNNNNNNNNNNNNNNNNNNNNNNNNNNNNNNNNNNNNNNNNNNNNNNNNNNNNNNNNNNNNNNNNNNNNNNNNNNNNNNNNNNNNNNNNNNNGGGGGCGAGCGACAUGGUCGGGGGCGAGCACGCCGGAGUCGGGGUCGAGAGCGGGACAGGGGCGAGCGCCGGGGCUGGCACCGGCGCCGGCAGGGUCGGGGGCGAGCGCCGGGGCCGGGUCGGGCACGGCGGAGCGACGGGGGCCGGAGAGAGAGUGGGGAUUUGGGGGGAAAUGGCGGGAUGAAGCUGGGCGAGUGCGAAUUUUGGGUUAAGUGGACGUAGCAGUAGCGGGUUAUGUCAAAACGCGCUGCUACUAUAUUCUGUAGCGGCAGCGGUUUAUGAGAAACACGCUACUACUAUGGUGCGUAGCUGCAGCGCUUUAUGGGAAACUCGCUACUACUAUGGUGCGUAGCGGCAGCGGUUUAUGAGAAACACGCUACUACUAAGAUCUAGCAGCAGCGGUUUUGUGGAAACGCGCUGCUACUGCCGUCGCUACUGCCAGGUUUCCUUUUUCUUUUCCUUUAUUUUAUCCCACUUUUAUUUCCCGAGGGCAAUGAACGAAGGGAGGGCGAUAUAUAUUGCAUCAUUUGACGGUUAAAUAUGUAUGCAAAAUAGGAACAUAUAUAUUACACAUCAUUGGACCCAUGCAUAAUAAUGACUAAGUGUGUAUACAAAUUAAAUAGGAACAUAUAUAUAUUACACAUCAUUGGACCCAUAACAUACGUUUCCUCAGUGCUGACGUUUUCGUUUUUGAGUCAGCUUCUUUCCCUUCUUGUUCGUCGAAGAAUAAUUGAGCCCCUCAUUGUGACUUUGCCUUUUCCAUGGAGUACGAUUUUUCUUAGGUAAUGUAGUAUUGAUUCUUCUUUUGACGUAUACUUCAUCAUCAUCAUCAUCUUCCCUCAUUGGGUUGCUGUACUGAUCAUAGUCUUCCUCGUUGGCGACUCCAUCCAUUCCAAUGAUGUUCCUUUUGCCUCUCCUCACGACAACACGGCUGGGAUUGCGCGGGUCAGUUAUGAAGAAACAUUGUGUCACGUGCUUAGCGUGUACCCAUGGCUCGUUUUUUGCGAUAGCGUUCAUGGUAGCGCUCUUGGCGUCGGGUAUAGUCAUGGUAGUGAACAUCCGGCUUUCUCUUUCGACAUUCUUAGCCCAUCUGACACGGAACAUCAUCGUGCUGUGCAGUCCAGAGUAGUCAAGCUCCCAGAUCUCCUCGACCCUUCCAUAAAAUCGUUCAGUUGUGCCGUUGUCGCUGCCGGUCAUGCAUUCCAUCGUCACCCCUGAGUUCUGAUCAUCACUGUCCAUAUCUUUUGCCUCUGUGUAGAAUGUGUAUCCGUUGAUAUCAUAUGCCUGAUAGGUUACGAGGUUGGGCGAGGGGCCAUGUGCUAAGGCGUAUAUGAGCAAUCCGUCCUUAGAGCCCUCCUCCGGUGGAUUAGCAAUAAUAUGCUCUUUGAACCAAUGCAGGAAAGUGGAGUUGUGCUCUCUAGUAACUUCGGCGUCCGUCCUGCAUACCCCCCGGUCACGAUACUUCUUUGUGAUAAUUUCUUUGUGCAGUGCCACGAAAGGAUCUACCUCGUCUAGGUGUUGUAGCACUACCAAGUUUGCUCUGUCAAAGUCGCUGCGUCGAUCUGAGUAUGCCACGUGCAGUUCCCUGCGACCGUUGCAGUGACCAUCUCCUUUGAGCCUCCCAUCGUGCUUGUUAACGGGCAAACCAACACUAACACCAGGCGGCUGGUCUGCGCCAUAUAAAAAAUUCUCACAGAAAGAGAUGCACUCUUGUGCCAAAUAGCCCUGGACGAUGCUUCCAUCCGGACGGGACAUGUUACGAACGAAUCCUUUGAUGAUCCCAUUCAUCCACUCAAACGGGAUCAUGUUGUGCAGGAAUGACGGCCCCAGGUCUAUUAUGUCAUCCACAAUAUGGACACACAGAUGCACCAUCACGUCGAAGAACGCGGGCGGGAAGUACAUCUCAAGCUCAUUCAGUAUCACAACGAUCUCUUCCUGUAGCCUUUGGAGCUGCUUCACACUGAUCGACUUUCGAGAGAUGACAUCGAAAAAGUUGCAGAGACCAAUAAGCGUGUCACGGACGUGCUUGUCCAUUAUCCCUCUAAGGGCAACAGGUAGUAUCUGCGUCAUCAUCACAUGACAGUCAUGAGACUUCAUCCCGCUGAACCUUUUCUUGUCCGUGUCUAGAUAUCUGCUUAUCUUGCCACAGUAACCGGAACUAACUUUCACUCCGGUAAGGCACUUAAAGAAUUGAUUGAUCUCAGCCUGACUUAAGGUGAAGCAAGAGGGGGGGCAAUAAUCUUCUUUCUUUAAUUUCUUGCCCUUCUUCUCCCGUGCCUCUGUCUUCGUCUCUGUCUCGUCUGACAUUUUACGGGGCGGCAUCUGCAGAUCUUCCCUGAUUUUCAAAUCUUGCAAGUCUUUUCUUGCCUUCGGCCCAUCCUUGGUCUUAUCCGGCAUGUUCAUCAGUGUUGCGAGCAAGCUCUCAAGGACAUUCUUACAGAUAUGCAUUUGAUCAAGGCAAUGAGGUGUAUCGAGUUUGUGCCAGUACUCCAAGUCCCAGAACACGACCUCGUCUUCCAUACCUUCAGCAGCGGCUCCGGCGCCUUUCUCAUCGUCUUUCCCGGCGCGGGGCACUCAUUCCAGUUUUUCAAUAGCUCAUCGAUUUCGGCACCGCUCCGCUUACGUGGAGGUCCUCGAUGCUCAGCGUGACCAUUGAAUAGAUCUCCACGGUUUCUCCACGGGUCGUCCUGUUCAAGCCAUCUUCGAUGCCCCAUGUACAUGAUUUUCGCAGACCCGCCAUCUUUCCUUGACGUUAGCUGCUGAGACGUUGUAUCAUCCAUGCACCGCGUGCAUCCGCAAUAUCCAUGGCACACCUGGCCUGCCACAUAUCCGUAACCGAGAUAGUCCUGCACUGUCGUGAUCAGCGCGGCUCUCAUGUUGAAAUACUCACCUUUGCUGGCGUCCCAUGUCUUGGCCGGUGUUUUCCAUAACGUGUCUAACUCCUCUUGAAGUAGCCCCAGAUACAAAUUAAUAUUAUUUCCUGGUUGUUUCGGCCCUUGAAUAAGCAUGCUCAUGUGAAUGUACUUCGAUUUCAUACACAACCAGGGGGGGAGGUUGUACAUCCAUACAAACACGGGCCAUGUACUAUGGUUGGUGUUCUAGUUGCCAAAUGGAUUCAUGCCAUCGGUACACGCGCCGAGCACGAUGUUCCUUGCAUCACAUUCAAAAUACCGUUAGAAGCUGUUCAACGCUCUCCACUGGCUUCCAUCCUUCACGUGUCUCAGCUUCGGAUCAUCUCCAUCGUCGGGCUUCUUCCUCUCCGCGUGCCAGCGCAUUAGCUUUGCUUCCUUGGGAUCUACAAAAUACCUCUGAAGACGGGGAGUGAUCGGUAAGUACCAUACAACUUUCUGGGGACAUUUCUUCCCGGCCUUCUUGUAUCGAGAAGCAUUGCACACCGGACAGCUUGUUUUUUCCGCGUGCUCCUUCCGAUAAAUUAUGCAAUCGUUGAUGCAUGCAUGGUAUCUAACGUGUGGCAGAUCAAGAGGGCACACGAUCUUCUUGGCCUCAUCAACACUAGUAGGACAUAGAUUACCCGCGGGAAGAAUAUCCUUUAGGUACUUGAGAUGGUCAUCGAGGCUAGUGUCGGUCCAUUUGUUUUUAGCCUUCGUCUUCAGGAGUUGGAGCGUGAAACUCAACCGGGUCACCUCAGGAUUGCAACCAUCAUACAAUGGAGUGUUCGAGUCUACCACCAGUUGCUCCAGCUUAGCCUCCUCUCUAGAAGCAGCUCUCUCAGUACUCGUCUCCUUGCGAAGCAAUGCUUGAACAUGAGGGUCCCGCACAAUUGAACUUAGUACCGACGAACUCUGCUGCGUGGAGUCCAUGUCGUUCUCUCCGCCGCCAUGUCCGGCCCCUUCUCCUCCGCCAUGUCCGGCCACUUCUCCGCUGCCAUGUCCGGCCUCUUCCCCGCCGCCAUUAUCGAUCAUCUCUUCGUCUUGCCCCGUGUCAUCAUUGCCUGCCCCGUCGGCAUCCUCAACAUCUUCAUCCUCAUCUUCAAUUAUCCACCGAGUAUAGCCAUCCAUGAAACCAGUCAUGAGCAGGUGCGCUUCGACACGACCAUCGUCAUGGGGGUCGAGCCAAACUAUUCCUUUGCAUUUUCAACACGGACAUAAAACCUCUGUCCGGUUAUUUUCUUUCAUGUCUUGCACCGCCGACCGCAACCACCUGUCCACCAUUGUUCCACUGACCAUCGUCAACUCUGCACGGUAAUAAUAAAAAAAUUGAUUGUAAAAAUGCAUGCAUGCAUCAAAGUCAUAAAAAAAUUUGGCAUGACCUUCCCUAAAAAUAGGACAUAUAUGGAUCUAGAGUUUGCCCGAAAUUCGCCGAAACGAAAAUAAAUCGACAUUUCGGCAAAACAUAGGCAACUCAAAAGCACAAUUUGGCGGCGUCAACUCAUGCCACAGACACAAUUUCCACAAACAUAUCACACAUACACAUAAACACAUUUCCAUUUUGCAAAAGCAUGAAAUUUUCAUCACCUCUAUCUCGAUGGCCGGAGAUGAUGUUGUAGGGAGAUCAAAAGUGCACAAAGCUAUUCUUGACAAAGAUAGAUCUAGUUAGGGGGCAAAUAGGUCACUUAACUAAAUCCUACAUCUACCUAGCUACCUAAUUUGGAAGGAGACAACUUCAACUAGUGGAGGGGGAGGAAAAAGAGAAAGAAGAUGCAUUAAUUAAUGGAGGUGGUGUAGUUAUGUAGGAGUAAUGAAGAGAGAGAAGGUGGAUAGAGAANNNNNNNNNNNNNNNNNNNNNNNNNNNNNNNNNNNNNNNNNNNNNNNNNNNNNNNNNNNNNNNNNNNNNNNNNNNNNNNNNNNNNNNNNNNNNNNNNNNNNNNNNNNNNNNNNNNNNNNNNNNNNNNNNNNNNNNNNNNNNNNNNNNNNNNNNNNNNNNNNNNNNNNNNNNNNNNNNNNNNNNNNNNNNNNNNNNNNNNNNNNNNNNNNNNNNNNNNNNNNNNNNNNNNNNNNNNNNNNNNNNNNNNNNNNNNNNNNNNNNNNNNNNNNNNNNNNUGUGGUGGAGGGAAGAGAGGAGAGGGGGAGGUAGGGGGGAAGGGAAAAAAGGAAGGGGGAGGGGAGGGACGGGUUGGGGGUUGGUGGGGUUAGCAGUAGCGCGGGAGAUAAAACGCGCUGCUGCUAAGAACUUAGCAGCUGCGCGCUUUGCGGUAAGGCGCUACUGCUAACUGGGACAAAAAAUUGUGGCAAUUUGAAACUUACCAGCAGCGAUCUCGAGGAAACCGCGCUACUACUACGUACUUAGCAGUAGCGCUGUUAUUGCGACCGCGCUACUGCUACUUAGAGUUGGGGGAACACCGCCGGUCGAUAUUUGUAGCAGCGCGUUUCUUGUCGAGCGCGCUACUGCUAAAUCUUUAUCAGUAGCGAGUUUACGUAACCCGCGCUACAACUACUUAGCAGCAGCGCUCUAUUUUGAACCGCGCUGCUGCUAAGAUUCUGUGUAUAGGCUUUUCCCUAGUAGUGUAGGAAGGAAUGACCACAUGAAUGAGCAUACGUAUGAUGUGAUUAAGUCUCUCGAUUGGGUAUCUGGUGCCUUAUGUACGGUGUCUUCUUUUUGUCAAGCUAUGACAUCUUUCAGUUUGAGUGUCUGAUAUUAGGGUUGCAUACGUUUUGUUAUUCAGUUGCCUGUUGUGAACUCUACGGUUAUAUCAUCUCGAUGUGUGAGUCAAUGUGUUUGAACCAAUGUAGAGUUUCAUGUGAAUGUUACAAGUGUGAUUGAUAUGUUCAUGUUAUCCGCGGUUGCCUUGGUAAGAAACUGAAAGAGCAAACCGUUAUCGUGCUAGGACAAAAGUCAUCACUCAAUAUAAGUGCUUCUCUAGAACAGCCACACCUUGUGAAAGAAGAUGGCAAACACCCAAUCAUGUCUGGUUCGAUAUGGGCGUGGCUAUGGGUAGCUUAUAGCGACAUGGAAGCCAGCAUCGCUGGAAGAAACGCCCGGGUGGGCCGGCCUAGAGACAUUUCUUGAUAUCUACCCUUAGUUUUGUUUUUCUGCCCUUCUUUCUUUAUAUUUAUAUUUUUCCCGACAUGUUCACUACUUGAUGCUCAACUGGGAUCUCAUCCUUCACAAAUACGGAGAGCCAUUAUUGUUAGAGUUAAUCUUGACAUGUGUGUAUGUGCAUGUGUGCAUUGCAUGUUAGUGGUCUAGAGAUGGCCGGGUCGAUGCGUCUGUUCUGUGCUGGAGUGAGUCCAGCAGUUUGUUUUGGUCAGGUCGUGGUGGCUAGAGCCAUUCUAGGAGAGGAUCAAGUCAAGUUGUUAGCUGAACUCGGCUGGGUAGUGUUUGGCCGUUGAGGAUAGGCUGUACUAGUGGUGGGCAUGGCCGUGCAUAUAGCUAGCGAUUAGUUACACUAGUAGAAAACCACCCAUUAGUCCCGGUUCGUAAGGGCCUUUAGUCUCGGUUCAGGAACCGGGACUAAUGGGUCGUUACUAAUACCUCCACCCAUUAGCCCCGGUUCAAACACGAACCGGGACCAAUGUGCCUCCACGUGGCCCUGUGCGGCGAGCCCAGUCAGGGGGCCUUUGGUCCCGGCUGGUGGCUCCAACCGGGACCAAAAGGCAUCCACGCGUCUGCAUUCUAGUGGUUUCUGGUUUUUGUUUUUUUUUUGAAAGGAGGGGGGUUGGGGGUUUUGGGGAGUUAAUUUAGGUGUUUCGUAUAUUGUGUUAACUAGCUAAUUAAUAGAGAGAAGUGUCCUCUCUUAUGUCCGUGCUUGGUCGACGCUACGUAGUAUAUAUACAUAAGUAAUCGAGAGAACCAUUCAGUACAGAAGUUCGUCAUGCAUACCGAGAGAAGUGAUCGAUCGACCUCUCCUUCUCCGAGAGAUUGGUCGAACAACAAGUUUUUUACUGGCUACAUACAUGUACAAUAUGUAUAAGAUCUCUUAAUUACAAACCCAUAGCAUUUGAAAUCAACUUCCACAUGGUAUUCUCCGGCUUUACUGAUGACGUGUUCAAGAAAGAAUCCCGCUAAUUCCUCUUGAAUUGCUUUCAUGCGAUCUGGUUCUAGGAGUUCACCCCGCAUCUGCCACGUCUAAUUAAUUUGAAGAAGGGGGUUAAUUAAUACAUAUAUAUGAAUGAAACUCAACAGAAAAUGAUGGUGUAAUAAAAUGAAAUUGUGAAUAUUAUUGCUUACGCACUUCAUAUUGUCUUCUAGAGUAGCCCCGCUUGUUUCUCAAAGUUGCGUUGUGGAUGAACUCGCACACGUAGUAUCCACAAAAAUCAUUCCCUUCCUCCUGUCACAAGCACUUUACGAGAAACAGAGGUCAAUCAAACUGAUAAUGAAGCAUUAUAAAUGGCAUUGAUGAAAGUAUAGCUAUAGAAUCAACGGGAGAUGCACGCAACUAGCUAGCCAGUAGUACUUACUUUCGGGUAUACAUAUCGCAGCUCCUUCGGCAGUCCCGGAGCUUGUGCGGUGAACUGUUUCCGAACCCUGCAAGACAAAGAAAAUAAUUAUUAUUACUUGAGAUAUCAGGAAAUGAACAAAAAGUUGCCGAUAUGGUGCGAUAAUGAUCGAUUGAACUUACUUGCUGAGCAUUUCAGUCAUGUCCACAUAGGUGCUGGGAUCUUUCCGUCUCGAGUCUAAGACGGUUACUAGUCCACGCUCAAGCUUAAUCUCCAGAAGAAUAUAGUGGUACCUGCGCACGCGUGCAUAACUCAUCAAUUACAUUAACCUCGCUCGAGUAAUAAGGGAAACCGAAUAUGCACACGACAGUAACACUCACGGGCCGUUGUAAGGAAAGAGUAUGGUAUCUUUGUUUUGAUUUUUGAUCAACGAUUGUAGCAAGUUGUCCUCGGCCUCUUCGACGUUCUUUUCAACCAGAAAUACAUCUAUGAUAUUUGUGUUAAUGAACCCAAUAUCAUAAAUUUUUUGUUUUUUGCACUCGACGAUCUUCAAUCUGCAUAAUAUAUUGAGGAUAAUUAAUUAUAAAUACAUGCAAUGAAAGAUCCGAGCUAUAUAUAGAGACUUAAUGUCAGAAAUAGUACUUACAUGCAGUAGCAAAAGACCAUUAAUUUAUCGAGGGCCUUUUGAUUGAAGAACUCAAAGAACUCCUCAAAUGGAACACACAACAGAUCAUUUGAAAUGAGGUCGUGCUCCUCUUUAAUAUUCAAAUACAAACUGUUCGUCCCCUCAGACUCUCUGCAGGUUUUCAUGUACCAAUUAUGGAAUCUUCGCAUCAUUAUUGUCAGAGAUUUUUCAUCUUUGACGAGAGGCUUCCCGUACUCGUAUCUGAAUACGUCCACCUCCAUGAAAUCAGGAAGUGCAUCGUCAGGCAGGUAAUCUUCAAGAUUGCCAUAACCGGCCACCGUCCCCGGAGGAUUAGACACAUUGAGCGGGGGGCACGAUUGCUGUGCUUGUUCGCCGAGCUGGGCAAUUUUUUUCCCCUUUGCUCGUUGUUCUUUUGACCUUUUAUCAUUGACAGUAGUUCCCGACCGCUUGGCUUGGAGAUAUGUCUGUUCAGUAAUGCGCUCAUAGUUGGUUCUCGGCGGAGACUUUGGUGGUUUCCUCAGGGCAUCGAGAGUGCGCUUUGCUUUCACCGGAUCUACCUUCUCCUCCGGAGGUGGAUGUCUCUUUGCUUUCACCCCUUCAAAGAACUCCUUCACGUGGGCCUGCACGAUCGUAUUGUUUUCCUCCUUGGUCCUCUCGUACGGUAACUUCUCUAGAGGCUUUAGAGGUGGACCGUAUCUGUAUUGCCUCUCUCUUCUUGUGCUGCUAGACGCCGGAGCAGACGGAGCGGCUGUGGCGUCUGUCUUCUUCCGUGCUUGCUUAUGAGGCGGAGGAGAAGGACUACGACGCGCCGGAGCAGCCGGGGCGGCGGCGGGUCUCUUCCGCCCUUGCUGGCGAGGCGGAGAGGAGGAGGCGGAGUGCCGCCACAUGCCGGAGAAGGAGGCGGAGUGCCGCCAUGCGUGCCCUGAUCGUCACUCGCCGGAGGAGGAGGCGGUGGAGGAGGCGGAGUGCCGCCACGCGUGCCCUGAUCGUCACUCGCCGGAGGAGGACGCGGUGGAGGAGGCGGAGUGCCCUGACUCGCUGAAAGAGGAGGAGGAGGCGGAGGCGUCCAGUUCAGAAGGUUGAUGAGCUCCUUCUGCCAUAGGCAUGGAGUCUUCAGAGCAGAACCCAGCCUAGUCUCCCCUUCACCGGUAGUGUGCUCAAGCACGAGGUCCUCAAAUCCCUCCGUUAUUUCAUCCACCAUCACCUUAGCAAAUCCUUCUGGAAUUGGCUGGCAGUGAUAAGUUGUGCCGGGUCCACUAGGAUAAACUUGGCCAACAGCCGCCUUGACCUUCAAAUUCAUCCAUCACACAAUAAUGUGGCAAUUUUGAGACUCCGUGAUACCAUCCACGGGAUAGCUGGCAGGAGCCGUCAAGACAUGCUCCGGCUGAAGCAGCUCAGUGGAAGCCACGCUGCUUCUCUGCUGAGAUGGCGGGGUAGCUUCGGGGGAAGCUUCGGCAGGUCGUUUGUUGUGAUCUGCUGCUUCUUGUUCCUCUAGCCCCAUUACCCUUUCGUGCAGCGCCUGCAUUUGGUCCUGCUCCAGUUUCUUCCUCCUCUCGUAGGCUUUGUAAACGCCUGCGUCCAGAAAACCAACCUUCCACGGAAUGGAGCCUGGCGUGCCUCGUGUCCGUCCAGGGUGCUCGGGAUUCCCAAGGGCCAUUGUGAGCUCGUCCUUCUCCCUGUUUGGAAGGAACGUCCCUCGUUGUGCUGCAUCGAUAUAGUGUCGAAGGUUCUUGACUGGUGUUUGCAGUUGCUCGUCCGUCCACUGACGCUUCCCUGUUACAGGGUCCAAGGUUCCGCCAGCCCCGAAGACCCAAGUCCGGCAACGGUCUGGCCAGCGCAUUGUCUCUGGUUCGAUUCCUUUUUCAAGCAGAUCAUGCUCAGCCUUGGACCACUUAGGCCGGGCUUUGAGGUAGCCACCUGACUCCGUGCGAUGGUGAAGCUUCUUCUUCGCAGCAUUUUUCUUGUUUGUCUCCGACAUCGUCUUACUCUUUUCCGAUGUCUUGUGGGCCACAAAUGCGGGCCAGUGAUCUUUGAUCUUCUCAUAUUUGCUGAUGAAUUCUGGUGUCUUUUUUUUCUCGAGAAACUGGUUCAGCUCUUUCCUCCACCUCCUCAUUAGGCUUGCCAUCUUCUUAAGAGCACAAGACUUGAUUAAUUGCUCUUUAACUGGCUUCUCCGGAUCCUCCUCUGGCGGUAGGGUGAAAUUUGCCUUCAGCUCAGUCCAAAGAUCUUCUUUCUGCAUAUCAUUGACAUAAGACACCUCAGGGUCUUCAUCCUUAGCAGGCUUAUACCAUUGCUGGAUGCUGAUCGGGAUCUUGUCCCUAACAAGAACCCCGCACUGAGCAGAAAAUGCCUUCCUUGUCCGGAUGGGUUCAAUCGGUUCGCCGUCGGGCGCGAUUUCUAUGAUCUCAAACUUUUCAUCCGAGAUCAACUUUUUCUUCGGGCCUCGUCUCCUUACCGAAGUUGUGCUCGAUCCGGAGGGCUAGAAAUUAUAAGGAAGAAAGACGACAGUAAUUAAUAUGUGUACAUAUACCAAAACAAUGGAUGCAUCAAUUAACUAGUCAGCACGGGCUUAACUAAUAUAUAUAUACCUGGCCGGACUCGGUUCGGUGACCGGAGCAGUCAGCACGGUCUCCUUGUACCUCCAUUGUGUCACCGGAGCCAUCAUGAACAUAGUCCUCCUCUUGUACCGGCAUUAAUGGGUCGAAGCCAUCAUAAACAUAGCCCUCUUCUUCAUCCAGUCCUUCCAGCUGACCAUCGGUGUCGAUGAGAAAUGACGCAACAUCAUCACUUCCAUUUGCGAUUAUGUCCCCCAACAUCGCUUCUGUUUCUUCGUCUCGGGAGUGCUCCAUAGUUUCUGCAAAUAUUUACAACAUGUCAAUUAUUAUUCAAACAUGGUACAAAUGGAUAUAUAUAUAUAUAUAUAUAUAUAUAUAUAUAUAUAUAUAUGAAAAUGGAUUGGUACUCCUAGGAGUACAUACUCUCACCUACACCCGUCAUCGUUGGAAACAUUCAUCCCGCUAACUACUAAAAAAAGAGCUAACUAACUACGGAUAAAGCCUUUGGAUUUAAAAAUUAGUUGAACCGCUUCCUUUUUUUUCAGCUCUCGUAGGCGUGCCUUCCAGGGAUUCCAUUUGAAACGGCGUUCUCAUCUCUUGCCAGCACCCAUGAACAUAAAAAAACAGAGCAUCGGCUCGCCUCCGCCCCGCCGACUGACCGGAAGACUUGGUCGACAUGGCCGACGAUGAUCCCCGUGCUUCUUCCCUCGCAAACUAGGCUUCAACCACCACGUCCAUCAAUCAGAGGAAGAUUGAUUCAUCAUCUGUAGUUUGCGAGGGUACGUGCAAUUGAUGUUUCCCGAUUUUUCUGUUCGGCUACCACAACCGUGUUCAUGUUCCCGCUGACCCCUUGAUCCAUUCCUGUCCAGUAUGUCAUCGUCCGAGAAGAAAAUAGGACGGAGAUGAUUGAUCGGCCAGAUUGAUCGGCCAAGUCUACUAGUACCACUGGUGGAAAAAAGGCCUUUGGUCGCGGUUCGCAACUGCCAUUAGUCGCGGUUGCGCAACCGCGACCAAAUAAGCGCGACUAAAGCCCCCCACCUUUAGUCGCGGCUGCUUAAGAACCGCGACUAAAGGCCCGUCCAUGUGGGCGCCAGGCGGCCGUCGGGACGGAGGACCUUUAGUCGCGGUUCUUCUGGCCAACCGCGACUAAAGGCCGCCACAGGUUUAGGGUUUUAGCCCCCCCCCUAAACCUGUUUUCUGUUUAAUUUGUAUUGUUUUAUUUCUUUUGUGCUUUAUUUUAAUUUUGAAGGAGUUUCAUAUAUUCUACGGUACUACAUACAUGCAUAUGAAUGUACAAUUUCAAAUAAAUUUGAAAUUAGAACCAAAAAGAAUUCAAGAGGAAUAUACAAUAUAUAUUCAAUAUCAUCGGAUGACCAUAUACAAUUUUGAACAAGUUUCCAUACAUGAUUUAAUGCAUAUAAAGUUCUACGUCCUCGUAAUAGUGUUCUCCUUUAGGAUGGAGGACUUCCCUGCUGAACCAUCCAGCUAGUUCCUCUUGAAGUGGUCGGAAGCGAGCUUCUGGACUAAGCAUCCACCGGAGGUUAUUCCUCUGAGCAUUGGUAUCACUCGGAACCCGCUCAGAGGUGUAUCUCCGGAUCAUCUCACAGACAUAGUAUCCACAUAGAUUGGUCUCCGGUGGCUGAAUAUCCCCAGCAUUCUUAGCCACUGACCUUUUGAAUUCUAGCUCUUUUUUGAAUUCACCGACCUUUGUAUCUACGAACCGUCUCCAAACCCUACGAGGCAAAGAAAAUUAAAUGAACAAGAGAGUUAUUAGUUACUUGAUAUUAGGAAAUGAACGAAAUAGGCCGAUUGAUAUAGAGCGCAAAUGAAUGAAAAUAAUUACUUCUGCAGCAUUCUUCUCAUGCCGCCCCAAAGCUUUGGAUCCAUAUUCACAGAGUCGUGGACGAGACAUUCUGAGGUGUUAACUUUAAUUACUAGCAGAAUCCAGUGGAACCUGCGGACACGAUACAUGCACAGUACGUCAUGCAUAACUCAUCGAUUAGCCGGCCACAUACCAUGCAUGGAGUAAACAAAAGAGAAUGUGCUCAAGACACAAACACUCACCCAAAAUGGUAAGGAAAUAGAAUAUCACUUUUGAGUUCCUGCUUUGUAAGAAACUGCCACAGGUCUACCUCCACGUCGGCGGGGUGACGCUCCAACACAUGUCCAUUAACGAUGUGUGGGUCAAUGAACCCAACAUCAUGGAUGUUCCUUACUCUGCAUUCCUUAAUCUUCAUUCUGCAUGUAUAAUAGCGGACACAACAAUAUAGUUAGGACAUAUAUAUAGUGCAGGCAAUAUGAACGAGAUGGGGUAGAAAUUAAUAAAUCACUUACAGAACGUAGCAACUGAUGAUAGAUUUAUCGAGCUCGCGCAGAUUGAAAAGCUGGAACAAUUCACUCAGUUCAAUUUGUACAUAGUAAUGUUUGAAGUGAUGCUCAUGUCUAACUUCCGCAUAAAUAUAUUCUUUGGCGUUUUUAUUUUUUAUGUAACCCUUGUACCAUUUCAGCAGACCUUUCAUUUGUGGAGGUAGAUCCUUUUCCUGCGCAGGCUCGACGAGAGGCCCAUUCUUGACAUAUGUAAUUACUACCUCCUUCACUGGCGCCUCAUCAAGGCCUAACAGUUCACGAAGAGUAAUACCUAAGUUGGCCGCUUGUUCUAUGGCACUCGUUACAGUCAAUCCCUGUGCUGCCGCAGCUUGUAUGAUCUCGGGGGCAUCCGGACAGAAGGCUUCCACUAUAAGCGGGGCAAUCGAUUGUUUACUUUGUUCCCCGAGCUGGGCAACUUGUUUCCCGCUUUUUUUACUUUCGGCCUUCUCCCGCUCUUUGUUCUCCUUGAACAUGAGUGCCUGCCUGCGAAGUUCACGUGCAUAGUCGUUAGGCAGAUUCUUCGCGGCUUGGGACGGUGUGCUCAAAAAUGACUUAGCCCACUUGUUUUGCUCAUCAGAAAAUACUGGCUUGGGCUCGAGCUCUCUUUUCUUCUUGCAGUCCGCCUUCCAUUUCUCCAAAUCAGCAGCCGCGGCCGCGUCGACUUCCUCGGCACUACGUUCCCAAGGCCUUGUGGGGAGAGGCUUCAGUGAUGGCUCCGGUACCUUUGUGGUCUUAGGUACAUAAGGGUCCGGGUUAAUAAUCCAGGACUGCUUCUGCUUCUUUGCCGGAGGUGGAUUGGGGGGCGGCGUCUGAUCACCCGCCGGACGAGGACUGGGGGGCGGCGGCUGAUCACCCGCCGGACGUUGUGGACUGGGGGGCGGCGUCGGCUGACGUGACGGAGGUGUAGGUGAACCGCCACCACCACCACCACCACCACCACCGCCACCGCCACCACCACCACCGUAGGGGGGUGGACUUGUUGUCCUUGGCGCCUCGCCUGGAAACUUGAUAAACUUCUUUUGCCAUAGAAUGAAAUGGCGCUUGACAUCUCCAAGUCUUUUCUCCCCUUCAGGUGUAGCAAUGUCAAUCUCCAGGUCCUCAAACCCUUGGACUAUGUCCUCCACCGUGACACGAGCAUAGCCAUCUUGAAUGGGGUUGUUGUGGUGGAGUGCUCCAGGUAAACAUGGUAAAGCACUGCCGAUGGCUACCUUCAUGGACAUGUUCCCGAUAGGAUAAUACAGAUGACAUUCUUCUCCGCUGCUGGCUUCCGAGAUCUGCUGGAUGAUCUUCAUGCUGCACCCGAGCUGCAUCUCUUUCGGCUACUAGUACACUCAUGGUUUUCUUCAUCACAUCCAUUUCCGAUGCCAACCGCGCCACAACAUCUGCUUCCCGAUCCACCUUUCUCUUACGGCUUCUGUAACCGUACGGGUCAUCGUUCUGGGGGAACCCUAUUUUCCACGGAAUGUGCCCCAUGCCUCGUACACGUCCUCCGUGUUCAGGAUUCCCGAGGGAUUUUGUCAGCGCGUCGUUCUCUCUGUUGAACUUGAUCUUCCCCUGUUGAGCAUCCCUCAUUGCGUUAAUAAGGGCUUGGGUGGGUUUAAUUAAUUUGCCCCGGUAAACACACUCCCCUGUCUCCGGGUUCAGCGUUCCCCCAUGCCCGUACCACCAACUUUUGGCCCUUGGGUCCCAUCCCUCCGUACCUGCACGGAUUCCUCGCGCCCUCAGCUCGUUCUCCAUCUUCUCCAACCUAGGCACCCAAAUGCGAUACCCUCCUGGCCCCAUAACAUGAUUGUACUCCUUCUUAGCCGCAUUUUCCUUAUUUUUUCGAUAUUUGAAUGAACUGCUCCGAUUUCUUUUGCUUCACAAAUUCUGGCCAAUCAUGUUUCAGUUUCUCAUAUUGUCCUUUGAAAUCCGGAGUCUUGUUCUGCUUGACAAAGUCAUGGGCUAGAUUUUGCUUGAAUUUCCGGAAUGCGUCGGCCAUCUUAUGAAGAGCGAACUGUUUGACUAGCCUCCUCCUCUCCUUGUUUUCUUCAAUCUUGUUACCCUCCUCAUCGAAUUUGUUGUAUUCCGGAGGUAGAACGAAAUGUUCCAUAAGCUUCUUGAAGCAAUCUUUUUUUGUUCUCUUAUCGACAAAAGUGAAACCAUCAAUUCGUGCCUUCUUUGGCUCAUUCCACUCCUGGACGGUGAUCGAGACGUUGUCUCUAACAAUGGCUCCGCAUUGGCUGACAAACUUGGUGGCGUUCUUGCGGGGCUCCAGCGGCCUGCCGGUUGCACUGUCGACAACCUCGAUGGUGCAUGUUUCUCCUUGUUUCAUCGUCUUGGUUGCGCCACGCUUUGACGACGUACUCGAUUGUUUCGACGAUCCGGCCGAGGGCUAAAAUAAGAAAGAGUCGCGCGCGUUAGUACACACAUAUUUAUUCAAAUCAGUUAGUUUGUAUCACCAGAGGCUCAAUGUAUAUAUAUACCUCGGCGCCGGAGGUGGUUGCUACAUCCAUUUGAAGAUCGUCGUUUAUCGACGUUUGUUCGGCAUCAUCUUGCUGACGGCGCCCUUCAUCUUCACCGUCAAGGUUCAGAUAAGAAGAGAUAUCAUCUUCUUCUUCUCCGGUCGGCACAUAUAGAAUAUCGCCGUUUAUGAUGCCGAACAUAUGUGCUUCACCGUCCGGAUCAUAGUUGUCCAUAAUCGGGUCAGCUCUAUCGUCCGCCAUUAUGUCAGUCCUGAAAACAUGUAGUAAAAACAAAUUAAUUAAGUGAAGAAGGGGGGCGGUGGCGGUGGCGGUGGCGAAAGGGUGGUGGCAAAAGGAGGGGGCGAGGAAGGGGUGGGAGAGGGUGUCGCGGUAGAGCGCGAGACGGGGCGGCACGAACGUCAUUUUGUGAAGAAACUUUGCAAGCAAUUAAACAUUUGUCAAUGUUUGGUAAAAAAAAUACAGGUAGCGUCUGUUGCUCCUAAUGAUUGGAAACGGUUUCCAAUUGCCAACGAGGAUUUAGAUCGACUACUACUACUAGUUGCAUUGCUCCCCAUCGGGACGAUGUUGCUCCUAAUCCCCUCCUUUGGAAUCUAUAGUACUAGUGCAUACUAGCUGGCCGUUGACCGUUGUUGCUCAUCGCGUUUUCUCAAAGUCCACUGAUUUUGCUCAGGGCCAGUUCGGAGAUUUUGCUGGUCCACUGAUUUUGGAUCAACGCCGGGAUGGCAUGGGCGCUCGGCGAUGAUGCGAAGUAGACUUGCACAGGCAACGUGAUGUACAUGGAUGUGUCAGUACGGUACGCUCGGCGAUGCCACGGUAUGGAUGACUUCUCGAGUGGAGAUUGGAGAACCAAGUUCGCCGGUGAAACGUCGGCUCCUGAUCAGAUCUGGGGGUCGCGAACUAGCGAUUGGAUCUCGGAAGGGAGUUAGGAAAGCGAACAGACGUGCGUUCAAGGCUACAACUUUUUUUUUCAGGAUCUUGAAAACAGCUACGCGUUCAAGGCCCGGUCCUGAUUUUGCUCAUCUACCCGGGGCGGCGUUCGCACUGCGCGAGGGCCGACUCCGCGGGGUGCUGCCGCGUCGCCUCGUCGACGCUGAGCGAGUUGGCGAGGACCGUGUACAUGGUCGGCACGUCGCCGGCGGAGAGGGUCAUGCUGUCCCCGACCAGCGGCGGCCACGGACGGGGAGGGCGGCGGCGGUGACUGGGAAGGAAUGAUAGGAGAGGAAGGAAGGUCGCGUGGGGUUGAGGGCGGNNNNNNNNNNGGCGAGGAGGGACUCCUUGGCGGAGAGGCGCUCCGUCUCGCGGGCGUAGCUGGCAGCGGGCUCCCACGCCUGCGCGUACACGUCGUCCCGCCGUGCGUUCAAGGCUACAACUUUUUUUUUUAGGAUCUUGAAAACAACUACGCGUUCAAGGCCGGCCCGGUCCUGAUUUUGCUCAUCUACCCGGGGCGGCGUUCGCACUGCGCGAGGGCCGACUCCGCGGGGUGCUGCCGCGUCGCCUCGUCGACGCUGAGCGAGUUGGCGAGCACCGUGUACAUGGUCGGCACGUCGCCGGCGGAGAGGGUCAUGCUGUCCCCGACCAGCGGCGGCCACGGACGGGGAGGGCGGCGGCGGUGACUGGGAAGGAAUGAUCGGAGAGGAAGGAAGGUCGCGUGGGGUUGAGGGCGGGCGAGCGAGGCGGCAGUACCGAGGCUGGCCGGCGGCGCGCGCGCGGUGGGCGAGGGCGACGGCGGGCGGCGUCGAGGGCGAGGGCGACGGCGGGCGGCGUCGAGGGCGCGGCAGAGACGAACAGGCGAGAAACGGCGGGCGGCGUCGAGGGAGCCUUGUAUUUAUAGCCCCCCCNNNNNNNNNNNNNNNNNNNNNNNNNNNNNNNNNNNNNNNNNNNNNNNNNNNNNNNNNNNNNNNNNNNNNNNNNNNNNNNNNNNNNNNNNNNNNNNNNNNNNNNNNNNNNNNNNNNNNNNNNNNNNNNNNNNNNNNNNNNNNNNNNNNNNNNNNNNNNNNNNNNNNNNNNNNNNNNNNNNNNNNNNNNNNNNNNNNNNNNNNNNNNNNNNNNNNNNNNNNNNNNNNNNNNNNNNNNNNNNNNNNNNNNNNNNNNNNNNNNNNNNNNNNNNNNNNNNNNNNNNNNNNNNNNNNNNNNNNNNNNNNNNNNNNNNNNNNNNNNNNNNNNNNNNNNNNNNNNNNNNNNNNNNNNNNNNNNNNNNNNNNNNNNNNNNNNNNNNNNNNNNNNNNNNNNNNNNNNNNNNNNNNNNNNNNNNNNNNNNNNNNNNNNNNNNNNNNNNNNNNNNNNNNNNNNNNNNNNNNNNNNNNNNNNNNNNNNNNNNNNNNNNNNNNNNNNNNNNNNNNNNNNNNNNNNNNNNNNNNNNNNNNNNNNNNNNNNNNNNNNNNNNNNNNNNNNNNNNNNNNNNNNNNNNNNNNNNNNNNNNNNNNNNNNNNNNNNNNNNNNNNNNNNNNNNNNNNNNNNNNNNNNNNNNNNNNNNNNNNNNNNNNNNNNNNNNNNNNNNNNNNNNNNNNNNNNNNNNNNNNNNNNNNNNNNNNNNNNNNNNNNNNNNNNNNNNNNNNNNNNNNNNNNNNNNNNNNNNNNNNNNNNNNNNNNNNNNNNNNNNNNNNNNNNNNNNNNNNNNNNNNNNNNNNNNNNNNNNNNNNNNNNNNNNNNNNNNNNNNNNNNNNNNNNNNNNNNNNNNNNNNNNNNNNNNNNNNNNNNNNNNNNNNNNNNNNNNNNNNNNNNNNNNNNNNNNNNNNNNNNNNNNNNNNNNNNNNNNNNNNNNNNNNNNNNNNNNNNNNNNNNNNNNNNNNNNNNNNNNNNNNNNNNNNNNNNNNNNNNNNNNNNNNNNNNNNNNNNNNNNNNNNNNNNNNNNNNNNNNNNNNNNNNNNNNNNNNNNNNNNNNNNNNNNCGAGGAAGACCAAUCGGCUUAAGGUCAGGAACAAAGUCAACACAAAACUCAAUUACCUCCUCAUUUCCAUAGCCCUUGGCGAUGCUUCCUUCUGGCCUAGCACGGUUACGAACAUAUUUCUUUAAUACUCCCAUGAACCUCUCGAAGGGGAACAUAUUGUGUAGAAAUACAGGACCGAGAACGAAAAUCUCUUCGACUAGGUGAACCAGGAGGUGCGUCAUAAUAUUGAAGAAGGAUGGCGGGAACACCAACUCGAAACUGACAAGACAUUGGAUCACAUCGUUCUGUAACCAUGGUAGAACUUCUGGAUUGAUUACCUUCUGAGAGAUUGCAUUGAGGAAUGCACAUAGCUUCACAAUGGCUACUCGAACAUUUUCCGGCAGGAGCCCCCUCAAAGCAAUCGGAAGCAAUUGCGUCAUAAUCACGUGGCAGUCGUGAGACUUCAGGUUUUGGAACUUUUUCUCCGCCAUGUUUAUUAUUCCUUUUAUAUUGGACGAGAAUCCAGACGGGACCUUCAUACUGCUCAGGCAUUCAAAAAAGAUGACCUUCUCUUCUUUGGUCAGAGCGUAGCUGGCACGACCUUGAAACCAUUCCGGAUGCCGGUCAUCAGGGUCUUUCAAACGUUGCUGGUCCUGCCGUGCUUCCUUUGUAUCAUUUGUCUUCCCAUACACGCCCAAGAAGCUUAGGAGGUUCACGCAAAUAUUCUUCGUAACGUGCAUCACGUCGAUUGCAGAGCGGACAUCUAGGACUUUCCAAUAUUCUAGCUCCCAGAAUAUAGAUUUCUUCUUCCACAUGGCUGCGUUCCCGUCUGCUCCCUUCGGAACUGAUUGUCCGCCAGGACCCUUUCCAAAGAUGACUUUCAAAUCCUUGACCAUAUCAAAUACCUCAGCACCAGUGCAUUCCGCAGGCUUCGGCCGGUGAUCUGCCUUGCCGUUGUAAUGCUUGCCUUUCUUUCUUACUGGAUGAAUUUUCGGAAGAAAUCGAUGAUGCCCAAGGUACACGUUCUUCUUACAAUUUGGCAAAUGUACACUUUCAGUCUCAUGUAAGCAGUGCGUGCAUGCAUUGUAUCCCUUAUUUGACAGUCCCGAAAGGUUACUAAGAGCAGGCCAAUCGUUGAUGGUUACGAAAAGCAACGCUCGUAGGUCAAAUUCCUCUUGUUUGUGCUCAUCCCACACACGGACACCACCCCACAGCUGUAAAAGUUCAUCAACUAAUGGCCUUAGGUACACAUCGAUGUCGUUGCCGGGUUGCUUCGGACCUUGGAUGAGCACUGGCAUCAUAAUGAACUUCCGCUUCAUGCACAACCAAGAAGGAAGGUUGUAGAUGCAUAGAGUCACGGGCCAGGUGCUAUGGCUGGAGCUCUGCUCGCCAAAAGGAUUCAUGCCAUCCGUACUUAGAGCAAAUCUUAUGUUCCUUGCGUCAGCUGCAAAAUCUUUGAACCAUCUGUCGAUCUUUCUCCAUUGCGUUCCAUCUGCGGUGUGUCUCAACUCCCCGUCCGACUUACGGUCCUCUUUGUGCCAUCGCAACAACUUGGCAUGCUCUUUGUUCCUGAACAGACGUUUCAACCGUGGUAUUAUAGGAGCAUACCACAUCACCUUGGCGGGAACCCUCUUCCUGGGUUUCUGGCCCUCAACAUCGUCACCAGGGUCAUCGCCUCUGAUCUUAUAACGCAAUGCAGUGCAUAUCGGGCAUUCAUUCAAAUUCUCGUAUUCACCGCGGUAGAGGAUGCAGUCGUUGAUGCAUGCAUGUAUCUUCAGAACCUCUAAACCUAGAGGGCAGACAACCUUCUUUGCUUCGUACGUACUGGCGGGCAACUCGUUAUCCUUUGGAAACAUACUCUUCAACAUUUUCAGCAAGUUUUCAAAUGCCGAGUCAGCUACACCUGCCUCUGCCUUCCAUUUCAGCAAAUCCAGUGUGCAGCCCAGCUUUUUCAGACCAUCAUCGCAUCCGGGGUACAGCGCCUUUCUGUGAUCCUCUAACAUGCGAUCCAAAUUCUCCCUCUCCUUUUCAGUUUCGCAGCGUCUCCGUGCAUCAGCAAUGGUCCGACCAAGAUCAUCAACGGGAUCAUCACGUGCCUCUUCUUCACCUUCCCCUUCACCUUCAGCAUCCUCCAUGAAAGUAUCACCGAGAUGAGCAAGAUAGCUUUCAUCGAUGAAAUCAUCCCCUUCUUCAUCUUCUUCCAUUAUAACCCCUCUUUCUCCAUGCUUGGUCCAACAAUUAUAGCUUGGCAUGAAACCGUGCCGAAGCAGAUGCAUGUGAACAUCUCUUGAGGAAGAGUAACCCUUCUGAUUCUUACAGAUAACACAUGGACAGAUAACAAAAAACCCCUGCUUGUUCGCAUUAGCCACUACGAGGAAAUCUUUCAAACCCGUAGUGAACUCGCCGGAGAGUCGGUUACCGUACAUCCAUUGCCGAUUCAUCUGCAUUAUUAUAAUAUAAAAUAUAUAAUUAACCAUCAUGCAUUUGUUAAACUAACUAGCUACAAACAAUAUAAAUUAAACAAUGAACUGCACACAUGCAUAUUUUAUCAAUGACACAUCAAAGGUUCAUCAAGUUGCUAACCGCGAUCGAGGAGUGUGGCUCCAACACUUCAUGUCAUGUUUGUUUCAUGCUCUUGGGGCAUUUCAUCAAACACCUUAUGUGCAUAAGAGGAACCAAAAGCAAACCUACACCCACUUGUGAAGAGAAUGGCUCCAAAUGGCUAAGUGUUGGCUGCUGGAUGGGUAUAUAUAGGGGAGGGGCUUUAGUUGCGGUUGGCUUGGCAAACCGUGACUAAAGGUGCCCGAAGGCCUUUAGUCGCGGUUGUCCUGGCCAACCGCGACUAAAGACCCUCACGUGCGCCAGCUGGCCACCGAGCGCCCUGAGCCCAGGCCUUUGGUCGCGGUUCACCUCCAGAACCGCGACUAAAGGUCCCAUUAGUCGCGGUUCCUACAGCUUCGCGACUUAUGGGGCUGGACGGAAGCUUGUUUUUCCACCAGUGUACUAGGUAAGGUGUCGUUCCAGUCAAAUUGAUGAAUUCAUCUUUUGUUACCUUUGUUAUAGGAAUAUAGGCUGCAUUUAUUAGUCAUAUCGAGCUCUCAAGGAGUCAAGAUCUUGUUAACUUACUAAUAAUUUCUAUAUACCUGCAGCGUUAUGGCCUAUGGUGCAGGGCAAAGACAACAAGGACGACAUGCGGCGGCGACGUGGCCAUGGUGAAGCUACUUCGUCCGGCUACCCCAUGGUUGGCGUGUCUGCCGUCCUCUCAAUCUAUCACACGUACGUCCGGUGCAUGCAUGGUGUCGGGCCGAAGAGCACACAAAUCUACAUCCAGGCCCUGGGCACUAGCAACCGCUGAUGCACUUAGCCACUUACCAAUGUAUUCCUAUUGUACGUAUAUAAUAAAGUGGUUAGUACGUCGACGUAGAAAUAGUUAGUAGCUUGCUUUGCACUCACACAAUCGAGUCAUGAUUGUUACUGAUGAUCAAAAUUUUAUGUAUUUUUUAUGCCGGAUGGGUUUACUACUUCUUCUUCGGUUGUAUAUAAAGCUUCCAAAAAAUUAGUAUAUAAUCCUCCAGAAUAAAUCAGUAUAUAGUCCUCCAAAAAAAUGAGUAUAUACACUUUGUAACGCAGCAUAUACCCCAUAAAAAAUGUAGUAUAACGCUGCAGAAAUAAGACAUACUCCUUUUCUAGUUGCAUAUACCCAAUCACAAAACUACACUGAAAUAAUUAGUAGUACAUACUCCUUUUCUAUUUUGGAAAGGAACGUCCAUUUCCCUCUUCAACAAGUGCUUUAUUUUUCUAGGGGUAGCCUUGUGUUUUUACUGCCAUGCGACGACAUUACAAAAUGUAUUACACCCAUUAUUCAUCUAAUUUUUUAUAUACCCUUUUAUGCAUACUUUGAAUUUAUCACUCAUUUGGGCGACCAGCCCGCUCUCUCAUUGCAGCGACUCGACUCUCACAUAAAGCCAGUAUAUACUCACGUAAAAAAAAGCAGUAUAGACUCCCUUACUGAAAAAGAACUAUAUACUCCCCUACCAAAAAAAGUAGUAUAUGCUCCAUUACCAAAAAGGCAGUAUAUACUCAUAUACAAAAGGUGGUAUAUACUGUCUUCCCAAAGUAGUAUAUAUCUUUUUCCUUGCGUUAGAGAAGUAGUAUAACCAGAACAGAUAGUUCAUACUUGUGUGCUGAAAAAAGUAGUAUAUAAAUAUAUAUGUAAGAGUGAGUAUGGUAGAUAUGUAUCGGUCCUUACAAAAAAAAUCAACCACUGUUAUUGUUUAUUUGCACCGAACUAACCUUAUCUGUAUGCUAGGAUCCUUGAAUCUCUCAAUCUGUUGAUGCACAUGCAUGCGUCGGCCGGUGGAGCAAUUAGCAACUAGAUCUAAUAACUGCCAACCUGUUCAGUCCAUGGGAGUACAUACUCCUGGGAGUAUAAAAGAGGAGUCUAUAUAUAUAUAUAUAUAUAUAUAUAUAUACGGUGGCGCUAUUGUGUGCGUGAGCGCAGAUUUACUUAUCGUGCGCGCCGGUCAUUGCGUGCGCCACUCGUAUUCCUAAUGAUGGUAAAAUUCCUGGCAGAAAUAGUAAUAUAAUUUAAUUGGUUACUGCCUGCCACCACCACGGUAGCGAUUUAAUUGGUUAGGUCUACUAGUAAAAAUGCAUAGCAGAAAAAGUAAAAGAGCUAAAAGUAUUACUGUUGGAUGCAUCGGUCCCCGCUUCGACUGCCUACUAGUAAAACACCUCAUAAAAGUAGUAAUAGGAUUACCCUACACGCAUCAGCCCCUUGCCAUACUUGUGAACAGGUAAACUUCAUGUGAAGAAUAGUACUGGAUGGUAACUGUGUUACCAUAGAACGGACACUUGCUAUUAGCUAGCUACAUGGUAAUUUUAUUACCGCUAACUUUCAUCGGUUUAAUACCUAAUCAUGUUACCACUUAUUUUCUUAGUAGUAUUGGAUGGUAACUAUGUUACCACAUGACGAAAAAAUUGCUAUUAGCUAAUAGCUACACGGUAAUUGCAUUACCACUCAUGUGUAGAAGCAUGAUACACGGUCUUUUUUCCAAUUACGUUUGGUCGAAGACGCAAGGGUUUGCUAAUCGCUAAAGUGGGGUCGAAGCAGUAAUAAGUUUCCAACCGUUACCAUGUUUCUUAAGGUAUGUUACGUAUGGGCGCAAGACAUGUUCUUUAAUAGGAGCGGGACAACGGUUGCUUAGACGGAGAAUGGCGCGCAGUCUGGCCGGAGCGUAGAAUUAGACUUCUGCGCUCAGGCUUAGUUUAGCACGUCUAUAUAUAUAUAUAUAUAUAUAUAUAUAUAUAUACAUACAUGUUAGUGGCCUCGACGCUGCUUCUCUAGGGUUUGGGGUCGCCUCGACACAACGCUUCAAGGGUUUGGGGUGGCCUCGACGACAACGUUUUUUUAACUUGAUAAAUUUGGGUGGCCUCGAGAGAGUUAAUUUGUCGGGUAGGGGCGCGGCGGGAGGGGGUAGGAGACCAACAUCGUUUUCUCUCUAGGGUUUGGGUGUCCUCGAGAGUUAUCGGGGAGGGGGUAUCGGUACCACCCCCUAGCUCGUGUUGAAGUUUCUUCUUUCUCCUCUAUUCCUUUCUUUCUUCUUCUCCUCUUCUUUUUCUUCUUCUCCCUCGAGAAAGGAAAAUANNNNNNNNNNNNNNNNNNNNNNNNNNNNNNNNNNNNNNNNNNNNNNNNNNNNNNNNNNNNNNNNNNNNNNNNNNNNNNNNNNNNNNNNNNNNNNNNNNNNNNNNNNNNNNNNNNNNNNNNNNNNNNNNNNNNNNNNNNNNNNNNNNNNNNNNNNNNNNNNNNNNNNNNNNNNNNNNNNNNNNNNNNNNNNNNNNNNNNNNNNNNNNNNNNNNNNNNNNNNNNNNNNNNNNNNNNNNNNNNNNNNNNNNNNNNNNNNNNNNNNNNNNNNNNNNNNNNNNNNNNNNNNNNNNNNNNNNNNNNNNNNNNNNNNNNNNNNNNNNNNNNNNNNNNNNNNNNNNNNNNNNNNNNNNNNNNNNNNNNNNNNNNNNNNNNNNNNNNNNNNNNNNNNNNNNNNNNNNNNNNNNNNNNNNNNNNNNNNNNNNNNNNNNNNNNNNNNNNNNNNNNNNNNNNNNNNNNNNNNNNNNNNNNNNNNNNNNNNNNNNNNNNNNNNNNNNNNNNNNNNNNNNNNNNNNNNNNNNNNNNNNNNNNNNNNNNNNNNNNNNNNNNNNNNNNNNNNNNNNNNNNNNNNNNNNNNNNNNNNNNNNNNNNNNNNNNNNNNNNNNNNNNNNNNNNNNNNNNNNNNNNNNNNNNNNNNNNNNNNNNNNNNNNNNNNNNNNNNNNNNNNNNNNNNNNNNNNNNNNNNNNNNNNNNNNNNNNNNNNNNNNNNNNNNNNNNNNNNNNNNNNNNNNNNNNNNNNNNNNNNNNNNNNNNNNNNNNNNNNNNNNNNNNNNNNNNNNNNNNNNNNNNNNNNNNNNNNNNNNNNNNNNNNNNNNNNNNNNNNNNNNNNNNNNNNNNNNNNNNNNNNNNNNNNNNNNNNNNNNNNNNNNNNNNNNNNNNNNNNNNNNNNNNNNNNNNNNNNNNNNNNNNNNNNNNNNNNNNNNNNNNNNNNNNNNNNNNNNNNNNNNNNNNNNNNNNNNNNNNNNNNNNNNNNNNNNNNNNNNNNNNNNNNNNNNNNNNNNNNNNNNNNNNNNNNNNNNNNNNNNNNNNNNNNNNNNNNNNNNNNNNNNNNNNNNNNNNNNNNNNNNNNNNNNNNNNNUGAAAACACUUUUUUUUGUUUUCUUUCUUGCUUUAUUUAUUUUAUUUUGUUUCUACUUGCAAUAAAAUACUUAUUGUUGUUUUUUUGUUUUGUUUUCUGCAUUAUUUAUUUUCUUUUGUUUUUUGCUUUAUUUUUUAAUUCUUUUUGCUUUUAGUUUUAGGAAAAUUAUAAACUUUCUAUUAGUGCCAUUACUUUUCAAAUUUGAAAACACUUUUUUGUUUUUUAGUUUUCUUUCUUGCUUUAUUUAUUUUAUUUUGUUUCUACUUACAACAAAAUACUUAUUGUUGCUAUUUUUAAUUAUUACGAAGGCCAAACCAUAAGACAUUAAAGCAUUUCAAAUGAACUCUGAAAAAGUUGAAAGUUGGCAUGGUAUCAUAAAUUGACCCACACAUAGCAUGUGCAUGUACAAAACGGACAAUGUUAUCAUACUCGUCAGUUACAAAGUUGGCAUGGUAUCAUCAUAAUAGUUGCGGGAGAAAGUCUUCACUUUUUCUUCGCUUGUGUCAUUUGCUUAUUGCGCCGUAACCAUGGAUAAUCUUCAUCGUUUAUCAGGAUGCUGGGGUCAGCCUUGACUUUAAAGGGAGGAAUUUCAUGAAACUUUUCAUAAUCUUCAGACAUGUCUGUCUUGUCCUCCUCUCCCACGAUGUCCCUUUUUCCUGAAAGAACUAUGUGGCGCUUUGGCUCAUCGUAUGAUGUAUUCGCUUCCUUAUCUUUUCUCUUUCUUGGUCUGGUAGACAUGUCCAUCACAUAGAUAACCUGUGCCACAUCAUUGGCUAGGACGAACGGUUCGUCAGUGUACCCAAGAUUUUUCGGAUCCACUGUUGUCGUUCCGUACUGUGGGUCUACAUGUACCCCGCCUCCUGACAGAUUGACCCAUUUGCACUUAAACAAAGGGACCUUAAAAUCAUGUCCUUAGUCAAGUUCCCAUAUGUCCACUAUGUAACCAUAAUAUGUGUCCUUUCCCCUCUCGGUUGUUGCAUCAAAGCGGACACCGCUGUUUUGGUUGGUGCUCUUUUGAUCUUGGUUAAUCGUGUAAAAUGUCUUCCCAUUUAUCUCAUAUCCUUUCCAAAUCGUAACAGUCGAAGAUGGUCCCCUGGAUAACAAGUACAUCUCAUCACAAACAGCGUUGUCACCUCUGAUACGUGCUUCCAACCAACUGCUGAAAGUCCUGAUGUGUUCACAUGUAAUUCAGUCGUCGCACUGCUCCGGGUGUUUGGAGCGCAGACUGUUCUUGUGUUCAUCCACAUACGGGGUCACCAAGGUAGAGUUCUGUAGAACUGUGUAGUGUGCUUGAGACCAAGAAUAUCUGUCCCUGCAUAUUAUUGAGUCCCUUCCAAGCAUGCCUUUUCCAGUCAGUCUCCCCUCAUACCGCGAUUUAGGGAGACCUAUCUUCUUAUGGCCAGGAAUGAAGUCAACACAAAACCCGAUGACAUCCUCUGUUUGAUGGCCCAUGGAGAUGCUUCCUUCUGGCCUAGCGCGAUGAGGGACAUAUUUCUUUAGGACUCCCAUGAACCUCUCAAAGGGGUACAUAUUGUGUAGAAAUACGGGGCCCAAAAUGACAAUCUCGUCAACUAGAUGAACUAGGACGUGCGUCAUGAUAUUGAAGAAGGAUGGUGGGAACACCAGCUCGAAACUGACAAGACAUUGCACCACAUCACUCCUUAGCCUUGGUAUGAUUUCUGGAUCGAUCACCUUCUGAGAGAUUGCAUUGAGGAAUGCACAUAGCUUCACAAUGGCUAAUCGGACGUUUUCCGGUAGAAGCCCCCUCAAUGCAACCGGAAGCAGUUGUGUCAUAAUCACGUGGCAGUCAUGAGACUUUAGGUUCUGAAACUUUUUCUUUGCCAUAUUUAUUAUUCCUUUUAUAUUCGACGAGAAGCCAGUCGGGACCUUCAUACUAAGCAGGCAUUCAAAGAAGAUUUCCUUCUCUUCUUUGGUAAGAGCAUAGCUGGCAGGACCUUCAUACUGCUUUGGAGGCAUGCCGUCUUUUUCGUGCAAAUGUUGCAGGUCCUCCCGUGCCUCAGCUGUAUCUUUUGUCUUCCCAUACACGCCCAAGAAGCCUAGCAGGUUCACGCAAAGGUUCUUCGUCACGUGCAUCACGUCGAUCGAAGAGCGGACCUCUAGGUCUUUCUAGUAGGGUAGGUCCCAAAAUAUAGAUUUCUUCUUCCACAUGGGUGCGUGUCCCCCAACGUCACUCGGAACAGCUAGUCUGCCGGGACCCUUUCCAAAGAUUACGUGUAAAUCAUUGACCAUAGCAAGUACGUGACCACCGGUACGCAUGGCGGGCUUCUUCCGGUGAUCUGCCUCGCCUUUGAAAUGCUUGCCUUUCUUUCGACAUUGAUGGUUGGUCGGAAGAAAUCGACGAUGGCCCAGGUACACAUUCUUCCUACAGCUUGCCAGGUAUAUACUAACGGUGUCAAGUAAACAGUGCGUGCAUGCGUGGUAUCCCUUGUUUGUCUGUCCUAAAAGGUUACUGAGAGCAGGCCAAUCGUUGAUGGUCACGAACAGCAACGCCUUUAGGUUAAAUUUCUCCUGUUUGUGCUCAUCCCACGUACGUACACCGUUUCCAUUCCACAGCUGUAAAAGUUCUUCAACUAAUGGCCUUAGGUACACAUCAAUGUCAUUGCCGGGUUGCUUAGGGCCUUGGAUGAGAACUGGCAUCAUAAUGAACUUCCGCUUCAUGCACAUCCAAGGAGGAAGGUUAUACAUACAUAGAGUCACGGGCCAGGUGCUGUGAUUGCUGCUCUGCUCCCCGAAAGGAUUAAUGCCAUCCGCACUUAAAGCAAACCAUACGUUCCUUGGCUCACUUGCAAACUCAUCCCAGUACUUUCUCUCAUUUUUCUCCAUUGCGACCCGUCAGCGGGUGCUCUCAACUUCCCGUCUUUCUUACGGUCCUCACUAUGCCAUCGCAUCAACUUGGCAUGCUCUCCGUUUCUGAACAGACGUUUCAACCGUGGUAUUAUAGGAGCAUACCACAUCACCACUACUAGGGAAAAGCCUAUACAUAGAAUCUUACCAGCAGCGCUCUUCAAAAUACAACGCUACUGCUACUUAGCAGCAGCGCGUGUCUGCCAAACACGCUGCUGACUUGGAAGUAGCAGUAGCGGGUGCAUCGCAUACAGCGCUACUGCUAUAGUUGCCAUGACCUUGCCCCCCCCCCCCCNNNNNNNNNNNNNNNNNNNNNNNNNNNNNNNNNNNNNNNNNNNNNNNNNNNNNNNNNNNNNNNNNNNNNNNNNNNNNNNNNNNNNNNNNNNNNNNNNNNNNNNNNNNNNNNNNNNNNNNNNNNNNNNNNNNNNNNNNNNNNNNNNNNNNNNNNNNNNNNNNNNNNNNNNNNNNNNNNNNNNNNNNNNNNNNNNNNNNNNNNNNNNNNNNNNNNNNNNNNNNNNNNNNNNNNNNNNNGCAAACGCGCUACAACUAUCCCUACCUUAUCCCCAUGCGCACGACCGGCCCUCUCACUCACACUCUCACUCUCGCCCACGUCAACCGUCGUCGUCCGUCGCCGCCGCCGCCGCCUUCGUCCGUCCGCCGCCGAGGUACUCCCCUCCUUCCGUCCCUCCUCCAUCCUCCUUGCACAUCCUCCCUCCGCCUGUGGCCGCCCCUCCUUCCUCCGCCGCUGCCCUCCUCCCUCCGCCUGCGGCCGCCCCUCCUCCCUCCUCCGACGGCAGCCCUCCUCCCACCGCCCUCGACCUCGCUGCCCCUAGCUACCUCUCCGUCGCCCCCCACCCCUGCCACUAGUUAGUACUAGAUUUAGUAGUAGUAGAUGUUAAUUUAGGGUUAGCUAGUACUAGAUGUUGCUUAGUUAGUACUAGAUUUUUAGUAGUAGUAGUGGUAGUUGAACUACUUUAGUUGUAGUUGAACUAGUUUAGUAAGUAAAUUAAUAAACGAGUUGAACUAGUUGAAUUAAUAGAACUAAUCUAUUUUUAGUAAGAUAAUUAAUAUAACUAGUUGAACUACUUUAUUUUUAGAAAGAACUAAUUUUUUUCUAUUUAUAUUAAGUUUAUAUUUAGUAAGAACUAGUUGAAUUAAUAAAACUAGUUGAACAUGUCAUGUUUGUUGUUAGUGAUAACUUAUAUGGUUUCAGGUGACCUCCGUCGUCCCCGUCACCGACCCCCUCCGACAUCCCCGUCGUCGUCCCAGUCACCGACCCCCUCCGACAUCGAGGUGAGACCAGCCAAAUAUCCUUGUAUAUCUUGUGUUGUUGCUCAAAUUGGAUAUGUGGUUGCCCAAGUGGCCGUUCAUGUAGUUUACAUCUCCGAGUGGCCUAUGUUUUGCCGGAGUGUUGAUUAAUUUCCGUUCCGACAAAUUUCAGGCGCUCGAUAUGUCCUUUUUUAGCAAAGGUCAUGCCGGAUUUUGUCGUGAAUUCUGGUAUGACUUGUGCUAGAAUAUGUACAAGUUUAAUCUUUGAAUUAUGAUUGUAGGAAAUGUCGUACUCGGACGACGAAGGUCUCCCGGGGGAGUGUAGCUGGUGCCACGACGAUCGAGGUAUGUGCGAUAGGUUCGUUCGGCUGGACGAAGAUCGGCGCUUCAACAUUAAGCUCGAGGAGACCUUCGAUUGUGAAAUGGUACGCAACAACGACAAGUGUUUUUUCUCCAUUAAGCAUGACUUCAACUAUUUCAACGUCUAAUUUUCAUAUUUUACAAUUCGACUAGCUUAUCCCAUGCCAUGCAAGACGCUAUGUCUUGGAGAGGAUGGGUUUUGAAGACCAUGAAAAUUUCAAAACAAAGAAAAUACACCUAAGGACCCAUCAUGAUAUGGAUUUUGAAGUAAACCUGUGCAAUGCUCAGAGCGCAACCCAUUUUGGUUGCCAAAAUUGGGAAGCACUUUGCAAAAUGUAUGGUUUUUAUGAGGGUAUGAUUGUCACCAUGGAUCUUGGUGAUCCUGACAGUGAGGAAGACAAUAUGGACAUUUGGGUCCUUGUUGAUACGCUUCCGAUUGUACCGCUAUGUGACUUUCUCAAACAUAGUUAUUAACUAAUUUAUAUUGUUUAUUUCAAAAUAGUUGAUAGCUUAUUUCCAUUGACAGCUUAUUUUGAUUCUUCAAAGACUGUGCGGAAGAUGGUAGAUAAAACCCACUACACCGAAGGCACCCAAUUAACGUAUAAGGAGAAAAAUCAUCUGAUCGCAUUUUGUACUCUUCUUGAGAAUUACAAUGACUAUAAUCGAACUCCUCCAGAUUAUGGUGAAUAUGUGCCACUAGUGCAUGUGUUGAACAACGAUAACUUAUCUGGAGAUACCCUGGUAAGAUUUUUUACUAUUACGACAUCCGUGUAUUUUUUGCAUACUUCUAAAACUAGUACAUCAUUGCUAACUACGAAGUUAUUAUUAUGUUUUUCAACAGAAACUCCCGAUGGAUUGUGUGCCUCAUCUGAUGUCUCUGCAUGGUCGCCUCUCAGUUCUGAACAUACUGCCAGGUAAAUCUACAGAGCUCACCUAUGCAUAUCAGAUUUCUAAAACCCGUGAACACAUGAUCAUCAGAGAAUGGAAGAAAUGUAUGGACAUUCGCAAGGAGGUUCUUGGAAGUAACAUUCAGCGAAACGUAAGAAUGGGAGACAGGCUAAUCUCCAUUCUCCAUAAUGGAGAGUCAGGGGCUAUCUUGUUUUUUGUUAUUUUACCUUAGAAAAUGUAGUAGGUCUUAAUCGAAUGUAAUAGGUCCUAUGAGGUACAAUAUGUUUAUUAUGUGGUAAUGUGUUAGAGUUGAUAAUGAUGAUCUUGAGGAGGUGUUAUGUGAUGUCAAUGAUGAAAACGAUGAUAUUGAGGAGGUGUUAUAUGACAAUGAUGUAUUAUGAUGCUAAGUUGUUAAUGAUAUGAUGAUGAUGAUGAUAUUAUUAUAUCAUUGGGUGAAAGAACCGUGGAUUAGUUUCAAGUGGAUGGACAUCCACUUGAAACUAGUCCACGGUUCUUUCACCCCAUGAUGUAAUAACUCAUUAUGAUGUAAAAACAAUCUCUAAAUUCCUGUUGUAUGAAAACUUGUGUAAGGGUGUAUGAAUACAACAUGAAAAAGAAAAGAAAUAAAAUACUAAAUAAUAGUAGUAGCGCGGGUAAGGAGAAGCGCUACUACUAAUUACCAGUAGCGAUGUUCUAAAGAACCGCUGCUACUAAGUCAAUUUAGCAGUAGCGCGUGUCAAGACGCGCUAUUGCUAAGCAUUAGCUGUAGCGCCUUAUCAGUAGCGCUCCUGCCCGCGCUACUGAUAGGCCCAAAACCCGCGCUGCUGCUAGGCUUUUCCCUAGUAGUGCACCUUCGCAGGAACCCUCUUCCUGGGGGGCUCGCCGUCAACAUCACCAGGGUCAUCUCGUCUGAUCUUAUACCAUAAUGCACCGCAUACCAGGCAUGCGUUCAGAUCCUUAUAUGCACCGCGGUAGAGGAUGCAGUCAUUAGGGCAUGCAGGUAUCUUCUGCACCUCCAAUCCUAGAGGGCAUACGACCUUCUUUGCUGCGUAUGUACUGUCGGGCAAUUCGUUAUCCUUUGGAAGCUUCUUCUUCAAUAUUUUCAGUAGCUUCUCAAAUCCUUUGUCAGGCACAGCAUUCUCUUAAAGGAAAUAUGCCCUAGAGGCAAUAAUAAAGUUAUUAUUUAUUUCCUCAUAUCAUGAUAAAUGUUUAUUAUUCAUGCUAGAAUUGUAUUAACCGGAAACAUGAUACAUGUGUGAAUACAUAGACAAAACUAUAGUCACUAGUAUGCCUCUACUUGACUAGCUCAUUAAUCAAAGAUGGUUAUGUUUCCUGACCAUAGACAUGUGUUGUCAUUUGAUUAGUGGGAUCACAUCAUUAAGAGAAUGAUGUGAUUGACAUGACCCAUUCUGUUAGCCCAGCACUUGAUCGUUUAGUAUACUGCUAUUGCUUUCUUCAUGACUUAUACAAAGUUCCUGCAACUAUGAGAUUGUGCAACUCCCGUUUACCGGAAGAACACUUUGUGUGCUACCAAACAUCACAACGUAACUGGGUGAUUAUAAAGGUGCUCUACAGGUGUUUCCGAAGGUACAUGUUGGGUUGGCAUAAUUCGAGAUUAGGAUUUGUCACUCCGAUUGUCGGAGAGGUAUCUCUGGGCCCUCUCGGAAAUACUCAUCACAUAAGCCUUGCAAGCAUGUAACUAAUGAGUUAGUUAUGAGAUGACGUAUUACGAAACGAGUAAAGAGACUUGCCGGUAACGAGAUUGAACUAGGUAUUGGAUACCGACGAUCAAAUCUCGGGCAAGUAACAUACCGAUGACAAAGGGAACAAAGUAUGUUGUUAUGCGGUUUGACCGAUAAAGAUCUUCGUAGAAUAUGUAGGAACCAAUAUGGGCAUCCAGGUCCCGCUAUUGGUUAUUGACCGAGAAUGGUUUUAGGUCAUGACUACAUAGUUCUCAAACCCGUAGGGUCCGCACGCUUAACUUUUUGAUGAUAGUUUUAUUAUGAGUUUAUAAGUUUUGAUGUACCAAAGUUUGUUCGGAGUUCCGGAUGUGAUCACGGAUAUGAUGAGGAGUCUCGGAAUGCUUGAGCCAUAAAGAUUGAUAUAUUGGACGACUAUAUUCGGACACCGGAAAGGUUCCGGGAGUUUUCGGAGAAAACCGGAGUGCCCGGGGGGUUACCGAAACCCCCCGGGAGAGUUAAUGGGCCACAUGGGCCUAGGUGGGAAGAGAAAGGGGCGGCCAGGGUGAGCCGCGCGCCCCCUCUCCCUCUAGUCCGAAUUGGACUAGGAGGGGGGGCGGCGCCCCCUUUCCUUCCCCCCCUCUCUUCCUUCCUUCCCCCUCCUAGUAGGAGUAGGAAAGGAGGAAUCCUACUCCUACUAGGAGGAGGAUUCCUCCUCCCUUGCGCGCCCCAAGGGGCCGGCCGGCCUCCCCCUCCCUCCUUUAUAUACGGGGGCAGGGGGCACCCCAUAGACACACAAGUUGAUCUACGGAUCGUUCCUUAGCCGUGUGCGGUGCCCCCUUCCACCAUAUUCCACCUCGGUCAUAUCGUCGCGAAGCUUAGGCGAAGUCCUGCGCCGGUAGAACAUCAAGAUCGUCACCACGCCGUCGUGCUGACGGAACUCUCCCUCGACACUCGGCUGGAUCGGAGUUCGAGGGACGUCAUCGAGCUGAAUGUGUGCUGAACUCGGAGGCUCCGUACGUUCGGUUCUUGGAUCGGUCGGAUCGUGAAGACGUAUGACUACAUCAACCGCGUUGUCAUAACGCUUCCGCUUACGGUCUACGAGGGUACAUGGACAUACACUCUCCCCUCUCGUUGCUAUGUCAUCACCAUGAUCUUGCGUGUGCGUAGGAAAAUUUUGAAAUUACUACGUUCCCCGACAGUGGUAUCAGAGCCUAGGUUUUAUGCGUUGAUGUUAUAUGCACGAGUAGAACACAAGUGAGUUGUGGACGAUAUAAGUCAUACUGCCUACCAGUGUGUCAUACUUUGGUUCAGCGGUAUUGUGAGAUGAAGCGGCCCGGACCGACAUUACGGGUACGCUUACGCGAGACUAGUUUCACCGUUAUGAGCACUCGUGCUUAAAGGUGGCUGGCGGGUGUCUGUCUCUCUCACUUUAGUUGAACCGAGUGUGGCUACGCCCGGCCCUUGUGAAGGUUAAAACGGAGUCUAUUUGACAAACUAUCGUUGUGGUUUUGAUGCGUAGGUAAGAACGGUUCUUGCUAAGCCCGUAGCAUCCACGUAAAAUUUGCAACAACAAAGUAGAGGACGUCUAACUUGUUUUUGCAGGGCAUGUUGUGAUAUGAUAUGGUCAAGACGUGAUGCUAUAUUUUAUUGUAUGAGAUGAUCAUGUUUUGUAACCGAAGUUAUCGGCAACUGGCUGGAGCCAUAUGGUUGUCGCUUUAUUGUAUGAAAUGCAAACGCCCUGUAAUUGCUUUACUUUAUCUCUAAGCGGUAGCGAUAGUCGUAGAAGCAAUAGAUGGCGUAAACGACAACGAUGCUACGAUGGAGAUCAAGGUGUCGCGCCGGUGACGAUGGUGAUCAUGACGGUGCUUCGAAGAUGGAGAUCACAAGCACAAGAUGAUGAUGGCCAUAUCAUAUCACUUAUAUUGAUUGCAUGUGAUGUUUAUCCUUUAUGCAUCUUAUCUUGCUUUGAUUGACGGUAGCAUUUUAAGAUGAUCUCUCACUAAAAUUAUCAAGUAGUGUUCUCCCUGAGUAUGCACCGUUGCCAAAGUUCAUCGUGCCGAGACACCACGUGAUGAUCGGGUGUGAUAAGCUCUACGUCCAUCUACAACGGGUGCAAGCCAGUUUUGCACACGCAGAAUACUCAGGUUAAACUUGACGAGCCUAGCAUAUGCAGAUAUGGCCUCGGAACACAGAGACCGAAAGGUCGAGCGUGAAUCAUAUAGUAGAUAUGAUCAACAUAAUGAUGUUCACCAUUGAAAACUACUCCAUCUCACGUGAUGAUCGGUUAUGGUUUAGUUGAUUUGGAUCACGUGAUCACUUAGAUGACUAGAGAGAUGUCUGUCUAUGUGGGAGUUCUUAAGUAAUAUGAUUAAUUGAACUUAAAUUUAUCAUGAACUUAGUACCUGAUAGUAUCUUGCUUGUCUAUGUUUGUUUGUAGAUAGAUGGCUCGUGCUGUUGUUCCGUUGAAUUUUAAUGCGUUCCUUGAGAAAGCAAAGUUGAAAGAUGAUGGUAGCAAUUACACGGACUGGGUCCGUAACCUGAGGAUUAUCCUCAUUGUUGCACAGAAGAGUUACGUCCUGGAAGCACCGCUGGGUGCCAGGCCUGCUGCUGAUGCAACUGACGACGUUAAGAACGUCUGGCAGAGCAAAGCUGAUGACUACUCUAUAGUUCAGUGUGCCAUGCUUUACGGCUUAGAACCGGGUCUUCAACGACGUUUUGAACGUCAUGGAGCAUAUGAGAUGUUCCAGGAGUUGAAGUUAAUAUUUCAAGCAAAUGCCCGGAUUGAGAGAUAUGAAGUCUCCAAUAAGUUCUAUAGCUGCAAGAUGGAGGAGAAUAGUUCUGUCAGUGAACAUAUACUCAGAAUGUCUGGGUAUAACAAUCACUUGAUUCAACUGGGAGUUAAUCUUCCUGAUGAUAGUGUCAUUGACAGAAUUCUUCAAUCACUGCCACCAAGCUACAAGAGCUUUGUGAUGAACUAUAAUAUGCAAGGGAUGAACAAGACUAUUCCCGAGCUCUUCGCGAUGCUGAAAGCCGCAGAGGUAGAAAUCAAGAAGGAGCAUCAAGUGUUGAUGGUCAACAAGACCACUAGUUUCAAGAAGAAGGGCAAAGGAAAGAAGAAGGGGAACUUCAAAAAGAACGGCAAGCAAGUUGCUGCUCAAGAGAAGAAACCCAAGUCUGGACCUAAGCCUGAAACUGAGUGCUUCUACUGCAAGCAGACUGGUCACUGGAAGCGGAACUGCCCCAAGUAUUUGGCGGAUAAGAAGGAUGGCAAAGUAAACAAAGGUAUAUGUGAUAUACAUGUUAUUGAUGUGUACCUAACUAGAGCUCGUAGUAGCACCUGGGUAUUUGAUACUGGUUCUGUUGCUAAUAUUUGCAACUCGAAACAGGGACUACGGAAUAAGCGAGCACUGGCCAAGGACGAGGUGACGAUGCGCGUGGAAAACGGUUCCAAAGUCGAUGUGAUCGCGGUCGGCACGCUACCUCUACAUCUACCAUCGGGAUUAGUUUUAGACCUAAAUAAUUGUUAUUUGGUGCCAGCGUUGAGCAUGAACAUUAUAUCUGGAUCUUGUUUGAUGCAAGACGGUUAUUCAUUUAAAUCAGAGAAUAAUGGUUGUUCUAUUUAUAUGAGUAAUAUCUUUUAUGGUCAUGCACCCUUGAAGAGUGGUCUAUUUUUAUUGAAUCUCGAUAGUAGUGAUACACAUAUUCAUAUUGUAGAAGCCAAAAGAUGCAGAGUUGAUAAUGAUAGUGCAACUUAUUUGUGGCACUGCCGUUUGGGUCAUAUCGGUGUACAACGCAUGAAGAAACUCCAUACUGAUGGACUUCUGGAAUCACUUGAUUAUGAAUCACUUGGUACUUGCGAACCGUGCCUUAUGGGCAAGAUGACUAAAACACCGUUCUCCGGAACUAUGGAGAGAGCAACAGAUUUGUUGGAAAUCAUACAUACAGAUGUAUGUGGUCCGAUGAAUGUUGAGGCUCGUGGCGGAUAUCAUUAUUUUCUCACCUUCACUGAUGAUUUAAGCAGAUAUGGGUAUAUCUACUUAAUGAAGUACAAGUCUGAAACAUUUGAAAAGUUCAAAGAAUUUCAGAGUGAAGUAGAAAAUCAUCGUAACAAGAAAAUAAAGUUUCUACGAUCUGACCGUGGAGGAGAAUAUUUGAGUUACGAGUUUGGUUUACAUUUGAAACAAUGCGGAAUAGUUUCGCAACUCACGCCACCUGGAACACCACAACGAAAUGGUGUGUCCAAACGUCGUACUCGUACUUUACUUGAUAUGGUGCGAUCUAUGAUGUCUCUUACCGAUUUACCGCUAUCGUUUUGGGGUUAUGCUUUAGAGACGGCCGCAUUCACGUUAAAUAGGGCACCAUCAAAAUCCGUUGAGAUGACGCCUUAUGAACUGUGGUUUGGCAAGAAACCAAAGUUGUCGUUUCUUAAAGUUUGGGGCUGCGGUACUUAUGUGAAGAAACUUCAACCAGAUAAGCUCGAACCCAAAUCGGAGAAAUGUGUCUUCGUAGGAUACCCAAAGGAGACUAUUGGGUACACCUUCUAUCACAGAUCUGAAGGCAAGAUUUUCGUUGCUAAAUUCGGAUCCUUUCUAGAGAAGGAAUUUCUCUCGAAAGAAGUGAGUGGGAGGAAAGUAGAACUUGAUGAGAUAACUGUAUCUACUCCCUUAUUGGAAGGUAGUUCAUCACGAGAACUGGUUCCCAUGACAACUACACCAAUUAUUGAGGAAGCUAAUAAUAUUGAUCAUGAAACUUCAGAUCAAGUUUCUGCUGAACCUCGUAGGUCUACCAGAGUAAGAUCCGCACCAGAGUGGUACGGUAAUCCUAUUCUGGAAGUCAUGUUACUUGACCAUGAUGAACCUACGAACUAUGAGGAACCGAUGAUGAGCCCAGAUUCCGCAAAAUGGCUAGAGGCCAUGAAAUCUGAGAUGGGAUCCAUGGAUGAAAACAAAGUAUGGACUUUGGUUGACUUGCCCGAUGAUCGGCAAGCCAUUGAGAAUAAAUGGAUCUUUAAGAAGAAGACUGACGCUGAUGGUAAUGUUACUGUCUAUAAAGCUCGACUUGUUGCGAAAGGUUUUCGACAAGUUCAAGGGGUUGACUAUGAUGAGACUUUCUCACCCGUAGCGAUGCUUAAGUCUGUCCGAAUCAUGUUGGCUAUUGCUGCAUUUCAUGAUUAUGAAAUUUGGCAAAUGGAUGUCAAAACUGCAUUCUUGAAUGGAUUUCUAGAAGAAGAGUUGUAUAUGAUGCAGCCGGAAGGUUUUGUUGAUCCAAAAGGUGCUGACAAAGUGUGUAAGCUCCAAUGUUCCAUUUAUGGACUGGUGCAAGCAUCUCGGAGUUGGAAUAAACGUUUUGACAGUGUGAUCAAGGCAUAUGGUUUUAUACAGACUUUUGGAGAAGCCUGUAUUUACAAGAAAGUGAGUGGGAGCUCUGUAGCAUUUCUAGUUUUAUAUGUUGAUGACAUAUUAUUAAUUGGAAAUGAUAUAGAAUUUCUGGAGAGCAUAAAGGGAUACUUGAAUAAAAGUUUUUCAAUGAAAGACCUCGGUGAAGCUGCUUACAUAUUGGGCAUCAAGAUCUAUAGAGAUAGAUCAAGACGCUUAAUAGGACUUUCACAAAGCACAUACCUUGACAAAAUUUUGAAAAAGUUCAAAAUGGAUCAGGCAAAGAAAGGAUUCUUGCCUGUGCUACAAGGUGUGAAGUUGAGUCAAACUCAAUGCCCGACCACAUCAGAAGAUAGAGAGAAAAUGAAAAAUGUUCCCUAUGCUUCAGCCAUAGGCUCUAUCAUGUAUGCAAUGCUGUGUACCAGACUUGACGUAUGCUUAGCAAUAAGCUUGGCAGGAAGGUACCAAAGUAAUCCAGGAGUGGAUCACUGGACAGCGGUCAAGAACAUCCUUAAAUACCUGAAAAGGACUAAGGAUAUAUUUCUCGUAUAUGUAGGUGACAAAGAGCUCGUCGUAAAUGGUUACGUCGAUGCAAGCUUUGACACUGAUCCAGACGAUUCUAAAUCGCAAACCGGAUACGUGUUUAUAUUAAACGGUGGAGCUGUAAGUUGGUGCAGUUCUAAACAAAGCGUCGUGGCGGGAUCUACAUGUGAAGCGGAGUACAUAGCUGCUUCUGAAGCAGCAAAUGAAGGAGUCUGGAUGAAGGAGUUCAUUUCCGAUCUAGGUGUCAUACCUAGUGCAUCGGGACCAAUGAAGAUCUUCUGUGACAAUACAGGUGCAAUUGCUUUGGCAAAGGAAUCCAGAUUUCACAAGAGGACCAAGCACAUCACGAGACGCUUAAAUUCCAUUCGGGACCAAGUCCAAGUGGGAGACAUACAGAUUUGCAAGAUACAUACGGAUCUGAAUAUUGCAGACCCGUUGACUAAGCAUCUCUCACGAGCAAAACAUGAUCAGCACCAAGACUCCAUGGGUGUUAGAAUCAUUAUUGUGUAAUCUAGAUUAUUGACUCUAGUGCAAGUGGGAGACUAAAGGAAAUAUGCCCUAGAGGCAAUAAUAAAGUUAUUAUUUAUUUCCUCAUAUCAUGAUAAAUGUUUAUUAUUCAUGCUAGAAUUGUAUUAACCGGAAACAUGAUACAUGUGUGAAUACAUAGACAAAACUAUAGUCACUAGUAUGCCUCUACUUGACUAGCUCAUUAAUCAAAGAUGGUUAUGUUUCCUGACCAUAGACAUGUGUUGUCAUUUGAUUAGUGGGAUCACAUCAUUAAGAGAAUGAUGUGAUUGACAUGACCCAUUCUGUUAGCCUAGCACUUGAUCGUUUAGUAUACUGCUAUUGCUUUCUUCAUGACUUAUACAAAGUUCCUGCAACUAUGAGAUUGUGCAACUCCCGUUUACCAAAAGAACACUUUGUGUGCUACCAAACGUCACAACGUAACUGGGUGAUUAUAAAGGUUCUCUACAGGUGUUUCCGAAGGUACAUGUUGGGUUGGCAUAAUUCGAGAUUAGGAUUUGUCACUCCGAUUGUCGGAGAGGUAUCUUUGGGCCCUCUCGGUAAUACUCAUCACAUAAGCCUUGCAAGCAUGUAACUAAUGAGUUAGUUAUGAGAUGACGUAUUACGGAACGAGUAAAGAGACUUGCCGGUAACGAGAUUGAACUAGGUAUUGGAUACCAACGAUCAAAUCUCGGGCAAGUAACAUACCGAUGACAAAGGGAACAAAGUAUGUUGUUAUGCGGUUUGACCGAUAAAGAUCUUCAUAGAAUAUGUAGGAACCAAUAUGGGCAUCCAGGUCCCGCUAUUGGUUAUUGACCGAGAAUGGUUUUAGGUCAUGACUACAUAGUUCUCGAACCCGUAGGGUCCGCACGCUUAACGUUUCGAUGAUAGUUUUAUUAUGAGUUUAUAAGUUUUGAUGUACCGAAGUUUGUUCGGAGUCCCAGAUGUGAUCACAGACAUGACGAGGAGUCUUGGAAUGGUCGAGACAUAAAGAUUGAUAUAUUGGACGACUAUAUUCGGACACCGGAAAGGUUCCGGGAGUUUUCGGAGAAAACCGGAGUGCCGGGGGGGUUACCGGAACCCCCCGGGAGAGUUAAUGGGCCACAUGGGCCUAGGUGGGAAGAGAGAGGUGCGGCCAGGGUGGGCCGCGCGCCCCCUCUCCCUCUAGUUCGAAUUGGACUAGGAGGGGGGGCGGCGCCCCCCUUUCCUUCCCCCCCUCUCUUCCUUCCUUCCCCCUCCUAGUAGGAGUAGGAAAGGAGGAAUCCUACUCCUACUAGGAGGAGGAUUCCUCCUCCCUUGGAGCGCCCCAAGGGGCUGGCCGGCCUCCCCCUCCCUCCUUUAUAUACGAGGGCAGGGGGCACCCCAUAGACACACAAGUUGAACUACGGAUCGUUCCUUAGCCGUGUGCGGUGCCCCCUUCCACCAUAUUCCACCUCGGUCAUAUUGUCGCGAAGCUUAGGCGAAGCCCUGCGCCGGUAGAACAUCAAGAUCGUCACCACGCCGUCGUGCUGACGGAACUCUCCCUCGACACUCGGCUGGAUCGGAGUUCGAGGGACGUCAUCGAGCUGAACAUCUGCUGAACUCGGAGGCUCCGUACGUUAGGUGCUUGGAUCGGUCGGAUCGUGAAGACGUACGACUACAUCAACCGCGUUGUCAUAACGCUUCCGCUUACGGUCUACGAGGGUACGUGGACAUACACUCUCCCCUCUCGUUGCUAUUUCAUCACCAUGAUCUUGCUUGUGCGUAGGAAAAUUUUGAAAUUACUACGUUCCCCAACAUCUCUGCCUUCCACUGCAGCAAUUCCAGUACGGUACCGAGCUUUGUGUUGCCAUCUUCGCAAUUGGGGUACAACCCUUUUUUUUGGUCCUCUAGCAUGCGAUCGAACUUCAGCUUCUCCUUUUGACUUUUGCAUUGCGUCCUUGCAUCGACAAUGACCCGGCGGAGAUCAUCAUCAUCGGGCACAUCGUCUGGUUCCUCUUGAUCUUCAGCAGCUUCGCCUGUUGCAGCAUCAUCGUGCACAUCGUCUGGUUCCUCUUGAUCUUCAGGAGCAUCACCGUAUUCAGGGGCACAUAGUUGUCAUCGUACUCUUCUUCACCGUCUUCCAUCAUAACCCCUAUUUCUCCGUGCCUCAUCCAAACAUUAUAGUGUGGCAUGAAACCCUUGUAAAGCAGGUGGGUGUGGAGGAUUUUCCGGUCAGAGUAAGACUUCGUAUUCCCACAUAUAGGACAUGGACAACACAUAAAACCAUUCUGCUUGUUUGCCUCAGCCACUUCGAGAAAAUCAUGCACGCGCUUAAUGUACUCGGAGGUGUGUCUUGAACCGUACAUCCAUUGCCGGUUCAUCUGCGUGCAUUAUAUAAUGAAGUGACCAAAUUAAUAGAAGUUCAUCAUCACAUUAAAACCAAAGUACAUACAUAGUUCUCAUCUAACAACAUAAAGCUCUGCAGAGCAUCUAAAUUAAUUAAACCAUACACUGAAACUAUGUAAAACAUUUCAAUGCGAAAACAAAUGCAACCAUAAUCGCAACCAAUGUAACAACUGAUCCAACGGCAUAAUGAUACCAAGCCUCAGUAUGAAUGGCAUAUUUUCUAAUCUUUCUAAUCUUCAAGCGCAUUGCAUCCAUCUUGAUCUUGUGAUCAUCGACGACAUCCCCAACAUGCAACUCCAAUAUCAUCUUCUCCUCCUCAAUUUUUCUAAUUUUUUCCUUCAAGAAAUUGUUUUCUUCUUCAACUGAAUUUAACCUCUCGACAAUAGGGUCGGUUGGAAUUUCCGGUUCAACAACCUCCUAGAUAAAUAAAAUCUAUGUCACGUUGGUCGGCAUAAUUGUCAUAAACAAUAAAUGAACCAAUAGUUAUGAAAAGAUAAUAUAUACCACAUCCGAAUCAUAGACAGGACGAGGGCCGACGGGGGCGGAUACCAAAACCAUCGCACUAUAUAAGAUGCAAUAAUAAAAGUAAGAAAAUAAUACAAGUAUCUAUCUAAACAUACAAGUAAGAAUAUUUUUCCUUUCAGAAAGAAGAUAAGAACAAGAGGCUCACCACGGUGGUGCCGGCGAUGAGAUCGGCGCGGGUGAUCGACGACGAUGAAGACAAGGACGGGGCGUGACGGACCGCUAAACCUAGACAAAUAUUGAGGAAAAUGGAGCUUGGCGGUCGAGCUUGGAGGGGAGAAAGCUUAAGUAGUGUGGCUCGGGCAUUCCAUCGAACACCUCGUGUGCAUAGGAGGUGAGCUAGAGCACCACAAAGCUCUCCCCUCGCCGGCCACGAAAAACAGAGCACUGGGAGUGCUCUGCUCGCGAGCGGGGGGUAUAUAUAGGCACCACCAUUGGUCCCGGUUGGUCGCACGAACCGGGACUAAAGGUUGGCCUUUGGUCCCGGUUCGUGCCACCAACUGGGACCAAUGGUGGUGGGCCAGGAGCGAGGCCCAUUGGUCCCGGUUCGUCCCUCCAACCGGGACCAAAAGGUCCAGACAAACCGGGACCAAUGGCCCACGUGUUGGGUUUCGUAGUAAUUUCAAAAAAUUUCCUACGCACACGCAAGAUCAUGUGAUGCAUAGCAACGAGGGGAGAGUGUUGUCUACGUACCCAACGCAGACCGACUGCGGAAGCGAUGACACGACGUAGAGGAAGUAGUCGUACGUCUUCACGAUCCAACCGAUCAAGCACCGAAACUACGGCACCUCCGAGUUCGAGCACACGUUCAGCUCGAUGACGAUCCCCGGACUCCGAUCCAGCAAAGUGUCGGGGAAGAGUUCCGUCAGCACGACGGCGUGGUGACGAUCUUGAUGAACUACAGCAGCAGGGCUUCGCCUAAACUCCGCUACAGUAUUAUCGAGGUAUAUGGUGGCAGGGGCACCGCACACGGCUAAGGAAUAGAUCACGUGGAUCAACUUGUGUGUAUAGAGGUGCCCCCUGCCUCCGUAUAUAAAGGAGGAGAGGAGGGGAGGCUGGCCGGCCAAGGAGGGGAGGCGCAGGAGAGUCCUACUCCCUCUGGGAGUAGGAUUCCCCCCAAUCCUAGUCCAACUAGGAUUCCUCGGAGGGGAAGGGAGAGAGGGGGGCCGGCCACCUUCUCCUAGUCCUAAUAGGACUAGGGGAGGGGGAAGUGGCGCAGCCACCUUGGGCUGCCCCUUUCUCCUUUCCACUAAGGCCCAUGAAGGCCCAUAUGGCUCCCGGGGGGUUCCGGUAAUCCUCCCGGUACUCCGGUAAAAUCCCGAUUUCACCCGGAACACUUCCGAUGUCCAAACAUAGGCUUCCAAUAUAUCAAUCUUUAUGUCUCGACCGUUUCGAGACUCCUCGUCAUGUCCAUGAUCACAUCCGGGACUCCAAACAACCUUCGGUACAUCAAAAUGCAUAAACUCAUAAUGUAACUGUCAUCGUAACCUUAAGCGUGCGGACCCUACGGGUUCGAGAACAAUGUAGACAUGACCGAGACACGUCUCCGGUCAAUAACCAAUAGCGGGACCUGGAUGCCCAUAUUGGCUCCUACAUAUUCUACGAAGAUCUUUAUCGGUCAGACCGCAUAACAACAUACGUUGUUCCCUUUGUCAUCGGUACGUUACUUGCCCGAGAUUCGAUCGUCGGUAUCCAAUACCUAGUUCAAUCUCGUCACCGGCAAGUCUCUUUACUCGUUCUAUAAUGCAUCAUCCCGUAACCAACUCAUUGGUCACAUUGCUUGCAAGGCUUAUAAUGAUGUGCAUUACCGAGAGGGCCCAGAGAUACCUCUCCGACAAUCGGAGUGACAAAACCUAAUCUCGAAAUACGCCAACUCAACAUGUACCUUCGGAGACACCUGUAGUACUCCUUUAUAAUCACCCAGUUAAGUUGUGACGUUUGGUAGUACCCAAAGUGUUCCUCCGGUAAACGGGAGUUGCAUAAUCUCAUAGUUACAGGAACAUGUAUAAGUCAUGAAGAAAGCAAUAGCAACAUACUAAACGAUCAAGUGCUAAGCUAACGGAAUGGGUGAAGUCAAUCACAUCAUUCUCCUAAUGAUGUGACCCCGUUAAUCAAAUGACAACUCUUUUGUCCAUGGCUAGGAAACAUAACCAUCUUUGAUAAACGAGCUAGUCAAGUAGAGGCAUACUAGUGACACUAUGUUUGUCUAUGUAUUCACACAUGUAUUAUGUUUCUGGUUAAUACAAUUCUAGCAUGAAUAAUAAACAUUUAUCAUGAAAUAAGGAAAUAAAUAAUAACUUUAUUAUUGCCUCUAGGGCAUAUUUCCUUCAGUCUCCCACUUGCACUAGAGUCAAUAAUCUAGUUCACAUCGUCAUGUGAUUUAACAACAAUAUUCAUAUCUGUAUAUGAUUAACACCCAUAGUUCACAUUAUCAUGUGACCAACACCCAAAGGGUUUACUAGAGUAAAUAAUCUAGUUCACAUCUCUAUGUGAUUAACACCCAAAGAGUACUAAGGUGUGAUCAUGUUUUGCUCGUGAAAGAAGCUUAGUCAAUGGGUCUGUCACAUUCAGAGCCGUAUGCAUUUUGCAAAUAUUUUAUGUCUACAAUGCUCUGCACGGUGCUACUCUAGCAAUUGCUCCCACUUUCAAUAUGUAUCCAGAUUGAGACUUAGAGUCAUCUGGAUCGGUGUGAAAACUUGCACCGAGGUAACUUUUACGACGGGCUCUUUUAUCACCUCCAUAAUCGAGAAAUAUUUCCUUAGUCCUCACUAAGGAUAUUCUUGACCAAUGUCGAGUGAUCUACUCCUAGAUCACUAUUGUACUCCCUUGUCAAAUACUGAGCAAGGUAUACAAUAGUUCUGGUACAUAGCAUAGCAUACUUUAUAGAACCUAUGACUGAGGCAUAGGGAAUGACUUUUCAUUUUUUCUAUUUUCUGUUGUGGUCGGGAUUUGAGUCUUACUCAAUUUCAUACCUUUGCAACACAGGCAAGAACUCUUUCUUUGACUGUUCCAUUUUGAACUAUUUCAAAAUCUUGCCAAGGUAUGUACUCAUUGAAAAUCUUAUCAAGCGUCUUGAUCUAUCUCAAUAUAUCUUGAUGCUCAAUAUGUAAGUAGCUUUUACUGAGGUCUUUUCCUUUUAAAGAACUCCUUUAAAACACUCCUUUAUGCUUUGCAGAAAAAUUCUACAUCAUUUCUGAUCAACAAUAUGUCACUCGUAUAUACUAAUCAGAAAGGCUAUAGUGCUCCCACUCACUUUAUUGUAAAUACAGGCUUCUCAAAAAGUCUGUAUAAAACCAUAUGCUUUGAUCAACUCAUCAAAGCGUAUAUUCCAACUCCGAGAGGCUUGCACCAGUCCAUAGAUGGAUCGCUGGAGCUUGCACAUUUUUUUAGCACCUUUAGGAUUGACAAAACCUUCUGGUUGCAUCAUAUACAACUCUUCUUUAAUAAAUCCAUUAAGGAAUGCAGUUUUGAUAUCCAUUUGCCAGAUUUCAUAAAAUGUGGCAAUUGCUAACAUGAUUCAGACAGACUUAAGAAUCGAUACGAGUGAGAAAAUCUCAUCGUAUUCAACACCUUGAACUUGUUGAAAACCUUUCGCAACAAGUCGAGCUUGGUAGAUAGUAACACUACUAUCAGUGUCCGUCUUCCUCUUGAAGAUCCAUUCAUUUAACAUGGCUUGCUGAUCAUCGAGCAAGUCAAUCAAAGUCCAUACUUUGUUCUCAUACAUGGAUCAUAUCUCAGAUUUUAUGGCCUCGAGCCAUUUCGCGGAAUCUGGGCUCAUCAUCGCUUCUUCAUAGUUCGUAGGUUCAUCAUGAUCUAGUAUCAUGACUUCCAGAAUAGGAUUACCGUACCAUUCUGGUGCGGAUCUUACUCUGGUUGAUCUACGAGGUUCAUCAGUAUCUUGAUCUGAAGUUUCAUGAUCAUUAUCAUUGGCUUCCUCACUAACUGGUGUAGGUGUCACUGAAACAGUUUUCUGUGAUGAACUACUUUCCAGUAAGGGAGCAGGUACAGUUACCUCGUCAAGUUCUACUUUCCUCCCACUCACUUCUUUCGAGAGAAACUCCUUCUCUAGAAAGGAUCCAUUCUUAGCAACGAAUGUCUUGCCUUCGGAUCUGUGAUAGAAGGUGUACCCAAUAGUCUCCUUUGGGUAUCCUAUGAAGACACAUUUCUCCGAUUUGGGUUCGAGCUUAUCAGGUUGAAGCUUUUUCACAUAAGCAUCGCAGCCCCAAACUUUAAGAAACGACAACUUUGGUUUCUUGCCAAACCACAGUUCAUAAGGCGUCGUCUCAACGGAUUUUGAUGGUGCCCUAUUUAACGUGAAUGCGGCCGUCUCUAAAGCAUAUCCCCAAAAUGAUAGCGGUAAAUCAGUAAGAGACAUCAUAGAUCGCACCAUAUCUAGUAAAGUACGAUUACGAUGUUCGGACACACCAUUACGCUGUGGUGUUCCGGGUGGCGUGAGUUGCGAAACUAUUCCACAGUUUUUCAAAUGUACACCAAACUCGUAACUCAAAUAUUCUCCUCCACGAUCAGAUCGUAGAAACUUUAUUUUCUUGUUACGAUGAUUUUCAACUUCACUCUGAAAUUCUUUGAAAUUUUCAAAUGUUUCAGACUUAUGUUUCAUUAAGUAGAUAUACCCAUAUCUGCUUAAAUCAUCUGUGAAGGUGAGAAAAUAACGAUAUCCGCCACGAGCCUCAGUAUUCAUCGGGCCACAUACAUCGGUAUGUAUGAUUUCCAACAAAUCUGUUGCUCUCUCCAUAGUACCGGAGAACGGUGUUUUAGUCAUCUUGCCCAUGAGGCACGGUUCGCAAGUACCAAGUGAUUCAUAAUCAAGUGGUUCCAAAAGUCCAUCAGUAUGGAGUUUCUUCAUGCGCUUUAUACCGAUAUGACCUAAACGACAGUGCCACAAAUAAGUUGCACUUUCAUUAUCAACUCUGCAUCUUUUGGCUUCAACAUUAUGAAUAUGUGUAUUACUACUAUCGAGAUCCAACAAACCAUUUUCAUUGGGUGUAUGACCAUAGAAGGUUUUAUUCAUGUAAACAGAACAACAAUUAUUCUCUAACUUACAUGAAUAACCGUAUUGCAAUAAACAUGAUCAAAUCAUAUUCAUGCUCAACGCAAACACCAAAUAACACUUAUUUAGGUUUAACACUAAUCCCAAAAGUAUAGGGAGUGUGCGAUGAUGAUCAUAUCAAUCUUGGAACUAUUUCCAACACACAUCGUCACUUCACCCUUUAACUAGUCUCUGUUUAUUCUGCAACUCCCGUUUCGAGUUACUAAUCUUAGCAACUGAACUAAUAUCAAAUACUGAGGGGUUGCUAUAAACACUAGUAACGUACACAUCAAUAACAUGUAUAUCAAAUAUACUUAUGUUCACUUUGCCAUCCUUCUUAUCCGCCAAUCACUUGGGGUAGUACCUCUUCCAGUGACCAGUCUCUUUGAAGUAGAAGCACUUAGUCUCAGGCUUAGGACCAGACUUGGGUUUCUUCACUUGAGCAGCAACUUGCUUGCCGUUCUUCUUGAAGUUCCCUUUCUUUCCCUUUGCCCUUUUCUUGAAACUAGUGAUCUUGUUAACCAUCAACACUUGAUGCUCUUUCUUGAUUUCUACCUUCGUUGAUUUCAGCAUCAUGAAGAGCUUGGGAAUCGUUUUCGUCAUCCCUUGCAUACUAUAGUUCAUCACGAAGUUCUAGUAACUUAGUGAUGGUGACUAGAGAAUUCUGUCAAUCACUAUCUUACCUGGAAGAUUAACUCCCACUUGAUUCAAGCGAUUGAAAUACCCAGACAAUCUGAGCACAUGCUCACUAGUUGAGCGAUUCUCCUCCAUCUUUUAGCUAUAGAACUUGUUGGAGACUUCAUAUCUCUCAACUCGGGUAUUUGCUUGAAAUAUUAACUUCAAUUCCUGGAACAUCUCAUAUGGUCCAUGACGUUCAAAACGUCUUUGAAGUCCCGAUUCUAAGCCGUUAAGCAUGGUGCACUAAACUAUCAAGUAGUCAUCAUCUUGAGCUAGCCAGACGUUCAUAACUUCUGCAUCUGCUCCUGCAAUAGGUCUGUCACCUAGCGGUGCAUUAAGGACAUAAUUCUUCUGUGCAGCACUGAGGAUAAACCUCAGAUCACGGAUCGAAUCCGCAUCAUUGCUACUAACAUUUUUCAACACAAUAUUCUCUAGGAACAUAUCAAAAUAAACAUAUGAAAGCAACAACGCGAGCUAUUGAUCUACAACAUAAUUUGCAAAAUACUACUAGGACUAAGUUCAUGAUAAAUUAAAGUUCAAUUAAUCAUAUUACUUAAGAACUCCCACUUAGAUAGACAUCCCUCUAAUCCUCUAAGUGAUCACGUGAUCCAAAUCAACUAAACCAUGUCCGAUCAUCACGUGAGAUGGAGUAGUUUCAAUGGUGAACAUCACUAUGUUGAUCAUAUCUACUAUAUGAUUCACGCUCGACCUUUCGGUCUCUGUGUUCCGAGGCCAUAUCUGUAUAUGCUAGGCUCGUCAAGUAUAACCUGAGUAUUCCGCGCGUGCAACUGUUUUGCACCCGUUGUAUUUGAACGUAGAGCCUAUCACACCCGAUCAUCACGUGGUGUCUCAGCACGACGAACUUUGGCAACGGUGCAUACUCAGGGAGAACACUUCUUGAUAAUUUAGUGAGAGAUCAUCUUAUAAUGCUACCAUCAAUAAAAGCAAGAUAAGAUGCAUAAAAAGAUAAACAUCACAUGCAAUCAAUAUAAGUGAUAUGAUAUGGCCAUCAUCAUCGUGUGCUUGUGAUCUCCAUCUCCGAAGCACCGUCAUGAUCACCAUCGUCACCGGCGCGACACCUUGAUCUCCAUCGUAGCAUCGUUGUCGUCUCGCCAAUCUUAUGCUUCCACGACUAUCACUACUGUUUAGUAAUAAAGUAAAGCAUUACAUCGCGAUUGCAUUGCAUACAAUAAAGCGACAACCAUAUGGCUCCUGCCAGUUGCCGAUAACUCGGUUACAAAACAUGAUCAUCUCAUACAAUAAAAUUCAGCAUCAUGCCUUGACCAUAUCACAUCACAACAUGCCCUGCAAAAACAAGUUAGACGUCCUCUACUUUGUUGUUGCAUGUUUUACGUGGCUGCUACGGGCUUAAGUAAGAACCAAUCUCACCUACGCAUCAAAACCACAACGAUAGUUUGUCAAAUAGACUCCGUUUUAACCUUCUCAAGGACCGGGCGUAGCCAUACUCGGUUCAACUAAAGUUGGAGAGACAGUCGCCCGCAAGCCAUCCAUGUGCAAAGCACGUCGAGGGAACCGGUCUCGCGUAAGCGUACGCGUAAGGUUGGUCCAGGUCGUCUCGUCCAACAAUACCGCCGAACCAAAGUAUGACAUGCUGGUAGGCAGUAUGACUUGUAUCGUCCACAACUCACUUGUGUUCUACUCGUGCAUAUAACAUCAACAUAAAUAACCUAGGCUCGGAUGCCACUGUUGGGUUUCGUAGUAAUUUCAAAAAAUUUCCUACGCACACGCAAGAUCAUGUGAAGCAUAGCAACGAGGGGAGAGUGUUGUCUACGUACCCAACGCAGACCAACUGCGGAAGCGAUGACACGACGUAGAGGAAGUAGUCGUACGUCUUCACGAUCCAACCGAUCAAGCACCGAAACUACGGCACCUCCGAGUUCGAGCACACGUUCAGCUCGAUGACGAUCCCCGGACUCCGAUCCAGCAAAGUGUCGGGGAAGAGUUCCGUCAGCACGACGGCGUGGUGACGAUCUUGAUGAACUACAGCAGCAGGGCUUCGCCUAAACUCCACUACAGUAUUAUCGAGGUAUAUGGUGGCAGGGGGCACCGCACACGACUAAGGAAUAGAUCACGUGGAUCAACUUGUGUGUAUAGAGGUGCCCCCUGCCUCCGUAUAUAAAGGAGGAGAGGAGGGGAGGCUGGCCGGCCAAGGAGGGGAGGCGCAGGAGAGUCCUACUCCCUCUAGGAGUAGGAUUCCCCCCAAUCCUAGUCCAACUAGGAUUCCUCGGAGGGGAAGGGAGAGAGGGGGGCCCGCAGCCACCUUGGGCUGCCCCUUUCUCCUUUCCACUAAGGCCCAUGAAGGCCCAUAUGGCUCCCGGGGGGUUCCGGUAACCCUCCCGGUACUCCGGUAAAAUCCCGAUUUCACCCGGAACACUUCCGAUGUCCAAACAUAGGCUUCCAAUAUAUCAAUCUUUACGUCUUGACCAUUUUGAGACUCCUCGUCAUGUCCGUGAUCACAUCCGGGACUCCGAACAACCUUCGGUACAUCAAAAUGCAUAAACUCAUAAUGUAACUGUCAUCGUAACCUUAAGCGUGCGGACCCUACGGGUUCGAGAACAAUGUAGACAUGACCGAGACACGUCUCCGGUCAAUAACCAAUAGCGGGACCUGGAUGCCCAUAUUGGCUCCUACAUAUUCUACGAAGAUCUUUAUCGGUCAGACCGCAUAACAACAUACGUUGUUCCCUUUGUCAUCGGUAUGUUACUUGCCCGAGAUUCGAUCGUCGGUAUCCAAUACCUAGUUCAAUCUCGUCACCGGCAAGUCUCUUUACUCGUUCUAUAAUGCAUCAUCCCGUAACCAACUCAUUGGUCACAUUGCUUGCAAGGCUUAUAAUGAUGUGCAUUACCGAGAGGGCCCAGAGAUACCUCUCCGACAAUCGGAGUGACAAAACCUAAUCUCGAAAUACGCCAACUCAACAUGUACCUUCGGAGACACCUGUAGUACUCCUUUAUAAUCACCCAGUUACGUUGUGACGUUUGGUAGUACCCAAAGUGUUCCUCCGGUAAACGGGAGUUGCAUAAUCUCAUAGUUACAGAAACAUGUAUAAGUCAUGAAGAAAGCAAUAGCAACAUACUAAACGAUCAAGUGCUAAGCUAACGGAAUGGGUGAAGUCAAUCACAUCAUUCUCCUAAUGAUGCGACCCCGUUAAUCAAAUGACAACUCUUUUGUCCAUGGCUAGGAAACAUAACCAUCUUUGAUAAACGAGCUAGUCAAGUAGAGGCAUACUAGUGACACUAUGUUUGUCUAUGUAUUCACACAUGUAUUAUGUUUCCGGUUAAUACAAUUCUAGCAUGAAUAAUAAACAUUUAUCAUGAAAUAAGGAAAUAAAUAAUAACUUUAUUGUUGCCUCUAGGGCAUAUUUCCUUCACCACGUGGCCCGGCCGGCCCCCGGGGCUCAAGAACCAGGUCCAAUGCCCCCAUUGGUCCCGGUUUUGGAUUGAACCGGGACUAAUGGGCUGGACCGGCCUGGACCAUCGCCCCCUUUUCUACUAGUGUUAGUGCAUGGUGGUUAGUGAAGUUAGUGGAGCAUGGUGUGAGUGCGUGGGUCAUGGUUGAGUGCCAGACUUUGUAUAAAUUGUCAUUUGAGUCAAUGAGAAAAUGUAAGGCCGAGAGGGCCAGUGCAAAGAUGUAGCAUUUGUGGUAGCCAAGGGAGAUUAACUGGGCAAAGCUAUGUGUUCUUCCUUGGUCUAUGCGUGUGUGUGUUCUGUGUGUGUUCUCUCUCUGCGUCCUUGUGUUCAUGGGAGUGUUUUUGAGAGAAGCCAGAAGAGAGAGUUGUGAGAGGCAGCUCGAGGUAGAAGAAGGAGCGGUGCUGCUCCGAGAGGAGGCGGCGCCAACAAUUAUUGACGAAAGGGAUAUUAUAUUGCGCAAGGUAUAAUCAGACGCGUCGGGGAUGGAGCGACUACACACAUAUGGGAUCACAACUGGAUUAUGAGGGAAAGCUAUAAGAGGCCAAUAAAUAAGUUAGUGCAGAUCCCCCCUCAGAAACAUUUUAUGUAUACACGUUAACAUUUCCCAGAUAUAUGAUUAAUAUUUUUAGAAAACUUCUAUUUUUUAUGUGUACUUUUUAUACAUUUUGUAAUAUCAGAAAUAGUUUUUAUAGAAGGUUUAACAUUUUUCAAAUACAUGAUUACCUUUUUGUAAACUUAUAUUGUUUGACGUUUACUUUUUUCCAUAGACAUAGUGAGGGGUUAUAUCUAAGGAAUAGGCCCAAGUACAUGUAGGCACAACCAAAGGCCCAUGUUAAUCAAGGAUGUUCCACAAGACAAAUGGGAAAACACACCGGGGCUAAUGGAGCUACAAGGCCAAGGCAUCGGAUACAAGGGGAGAGUCAACUGUGUACAGUCAGAUUACACAACCCUUAACAGACAAGACUCAUCAGUUGGUCCACUAUAGGAAUCAGGUCAUUUGCCGUCAGCCGAGAACAGAUGCGAAGGCUUUGCCGUGAGCAAGUUGACGACAAACACAAUCAGCAAAGACUAUAUCAGCAAAGAGCUAAUUUGACGUCAACUUUUCAUCGCGCUGAUGACAAAGACUUUGCCGUCAAUUAAACUAUGUGUUUGUCGUCUGUAGAAAAAACACAAAUGGCAAAGAAAUUAAACAAAUGGUCAUUUUAUAAUAAUUUUUCGAAAUGUAUAUAGUGUAUUUUAAAAUGUUAAAUAUGUAUCAAGAAUUAUUUCAUAAAUAUACAGAAGAUGUACAACGUGUAUGAAAAUUAUGUAGACAUCAGAACAUAUUAUAGAAAUGUUAAUCUUGUAUUUAAAAAUGUUAAAUACACAUAAAUAAAAAUGUUUUUGAUGUACAUAAAAAAAUUGUACAUCGUGUGUGAACAAAGUAUGCAUUGAAAAAAAAAUCUUGUUGGAAAGAAAAUCUCGUGCUAUAUACGAAAAUGUAAAAGGUGUAUGAAAAUAAUUAGAUAUAUGCUUAACGAAAAAAAGGAAAGAAGGCGCAAAAAAAUCCGAUCAACACCAAGAUAGGAACAAGAAAACCUGAAGAAGACCAUUGAAAAAAAAGAAAAGAAUACAAGAAAGAGGAAAAAAAACAAAAAAAUGAAGAAGCUGAUGCAGAACAGGGAACUUGGUGAAAACGAAUAAAAAUUGAUGAAAACCGAGAAGAAAAACAAGAAAACUGAAGCAAAAAAAUAAUAAAAAUAUGUAAAAAAAUGAUGAAACAUUGCAAAACACUGAAAUACUAUGAAAACCAAAGGAAGAAAAGACUCAAAAAGAAGAACAUACAGCGAGCGAAUGAACAACAACUGAGUGAACGAGCGACCAUGCGAGAACACGUUAAUUGUCCGGCCCAUACUUGUGGACUCCAGAGGCGAGCCAGAAUAGGCGAGAUAUAGCUAUGACGAUUUGAUACCCUUCACAGCUUCACGAAUGCUAUAUCUCGCUCACAGCGAAAGUAUAUUUUGUCUGGCCUGAAGGUGCAAGAAUAGCAUCAGGUCGCUGUAAGGUUUGUGAUCCUACAAUGAGAGCUCCGAUAAGAUUAAAGUUCAUUUUUCUGACAACCUUUGGUCGUUCGUUCGCGCUCAGGUCGUCCGCUCACUCGAUUCCACGUACUAGUUUGGUUAUGUUGUUUUUUUCAUUUUGUUCUUUUUUUGUUUCUUCACUGGCUUUCUUUGGUUUUUAUAUCGGUUUUCUUUGUUUCCUUCACGUUUUAUUCCUGUUUUCCUUUUUACUGGUUUAUUUAUUCCUUUUUUUCUUUGUUUCUUUCUUGGUUUUCUUUGUUUUUCUUUCUUUUGAUGUCAAUCUUUUUACAUACGCAUUCAACAAUUUCCGUAUACAUCAGAAACAUUUUAUGUAUACACAUUAACAUUUCCCAGAUAUAUGAUUAAUAUUUUUGGAAAACCUCUAUUUUUUAUGUGUACUUUUUGAUACAUUUUGUAUAUAUCAGAAAUAUUUUUUUAGAAGGUUUAACAUUUUUUUAAAUACAUGAUUACCUUUUUGUAAACUUAUAUUGUUUGACGUUUAUUUUUUUCCAUAGACAUAGUGAGGGGUUAUAUCUAAGGAAUAGGCCCAAGUACAUAUAUGGCACAACCAAAGACCCAUGUUAAUCAAGGAUGUGGUCCACAAAACAAAUGGGGAAACACACGGGGGCCAAUGGAGCUACAAGGCCAAAGCAUCGGAUAUAAGGGGAGAAUAAGUGUGUACAGUCGGAUUACACAACACUUGACAGACAAGACUCAUUAGUUGGUCCACUAUAGGAAUCGAGUAAUUUGCCGUCAGCCGAGAACAGACUCGAAGUCUUUGCCGUCAGCAAGUUGAUGACAAACACAGUGAGCAAAGACUAUAUCGGCAAAGAGCUAAUUUGACGUUAACUUUUCAUCCGCUGAUGACAAAGACUUUGCCGUCAAUUAAACUAUGUGUUUGUCGUCUGUAGAAAAAACACAAAUGGCAAAGAAAAGCAUCUUUGCCAUCAGCAACUGAUUCACAUGUGUCGUCAGCCAGACUCGUCUUGUCACUAGCCUCAAACAUCACAGAUGGCAAAGAUUUUUUUUUAUUUUUAAAAUUCCGCGUCGACCACCCUAUCGCUCGUGCAGCCACCGCCUGGCCGCGCUCGCCUCCCUGCUCACAUGCCCUGCCAGCUUGCGCCGUUGCCAUCCGGCAGCGCUCGCCCGACCCUGCUCAUCGCCCGGCCGAGCUCGCCCGCCCUGCUCGGUCGCGUCGUCGGCAGCUGCCCUGCUUGCACACGUACCUGCCCAGCCUUGCUCAUACCGCCGGCCACCCUGCUCGCUAGAGAAAGGAAGGCGAGAGAGGAGGCUCGGGGGAGAAAGAAAAAACAAAGGAGAGAGAGAGGAUGCUACCACUGCCACAUCACCAAUACGCAUGAUCGAUCUGCAAGAUGUGCUCUCUCUUUUGCCGCCUCUGAUGGCAAAGUAUGUCUUUAUCGUCUAUAAUAAGAUUACAAACAGCAAAGUGAGCUCUUUGCCGUCUGUAAAAAAACGGACGACAAACAAACUUUGUUGUCAGCUGCCGACGGCAAAAAGUGCUCUUUACCGCAGCCUCGAUGAGAAGCUGAAGGCAAAGUGCCCCACAGACGGCAAAUUAGUUGAUUCCUGGGUGGUUAUGAGCAAGACAGGAGCAAUAACCCUAUCUACACUCGGUCAUCUGGAAGACAGGAGUAGUCGAACCAUCUAUAGUCGGCUACAUCUGAGGUUACCGUGACCCUUACGAUGCAUUCAUUAUCGCCGUUACUCAAUGGAGUAGUUAAAUACGUCAGUUAGCAAUAAUAAUAGCCACGAACAGUCAAUCAUGCAUGUGACCAUCAAUAGCAUUUAUACCAACCCAUUACGGCACUUCCUCCUAGCACACUCUAUAUAAGCCAGGAGUAGGACAUGAGAGUGAGGGAUGAACUCUCUCACAGUAUAACCUACGCCAAGAGCAGGAACACCACAUGAAUAGAGAUUACCUCCACCAACGUACUCCCAUCCGUUUUAUGUACCGAUCAAUGUAUAUAAUGGCUUCUACAUUCACAUCCCGUAGUAUUGUCAGGAUUAUAUCCACGACAGAAACUAUAUUUUGUUAUACAUCAAGAACAUUUUAUAUAUAAAUAUUUACAAUUUUUUAAAUACAUGAUUAAUAUUUUUUCAAACAUAUAUUUUGUAUGUCUCCUUUUCAUAAUCUUUGAUCCCUGGAAGUUUCAGAUUUUUUCCGAUUUGUUCUCAUUUUUUUAUGAAUUUACUGUUCAUGAGGGUGUAGGGGCACCCAGGAGCUGUUAGGCAUAAUAUUUCUGCUGUUGUUGUCAUCAUCAAGGGGAAUGAGAAGGGUUGAAGUUUUCGUUUUCUUUGAGGGGGAAAUCAGAGUUGGGGGCUGGAAGUGAGUGAUUAGGCCCAACAUAAGCGCUGUGUGUGUGUGUCUCGUCACGGGCACCAAAUUCGAACUGGGCUAUUGUUUUCUGAGAACCCAACGUCACAAGCCCAACCAACAGUCUGCCGAUCUGCAUCUUCCUCUCCUUGUCCAUCCUCCUCGUUGGCCGGACCGCCUCGAGCCACGGCCGCUCCCUGGCGCAGCGUCCUCCCCUUCCUCUCCACCCCCAAAUUCUCUUGUAUCCUCUUCUGAUCUCCUUCCUUACUUCCUCUCGCUGAUGGUCUCCACAAGAAGGUCUCCGAGCUCCUCGGAGGGUUCCGGCUGUACGUCGACGCAGCCUCUCCGACCUCCCCAUGAACAUGAGCUAUCGACCCUGAAAGCCUGUCUCUUCCAUGAUUCGAUUCACAUGAAUUCACGAGCCGCAUGAAUCAUGAAGGUCAUGGAGCAGAAUUCAGUCGUGUAGCCUGACAGUGAUGUACAUUUGUGGCUUUUCUGGCUAAAUAGCUCUGUACCCUAUGUGGAUGCCACUUCAAAUAAUCGUCAAAAUAAUUCUCCUGCACGCGUUAUACAAAUGGCGAAGAAGAAGUUCGCGUGGAACAUUUCGUUUCUUAUUGAUGUCCGAGAGAAAAGCUCCUAGGAAGUUCAUCCGCUCGGUGGAUUAUAAGUUUAAGUUUGUUACAACAUCCAAUCAUCCAUAUAAUCUCUGUGUUUCUUCUGUUUUCUACCAGUCAUAUAUCAUAUGUGCAUCAGAGGAAAAAUGCUUUCAGCAGUCAUGUUGGAGCGCGCAUACCAAGUUCCCACAUUGCAAAUAUGAUCCUAGCCAUUAAUAUGUUUCAUUCCACAUUUUCUUGAUCUAAUUUCUAAAUGAUUGGACAACCUGUUAUAGUCUUAUAGAAUUAUGAGCCGCCAAAUCCACAUUUCUCUUGGUCUAAUUUCUAAAUGAUAAUGUGCAGCAUCUAUCUCCUGGUGAACCUUUUUUUCUUGCGACUGUAUCUCCUGAUGAACCUAGUUUUCUCUAGGUAGCACAAUAAUUGUACUGGUUUGAUGUAAAGGACAUAAAUACAAGGGAAUAAAUUGGAAGCUUAUUUCAAAUUAACUAGCUAGUGGUGUUUGUGAAGUUCAAGAAAAAGCUGGUCUUUUUCUCGACAAAUAAUUUAACAUGCAAAGAAUCAAUAAAUGUAUUUGCAAGAAAGCAAACAUAAUUAACGAUAAAACUGGUUUAUUGUCACUGUAGACAACGGUAGUAGUUGGAACUAGAUACAAACCAAUAAAAAACAAGAUCUCAAAUCUCCAACCAAUAAAGAGUUCAACCCAAAUUUUACAGUAACACCAUUAUAUUCAAAUAGUGAUUAUUCCAACACAUGGAUAAUUAAUUAAGGCACCAGGUUGCCCUUGUGACUAGGAAAGACAAACUUAUGAACUUGCAAGCAUGGCAAUCAGAUCGACAUCCACACAAUGCCAAUAUGAACAUUGUCUUGAUACAACUUUAUUUUUAUUUUAUUUCAGAAUUUAAACAACUAGUAUGGGCGGGUCACACACGACAUUGUGUGACACUUUAUUUGUCACCGCUGCAUCGACAUAUCCAUCGACUAAACAACGGUGAUCCAACUAUAUAUUACUAGAGACCUUUCCUUAUUAGUAGGAACCAACUCCGGUGCCAACACCGAAUGGCACACUAGUGGUGGUUCUAUACAACGGCACAUUGACACGGCACAUCGUUGGCAGGGUACGGAGCGCAAUGGAAGUCAUCACCUCAAGCUGAGCUAUCUGGUGUGGCUGCAAAAAGGUACCUUGUGCCAAUUGUUGUUGUUGAGGUUGUUGCCCGAGUUGUUGUUGUGACUGCUGUUGGGGUUGGGAAACACAUUGGCCCAACUGUUGGGGUUGCUGCUGAGGAGUUUGGAUGGAACCCUGAACCUGUUGUUGUUCUUGCAGGAUGAUGGAGUAGAUGAUAGCACGGAUUGCCUCAUAGCGGGAUUGCUGGGGGAUUUGCGGCAACUGCUGGCAACAUUGUUGUUGCAUCACAUGGCAACUGCUCUGCUGCAACAUUUGCGACCUAGCAAGACUUUGUGGCAUUGCCACAGGGCUGCAUUGCUGCUGGAGGAAUACCUUGCAUGGGUUUAGCUGCUGCAAGAUAGAUGGAUGAACAAAUGGUAUUUGUUGUUGCGGUAGAACUAGUUGUUGUUGUUGCUGCGAAAAUGGUGGUUGUUGCGGUAGACUUGGUUGUUGUUGUUGCAAAAAUGGUGGUUGUUGCUGUAGUACUAUUUGUUGUUGUUGCGAAAACGGUGAUUGUUGCUGUGAAAAUGGUGGUAGUUGUUGCUGUGAAAAUGAUGGUUGUUGCGGUAGAACUGGUUGUUGUUGCUGCGAAAAUGGUGGUUGUUGUUGUGAAAAUGGUGGUUGUUGUUGCUGCGAAAAUGGUGGUUGUUGUUGUGAAAANNNNNNNNNNNNNNNNNNNNNNNNNNNNNNNNNNNNNNNNNNNNNNNNNNNNNNNNNNNNNNNNNNNNNNNNNNNNNNNNNNNNNNNNNNNNNNNNNNNNNNNNNNNNNNNNNNNNNNNNNNNNNNNNNNNNNNNNNNNNNNNNNNNNNNNNNNNNNNNNNNNNNNNNNNNNNNNNNNNNNNNNNNNNNNNNNNNNNNNNNNNNUGGUUGUUGUUGCUGCGAUAAUGGUUGUUGUUGUUGCUGCGAAAAUGGUGGUUGUUGUUGUGAAAAUGGUGGUUGUUGUUGCUGCGAUAAUGGUUGUUGUUGUUGUUGCUGUGAACAUGGUUGCUGUUGUGAAAAUGGUUGUGGUUGUUGUUGGAUGGGUUGUUGUUGUUGGUGGUGCGAUAAUGUUUGUUGUGGUGGUAAUGGUUGUUGCUGCGAUGGUCUCUCCAAACCAGGGAUGUGGCUAUUCUCCAUUUGUGCAAUGGCACUUGUCGCCACAAUGGCGAGGAGAGCAAAGAUGAGGAAGGUCUUCAUGGUGGAUUGGUGUUAACCAGUGUUGCUUGGUUUUGAUGCUUGUGCUUGUGAUGAUCUUUAUACUUCAUGCCUAUUUAUAGUAGCCCGGGCACCACCUCUUUUCUUCUUUGCAUUAGCUUUAAUAAUUCUGUUUGGAUGCAUCUAAAAUGAUUUUUGGUACAAUGUGUUAGGUUGCACUAGCUACACGCGUACUUUUGGAUUGAUCAUCAAAGUUGCUUUUUAGUUGUGCAUAUGAUCACACACAAAGUACAGAAACCUUGAUGUUUGGUACAUAUGACUCACCUUAUUCACUUUACAUGUCACACACUUAUCUGGAUAGUAUCACUUUUGCAACCGAGUUUGGAACCUUGUAUAGGCUGUCAUCCAUAAACAAGAAAGGCAAAACUUGUGUAGGACUAAGUUUGCAAUCGGAGGGUUCUUCUAGACUCGAUUUCUUUUCGUAAAACUAACUUUGUAUUUUUCCUCUAAGAUGAUAAGAUGAACCGACGCCUAUAGAGCAUGACAUGACUCAUCGAAUUCCCUUUACAUGUAAAGGAUGGUAAUUGCUUACAAGCUACUCCUACUAGCAUAUAUCCGGUUCCAAGCCUAGACACGUCAUCAUCAGUUUCGUCUAUUUUUUUAGAUAAAUCAUCAGUUCUAUCUAUUUGUGAAGGGUUUUUUUGGGGGGAAAUGAUAGUUUUUUUAUGCUAGGGGGGUUUUUUNNNNNNNNNNNNNNNNNNNNNNNNNNNNNNNNNNNNNNNNNNNNNNNNNNNNNNNNNNNNNNNNNNNNNNNNNNNNNNNNNNNNNNNNNNNNNNNNNNNNNNNNNNNNNNNNNNNNNNNNNNNNNNNNNNNNNNNNNNNNNNNNNNNNNNNNNNNNNNNNNNNNNNNNNNNNNNNNNNNNNNNNNNNNNNNNNNNNNNNNNNNNNNNNNNNNNNNNNNNNNNNNNNNNNNNNNNNNNNNNNNNNNNNNNNNNNNNNNNNNNNNNNNNNNNNNNNNNNNNNNNNNNNNNNNNNNNNNNNNNNNNNNNNNNNNNNNNNNNNNNNNNNNNNNNNNNNNNNNNNNNNNNNNNNNNNNNNNNNNNNNNNNNNNNNNNNNNNNNNNNNNNNNNNNNNNNNNNNNNNNNNNNNNNNNNNNNNNNNNNNNNNNNNNNNNNNNNNNNNNNNNNNNNNNNNNNNNNNNNNNNNNNNNNNNNNNNNNNNNNNNNNNNNNNNNNNNNNNNNNNNNNNNNNNNNNNNNNNNNNNNNNNNNNNNNNNNNNNNNNNNNNNNNNNNNNNNNNNNNNNNNNNNNNNNNNNNNNNNNNNNNNNNNNNNNNNNNNNNNNNNNNNNNNNNNNNNNGCCGCCACCGCUCGACAAAAAAGGUCACUUUUGUAGCUCCCCCGUCGAUUGCGGGCCGUACGUCGACGGCAGCCACUCCGACCUCCCCGUCAACACAAGGUAUCGAUCUGUUUCGUCUGUCUCUUCCAGCGAUUCAAUGCACAUAAAUCCGAGAGGCAGACCCAUCUCCAUGCUAGCUGCACGGAUCAGGAGGGUCAGGCAUCAGAAUUCAGCUGGGAAGCCUGACACUAAUGUACAUUUGUGGCUUUAGUAGCUGAAUAUAACUAUGUGUUUUCUGAGAAUUUCACUUCAAAAGUUCCAAUAAUCAUCAAAUUUCCGCCUAUGCGCGCUAAGCAGGUGGACCAUAUAUUUCUCAUGUCGACGAACGAAAAAACAAAACUCCACAACUAGAAGUCUAUGAUAUUGACACGGAACCGUGCUGUAGGGUCGCAAGUAAAAAUAUGAAAAGCAUGCCUAACACUACUAGGAAAAGGGCUAUAGAUGGAAUUGACACUAAUGACGCACCAGACAUGUGGUGCGCCAUUAGUAUAUACUAAUGGCGCACCAUCUUCUGAUGCGCCAUUAGUGUUGAAAUUACUAAUGGCGCACCCUGCCCACGGUGCGCCAUUAGUACCAAUUUUUUUUUGAACUAGUGCGCCUGUCCAAACAUACUAAUGGCGCAUCCGCUGGUGGUGCGCCAUUACUAGUUGUAACUAGUAAUGGUGCACCAGCCAGAGGGUGCGCCACUAAAGUUAUUUUUUUUAUUAUUGUUUUUAUUCCUUUUUUUGCAAAAGUACUAAUGGCGCACUCACACGCGGUGCGCCAUUACUAGUUCAAACUAGUAAUGGCGCACCGUGGCAGAGUGCGCCAUUAGUAUGUUUUUUUUUCAAAACUACUAAUGGCGCACCACCUGGUGGUGCGCCAUUAGUAACCUGGAUUACUAAUGGCGCAUUUGUUGCUGGUGCGCCAUUAGUAAGUGGGCAGCAACAAGAUAUUUUGGACAGCCUCUCCUCCCACACUCACUUUCUCCCCAUUUCAUUCUCUCCACCGCCUCCUCAUGUCUCGGGUGCCUCCUCUUUUUCACCUCAUUUCCACCAUAGAUUCAUUCAAAUUAAGUGGUUAAGUUACCUUGUUUUGCUAGGUAAGUAAGGGGGGAAGCUAUAUUUAUGUUGUUCUCCCUACAACAGUGUGCACAUGCACUUUUUAUGGCCUAGCUAGAUCUAUGUAUGUUCGUGGUGUUGCAUAUGUUUGUGGUGUUGCAUAUGUGUUUGUGUUUGAAGGUGUACCGGUAUUUGAAAUGCGAUAGUUGCCAAUAUUUUGCCGGAAUGUUGAUUCAUUUCCGUUUCGGCGAGAAUUUUGGCAUUAAGCAUUCUUUUUGGUCCUAUUUUUAGGGAAAGUCAUGCCAAAUUUUUUCUUGGUUCUAAAAUAUCGUUUUGCUCUACCCCGCAGGCGACCAUGGUCCGCACGAUGACCGAAGGCAUCGUGAAUAGGUUUUUGAGGUCCACGAAGGCCGAGAUGCUUCAAAAGAACGAGACGGAGAUAAGAUGUCCGUGUCGAAGAUGCAAGCUGAAUAGCCUUAUUGCGGACCCGGAUUCCGGGCAGGUGCGGGACCACCUGCUCUUGCGUGGUUUCAUGGAUGGCUGUCGGUGGCAAGGUGAUGAAGAUGACUACGAAGUCGUCCAUGGGGGCCGGGCAAGAAAUGAGGAAGGGCAGCAAGACAACCACCGCGGCUCGGGGGGGCGAGAAGAAGAAGAAUCCCCAGGAGAUGAUCACGACGGUGAUGUUGUACACAGUCAUCAUGUAGAAGAUGCAGGACAUGAUGAUGAUGCCGGCGGAGCAGACGACGCUGGACCAUCGAUGGGCUGGGUGCAGGACCCUCAUAUUCAAGAGCUGCUUCUCAAGCAGACGGAUAACGCAAGAGCUGCCGCCCGAGAGAAAGCCAAGAUGGAUCAACUUGAGUUAGACGCGGUUACUCCAUUGUAUGAAGGAUGCAGGCCCGAGGAUACCCGCCUGAAAGUAACACUCAUGGCUCUGGAGAUGAAGGUAAAACACAAAAUGACCGACGCAUGCUUCGACGAGAACAUGUCAUUCUGGCACGAACGUCUUCCCAAAGGGAACAAGUGCCCGACCAGUUUGGAGGAGGCGAAGAAAAUCGUGUGUCCUCUGGAUUUACCGCACGUGAAAUACCAUGUGUGCAUGAACAAUUGCAUCAUUUAUCGGGACGAGCACGCGGAGUCUACCAUAUGUCCGGUGUGCGGUGUCACUCGAUACAAGAAGGGGAAGAAAGCUCCUCGAAAAGUGGUGUGGUACUUUCCGAUCACUCCUCGUCUGCAGCGGUAUUUCGCGGACCCUAAGGUAGCAAAGCUCCUGCGUUGGCACGCGGAUAGGGAGGAGAAGAAGCGAGAAGAUGACGCAAAUGAUACGGAGAUAGAUAAAAAAGACAAGAUGCUGAGUCACCCUAAGGAUGCGAGCCAGUGGCAAGCGUUGAACUUCGAAUAACCAGAAUUUGGGAACGAUCCAAGGAACAUCGUGCUGGGCGCGAGCACCGGUGGAGUCAAUCCGUUUGGCAGCCAGAGAAGCACACAUAGCACCUGGCCUGUGUUUGUGUGGAUGUACAACCUUCCCCCCUGGUUGUGCAUGAAGAGGAAGUACAUUCACAUGAGUAUGCUAAUUGAAGGGCCGAAACAACCAGGGAACGACAUCAAUCUGUAUCUGGGGCUGCUGAAAGAGGAGCUUGACACGCUGUGGAAAACGCCCACCAAUACGUGGGACGCCGCAGAGAAAGAAUAUUUCCCUAUGAGAGCCGCACUGCUCACGACGGUGCACGACUAUCUCGGUUACGGAUAUCUUGCGGGGCAGGUAGUCCACGGAUUUUCUGGAUGCGUAAGGUGCAUGGAUGACACAACGUAUCGCCAGCUAGAUAGAGACGAUGACCCGUGGAGGAAACGCAAGGAUCUGUUCGAUGGUGAAACCAAACCCCGAAAACGCCCGUGUACGAGGAGCGGCGAGGAAAUAGACAAGCUGUUGAAAAAUCGGAAAGACUGCCCACUGCCGGGAAAGAAGCAAAAGGUGCCAGAGCCGGGAAAGAAGCGAAAGGCGCCAGAGCCGCUGCUGAAGCUAUGGAAAACGAGGUCUGUUUUCUGGGACUUGCCGUACUGGAAGAUCCACCGUGUGCCUCACAGCCUUGAUGUCAUGCAUAUCACGAAGAACGUGUGCGAGAGUCUGCUUGGUACCCUGCUCAACAUGCCAGAGAGGACCAAAGAUGGGCCGAAAGCGAGGGCAGACUUGAAAUCAAUGGGCAUCAGGCAGGAGCUUCACGCUAUAUAUGAUGAUGAUGAUGAUGAUGAUGAUGAUGAUGAGGCGAAGCAGGACACAGAAAGUCGUCGCAAAGGCAAAAAGGCCAAGAAGACCGGAAAUGACUACCCUCCCGCGUGCUUCACUCUAAGUCAGGAGGAGAUCGAGCAGUUUUUCACCUGCCUCCUAGGAGUAAAACUUCCUUACGGUUACGCGGGGAAGAUAAGCAGAUACCUAGACCCAGCGAAGCAGAAGUUCAGCGGGAUGAAGUCUCACGAUUGUCACAUGCUGAUGACGCAGAUACUUCCAGUUGCAAUCCGUGGGAUCAUGGACGCGCACGUCCGUGAAACGCUAUUUGGCCUAUGCAACUUCUUCGACGUCAUCUCUCAGAAGUCGAUUGGCAUGAGGCAACUCAGAAGGCUACAGGAAGAGAUCGUGGUGAUACUAUGCGAGCUUGAGAUGUACUUCCCGCCCGCAUUCUUCGAUGUUAUGGUGCAUCUGCUGGUCCAUAUAGUGGGGGAUAUCAUCCAACUCGGGCCGAUGUUCCUGCACAGCAUGAUGCCGUUCGAAAGGAUGAAUGGUGUCAUCAAAGGAUACGUUCGCAACAUGUCACGUCCAGAAGGAAGCAUAGCCAGGGGCUUUCUGACCGAAGAGUGCAUCUACUAGUGCGCGAAUUAUCUAGGCAUCGAGAACCCCGUUGGUCUGCCCGUCAACAGGCACCUCGGCAGGCUCGCUGGAUGGGGUCACCGUGAGGGUCGCCGCGAAAUGCAUGUCGACUUCGAGGGUCGACUCGCCGACUUUGAAAGAGCAAACCUAGUCGCGCUACAACACAUAGACGUGGUCGAUGCUUGGGUGGUAGAGCACAAAACCUUUAUUAAGAAGACGUACAAUGACCGAGGCCAACAGAGGACGGACGGAGAUAUACUCAAAGAGCACAACUCAUGUUUCACGCGUUGGUUCAAGCAGAAGCUUCUGUCGUACCCUUUACAUGAGGAUUCUUCCGCGGAAGAACAACUCAUAUUCGCCUUGUCACAGGGCGCCGAGCACAACCUGAUGACCUAUGAGGCGUACGAUAUCAACGGCUACACAUUCUACACCGAGGCCAAGGACAUGAAGAGCGAUGGUUAUCAGAACUCCGGGGUAACGAUGGAAUCCUACACCGGUAACGACAAGGACAGAUACUACGGAAGGAUCGAGGAGAUCUGGGAGCUGAGCUAUGCUGGAGAGAAGGUCCCGAUGUUCCGUGUCAGAUGGGCCAAGAACGUCAUAAAAGAAGACCGGUAUUUCACCACCAUGGUUAUACCCGGAGCCAAAUCCAAGACCGCGAGCGCAAACGUCACCGCGAAAAAUGAGCCAUGGGUACUGGCUUCCCAAGUGGACCAAUGCUUCUUCAUUACCGACCCGCCAAAGCCCAGUCGUGUUGUCGUGAGGAGAGGCAAAAGGAAGAUCAUCGGAAUGGAUGGAGUAGCCAAUGAGCAAGACUUCGACAAGUACGGCGACCCGAGGAUCGAACAUGACGACGAUGAUGAAGUAGCAGCAUACACCACAAGAAGAAGCAGGACCACCCUACCUAAAGGACGUCCGUUCCACAGAAGAACUCCAUUUGCGAAAAAGAAGGGCAAGAAGAUUGUGAACAGAUAGCUAGCUAAGAUCGAUUGUAUUUAAAUCGUAGCCUUCAUUUCUCGAUUGUAUUUCAUGGGUACUUUUUGAACUAUCAUGAAUAUUUUUAAAUUUAAUGGACACUCGAUCUCGAUCCCCCUCCAUCUCGAUCGCUAUCCCACCUCGCCAGAUCCGGUCCCCCUCGCCGCCAAGCACCCCCCCAGCCCACCGGCCGCCGCCGCCGACCCCCCGCACCCUCGAUUCCCCUACCCAACCGCCGCCGCCGACCCACCGCACCCCGCGCACCCUCCCCUGCUCCACCAGCAUUACUGUUUGAUGAUAUUUUUAAAAAAAUUAUUAUUGUCUUAUAAAAAAAUAUUACUGUUAUGAUUUAAACAAGUUUGAACAUAUUUAAACACAAAUAAGUAUCAAACAGGUUUUUAAAUGCUAAAAAAAAUUUGUGGAGCCUGGGAGUCGAACCCAGGACCUCCUGGUGUGAGAACUGGCUGCUGACCAGUCGAGCUAGUAGAGGGGACUUGAUGUGGAUCAAUUCUGGUGGUACAUAACCUGUUGGCUCGAGUUGAAAUAAAAAAAAUACUAAUGGCGCACCACGGUGAGGUGCGCCAUUAGUAUGGAUGUACUUAUGGCGCACCGAGGGGUGGUGCGCCAUUAGUAUUGUGCCCGAUCCCUUCCCUCUCCCCCUUCGCCCGAUCCCCCCUUCCCUCUCCCCCUUGCCAGUUCCCUCUCCCUCGAUCCACCGCCGCCGCCGCCGCUGCCCUGACCCACUGCGCCGCAGCCGCCCACGCGCCCCCGCCGCCUCCCUCUCCCCUUCCUCCCCCUCGAGCCCGCGCCGUCCGCCCAAACCUAACCCGACGCCGUCCGCCGCGCCCGCUCCACCGCCGCCGCCCUGCCUCUCCGCCCUCUCCCUCCCUCNNNNNNNNNNNNNNNNNNNNNNNNNNNNNNNNNNNNNNNNNNNNNNNNNNNNNNNNNNNNNNNNNNNNNNNNNNNNNNNNNNNNNNNNNNNNNNNNNNNNNNNNNNNNNNNNNNNNNNNNNNNNNNNNNNNNNNNNNNNNNNNNNNNNNNCGUCGCCCCGCCGCCCCGACACCACCGUCCGUCGCCCCGCCGCCCCGCCGCCCCUCUCGCAGCAAGGUAUGCGGCUGGUUCGUCCCCUGUCAUGGUUCUCUCUUCGUUUAUUUUCCUGAAAUCUCUGCUGUUCAUUGGCCGAUGAUGUCUUACAAGUAAAAUAUCUGGCAAACUUGUGCUGUAAACUGUACAUUGCUGAGGCUGUGGGCAACCUGUUCUUCUCUUUGCCAUACUAGUGCUUUUGUUCAUUGGCCGAUGAUGUCUCUGUUGGUUUACGUCCCCGGCAAAUUAGGUACCCGUGAACCAUUUAUAGGCCCAACUUUCUUACUCUCAAUGACCACAAUGUGCUUAUUUUGUUAGGAUUGUGCAUUUGCGCGAUUUGUGCAGUGCUUAUUUGUUGGCACCUCACCAGCUUUCAAAUUCAGCAUUUGUAACACAGUUCAAUUUGAUCUAAGGGCCUAUCUUGUCUCAUUUCCAACAUGUAAUAAACUUCCCCCGAGGCCAUAGAUGAGAAUACUUCUUUCAGUACAUUUUGCUGAUUUCUCACUGUUGAAUACUUCAUUUCUGUUUGCCUUUGGCCAAAGAUGCAUUCAGUUCUUUCUGCCCUUAGCGGUUUGAUUCAAGUUUGUCAGGUUCUGUUAACUAAAAAGGUUCAGAUUCAGAAACAUUGUUGGACUACUAGGAAGUUGGACUACUAGGAACAUGUUUAGAUUCAGGUUCUGUUAACUAAAAAAGUUCAGGUUCUGUUAACUAAAAAAGUUCAGAUUCAGAAACCUGUAAUUUCUACUUUUAUGCCUCUGUUACUCCAGUCAAAAUUUUAUGUUUGAUGCCCAUGGUAGUUGAGCUCUCACCUCACCUCACGCAACAUGCAUGAUGCCACAAUGUCUAGUAUGUACUGCCAAGCAACUGGCAAAUAAUUAUAACUUAGAAUAAAUAAAUCUGAUGUAAGAUAAGCAUGGCAUGAGCUUUAAUUAAAUAGCAUAAUACACGUUGGUAGUCCAUCUCUCUCAAAAAAAAUACAUGUUGGUAGCAGAAAAAAAUACAUGUUGGUAGCAGAAAUUUUUUUGAGCCCUUAUUAGCUACUCACACUAUUUGCCCCGCAGUUUCUCUGUCAUGGCUACCAAGUGAUUGACGGUGGGCUAGAAAAAUAAAACCACCAAACUAUCAGUAAAAGAUGUGAACCAACAUCUUUCAUUGUUAUGCAUAUCAAACACCAAGGGUUAUUUUCACUUAAAGUUUUAGAAUGGGUGCAUUACAAUUCAGUCUGAUAUCUAAUAAGACACUCUGGGCUGAUAUAAUUAUGGAACAGAACCAACCAUGAUAAAUAAAAGGUGAUGUUGUCUAUGCAUUACCAAAAAUGUAUCUUUGUGAACAAAUAAAUUGGUACCAACAGCAAUGCCAUCUUACUGUAGAAUUAGAAUACAUGGACAUGAUCAGCUCAGCUCCCAAACUGCCAUUCAUCACAUCAAUUUCCCCUUAUGUAACUCCAGUCAAAAUUUUAUGUUGGUCUACCUAGUAGAUGCCCAUGGUUUGAUUUUAUGUUUGUUCCUAUCAAUACAAAUGCUGAGCUAUGUUCCAUUUUUACUGUUCUUUGUGAUAGUUUUUGCAACUUUACUUCCCAUCUUAAGGCAAGCCCCAUUUUUACUGUUCUUUGUUAGCAGAGCUGCUUGUUUCUAAGAACUUUGAUACUAUUUGGAUCAAAGUUAAAUGAGCACAUAGAUGACAAAAAAAAGUUCAGAUUGUAAAAUGUUCAUUUUGCUGCUAGUGCCCAUUUUGAGUAAUUGCUUAGAGGGAUGAUCCUGUGUGAGCUGGUGGAGUGAUUUGUUUUCUACAUAAAGCUCUUUAGUCAGGCUGGUUUUCGUGAAAUACACAUGAAGCUUCACCAGCUCCUGUGGGUGUGGGAUCCAUGUGACAUGUGACAUUGCAUCCAUGUCCACCUGGGAUAAUGAUUUUGCAUGUACCCCGAGAGGCCCUUAAGUUUGCCGGAAUGUCGAUUAACUUCCGUUCCGGCAAAUUCGGGUACUCCAUAUGUCCUAUUUUCAGCAAAGGUCAUGCUGAAAUUUUCCGUGAAUUUUAGCAUGACUUUGCAAAAAAUAGGACAUAUGGGGUACUUGUGACUAAUGCAUGGGCCGGGGUAUCAUAGUAGUUAAUUAAGUAGGAUCAAGUGCCCCGGCGUACUUGUGACUGAUGCAUGGCUUUUAGGGUGCCUCGGUGUUGAUAAAAACCGAAAUGAUGAAAGCUUAGGCUUUUAGGGUGCCUCGGCGUCGAAAAACCCUCAAUGAUAAAAGCUUAGGUCUUAGGAUGCCUCGGUGUCGACAAACCCUAAAUGAUGAGACCAUGUCUUGUUCCUUGACAAUAACCAACUUUUUGACCAAACUUUGUUUCUAUUUAGAGAGAAACAUGGCCCACAACGAUGAGGCCGGGGGUUCGGGCGGCAAGGCAUUCUGGGAGCUGUCCCAGGAGAUGGAGGAACAACCUCACUUGUAUGAGGCCGCCGCCUUCCCCACCGAUCCUGAGACCACUGAUGGUGCCGCCGAGGAUGACCACACUGAUGCCACCACUGAUGGUGCCGCCGAGGAUGCCACCACUGAUGAUGGCAGCGCCCGCACAGAUGGCAGCCAACCGAAGAGGCAACGGAAGGACCGACGCCCGAUCGUGCUCCUCACCCUCAAGGAGGAAGUUACUGAAGUGGACUCCAACGGGUAUCCAACGGCGCCCGAACGAAUAGUCAAGGGGUACUCGCUUCAGCUCGGGUGCAUUGUCCGGAGCACCGUCUCGAUCAACACCGAGAACCUGAGGCAUCCUGACCGAGGGAAUUUGUGCCACCUCCUCUUCACGAAGCUGCACGAAUGAUACAAGUUCCCCGCUGAAUUUGCAAACAGAAGCCUCAAAGGGAAUAAAGUGAACAAUGCUGCCCUCACGAAGAUGAGCAAGGCCCUGUCUACUUGGAAAAGCAAUGUGAAGAAAAUGAUCGAUAAAGGUGAGAGUUAUCAGAAGAUCAAGGAGAAAAAUCCUUCGAUCACCAAAGAUGACUACAAUGACUUCAAGAUCAAUUGCUCGAGCACCGCAAGCUCCCAAUCAAGUGAGUGGGGGAAACAAAUGCGGGAGCUGAACAUAGGGGAACACACACUCGGUCCCGACGGUUACAGAGUGGCGGAGCCUAUAUGGGACAAGGAGGAGGCGGACCGUGCCGAGCAAGGCCUACCGCCCCUCUUCGAGAAAUACAGCGGUAACAAGCAGACCAGGAACUUUGUCAGGGCCCGGUACAAGAAGGACCCGAAAACAAAGGAGCUUACCACGGAUCCGAAGACCAGGCAGCUUGAGCUUGUUCUGGUAAGGAAUACACCCCCGCGUAAUUAGCUCCAUAUGGUUGCAUUCUAAUUAAUGAAGCCAAAUUUCUAAAUGGUUCACAUUCCUUCCGCAGGCGACUGAAAGCAGUAGCGCGGGGUCGACUAAGAGCAACCCUUGGGACACCACUCUAAAUAGGGCGAUGAAUGUAAUGAAGAAGAAGGAUAAGCUCAGUAAGCCGACGUCAGCUGGUCGUGUGGCCGGCAAAGGCUUGUCGACAAAAUGGGGGUCAUACUAUACCGCUGGUGUGCGGAAGGAGAAAAAGACCAGCUCGGAAAGCCAGGCGCGAGAGGAUCAAGAACUCAAGGAACAGGUGACGCGGAUUCCGGAGAUUGUCCAAGAGCAAGUGGAACAAUGACUCGGAGCGACGAUCACCGCCAUUGUGCCUACCUUGAUCUCGGGGUUGAGUGCGUGGAUUGCGGGCGGCCAACAGGGGCCGCCCCCGAUUCCUAGCUUCACGGCCAGCAACUCGCAUAAUGCGAUGGCGGGGCCAUUGGUGCCUCCGGCGGAGGCGGCAUUGGUGUCUCCGACGCCGGCACGGGAGCUUAAUGCACCCGGGUGUACGCCGGCCGGCACCUCUGCAGCAAGCGGCCCCUCCGUCAACUGCACGCCCGCCGUUGGCGGUGCGUCGACAUUAGCCGAGCUCGACGCCAUCAACACGGUAACUAAUUAAGCCUCUCUCGGCCGAGGACUUCAUCUCCUUGCCUUUGACUAGGCAUCCCUGACGCCCUACAUGUUUUCGCAGGGCGCCGCCGACGUUCCGUGCACUCUCCUCCACUUCGUGAACAACGAGUUGGUCGAUGUCGCCAAGGGCAAAAUCGUUCAACCGGCAACCCCUUGUUCCACGGUACCCAGAUGCCACCCAACUUGUUUAGGGUUCAACUGGUUCGGGUGUUGCCAGGCUGCGACGACUUGUUACCUCUGAUUCGACCCGUUGGGGCCGACGAUGAAGACGUGAUGACCCUCAGCGCCUGCCUGAGCUGGCCCCUAGUUUGGCCGAAGAGCCAGAUUCGUUUGGGGGCGGGGGACACCACCCCAAAGACAACACCGCCAGUCGUGCUGGUGCCAAGUCGGCCCCAUGGCAAGACCGCCGUAACGGUGCCGGACAUCCCUAUGCCACUGGAUCCAAACAUGCAUAUGGCACAGGAUCAGAAUGACGACGACAACGACGAUGAUACAUUUGGCAACGUCGAUCAGUACUUUGCCGAUCAUGGGUACGAUGGCGACUUCAUGGGGCCUCCUUCUCAAGAACCAAACCCAACAAAAGACGUGUGCGAUCUAGCUGGUACCGCAGAGAAGCCAAGUUGCAACAGGCGCCGUCUGGCGUUCAGCUCUCAGGAGACGCCUCCAGCUGCCGACUUCACCGAUCCUCAGAUAGGCGAGGUGCGAAAUAUUAUCAGCCCCAACACACUCAAGAAGGCGGUCUGUGAGCAGAACUCGGUCCCAUUACAGGAGAAGAAGAAGGCACGCAAAAGAAAGACUAAGAAGGGUGCGAGCCAGCCGGCACCGAGUACGAUCCGUGCUCAGGACGGGCCACCUUCACCGCAGGAUAUCUCGAGGAGGGUGCAUGUGGCGGGUAGGGCGAUGCUACCGACAAAUAUGCUCAAUGCUGCAACCGGUGCUAUGCGGAGUCUGCAUGACAGUGUUCUUGCUUUGGAGAAGCGGCGUCUCAGAGAGAAGGAUGUGGCAUACCCGGUUUUCGCGGCCAAGGUGCCAAAGGGCAAGGGCUUUGUGGAUAACUCCAUCGGGCGUACGAUCGUCCUGCGUUUUGAUGACAUCCACGCUAUGUUGAACCUUCAUCCGCUGCACUACACCUUCGUUCGGCUAUUUUCGCUGAGUAUGGAGAUGCGGAUCAUUCGCGACAAGACCCCGGACAUCGUGAUAGUCGACCCCUUCUACAUGCGUGCCAAGAUCUUGGGCAGCGCUGGGGACCGGCAAGUCGCGAGUUCUUACCUCGAAGGCAUCAUUCUGGCAAACCAAGAUAAGGAUAACUUCCUCGUGCCUUACUUUCCCGAGUAAGUCCUCCCCUCAACCGGCCCGUAACAUAUGAAUUCUUACAUUUCGAUCGUUUUUCUUUUAACAUUCCGUGUUUUUUGCAGUGACACACGUUGCACGCUCAUCCUCCUAAGCCCCAAAUAUUCCAUGGCCACAUAUUUCGACCCGGACUGUUAGUCGAACGUAGACUACACAAAUGUCAAGAAGGUUCUUGAUGAUGUUCUCCCCGGCUAUGCCAAAUCUGGAGGCACCUUCACCAGGCCUAAUCGUAAGUACGGCAAGCAUGUUUUCUCCCACAAUACGAUGUUCUACUGCGUCAAGCAGCCGCCUGGUGGUCAGAAGGGUGCCUACUACGCCAUCCAUCACAUGCGGGCGAUCGUACGGGACCAUCAUCAACUUCUGCUACCGAGUAAACUCAAAGAUUGGGCAAAGAGCGUGUCGGCAAUCGAGGACGCGGACCUCCGACAAGAAUUCUUUCGCAUCCAGUCGGAGUUUGCGGAAAUCAUCCAUCAAGAUGUCCUUCGUACCUCGGGGCAGUUCUACCUCAACAAUCAACCGUCCAAUAGUGACAUCGACAUAAUGCUACAAAUGCAGGCUGACAACGACCGUUAUUUCAUGACUCCCACGAUAGACGGCGGCUUCAUCCACGCUCCGGUCCCUUGAGUCGAGUCGAAAGCAGUGAUGCUGUGUCUAGUUCUGAAACAUCGAUUGGCUCAUGUUGUAAUUAAACUUUAAUGAACUUGUAGUAUGUCUCUUUGGUUUCGAGAGUCGUUCAACUUAGAUGUAAUCGAUGCUAUUAAUGUCUUGCUUUUCUCUUCCGAUUGUUCUGUUGCAUACUUAUAUAUUGCUUAUGUAUUGUCUGUGAAUUGGUACUAACGUUUCGUUUGGCUAGUGCAUAGCGAUGCCGACGUAUGUCGUGUACAAGGGUAAGGUUCCCGUAGUCUACGAUGACUGGGAGGAGUGUCGGAGACAGGUUCACCGAUUCAGCGGUAACAGUUACAAAGGGUACACCACUAGGGCCGAGGCCGAAUCUAGAUACGCCCGCUAUCUAGCGGGAGAGGGGAGGGAGCGUUGGAGGAACCGGAUGAAGACGAGUUUCAUCGUGAUGAUGCUCAUCGUGAUGACCGCAGCUCUCUUCUAUGUGAUGGUAGUUUAGAUGAUCGAUAUCGACUUGUAAUGUGAAGACAAACUCGCUACUCGCGGUCUCGAGACUUGUAAUAUAAUGUUCUAUCUUUGUUCGGUCUUUUUAAUUCGGAGACUAAUAUGAUGAAUUGUAUUCGGAGACUAAUAUGAUGAAUUGUAUUCAAAGACUAAUCUUCUAUUGUAUUCGAUGAAUCUGUUGUUGAUGUGUGCUGUCUAUAUUUUGUCAAAUUAUACAUUUUGUAACCUGUGCAAAAAACAGAAAAUAAAAAAUAAAAAAAACCUAAUAUUCAUACUAAUGACGCAUCACAUGAUAGUGCGCCAUUAGUAUGACAGUGCAUACUAAUGGCGCAUCACUGGGCAGUGCGCCAUUAGUAUGCCGCGGUUACUAAUGGCGCAUCCAGCGGUGGUGCGCCAUUAGUAUGCCAAAGCACCUGGGUAUACAUGGCCCCUGGGAGGCAUACUAAUGGCGCACCCUUGCCUAUACUAAUGGCGCACGCGCGGUGCGCCAUUAGUAUACCAGAUACUAAUGGCGCACCAGGUGGUGCGCCAUUAGUAAAAAUUACUAAUGGCGUGCUAUUAAUGGCGCACCACAGAUGCGCCAUUAAUGGCCAUUUUAGGUGCGCCAUUAGUAGGGGUUUUUCUAGUAGUGUAAUAAGCGAGAUGACGCAGUUCCUGACCGCCCCGCUACCACUACUGGUUCCAGCGUGGCGUUUGAAUUAUGCCGCGCUAGAUGCCUUUUGUCCAGCGAGGAACAAGUGGGGUCAAGCGUGCUUUGGCAAUUCCCGCCGUCAGAAGACUUCCUUGUAGUCCGGUGUAGAGGUGAGGUUGUAGGGAGAUGCAUCGACUAGGAAGGAGUGGCCACAUGAACGAGCAUAUGUAUGAUGUGAUUAAGUCUCUCGAUCGGGUAUCUGGUGCCUUACGUACGGUGUCUUAUUUUUGUCAAGCUAUGACAUCUUUCAGUUUGAGUGUCUGAUAUUAGGGUUGCAUACGUUUUGUUAUUCAGUUGCCUGUUGUCAACUCUAUGGUUAUAUCACCUCGAUGUGUGAGUCAAUGUGUUUGAACCAAUGUAGAGUUUCAUGUGAAUGUUACAAGUGUGAUUGAUAUCUUCAUGUUAUAACCGCAGUUGCCUUGGUAAGAAAUUGAAAGAGCAAACCGUUAUCGUGUUAGGAAAAAAGUCAUCGCUCAAUAUAAGUUGCUUCUCUAGAACAACCACACCUUUCCCUCAAAAAAAAGAACAACCACACCUUGUGAAAGAAGAUGGCAAACACCCAAUUAUGUCUGGUUAGAUAUGGGCAUGGCUAUGGGUAGCUUAUAGCGACACGGAAGCUAGCAUCGCCUGAAGAAACACCCGGAUGGGCCGGCCUAGAGACAAAUUUCUUCAUUUCUACCCUUAGUUUUGUUUUUCUGCCCUUUUUUCUUUAUAUUUUAUAUUUUUCCCGACAUGUUCACUACUUGAUGCUCAACUGGGAUCUCAUCUGAUGCGGAGCAUCCUAUGGACAUCACCAUGUCAAGAGUCCGUUCGGCAAGUGACACGUGUGACAUCUACUUCUCAUACAUAAAGGUGAAUCUUCUCCUUUACACGUGUUUACUUGACCCCUUCGAGGAUGGUAUACUACUUGACACUUCUCCCGUGUGCAUGCAUAGGUAUUGUCGGAGCUUCAUGGAUGUCGAGGAGGAGUGCAAGCGCCAAGGAAUGACUACACCGUCCGCGAGGGAAGCAUGGAAGAGAAGGAGGAAGAGAACCUGGCUACUCCAGAACGAGCGGUACUACUGCCCACUCCAAGCGGUACUACCGCCGAGGCCACCCAAGCGGCACUACCGCCCAGCAUCCGCCCUUCUACUGCUCAACCCGACAAACUCCAGUGAUCGAGCGGUGUAAGUCCGGUACUACUGCCCCUCCAAGCGGUACUACCGCUCAAGCGGUACUACCACCCAUGAGUCCGGUACUACCGCCCUGCCUCUGCCCAGCCGUGGGCCUUUGGCCUUGUAUCCCUCUCCCACUUACCCCUUCGUGGCUUAGACUAUAAAUAGGCCACCUCCACCUCCUUUCUAGGGUUAGCACAGAUUUAGCUCAUUUUGAGAUAGAGCUUUGCUCAUCCAUACGGAUCUACUCCUCGUGAGAGACCGCGACCUCUUCGGAGAAGAUCCAUCUUGGAUUCAAGACCCCCUCGUGGGAAGAUCCGUCUAGGAUACCAACAAGACCUCCUCUUGGAGAUGAACCUUACCUUGUAUCUUUCCCUUUGUUGUUCAUGUACCCUUGUGGAUCUUGUGUGUUUGAUUGUCUAGUGGAUGUGUGAUUGGACUUGUACUUGAGUGUUUCCCCUUGUGAUUUCUCUCCGUUCUUCCACGUGUUCUUCAUAGGGAUCCGCUCCAAACGUGAAAGAUCGGCCUCUAGGGUUCUAGCCUACAUCAUCUUGGAUCAGAGCAAGGUUGAUCACGGAUUUGGAGCCCCUACCCCUCUUUUUCUAGCCUUCUUUUGCUUGCUUUCGUCCUAAAAUCCCCACAAAAAAUAGCCCCAAUUUUUUUGUGAUUUGUUCGUUUGAUGAUUUUUUGUUGAUUUUGAUCCAUGGAUUUGCUUGGUUUUGAGUGGAUCUAGCAUCUCUCCAAGUUUCCCCACCUUCCAUCCACGAAAUCCAUCCAAUUUUGCCCCUGAAAUCAUCCUUUUCCGCCCCAAAUUCGCCCCGAUUUCGAUCUGUGAAUUUUCCCGACACGAGCGGUACUACCGCCCUCGAAGCGGUACUACCGCCCUCGAAGCGGUACUACCGCUGAGCACCACAAGCGGUACUACCACCCUCCCAAGCUAUGACGCCCGGAUAAUUAAGCUACAGUAAUCCCCUUCUAAUGGUGCCAUGUCAUCACAUUACUGUUGCUAAUCCUCGCUUGAUCCAAAUCUUAGUUCAAACUCAAAUUCAAAUUAAAGACCAAAAUUCAAAUUUCUCAAGCAUGCAAAAUAAAAUGUUCAAAGUGUGGCAAAUAAUCGCUGGAUAUUUGUCAUGUUGCAAACAACCUCUUUUGAAUUCUCAAAAUGCCCCUGGGAAUUAAUUUUUGGUCCAGUAGUAAAUUAAAUGGCAUUUGCAAAAUAAAGAAUUGUUUAUUUAACUCCAAUUGCCUCCAAACUUUAUGUGCCACUCCAAAAUAUUUGUGGCUCUGUCUAAGAUCGCCAAGGAAUUAAAAGGGCACUUCCCAUAUUUUCCCUAAGUAAAUAGUGUGCCCAAAAUAUUCUCUUAACCAUCUCUAUUUUUUUAAAUAAAAAAAGGCGAAGAAGAACUCCCCCGGGCCUCGGGCCACUCCCACUUACCAGCCCACCUAAGCCGGCCCACUCCCCCGCUCCCCUAGCCUAUAGGCCACGGCCGACCGAACCCUAACCCCGCAUGAUCCCCCCACUCCCCACUCCUCUCCCCUCUCGAUCCGAUCUGGAUCGGACCGAAACCGGCGCAAUUGGUCGAUCCAUGUAUAAAGUAAAAAUAACUAGGCCCAAUUGGUCGAUCCAUGACAGUUUUCGUGACGGUACUUCCACGUCUGUCAUGAGGGGGCUACCCUACUUGGCCCCAAAUGGAUCUUGCUAAUUGGUGACGGUUUCCGUGAUAGAUUUCUGGAACGUCACCAGAAAUCCGUCAUUGAUUAACAGAUUUCCGCACAAUCCCCCCACUCCCCACUCCUCUUCCCUCCUGAUCCGAUCUGGAUCGGACCGAAAUCGGCGCCGCGACGCCAACCGCCGUCGCUGGAGGCGUCCCCGACUCCACGCCGGGCCGCCCCGUCACUGGACCUCCUCCCCGUCGCCACUCGUCACUCGCUGGACCGCCUCGUCCCCACCAAUGCCGCCCCCACCCCAACGUCCCCGACGCCUUCGCCGUCGGCACCGCCCCAAUGUCGCCGCCACCCGACGCCGGCGCCCUCGACAUCGCCACCCCGAGCCCACUGCCACCCCUACGCUCCGCUAUGAGCCCCUCGCUGAUUCCCCCUCCUUCCCGUCGUCGUAGGUGGCUGCGCGCGUCGUUGGCCAUCGUGGCCGCGCUCCGGCCGUUCCCCAUCCGUGCGCUGGCCUCGCCUUCCUCGGAUUGCAAACAUUGAACUUUUCCCCUCGGGUUCAUCUAUCUGACAGACGUUCGGGACCAGAAAAACUUUCCCGGAUGUUUCCCCCUUCGCCAGUAUCACCUAGCACCGCGUUAGAACACUUCUAGCCCCGCUUAUUGUCUUGUUAUGCAUAUGUUUGCGUGUAUUUACUGUUUCUUCCCCCUCUUCUUCUCCGGUAGACCUCGAGACCGUUGCUGAUGCCCCUGUGGUCGACUACGUCGACGGCGACCCUCCUUGUCUGAGCAACGAGGCAAGCCCCCCCUUUGAUCAUCCCGAUAUCGCCCAUUCCAUUCUCUAAUGCUUGCACUAGAUUUUCUACUGUAUUUGAUUGCUCCUAUUCUGAUGCAUAGCAUGCUUUUCUACCUGCUGUUGUACCUUACCUGCUUAUCCUAAACUGCUUAGUAUAGGUUGGCUAGUGAUCCAUCAGUGACCCCCACCUUGUCUUUGUUGCCCCUGCUUCAUCAUUGACGACUCGAUCAACGUGAUCGACGACCGGAGCCUGACACCUCACAUCACAUCACGCCCCUUUUUGUUGCUCGACUCUGCAGAGUUACCAUCGAGUGCCGAGGGUGGAACCUCAUACAUCACUCCUUAUGAGAUCUCUGUAGUGUAGCUAUUCGGUCGUGGUCAUCGAGGGUGGUUCCUCCUUCACCAUUCCUAAUACGGCUCUGUCGUGCAACACCUCAAGUGUGAACCUCGAGGGUGGUUCCUCUUACGUUCACCUUGAUGAUUACAUCGAGUGGAAUCCACCGGGGGUGAUUCCUCGGAUUUUCCCCUUUAUGUCUGGACACACAGUUACCUUGACUUCACUUGAGACCGUUUUGAAAGCCGGGCAGGCCCGGAGAGCACCCGUGCGGUGUGACGGUGGCGGCUGGCUGUUUAGCGGUAUCACCCGGGAGGGGGUGAUAGCUCCGGACUUGUCCCGACAGCCGUCACUUCUUUUAAUAAUGCACUAACAGGUUUGGGUAUUUUUUCUAAGUUCACUAACCACGACGCUAGAAUAGUUAUGGGUCUCGAUGUUGCAGUAUCAGCCGAAGCUUUCUCAGACGUCCAGUUCAGCAUUGUGGCCGGGCCGAAUCAUGCCAUCCACUUCACGGGUGGUGCUGGUAUCCCCUUGCGCACAACGACCCAGAGUGCAACGGGCGAUGGGCCCAGACCCCGGAGUGCUUAGGAUGUAGACCGGCAGGGACCUCUCUGCUGAGCCUAGGUAGGGCAGCUACGUGUUGAUCUUCCGAGGCCGGGCAUUGACCCCAGAAAGGUGUGUCCUUCCAGAGUGAUCGAGCGUGUUGGGUAACGUGGUGCCCCCCUGCAGGGAAGAUUAUCUAUUAAUAGCCGUGUCCACGGUAACGGACGUUCAAACUUAUAUCUUGAUCUUAUACAACUACAAAUGGAUACUUGAGAUAUGUGGCUCCGGGAUUGCUUUCUCGCAGGGAGUCGAGGAAGGAUCUCUGGGCGUUGUUGUCACAACAUGCUUGUUAAUUAAACUGCUAUUCUUUACUCUUCUACAUGCUGCAAGAUGCUUGGAGCUACUUGAAGAUGCUAGUCUUCAUGAGGCUAGGCCUUCCCCUCUAUUCUGGCAUUCUGCAGUUCAGUCCACAGAUACAACCCUUCCAUUUGAUACCAAUGCAUACUUAGUAUAGAUCUGAUGCUUGCGAGUACUUUGGAUGAGUACUCACGGUUGCUUUGCUACCCCAUUUCCCCCUUCUUUCUUCUUUCCGGUUGACGCAACCAAAUGGUGGAUCCCUGGAGCCAGAUGCCAGCGCUGAUAGAUGCUACUAUGUGAAGAUCGCCGACGACCAGGAGUAGUUAGGAGGUCCCAAGCAGGAGGCCUUGCCUCUUCGAUCAUUGUUGCUUUUGUGCUAGCCUUCUUAAGGCAUCUUUGUUUAACUUAUGUCUGUACUCAGAUAUUGUUGCUUCCGCUGACUCUUGUGUAUCGAGCUAUGUAUUCAAGCCCUCGAGGCCCCUGGCUUGUAAUAUAAAGCUUGUAUUAUUUUGAUUUGUGUCUAUAGUUGUGUUGUGAUAUCUUCCCGUGAGUCCCUGAUCUUGAUCAUACACAUUUGCGUGCAUGAUUAGUGUACGAUUGAAUCGGGGACGUCACAAGUUGGUAUCAGAGCCGACUGUUUGUAGGAUCCCCCUUUCCAACUCCUUGGCUGAAGUUGAGUCUAGUCUUUGAAAAAAAUUGUUUUACUAACAUGGUUGUGUGGCUUACGGGCCCAUGUCGCCAUUGGGUGGUAUUAGGAUCUUUUACUCCUCGACCUUUACUCUGGGACUCUAAUCGCUCUUCUAUUCGGGUUAAAUGGUCUCGCAAACUAUAACUCUAGGUUCUCGUAAAUACUUUCUCCCGGAGAGCCCCUUCAUUCCAGAUGAUGGCCUGCUUCACCAGAUGAUUUCGAAGAUACCCUUCUGUAAUUUCCUGAGACUUUUGUACUCAUUGCUUUUGCAGUUCCCUACCUCUGAUAUAUCCUUACGGAUAACUUCAUACACUUGUCAUUCAUACAAUCAUUCCUAGUUGCUCUUGUUUUUACAAGAUACAUUGAAUUAUUCUCCGACUUUUAAGAAUCCCUUGCUUACUGCCCUGCAGUUCCUUGCCGCAUGAAUACCCCUACGGAUAAUUACUCGCACUUGCCGAGUAUCCGUUCGUCCAUAGUUGUUCAUGUGUUUCACAACAUUCUUUGGAAAGCUAUUUGAUCUUUUCAAAAAUCCUCAGUAGCCUAUUACUCUUGUUCCUCCUUACCUACUUACAGUAUGGUUACUUCCAUUUGUCUAGCAAUAUUCUUUAAAAUCCUUUGCGAUUGACAUCCUUACCCUAUUGUUUCAACAUGUGUGUGAAUGCACGCAAUCAUCAAUUGUUCCCUGGAAUUGUCCUUCUGGCUCAGACGUUACCCCGGACACGAGCUGGUGUUCGACAAAACAAACCUUGAUUGAUUUUGAAUCUAUGUCUAUACAACUUAAUUGUCUUUGAUCAGAGCCUCUGCUUUUGAUCCCCCAUUUUGAAAAUCAUAAUCCCCUUUGCAUUCGAGCAUAGAAUUAGUCAGUUGUUUCUAUAACCUGACCUCCUUGAAUUCUUUCUUCUUCUGGUUGAGUAUCGAUACUCACAUCAGAUCCAUUGUGGACCUCCAGGUCCUUUGUUGGUUUUUAUCCGACAGCAUCCUUCAUAUUCAGUAACCUUGUGAGCCUUUCCUCGAAUACACAAUGCCUUUGGUAAAUUGUAUCCCCCACUCUCGUCAACCAUACUCUGCUUCCGGGCUUGAGUUAUUUACUCGUGAAGUUUGUGGUAUAUGUUCCUAAUAUGUCCCUAUGGGUUGAAUCUAUGUCUUCCCUAAAUCUGUGUGAACCCUACGACUCAUACUCUACUGGUGUUAUGCCAGAUAAAAUCUCAACAGUACGGCUUCGUUGAAAAUGAGAAGUGAAUGAAAGGUUAUGCAUCGAAGAAGUGGGAGUCGACCUUGAGCCUUGUGUUCAUGCCCAUGGACACGAUGUGGAACUUAACAUGGAAGCUUCUUUUUAUAAUAAUAGCCCCCUAGCGAUAAGUACAUCUUGUAUCCAUGUGUGGUCCAUUGCAAUCGUGGUUCCGACCAUAUUGUUCUUGUUUGAUCCAUUUAUCGGACAAGUUAAAGUACUUGUCUUCUUCAAAUUGUUUCACAUGUUCAACCUCUACAUUGAUAUACCUUCGAGCAUUAUCCUCUGGUAUCUCGAGAAUAUCACGGAACUACAUAACUUCUUAUGAGUUCUUGAUCAACUAUUAUUUCUCACUGAUUCAAAUUUUUCACUAGUUGGGAGUUGUUAGACACUCGAGAAUACAGUUAACUGAUUCAAGUCUACGCUUUCCUUUCCAUUGUUCUGUUUAAUCUUUCUGGUAACCUAUCUUAUCUGAGAACUGAUAAUUCCCUGCUUAUGUAAACACCUCGGUGUACAAGCUCUGUCUGUAAGACCUUGUUACUAUUGUUGAGGACAUUCCGAUAGCUACCGAUGGACGAGAACUUUGCCUAUUGGUCCGCCUCAUCUUAACGAGCAGGAAAAUGGUUCUCUUUGUCCCUCUCCCUUGGUACCAACGUUGUUGCCAACAUAACUGACAAGUUGUCCUCUGACCUGCCUUGCUAUCAUGACCAUGCAAAAUGCUAGCGCCCUUCCUGCUUUUAACCCACAAGGUGGGCCUGAGGGAGUCCUGGACUAGGCGGUGUCCGGACAGCCGGACUAUCAUCGUCCGCCGGACUCCAAGACUACGAAGAUACAAGAUUGAAGACUCCGUCCCGUGUCUGGAUGGGACUUUCCUUGGCGUGGAAGGCAAGCUUGGAAAUACGGAUAUGUAGAUCUCCUACCAUUGUAACCGACUCUGUGUAACCCUAGCCUCCUCCGGUGUCUAUAUAAACCGGAGGGCUUUAGUCCGUAGGACACAACAUACAUUACAACAAUCAUACCAUAGGCUAGCUUUAGGGUUUAGCCUCCUUGAUCUCGUGGUAGAUCCACUCUUGUACUACCCAUAUCAUCAAUAUUAAUCAAGCAGGAUGUAGGGUUUUACCUCCAUCGAGAGGGCCCGAACCUGGGUAAAACAUCGUGUCCCUCGUCUCCGGUUACCAUCCGCCUAGACGCACAGUUCGGGACCCCCUACCUGAGAUCCGCCGAUUUUGACACCGACAUUGGUGCUUUUAUUGAGAGUUCCUCUGUGUCGUCACCAAUAGGCUCGAUGGCAUCUUCAACCAACAACGCUGUCCAGGGUGAGACUUUUCUCCCCGGACAGAUCUUUGUAUUCGGCGGCUUCGCACUGCGGGCUAAUUCGUUUGGCCAUCGGAGCAGAUCGAAAGCUACGCCCCUGGCCGUCAGGUCAGAUUCGGAAGUCUCAACUUCACGGCCGACGUCCGCGGAGACUUGAUCUUCGACGGGCUCGAGCCACAGCCAAGCGCGCCGCACUGUUACGAUGGGCAUGAUCUAGCUCUGUCGCCGAACAGUGCCUUGGUGGCCGCCCACGAAUCCGCUUCGGCCUUUAGUCCGGGGCCGAUCGCCCAGACCGAGGAACGGUGGAUGGACACCGCCUCGGGGGCUUCAACUUCCACGGCGAUGGAGCCGAACACUAAUCUUGUCCCUCGCAAAACUCGUGAUUCCGAGGUGCCGGACUCCUUGCCGGACUCCGAAGCUCCCACGCCCCUACCAACCGAAUCGGAUUGGGCGCCGGUUAUGGAAUUCACCGCCGCGGACAUCUUCCAAUACUCGCCUUUUGGCGACAUCCUGAAUUCGCUAAAGCAUCUCUCGUUAUCAGGAGAGCCCUGGCCGGACUAUGGCCAGGAUGGUUGGGAUACGGACGACGAAGAAAUUCAGAGCCCACCCACCACCCACUUUGUAGCCACUGUCGACGAUCUAACCGACAUGCUAGACUACGACUCCGAAGACAUCAACGCUAUGGACGACAAUGCCAGAGACGAACAGGAACCAGCGCCUACAGGGCACUGGAAGACCACCUCGUCAUAUGACAUAUACAUGGUGGAUACCCCAAAAGACGGGGACGGCGAAGAAACAGCGGAGGCAUAUUCUUUAAAGAAACAGCCCAAGCGCCGGCAUCAGCGGCGCUGCUCUAAAUCCCGCCACGGCAAGAAUGGAGAUUCCAGCACAGGAGAUAAUAAUACCCCAGAAAGUGCCGAAGAUAACCCCCUCCAGCAAGACUCAGCGCAGGAGGAUGCAGAAGCAAGCCCUCACGAGAAGGCGGCAGACAAAGAGGUUGAGGAUUACAACUAUAUGCCUCCCUCCGAAGACGAGGCAAGCCUCAACGAUGACGAAUUCGUCGUGCCCGAGGAUCCCGUCGAACAAGAGCGUUUUAAACGCAGGCUUAUGACCACGGCAAAUAGCCUAAAGAAAAAGCAGCAGCAGCUUCAAGCUGAUCAGGACCUGCUGGCCGAUCGAUGGACCGAGGUCCUCGCGGCCGAAGAGUAUAAACUCGAAUGCCCCUCCAAAAGCUAUCCAGGACGCAAGCUGCUCCCCCGAUUAGAGGAGGAAGCAUACAUACCUCCAUCACCAGCGCACGAUACGGCUGACCGACCACCCCGUGGUCGUGACAGAGAGGCAUCCAGGCCCCCAACCAAGACCGUACCCCGGCAUCGCUCGAAAAGUAUGAAGCCAAGAGGGAACGCGCCGGACUUGCGAGAUAUAUUGGAGGACAAAGCAAGGCAAUCCAGAUCCAUCUACGGAUCACGGGGGUGCCCCACGACCCAUGACGAAUACCGUCGCGCCGGAUACAAUAACCCCGGCCGGGCCGAACACAGCAGACAACGCUCUCUCGAGUUGCAUCGUGAUAUUGCUCAAUAUAGAGGCGCCGCACACCCGCUAUGCUUCACAGACGAAGUAAUGGAUCAUCAAAUCCCUGAAGGGUUUAAACCCGUAAACAUCGAAUCCUACGAUGGCACAACAGACCCUGCGGUUUGGAUCGAAGAUUACCUUCUCCACAUCCAUAUGGCCCGCGGCGACGAUCUACAUACCAUCAAGUACCUCCCACUCAAGCUUAAAGGACCAGCUCGGCAUUGGCUCAACAGCUUGCUCGCAGAGUCAAUUGGGUGUUGGGAAGACCUAGAAGCCGCAUUCCUUGAUAACUUCCAGGGCACGUAUGUGCGACCACCAGACGCCGAUGACCUAAGUCACAUCAUUCAGCAGCCAGACGAAUCGGCCAGACAAUUCUGGACACGGUUCUUGACAAAGAAAAAUCAAAUCGUCGACUGUCCGGAUGCAGAGGCCCUUGCAGCCUUCAAACAUAACACCCGCGACGAAUGGCUAGCCCGGCACCUGGGGCGGGAAAAGCCGAAAUCCAUGGCAGCCCUCACAUCAUUAAUGACCCGCUUUUGCGUGGGAGAGGAUAGCUGGCUAGCUCGCAGCAACAAUCUCCGUAAAAAUUCUGGCAGUCCAGACACCAAGAACAAUAAUGGCAGGUCACGUCGAAACAAAAACAAACGCCGCAUCAACGGCAAUGAUAAGGAGGAUACGGCAGUCAACGCCGGAUUCCGAGGCUCUAAACCCGGUCAACGGAAGAAGCCAUUCAAAAGAACCACUCCGGGUCCGUCUAAUUUGGACCGAAUACUCGACCGCUUAUGCCAGAUACAUGGCACCCCUGAAAAGCCAGCUAAUCACACUAAUAGAGACUGCUGGGUGUUCAAGCAGGCAGGUAAGUUAAUUGCCGAAAACAAUGACAAGGGGCUAAACAGCGAGGACGAGGAGGAGACCCGACCGCCGAACAAUAGAGGACAAAAGGGUUUUCCCCCACAAGUGCGGACGGUGAACAUGAUCUACGCGACCCAUAUACCCAAUUGGGAGAGGAAGCGUGCACUAAGGGACGUCUAUGCGAUGGAGCCAGUCGCCCCGAAGUACAAUCCAUGGUCCUCUUGUCCGAUCACUUUCGAUCGAAGAGACCAUCCGACCAGCAUACGCCAUGGCGGAUUCGCCGCAUUGGUUCUAGACACAAUCGUCGAUGGAUUUCACCUCACGAGAGUCCUGAUGGACGGCGGUAGUAGCCUGAACCUGCUUUAUCAGGACACAGUGUGCAAAAUGGGCAUAGACCCCUCAAGGAUUAAACCUACAAAGACAACCUUUAACAGUGUCAUACCAGGUGUGGAAGCCAACUGUACAGGCUCAGUCACACUGGAAGUGGUCUUCGGAUCCCCGGACAAUUUCCGGAGCGAGGAGUUAAUCUUCGACAUAGUCCCGUUUCGCAGCGGCUAUCACGCUCUGCUCGGACGAAUCGCGUUCGCAAAAUUCAACGCGGUGCCGCAUUGUGCAUACCUCAAGCUCAAGAUGCCAGGCCCUCAUGGAGUCAUCACGGUCAAUGGGAAUACGGAACGCUCCCUCCGAACGGAGGAACAUACAGCGGCUCUCACGGCAGAAGUACAGAGCAGCCUUUUAAGGCAAUUCUCGAGUCCGGCCAUUAAACGGCCGGAUACAUCAAAGCGCGCCCGAAGCAAUACCAACCAAGACCACCUGGCGUGAUCAGAGCACGCGUAGCAAUGCGGCCCCAACCCCCGCCCGCGCGUGAUUGCAAGAAUAACCCUCCGCGUACAUCAUUACGCUUUGGAGAUACCAUGGGCGCAGGGGAAGGGGCACGAUCACAACGGACCCAGAGUGCAGUUCGACCGCACCAGGGGCUCGCAAGUGUGCCCCCUUUUUUUUAUUGUUAUUUUCCCUCUUUGUGUACACAGGACUCCGUUAGCCAGAGGCCCUAUCCGGCGGUGAACCUGCCGAACUCAUGAUGCAAUAACCAGGGAAGAAAGAACGCUGCGACGAACACUCAGGUGGUCUCAAUUACAAGCAUUAAAUUCGAUUAUAUACACCAAGUCCGCAGCUUACCCUUGGAGGGGGACAUGUUUAAUUAGUCCAAAUCCCUUGCUUACCACACUAUUUGUAUCAGUCCGCACUCAUAGCAGACUUUCUUUCAUAAAUAAUGCAGCACCUUUUUGACUGCAAUUACAUUACCUUUUAUAUAUAUAUGCUCAUUACAUGACAUCUUGCACCCGUAUAUUUUGGUACGGCCUAAUACACCAGGGGCUUAUGUUCCCCACAUUAUGGUGUGAUAAGUCCGAACACUUUCGUAAGUGCAGCACCCCGAACUUAUAGCACUAUAUGAAUCGGCUCCGAAUCAUGUCUUGGGUCAAUAGUUGGGUUUGCCCGGCUCCCACGUUUUGGUGCCUUACGUUCCGUUCUGUCGGCUAAGGUGGCACUGGGAGAACCACUGCGAUUGCGCCCCGGUUGAGCCGGGCGAGCACCUCAGUGGAGAAAGCUAAAACUGACCGGCAUGAUAAGGCGAGAGACUGGUCGCUGUUCGAGAGGUUUUUUCGGGUCCUUAAAGACUCACGCCACUUCGAGCGAAGUUCCGGACCAUGUCUGACGAAGGCGUGGAUAGCGCCCCGGAUUCGGCCUUUCGGAUACCAGGGGCUUCGCCGAAAUUUAAAAUUAUAGAAUUCUAUGGCUAAGUGAGAGUGUUCAAGCAUUAUAAGUCCGGUCGCCUUGUUCGUUGUGUUGAGCACCUCCCUAGAUGGACCCAAAAAUGGGAAUAAGAGUGCUCAAGUUUAUCCCGAACACCCCAGCACUCGUGGCUCGGGGGCUGAAGCCAAUGACUUUCCAUCUCUCAGAUUUUAUAAACGGCCGCACAGAAGGUAAUAUUUUAAAUUAAAACAAGCGUUGCUCAUGGCGCAUCUGAACGAAGUUUUCAGCGCACAGGAUAAUACAUAGCGAGUUCACUCAAAGAUUACAUUUCUAGGGCACUCAUCCGCAAUAUCGCGGGCUCCCUUCAGGACAGUUUUAUAAUACAUUUCAGGCGUGCGAUACUCCUUGCCCGGCGGCGGUGGGUCUGUGAGAAGCUUCUCCGCAUCCAACCUGCCCCAAUGCACCUUUGUGCGGGCAAGGGCCCGACGAGCACCUUCAAUACAGGCGGAGCGCUUGAUGACCUCCACCCAGGGGCAUGCAUCCACCAGCCGCCGCACGAGGCCGAAGUAGCUACCAAGCAUGACCUGUUCAGGCCACAGCCGGACUAUAAGGCCCUUCAUGGCCUCUUCAGCUACCUUGUGGAGUUCGACCAGCUGCUUCAGCUGGUCGCUUGGGGGCACCGGAUGGCCUGCCUCAGCGUACUAAGACCAGAAGACCUUCUCCGUUGAGCUCCCCUCCUCGCCACGAUAGAAUGCGGCGGCAUCGGAGGCACUACACGGCAGAUCUGCAAACACCCCUGGAGAGCUCCGAAUGCGGGUAAUUGUCAGGUAGUUUACAUUAACAUGCUUGCUUUGCAUGAAAAAUGCCUUACCCGCCGCUAUCUUCUUUACAUCUUCAACCUCCUGAAGGGCCUUACGGGCCUCGGCCUUGGCGGACUUGGCACUUUCGAGAGCCGAGGCAAGCUCGGACUCUCGAGUCUUGGAGCCUCCUGCUUUUCUCGCUCCGCCCGUUCCGCGACCGCACUGCGUUCAGCCGCGGACACAGCCUCCUUCAGGGCUGCCACCUCGUUCGUGGCCCCUGCAAUACCCAUAUUAUCCUUGUUAAUUUUAUUGCAACCAAAAUCCUUUUCCGUAAGGUGACUAUUCAAAGCGGUGUUACUCACCUUCUUUGUCCUCGAGCUGCUUCUUGGCAGUGCCGAGCUCUUGCUCGGACCGCUCGAGAUCCUGCUUCAACACAUCGACCUCCGCCGUCAGUGCGGCAGAGGUCAGUAGCGCAGCCUGCAAACCCAUAUUGACAUAUUUUAAGCAACCCUGCGUAUAUCUUGUUAGAUCCUCAGUCCGGCUUUUCUUUCCGAACACCGAACUGAGCAUCAAGGGCUACUGUCUAUGCGGUAUUACAUUACAUAAUUUUAACUUCUUACCUCAAAGCCUGUUAGAAGGCUGCUGCAGGCUUCGGUCAGCCCGCUCUUGGCGAGCUAAACCUUUUGAAUCACCGCACUCAUGUUAGUGCGAUGUUUUUCCUCGAUGGAAGCGCCUUCAAGCGCCUCCAACAAGUUAUCCGGCGCCUCCGGUUGGACGGAGGUCGCCGGUGUCAAGGUCUUGCCCUUCUUUCGAAGGGGCCGCCCGCCGGACUCUAGAACCACUGCGGGUUCCGAUGUAGAGUCCGGCACAAAGUCUGGGAGGCAGCCUGACGACGCCUCCGGAGCCUCCUCCUGAUGGGUCCCUCUCUGGGAUCCCACCUCGGCGUCCCCGUCGGCGCGGGGGGUAGAGGCGGUCGGAAGUGAAUCCACAUCUAACGGGGCCAACGACCCGCUCGAUGAAGCGGGGAGAUCAUCAUCGGCCGGACUACGGACAGAACGCGGCAUUAGAAGGACACUACGCGACACGAAAGAAAUUGCAUAUCAUGGAUCCGGAUACUUACGAUCUUGUCGGACGCCUGGCCCUUGGAGGCCACUCAUCCUCGCCAACGGUGGUGUUGGCGAAACUGUCCGGGGGGAUAGUCCUCCCCCUCUUGGACCCUUCGGCCUCCCCUAUUGGGAAAGCCUUCCACUUCUUCUCUCCCUCCUCCGAGAGAGAGUCCUCUUCCUCCUCCUCGUCUUUGGGGGAGGAGUCCGCCUCGUCGUCGGACGCCUAAUUGCGGGAACUCUUUCGAGUCCCCGCGGCCACCUUCUUGGCCUUCUUCUCCGGCACCACGUGCGGUGCCGGAACCAGCAGCCCUGCUAAACGGGCGUUCUCUGGGUCUUCAGGCAUGGGAGCCGGGCUGAUGAGCUGCUUGGCCUUCUCCAUCCAUUCCUAUCAAAGGAAAAGAGAGAUUGAAACCCUCUUAGAAUCAGUUUAAUUACCACAAGUGUCCCGUAACGUGGUUGAAUCACUUACCUCGUCAGCCGGAUGCUGCGAGCGAAAUCCGUGAUCUUCCGUCGCGGAUGCGGGGGCUUCGGCGCCCUUAAACAGCACCCUCCAGGCGCCUUCGUAUGUCGUAUCGAAGAGCCCGCUCAGCGCCUGGUGCUGUUCCGGAUUGAACUCCCACAGAUUGAAUACCCGUUCUUGGCAUGGGAGAAUCCGGCGGAUGAGCAUGACUUGGACCACGUCGACGAGCCUGAGCUUAUUGCUCACCAGCUUCUGGAUGCAGGCUCGGAGUCCCGUCACCUCCUUCGGAUUUCCCCACAGCAAGCCCUUCUCUUUCCAGGAGGUGAACUGCGUGGGGACGCCAGAUCUAAACUCGGGGGCCGCCGCCCAUGUGGGCUUGCGCAGCUCGGUGAUGUAGAACCAACCCGAUUGCCACCCCUUGACGGAGUCCACGAAGGCCCCUUCGAGCCAAAGGACGUUGGGCAACUUACCCAACAUGGCGCCUCCGCAUUCCGCUUGCGUGCCCUUCACAACCUUCGGCCUCCCCUAUUGGGGAAGCCUUCCUCUUCUUCUCUCCCUCCUCCGGGAGAGAGUCCUCUUCCUCCUCCUCGUCUUCGGGGGAGGAGUCCGCCUCGUCGUCAGACGCCUGAUUGCGGGAACUCUUUCGAGUCCCCGCGGCCACCUUCUUGGACUUCUUCUCCGGCACCACGUGCGGUGCCGGAACCAGCAGCCCUGCUAAACGGGCGUUCUCUGGGUCUUCAGGCAUGGGAGCCGGGCUGAUGAGCUGCUUGGCCUUCUCCAUCCAUUCCUGUCAAAGGAAAAGAGAGAUUGAAACCCUCUUAGAAUCAGUUUAAUUACCACAAGUGUCCCAUAACGGGGUUGAAUCACUUACCUCGUCAACCGGAUGCUGCGAGCGAAAUCCGUGAUCUUCCGUCGCGGAUGCGGGUGCUUCGGCGCCCUUAAACAGCACCCUCCAGGCGCCUUCGUAUGUCGUAUCGAAGAGCCCGCUCAGCGCCUGGUGCUGUUCCGGAUUGAACUCCCACAGAUUGAAUGCCCGUUCUUGGCAUGGGAGAAUCCGGCGGAUGAGCAUGACUUGGACCACGUCGACGAGCCUGAGCUUAUUGCUCACCAGCUUCUGGAUGCAGGCUCGGAGUCCCGUCACCUCCUUCGGAUUGCCCCACAGCAAGCCCUUCUCUUUCCAGGAGGUGAACUGCGUGGGGACGCCAGAUCUAAACUCGGGGGCCGCCGCCCAUGUGGGCUUGCGCAGCUCGGUGAUGUAGAACCAACCCGAUUGCCACCCCUUGACGGAGUCCACGAAGGCCCCUUCGAGCCAAAGGACGUUGGGCAACUUACCCAACAUGGCGCCUCCGCAUUCCGCUUGCGUGCCCUUCACAACCUUCGGCUUGACGUUGAAGGUCUUGAGCCACAGGCCGAAGUGGGGCCGGAUGCAGAGGAAGGCCUUGCACACGACGAUAAACGCCGAGAUGUUGAGGAUGAAGUUCGGCGCCAGAUCGUGGAAAUCCAGGCCGUAGUAAAACAUGAUCCCCCGGACGAAUGGGUGGAGUGGAAAGCCCAGUCCGCGGAGGAAGUGGGGAAGGAAGACGACCCUCUCAUGGGGCCCAGGGGUAGGGAUGAGCUGCCCCUCGUCGGGCAGCCGAUGCGCGAUAUCGCCGGAAAGGUAUCCGGCGCUGCGAAGCUUGGUGAUAUGCUCCUCCUUAACGGUGGAGUCCAACCAUUUGCCUCCCGCUCCGGACAUAUUCGGAGAAGGUCGGGGCGAGAUGCGCGAGCUUGGGCGUUGGAGCUUGAGUGCACGGAGAUGGAUAAGCAAAGGAGGAAGAAGGCGUAGGUGAGAAGGUAAAUCCUUAUCCCUUAUAUAUAGGCGGACGAAAACUAUGCGUCCCCACCGGCCUGAUAAAACUCGCUUAUCUCCCAAGCGCCACCAUCAAUGGCGCGGUUGGGUUACCCACGUCCGUAUUGAUGGGAAUCCCGGAAUAAGGGGAACACAAUCUCUGCUUCGACAAGACGUGCCAAGGAAACCGCUUCGCUAAACGUGCUGAGGUGGUAUAGUAAAAAACGAUUCAAACAAAGGCUUGGUAGCGGUGUGAUGUCACGCCGCAUAAUACGUCAGCAGAUUGGACUGGUGUACAUUUUAUUCUCUCUACGGUGGAAUGUGGAAUUUAUUUUGCAGAGCCGGACACUAUCCUGGUGUUCAUGAUCUUCUCUGGAUUAUUCAAGGGAGGAACCCGCCUUGCAAUGCCGAACAUUAUGCGCGCCGGACUUAUCGUCAUUGAAGCCUGGUUCAGGGGCUACUGAGGGAGUCCUGGACUAGGGGGUGUCCGGACAGCCGGACUAUCAUCGUCCGCCGGACUCCAAGACUACGAAGAUACAAGAUUGAAGACUCCGUCCCGUGUCCAGAUGAGAUUUUCCUUGGCGUGGAAGGCAAGCUUGGCAAUACGGAUAUGUAGAUCUCCUACCAUUGUAACCGACUCUGUGUAACCCUAGCCUCCUCCGGUGUCUAUAUAAACCGGAGGGCUUUAGUCCGUAGGACACAACAUACAUUACAACAAUCAUACCAUAGGCUAGCUUUAGGGUUUAGCCUCCUUGAUCUCGUGGUAGAUCCACUCUUGUACUACCCAUAUCAUCAAUAUUAAUCAAGCAGGACGUAGGGUUUUACCUCCAUCGAGAGGGCCCGAACCUAGGUAAAACAUCGUGUCCCUCGUCUCCUGUUACCAUCCGCCUAGAUGCACAGUUCGGGACCCCCUACCCGAGAUCCGCCGGUUUUGACACCGACAGGGCCCAUAACCCACAGUUCCACAGGAUCGAAACCUGACUCAUGUACAUCCCUGUUUUUCAAAGUUGUUCCUCGCGCUUGGAUUCGUAUGUAAUUCACGAGCCACCUUCCUUGUGAUCUGUUCUGGUAUCAGAUGCAAUACUUAUUCCCAUUGCUCUAAACCCCUUUCACCUUCUUACCUUGCUCUCGAUGACUAUCCUGAAUUCCAACUCAAGAGAUGCCUCUAUGCCAUGUUGAGGUACCUAUCUUGUGUUGAGCUCCAUCCCUCCCGAGUCUUUCCCCCUUACUCACCCCUUAAAUCUCGAGACGAUAUUUCUUGUAGUGGAGGAGAAUUGUGACGCCCAAAUAAUUAAGCUACAGUAAUCCCCUUUUAAUGGUUCCAUGUCAUCACAUUACUAUUGCUAAUCCUCGCUUGAUCCAAAUCUUAGUUCAAACUAAUAUUCAAAUUAAAGACCAAAAUUCAAAUUUCUCAAGCAUGCAUAAUAAAAUGUUCAAAGUGUGGCAAAUAAUCCCUGGAUAUUUGUCAUGUUGGAAACAACCUCCUUAGAAUUUUCAAAAUGCCCCUGGGAGUUAAUUUUUGGUCAAGUAGUAAAUUAAAUGGCAUUUGCAAAACAAAUAAUUAUUUAUUUAACUCCAAUUGCCUCCUGUCGUGGGAAACGAACACCUAUGGGGCAGGGCCCCUUUUCGGUCUGGCAAGGGAGCGGAGGGCACACGAAGAGCAGAUCGAGGCGAAGCACGCGGGGGAAUUUUACCCAGCUUCGGAGCUCUCCGGAGAGAUAAAACUCCUACUGCUGCUUUGUGUUUCUAUUCUGUUCUUGCUCAAGAGUGUGGGUGUGUUGUAGUUUCGAAUGAGUCGAACCCCUUCUACGUGCGCAUGGGCCUCCUUUUUAUAGUCUAAAGGGGUCACCGACAGGUGGCAGCAUAGAGAGAGGGGUAAAAAAGUAAAAACGCGGGUUGGUACAACCGCUAUCAACAGUGCCCCCUACCUAACUCUGACAGCAGGGGACAAGGGCAUUUAAUGCCCAUCCGGUCGCCCAAACAGUGCAGGAAGUGACCGUUAGGGGCGCCACCAAUCGCCACGAUGGCCUCCUAGUCAUCUUCACUUGCCACCUCGCACCGCUUGGCUGCACAGCUACCCGCCACGUGCACCGGGAGCGAUCCUGCGGCGACACGUCAUCGGAUGCGCUGGAGCAUGGGCGCAGAGUUGUGGCUUUGCCGCGGCAAGCGCCUUGCCGCGGUCACUAUCUUGUUGCACCCGCAAGCUUGCCGCUCGCCGGGUCUUGGUUGGCCUUCCCGGCAAGAUCCUCCUGCCGGGGUCUUGUCCUUCCCGGCAAGCUUCUCUUGCCGGGGCUUCGUCUUCACAGUUAACACUUUGUUCUUGAAUGGCAGUAAAUAGGAAUGACGAAGGAUCUUGGCGGACGCCCGGCAAGCCUUGCCGCAGGACGCUGCGCCUGCCCGUGCACAAGUUCGGGGUACUAAGGUACCCCUACUUUAGUACACCGACUGGAGCCCCCGGGCCUGGGCCAUACACGGUGCUGAGCGCUGUUGGGCCAGGCCCAAAACAGGACACGGGCACGCGCGGCCUGGGUCCUAACUAAAUCCACUCCGUAUCCACCGCGUCCUCCCGUAACGGCACGCGUCAAUCGCGGCGUCGUGGGAGAGAUCGUGGGUGGAAGACGUUCGCGCGUAUCCACAGCCUGAUGGAGGGGUUUACCCUCCAUUUUAAGUUAAUGGAGGGCGAUCUCCUCUCCGUCAAGGUCUUCGGGUGCUUCGACACUCGGGCGAAGUGCUGCGUGGACAGCUCCUCCGAUAGCAAAGGCUCCCCCUCGAGCGAGAGCGACAAGGAGGAGAGCAACAGCGAUGAUGAGGGUAGCGGGCGGCGGGAUGGCGGGCCCGACUAGGUGUCGGGCGCCGCUUCGUGCGUCACCGGUGACCCCAUCAUCCGUGUCGCCGGCUCCUUGAACUCCCCGGGGUCGUCUCCUUGGGCGGCUGGCGUAGGGAGGCUGCGGAAGGGGAAGAGGGCUGGCGACAAGGCCGUCAAAUCGGAGUACGAGGGCGUAGUGCCCUCGACAGCGUGCUGACGUCCUGCCGCCCCAUCUUCGAGCCCCGCUUCCAGCGCCGCCAUCACCGUCCGGCCUUCGGACGGCCCCCGGGAUGUUCUCUUGGUGUCUUCGCCUAGGCGCCUCUUUUGCCCUUUUCGCCUCCUUGACCUACAUCCUGAAGAGAGGGACAGGAAAGGGAUUACGGGCAUCUUAUCUUUUUAAUUUGUAAGCCUUCGGGCCCUAGUCGCAUCUAAAACUUGUAACCCUCUCUUUCAUGUUUUUCAUCCUCUAUGGACUGUACCUGAGUGUGAUGUUUUUUUAAUGAAAAAGGGAUGCUUGCCGGGUUAUUUGUCUCAUGGGUUGAACCCACGCCAAGGAGCAAAUCCUUGGUAUCCCUCGGACAGGCAUUUCAUCUCCCGCCAACAGGCCCUGCCGCCUUCCCACGUCGCUCGACCUUUCUCACGCCUUUGACGGAGGCGGGAACGAGGUGGGUGCGGCCUCCUCAUUUCAUCCCUUUGCUGCUGUGACUACGACCAAACUUGGCCCCGGGAACGAGCCCCAGGGCCUAGAGUUGAGGGAGCACGGCAGUUUUCGGGAAGAAACGCGGUUUCGCAUUCCCCAGUCCAUAAGAGGAUGCAUGAUGAGGGACGAAAGACUUAUCUGAUAUCGCAGCCCCCGGCAACUCUGGCUUGCCGUGGAUGAAUCUUGGUACUCGCAGCCCCCAGCAACACUGGCUUGCCGGGGCCCAGGUGCCGGCGCGCCCUUCUUCUCCUUUCCUUGUCGCUGUUAUUUCAGUUAUGAGAACAAUUUAGUCAGUGCCGCAAUAAGUUACUCUUGUAAUAUAACUUUAUUCUGGGCAAUGCUUGUUAUGUUACAUCCUUUAUUUGAUUCCAUUCCUUGUAUGUUUGUACCCUUACGCUUUUACGGAACUUGCCGGUGCAAACACGCUUGCCACGAGCGCUGAGUGCAAAACAUCAGCAGCCUUCUAGCGGUGUUGCCUCCGGCAAGAAACCUUGUCGGGGCUAGUCGCAGCACACUUUCAUUGUUGAGCGGACUCAAAACAAAGUAAGGGUGCAACUUAACCACGAGCCGGUUCCUCUGCGCACAGGUUUUCCAUACAAGGCAUGGUCGUUCAAGGAAUAUAACUUAAAAAUUUAAAACUGACUGUGCUUAAACUUCGGCAACUUAGCUUUUUUGUUGUUUGUGUCCNNNNNNNNNNNNNNNNNNNNNNNNNNNNNNNNNNNNNNNNNNNNNNNNNNNNNNNNNNNNNNNNNNNNNNNNNNNNNNNNNNNNNNNNNNNNNNNNNNNNNNNNNNNNNNNNNNNNNNNNNNNNNNNNNNNNNNNNNNNNNNNNNNNNNNNNNNNNNNNNNNNNNNNNNNNNNNNNNNNNNNNNNNNNNNNNNNNNNNNNNNNNNNNNNNNNNNNNNNNNNNNNNNNNNNNNNNNNNNNNNNNNNNNNNNNNNNNNNNNNNNNNNNNNNNNNNNNNNNNNNNNNNNNNNNNNNNNNNNNUGUGGGCGCAGGAAUCUUCUCUUUGAGAAAAAGGAAGAAGAGAAAAUAAAGUUAUGGAGCCUUAAGGCUUGUUAUUGCUUACCGGGGGCAAGUUCUGCACAAAGUGUCAGUGUAUACAUGCUAAAAAGAAAAAGGCAUGAAUUUUGACAAUAUGUACUAAACAUAUGAUCUUUAUUUAUGCACGGGAUCUGCGCCCGGCUUUGUACAAAGGGUUACAUGCAACAACGGCAAGGCUUGUACAAAAGGUGGUUGCCAGGACAGCAGGUUCCGGCAACCGCGCCUUAUGGGUAAAACUUACGAAGAUGAUCUAUGUUCUAGGAGUUGCUCACCGGAAUGCCAUCUUCGGUCUCAAGGCGGACAGCGCCAGGCCUAGUGACUCGCUUUACCCGAUAAGGGCCUUCCCACUUCGGCGUCAACUUGUUGGAAUUCUUGGCAGAUUGAACGCGCCGAAGAACAAGGUCACCUUCCUCGAAGCUUCUGGCAUUAACUUCGCGGCUAUGGUAGCGGCGCAAAGCUUGCUGGUAGCGAGCAGCUCGUACAGCAGCCUGAAGACGAUCCUCCUCGAGGAGCAGCGCGUCAUCUUGCCGCAGCUGCUCUUGCUCAAGCUCAUCAUAAGCGAGCACUCGAGGCGAUCCGUAUACGAGUUCUGUGGGGAGAACUGCCUCUGCUCCAUAGACAAGAGCAAAAGGUGUCUGGCCAGUGGCUCGAUUUGGCGUCGUCCUGAUCGACCAAAGAACCACCUGUAGCUCCUCGAUCCAAUUUCUUCCGCACUUGUGCAGCCUGUCGAAAGUUCUGGUCUUGAGCCCACGCAGCACUUCAGCGUUUGCCCUCUCCGCUUGACCGUUGCUUCUCGGGUGAGCAACAGAAGCGAAGCAGAUCUUGGCGCCAAGAUCUUGGACGUACUGCAUGAAGGUGCAGCUCGUGAAUUGUGUGUUGUUGUCGGUGAUGAUCCUAUUAGGGACUCCGGAACGGCAAACAAUUGACCUGAAGAACUUGACUGUUGACUGUGCUGUCACCUUCCUCACUGGCUCCACCUCCGGCCACUUCGUGAACUUGUCGAUGGCCACGUACAAGUACUCGAAGCCCCCGACAGCUCGGGGAAAAGGGCCAAGGAUAUCAAGCCCCCAGACUGAAAAUGGCCAGGAUAAAGGGAUUGUUUGGAGAGCUUGAGCUGGUUGAUGAAUCUGUUUGGAGUGGAACUGGCACGCUUCACACUUGGUUACUUGUGCAGUCGCAUCCUGGAGGGCUGUUGGCCAAAAGCAACCUUGCCGGAAGGCUUUACUGGCAAGUGCUCUUGCGCCAAUGUGGUGGCCACAUAUGCCUCCAUGUAUCUCCGCCAACAGCUCUUGUCCUUCUUCCCGGGAAAUGCACUUCAAUUUCACUCCGUUGAAUCUUCUUCUGUACAGUAUGUCAUCGACAAACUGAUACAUACUUGAUUGUCGGGCUACUUUCUCUGCUUCUUCUUGCUCUUCGGGAAGUUCUCCUGUUUGAAGGAAAUGGACGAUCUGCUGUGCCCAUGCCGGAGCUUGUGGCUCGACGACAAGGACUAAAGGCGCAAAUGCUGCUGCGGGAACAUCCGCUUCUACGGCAAGAAUAUGAGAUCCUGCCGGAGCGUGAUGCUCCCCGGCAAGCGUGCCGGGGCACAGCUUGUCGGGAGCGUCUGCUUCAACGAAACAAACCCUAGGGCUUGUCGGAGCAGACUGCUCCUCAGCACUUUCUAUGUUGAUCCUGGGGACCUUCUUGGCGGCGGCUUCGGGGAGCUCUGCCGGAAAGUAGUCGCCAGUAACCAACUUUCUCUUCUUGCUCUGUCCAGUUGAUGGUGUUACAGAUGGCUGAGUCAGCUUGAGCACAAAAAUACCUGGUUCCACAGGUAACUUGAGUGCGGUGCACUUUGACAGGCCGUCUGCAAUGUCAUUCUGAGCUCUUGGAACAUGUUCCAUCUGCAGGCCGUCAAAAUGCUCUUCCAGCUUCCUCACUUCAUCAAUGUAGGCCUCCAUCAGCGGACUCUGAUAAUCUGUGUUAACUUGGCGGACGACAAGCUGUGAGUCACCCCUGACAAUAAGCUUCUUGAUCCCAAGUUCUGUCGUGAUCCUGAGUCCGGCAAGCAGGCCCUCAUAUUCUGCAGUAUUGUUUGUUGCUUGCUCCUUGGGAAAGUGCAUUUGGAUCAUGUACUUGAGGUGCUCUCCGGUGGGUGCGACAAGUAACACACCCGCACCGGCGCCUUGCAGCGAGAAAGCACCAUCAAAGUACAUGAUCCAUUCCCUGUUUGCUUCCUUGACGGGGAUCCUCGUCUCCGGAGUUUCUUCAUCUGGUGUUGGCGUCCACUCCACUAUGAAUUCUGCCAAUGCUCGGCUCUGGAUAGUUGAAGUACUUUCAAACUUGAGGCCAAAGCUUGACAGUUCCAGUGCCCACUCGACAAUCCUGCCUGUUGCUUCUGGAUUUUGCAAUAUCCUCUUCAACGGAAAGCGAGUGACAACUGUGAUCUGAUGUGCUUGAAAAUAAUGGCGCAGCUUCCUCGAGGCCAUGAGAAGGCCGAAAAGCAACUUUUGCACUCCAGAGUAUCUUGAUCUAGCCACCUGCAGAAGGGAGCUGACAAAAUAAACUGGGUGCUGCACCAUCUUCUUUUGUUUCUCUGCCUGCGGCUGCACAGACUCAUCCUUGUCGGGACCAGAGCUUGACGGAGAAGCCCCCUGCUUGUCGCUGGACUCGCUUGCCGCGGCCGCUGGCUCAUCAUCUGCCUCCCUCUCUGCUACUAACGCAGCACUAACCACUUGAUUGGUUGCUGCUAGAUACAGCAGCAACUUCUCUUGCGGCUUAGGUGCGACAAGUACUGGAGUGGAGGAUAGGUAUCUCUUCAAGUCCUGUAGCGCAGCCUCCGCUUCUGGAGUCCAUUUCAUUGGACCUGCCUUUUUCAAAAUUUUGAAAAACGGCAGGGCGCGCUCAGCAGACUUAGAGAUGAACCUACUGAGAGCAGCAACGCAGCCGGCAAGCCUUCGCACAUCCUUGAGGCGCUUCGGGGCUUCAAUCUGCUCGAUGGCCUUGAUCUUGUCGGGGUUGGCUUCGAUCCCCCUCUGGGACACGAAGAACCCGAGAAGCUUGCCGGAAGGAACUCCAAACACGCACUUCUCAGGGUUCAACUUGAGAUUGAUCUUGCGCAGAUUUGCAAAAGUCUCAUCCAAAUCUUGGAUCAAAGUUUCUCUAUCUUUGCUCUUGACCACUAUAUCAUCCAUGUAUGCUUCUACAUUCCUGUGCAGCUGUGGCUCAAAAGCAUGACUGACUAGUCUUGCAAACGUUGAACCAGCAUUCUUUAGUCUGAAAGGCAUUCAUACAAAGCAGUACGUGCCACAUGGAGUAAUGAAUGCGGUGUUCUCUUCAUCCUCUUUUGCCAUGAAAAUCUGAUGGUAUCCUGAGUAUGCAUCAAGAAAUGAAAGCAGAUCACAUCCUGCCGUGGAGUCGACAAUCCGGUCAAUGCGCGGCAAGGGAAAUGGAUCUUUGGGACAAGCUUUAUUAACAUCCGUGAAGUCAAUACAAAGCCUCCACUUCCCAUUCACCUUGCGCACAAUUACUGGAUUGGCUAACCACGUUGGAUGGAGUACUCCUCGGACGAGGCCUGUUGCUUCCAACUUCUUGAUCUCUUCUGCUAUGAACUCUUGGCGUUCCGCCGCUUGCUUCUUGACUCUCUACUUGACGGGCCGCGCGUGAGGACAGACGGCAAGGUGGUGCUCAAUUACUUUCCUGGGAACACCGGGGAUGUCAGAUGGUUGCCAUGCAAACACAUUGACAUUCGCCCGCAGGAAAGCAACGAGCGCGCUUUCCUAUUUAGGGUCAAGCGUGGCACUGAUGGUGAAGGUACCACUAGUGCCGUCCUCCUUGGCGGCCACUUUCUUGGUAUCAGGUGUCGCUAUCUUUGCCCUCUUGCACUUGCCGGUGGAGCUCGAUGGUGCGUCCUCGACGGUAGCACAGCACUCCGAAGAGGUGCGCUUGCCGGAGUGGGCAUCAGAGCUACUCUUGCCGGACUUGGUCUUCUUCUUCUUCCCCCCGGGAGCUUCAGCGGCAAGUGGUUUGUGCUCUGCUGCGGCUGCUGCUUCCUGGUAGAUCUUGUCGGUGCAGAUAAGCGCAUCCUUCUUGUCGCCUUGGACAGAAAUGACGCUUAUCGGACCGGGCAUCUUGACCACGUUGUAAGCAUAAUGAGAGGCUGCCAUGAACUUGGAAAGCGCUGGACGGCCGAGUAUCCCAUUGUAGGGCAACGGGAAAUCAGCAACAUCAAAUGUGACUCUCUCUGUCCUGAAGUUCAGUUUGCUGCCAAAUGUCACUGGUAGUGUAAUCUUCCCCUUGGGCUUGCUCCUUCCCGGGUUGAUUCCUUGAAAGGUACCAGUUUCUUCGAGCUCGCUGUCGGGGAUCUGGAGCUUGUUGAGCACCGCGGAAGAGAUCAGAUUUAGGCCGGCCCCACCGUCAACCAACAUCUUCGUGACCUUGAGGUUGCGGAUGGUUGGCGAAACCAACAUCGGCAAGCACCCGACCGCAGUGAUGCGAUCAGGGUGAUCCUCAACAUCAAAGACGAUGGGCGUACUGGACCACUUCAGGGGCUUGCGCGAUUCGACUGAUGGUUCAGCUGCAUUUACCUCCCGCACCCACUGCUUGAGUUGGCGGUGCGAGGUGUGCAGAGAAGCACCGCCGUCAACGCACAAAACCUCUGUUGCCUUCUGAAACUCUUGCUCGUCGGUCUCAUCCUCGUCCAUCUCAUCAUCCUCAUCUUCAUCUUCGUCCUUGUCACGGCCACGGGGAGGUCUGUCUCCUUGCCGCUGCUUGGCCUUGCCGCGGCGCCCUCCCCGGGCGGGACGCUUCUUGCCGGAUCCUCCGCCACCUUCCUGGGCCUUCUCCUUGUCGCGACGCUCGUAUUCAGCUUUCUGUAGUUCUGCCAUUUGCUCAACCUUCUUGCAUGCUUGGAGGUCAUGGCCCUUGGUGCGAUGGAUCUUGCAGUACUGCUUGCCGGAACAAUCCUGCUUGUCGGCGGCCACCACAGCCUCGCCGGAGUCACCAGCUUUGGCCUUGUCGGCGCCGCCUCCGUUGCCGGACUGCUCAACAACUAGCACAUCCUUAGCCUUUCUCUUUCUAUUAUUCCGCCUCCGGUUCUUCUUUGCCGGAGGGACGUCCUCAUUGUCCGAUCCUUCUGCUCCUGCAUUCUCUCCGGGAAGUUUCCUCCCCUCUUCAGCUCGUGCACACUUGUCAGCCAGAGCAUAUAGCUCGCUGACAUCUCUAAUCUUGCACAUCGCCAUCUCCUCCCUCAUCCUGCGGUUACGCACGUUCUGAUGGAAUGCGCUGAUAACCGCGGCAGGGUGGACGUCUGGGAUGUUGCGCUGCACCUGGCUGAAUCUCUGUAUGUACUUGCGCAGGGGUUCUCCUUCUUUCUGGGCGAGCAGAUGAAGAUUGCUCUCCUGACCAUGGGGUUUGUGGCCGCCUGUGAAGGCGCCGACAAACUGAUGGCACAGGUCCGCCCACGAAGAGAUGGAGUUGUCCGGCAAGUGCAUGAGCCAAGAUCUGACGUUGGGCUUGAGCACCAGCGGGAAGUAGUUGGCGAGGAUCUUCUCGUCGCGCCCCCCGGCAGCCUGCACCGCGAUGGUGUAGACGCUGAGGAACUCUGAUGGAUGUAUCCUGCCAUCGUACUUCUCGGGUAUGUCCGGCUUGAAGUUCUUGGUACUGGGCCACUGGACUUGCCGCAGCUCACGGGUGAACGCAGGGUAACCUGCCGCGUACGGCAAGUCGCCUGGUUCCCCUGGCGCAUGCAUAUCGACAGUGGGCCCAGCGCACUGGUCAGAUUAAUGUCGCGCUUCUCUUCUGCGCUCGAUGCGAGUACGAGCGUCUCUGUGUCGUCGUUCUUGGAGAACUUGGCGUUGAUCGCGGCGAGCUCGCGGGUCCGACGACGCGGUGGAGUCGGUGUCGAGGUUGGAACGGCGAGUUGGCGAUCAUGGCCUUCGGGGCGGGGAGUGCACGGUGGUGGCACCCCCAGCGGUCUUGUCGGUGUCGGCUUGCGCCCGGGCGUCUUGCCGGGGCUUUCGAUGUGCUCGGUUGCCGGGGCUUGUCGCCGUUGGCGAAGCCGAUGAGGCUUUGGAUGGUGAUCCUCCAGUCGUCGAUCUUGUCUGGCGCUGGAGGGUAAUCUAGAAGCAGCUGGGCUCGGGCCAGCGCUUCCUCUGGAGUCUUGGGCGGCGGUGGCGAGCGACGCGAGGUGCGGGAUAUGCUCAAACUUCUAACAGUGUUAGAAGGAGCAACAUCUCGCCCAGGCGACCGUACUUCGCUCGUGCCAGCGUGUUGACGUGUAUGUUGGCCUUGAGCGUCCCGCGAUCCGCCGGCUUGGCCUUGUUCCAACACGAGCACGGUGCUAGGAGUACCGUGGCAUUGCCGAUCUUGCACCUCCUGGGAGGGGUACGGUGGAUGUACAGACGCUGAAGCUUGCGGGGCCUUGUCCUCGGACCUGGUGACGAUGUGAGUCCCCCCGUCGGCGCCCGCUCCUCCGCCGGCGUCCACCCCACCACCCGUUUGCUCCGGUGGCGGUAGGAUAGUCGCAAACGGAGUGGCCACCUCCGAAGCCUUCUUCUUCGGUGGCAUGUCGAUGAAGAUGUUGAUGUAGCGCGCAGAUGCCGGAUCAGGUACGCACAACCUCGACGCCCACCUACCUGGCGCGCCAAAGAUGUCGUGGGAAACGAACACCUAUGGGGCAGGGCCCCUUUUCGGUCCAGCAAGGGAGCGGAGGGCGCACGAAGAGCAGAUCGAGGCGGAGCACGCGGGGGAAUUUUACCCAGCUUCGGAGCUCUCCGGAGAGAUAAAACUCCUACUGCUGCUUUGUGUUUCUAUUCUGUUCUUGCUCAAGAGCGUGGGUGUGUUGUAGUUUUGAAUGUGUCGAACCCCUUCUACGUGUGCAUGGGCCUCCUUUUUAUAGUCUAAAGGGGUCAGCGACAGGUGGCAGCGUAGAGAGAGGGGUAAAAAAGUAAAAACGCGGGUUGGUACAACCGCUAUCAACAGUGGCCCCUACCUAACUCUGACGGCAGGGGACAAGGGCAUUUAAUGCCCGUCCGGUCGCCCAAACAGUGCAGGAAGCGACCGUUAGGGGCGCCACCGAUCGCCAUGAUGGCCUCCUAGUCAUCUUCACUUGCCACCUCGCACCGCUUGGCUGCACAGCUACCCGCCACGUGCACCGGGAGCGAUCCUGCGGCGACACGUCGUCGGAUGCGCUGGAGCGUGGGCGCAGAGUUGUGGCUUCGCUGUAGCAAGCGCCUUGCCGCGGUCACUAUCUUGUCGCACCCGCAAGCUUGCCGCUCGCCGGGUCUUGGUUGGCCUUCCCGGCAAGCUCCUCUUGCCGGGGUCUUGUCCUUCCCGGCAAGCUUCUCUUGUCGGGGCUUCGUCUUCACAGUUAACACUUUGUUCUUGAAUGGCAGUAAAUAGGAAUGACGAAGGAUCUUGGCGGACGCCCGGCAAGCCUUGCCGCAGGACGCUGCGACUGCCCGUGCACAAGUUCGGGGUACUAAGGUACCCCUACUUUAGUACACCGACACCUCCAAACUUUAUGUGGCACUGCAAAAUAUUUGUGGCUCUGUCUAAGAUUGCCAAGGAAUUAAAAGGGGAACUUAACAUAUUUUUCCUAAGUAAAUAGUGUGCCCAAAAUAUUCUCUUAACCAUCUCUGUUUUUUUUAAUAAAAAAAGGCGAAUAAGAACUCGCCCGGGCCUCGGCCUACUCCCACUUACCAGCCCACCUAAGCCGGCCCACUCCCCCGCUCCCAUGGCCUAUAGGCCAUGCUCAACCGAACCCUAACCCCGCACGAUCCCCCCACUCCCCACUUCUCUCCCCUCCCGAUCCAAUCUGGAUCGGACCGAAACUGGCGCCCCGACGCCAACCGCCGUCGCUGGAGGCAUCCCCGACUCCACGCUGGGCCACCCCAUCACCUGACCUCCUCCCCGUCGUCGCUCGUCACUCGCUGGACCGCCUCGUCCCCACCAACGCCGCCCCGAGCCCAACGUCCCUGUCGUCGUCGCCGUCGGCAUCGCCCCGAUGUCGCCACCACCCGACGCCGGCGCCCUCGACAUCGCCACCCCGAGCCCACUGCCACCCCUACGCUCCACUGUGAGCCCCUCGCCGAUUCCCCCUCCUUCCUGUCAUCGUAGGUGGCCGCAUGCGCUGUUGGCCACCGUGGCCGCGCUCCGGCCGUUCCCCAUCCGUGUGCUAGCCUCGCCUUCCCCGGCUGCGGCCACCAGCCUCCUCGUCGCGCUCCCGCCUUCGCCCACACCUGCCCCUGUACGCCCAGCCGCUGCUGCUCGCCGGAUCCGCAUGUUCGCCCCCUAGCUUCGUCUCCGGCCGUCGAGUCCGCACCCGAUGCCGGCGCCCCAGCGCGUCCAUGCGCCCGUACGGGCGGGCGCCCACGCCCAUGCCCCUCCGCCCGUUAGCCCGCCCCGCUAAGGCCUGGGCACCUAACCAAGGGGCCCCACGCCCCUGUGUAAUAAAAAAGAUUUAAAAAAAAUAAAUAUAAAUAUAAUUAGUUAAUUAGUUAAUUAAUUGUAUAGUUAAUUAACUAACUUAAUUAACCUUGCUUAGUUAGCCUAAUGAACUAGUUUAGUUAAUUUAAAUCUGUUAGAUAGGUCUAUGAGAGAACGACCCCACAUGUCAGUUUAACCAGUCAACACUCUUUUGACUGCUGACAUCAUGAUGACGUCAGGCUGACAUCAUAAUUCCAAUUUUGAAUUAAUAAUAAUUUCAGAAUAUUAUUAAAACUUUGAAAAAUCAUAGAAAAUAAACCGUAUCUCGGAUGGAAGUUGCUUGGAACGACGAGACAAAUCCGAAUGCGCAGUUCGUUCAUCUGUCACGCGUCCCUAGCAUAGCAAACGUUGAACUUUUCCCCUCCGGUUCAUCUGUCUGAUAGACGUCCGGAACCGGGAAAACUUUCCCGGAUGUUUCCCCCUUCGCCAGUAUCACCUAGCACCUCGUUAGAACACUUCUAGCCCCGCUUAUUGUCUUGUUAUGCAUAUGUUUGCGUGUAUUUACUGUUUCUUCCCCCUCUUCUUCUCCGGUAGACCUCGAGACCGCUGAUGAUGCCCCUGUGAUCGACUACGUCGACGACGACCCUCCUUGUUUGAGCAACCAGGCAAGCCCACCCUUUGAUCAUCCCGAUAUCGCCCAUUCCAUUCUCUCAUGCUUGCACUAGAUUUUGCUACUGUAUUUGACUGCUCCUAUUCUGAUGCAUAGCCUGCUUUUGUACCUGCUAUUGUAACUUACCUGCUUAUCCUAAAUUUCUUAGUACAGGUUGGCUAGUGAUCCAUCAGUGACCCCCACCUUGUCUUUGUUGCCCCUGCUUCAUCAUCGACGACUCGAUCAACGUGAUCGACGACCGGAGCCUGACACCUCACAUCACAUCACGCCCCUUUUUCUUGCUCGACUCUGCAGAGUUACCAUCGAGUGCCGAGGGUGGAACCUCAUACAUCGCUCCUGAUGAGAUCUCUGUAGUGUAGCUAUUCGGUCGUGGUCAUCGAGGGUGGUUCCUCCUUCACCAUUCCUAAUACGGCUCUGUCGUGCAACACCUCAAGUGUGAACCUCGAGGGUGGUUCCUCUUACGUUCACCUUGAUGAUUACAUCAACUGGAAUCCACCGGGGGUGAUUCCUCGGAUUUUCCCCUUGAUGUCUGGACACAUAGUUACCUUGAUACUUGAGACCGUUGUGAAAGCCGGGCGAGCCCGGAGAGCACCCGUGCGAUGUGACGGUGGCGGCUGGCUGUUUAGCGGUAUCACCCGGGAGGGGUGAUAGCUCCGGACUUGUCCCGACAUCCGUCACUUCUUUUAAUAAUGCACUAACACGUUUGUGUAUUUGUUCUGAGUUGGCCUCUGGCCUUUACGCACUAACCACCACGCGAGAAUAGUUAUGGGCCUCGACGUUGCAGUAUCUUUCGAAGCUUUGUCAGACGUCCAGUUCAGCAUUGUGGCCGGGCCGGAUCGUGCCAUCCACUUCACCGGUGGUGCUGGUAUCCCCUUGUGCACAACGACCCGGAGUGCAAUGGGCGAUGGGCCCAGACCCCGGAGUGCUUAGGAUGUAGACCGGCGGGGACCUCUCUACUGAGCCUAGGUAGGGCUGCGACGUGUUGAUCUUCCGAGGCUGGGCAUUGACCCCAGAAAGGUGUGUCCGGCCAGAGUGAUCGAGCGUGUUGGGUAACGUGGUGCGCCCCUGCAGGGAAGAUUAUCUAUUAAUAGCCGUGUCCAUGGUAACGUACCUUCAGACUUAUAUCUUGAUCUUAUACAACUACAAAUGGAUACUUGAGAUAUGUGGCUCCGGGAUUGCUUUCUCGCAGGGAGUCGAGGAAGGAUCUCUGGGCGUUGUUGUUAAAACAUGCUUGUUAAUUAAACUGCUAUUCUUUACUCUUCUACAUGCUGCAAGAUGCUUGGAGCUGCUUGAAGAUGCUAGUCUUUGUUUGGCUAGGCCUUCCCCUCUAUUCUGGCAUUCUGCAAUUCAGUCCACAGAUACAACCCUUCCAUUUGAUACCAAUGCAUACUUAGUAUAGAUCUGAUGCUUGCGAGUACUUUGGAUGUGUACUCGCGGUUGCUUUGCUACCCCUUUUCCCCCUUCUUUCUUCUUUCCGGUUGACGCAACCAUAUGGUGGAUCCUUGGAGCCAGAUGCCACCGCCGAUGGAUGCUAGUACGUGAAGAUCGCCGACGACCAGGAGUAGUUAGGAGGUCCUAGGCAGGAGGCCUUGCCUCUUCGAUCGUUGUUGCUUUUGUGCUAGCCUUCUUAAGGCAUCCUUAUUUAACUUAUGUCUGUACUCAGCUAUUGUUGCUUCCGCUAACUCUUGUGUAUCGAGCUAUGUAUUCGAGCUCUCGAGGCCCCUGGCUUGUAAUAUAAAGCUUGUAUUAUUUUGAUUUGUGUCUAGAGUUGUGUUGUGAUAUCUUCCCGUGAGUCCCUGAUCUUGAUCGUACAUAUUGGCGUGCAUGAUUAGUGUACGAUUGAAUCAGGGGCGUCACACAAGCGGUACUACUGCCCCACCCAGUUUCAGCAUUUCGAGUUUCACCGUUUUGCCCAUAACUUCCACAUCCGGAGUCCGAUUUUUGCAUUUUUUAGCUCGUUGAGUAGCUAUUGACAUCCCCCAUCCAUCUAUAUAGGUUCCAACACCAUUUGACUCCAUCAAAUUUUCCAAAAUUUGGAAAGUUUGCCUAGGCCGUCCACCAUAUCAUCUGCAUAGCCACCACCGACCACCGCAACCUAACCCAUUUUGUUCCCCUUAGCAUUUGAGGUUGUUUGAGUUGUGGCUUGUGUCUCCUAAGGUGUUUCGGCUACUUAGGGAUGGUAACUUCAACUCCAACACGUGUAUAGCCCAUCAUUCCACUUCCGCAUUGCCGAGUGCAAACCACCACCUCUUUCCACUACCACCAUUUGACAUUUACCUUUGUAGAUUUUGAGUUUGCGAUUUUUCCGUUUCCUAGGGUGUUUUGGCUAACUAGGAAUGGGUCGACAUCAGCAACAUCGCCUCUCAUCAUCGCCAAGGACGGUAACCUCGAUGACACCAUUGUAUAUUCCCUUGCCAUUGCAUUGAUAACCCCUAGCCCAUUUUGCGUCACUUGCCUAUCGAGACUAGCCGUUUGAGUAUUGCCGGCAACGUGACUUGUGCACAUUAGUGAUCAUACUUCCCAUAGCAUCAUACCAUAUCAUCGUGGUGCAUAUAUUGGUAGCAUAUCUUGCGUCACAAGUUUGUUGCCGCAUAUACACAAUUGCUAUCUUGGUUUGUGCAUUAUGCAGAAGUGGCCAUACAAAAAAGAGAAAUAAAGCUUUUAAGCAAAAGAAAGAGAGAAAAGAAGCUUGUAAGCAAGUGCCAUAGCAUCAUACCAUAUUGCACAUAAGAUUGUCAUAUCCGAUCAUCUUGGAUCAUCUUGAGAGAACAUCGGGAACCAUACAUACAUAGCAUACUUGGGAUAGAAAGUAUAUCCAUUUGGCAUCUUGUAGGUUGUGCACAAGUGUCCUAUCCGCCUAUUGAGCAAUCGUGCUAGCGUCUCUCUUGAGUUGUGCAACACGAGCGUUUUCUGUGGAUUCCACAUUUUGUGCUCAUUGCUUGGUUGCACGACCCCAUUUAUCUAUCCGUGUGUGUGUUUCCGUGUGUCAUUCUUUGCUAUUGGUCUACUUGUUUCACUUGCAAAUUUGUGAAUCUCUUUCAACAUUAUUGACUCUUGCUAACAUUUUGCAUCAAAUUUUUGUGCCACUAUCCUCACCGAGCUCCACCAUAAGCUUUACUUGAUAGGUGUGAGUGAACAAGUCCGGUACCAAUUCCACUAUUCUUUCAUUUCACAUUGAGUUAAACGGGAUACAUCCUCAACUUUGGGAAAGGUAACUUCCUAUUGUUUAUCUCAUUUCCUACUGGCAUUUCACCUUCGGUCUACAACAACAACGACGAGUUCGAUGCCACGAACAACUCCAACGACGCCAAGAUGCAAGCUCAAAUGGAGGAGAUCAAAGCCCUCAUCAAGUCCUACAAGCAAUCUUCCUCAUCUUCGAGAAGACACUCACGUGCACAUGUUUCCGAGCUACCAUCUCCGGUAAGAUCACAUCAGCAUCGACACCAUCACCAACAAGAACGUGAAGGUCAAGAGCUCAACACCAACUACCGCUCAACGACUUCACCAUCUCCCUUGGCAUCUUCGCCAAGCGACUUCAAGGCAUCUUUGAGUACGGAUAUACGGCAUCUUCGCCAACAAGAACCUCAAGGCUACGCUCAAGAGAAGCUCCCCAAGCUCAAGUCCACGACUUCCAUGAGCUACUACGACCUCGACACCGACCACAAGAUUCCUUUCUAUGGAACUCAAGAACCCGAGGAGUACCUCGAGUGGGAGCGUUUGAUGGACGACUACCUCAAGCUACAUCAAGUCCCUUCCGAAGAUCAAGUGAAGUGCGCCACAAGAAACUUCCACGACUACGCCUCGACAUGGUGGCUUCACACACCUUCGGAGAGCUACGAGAUGAGUUAGCCCAAGACGAAGAGAGCUUUGCAGCGAGAGCUCGUGCCUCCAACCUACAUGGAACAACUUCGACGCCAAUUGGAGAACACCAUCCAAGGAUCCAAGUCCAUCGACGCGUACUUCAAGGAGAUGAAGAAUGCCUUGCGACGAGACGGCGUGGAUGACCCCAUUUCGAUGAAGUUCCACUUCAUGAUGCGAUUGAACAACGACAUCUCCAAGACUAUCUUCCUCGAGAACUACAAGUCCCUGGACAACUACUACAUUGGUGCUCUCAAGGCGGAACAAGAACUCAUGAAAGCCAAGGCUUCUCCACCCCAAGCACACUUCGCGGCGACCAAGCUGUACGACAAGCAUGAGGCUAGUACCACCAUGAUGUCCAAGCCCGACGAGCUCCAAGACAAUGCUCCCAAGUUCGACUUCACCGCCAUCCCUCUUUGUGGCAUUGAUGACGCCGAGUCUACCUUGACUCUUUUUCAAGACGGUGCGGCGACGAGUACGACUACGGAGACCUUCAAGGACCAAGCUUUGGAGGCGAGCGACAAGGUGGCGAGCAAGGAUGGUGUUUCCAUCUUUGGAGGCGAGAGUGAUGAUGUGCCAUCUUCGUCCUUCAUCCACGGCGACGAUGACGAGAUGAUCGAGCAUGGGAUUUUCCCUUCGGUCAUGGAGGAGAGUGAUGAUGUGCCAUCUUCGGCCUUCAUCCACGGAGACGACGACGAGAUGGUUGAGCAUGGGAUUCUCCCUUCGACCACGGUGACGUAUGAUGACUUGAGUGACUUUUGCCACCAUAUUGAGAGUGAGAGUGACUUCACCACUAGCCCCAUAUAUGACGAGUUGCCCCAAUUCCUAUGUGAGGAGAGCCACAACCCCCACCACUUGAGUGAGAUGAGUGACUCCACCAUAUGCGACUUUGAGUGCACCUAUUUUGAGGGAGUGAGUGAACCACCACAUAGAGAGAGUGUGAUAGUUGAUAGGUCUCGUGAGGCCAUUUGCAUUUCUAACAACUUGACCUCUACCUCUAUUGUGUCUUCUCAUUUGGUGCUAGGUCCCAUUUAUGAUGACGCGCCGAUCCUCGACGACUUCGUCCUCCCUUUGGACAAGACGAUGGCCAUGGUGGAAUAUGAUGCACCCCCCACAUGGUUCCAUCAAGAUGAAGAUGACCACCAUUUGGUCUUUCCCACCUCACCUACACCACUUGAGUGGAAUGAAAAAGGUAACAUAGGUGAAGGUGAUGCUCUAGUCCCACUAGUGGACAUUCUUGACAUUGAUUGCUUGCAUGAUGUUGAUCCACCUAGUACCAUGCUUCAUGCUAGUAUGAUUUCCCCAUGUGAUGAUUUGGCCAUUUAUGAUGAGUAUGAUGAUUCUCAUGUGGAGUCUCUUAGUUGUGAUGUCAUGUUACAUAGGAUUUCUUGUGACAAUUCUUUAGGUCACAUCAUGUUUGAUAAUCCGCUUGACUUGUCGUAUGCUAUGCAUGACAUUCACCAUAUGUCAUAUUUGCAAUCUCAUUGUAGUGACUAUGCAUAUGCCAUUCAAAUUAACCCAAUUUGCACUUAUGGCAUAGAUGACAAGCCCAUGGUUAUUGGGAUUUGUUUUUCUUGUGAUGAUAUUGAUAUGGUCCCUUUGCAUCAUUUAUCUCAUAUGCCAUGUCAUGCCCACCUAGCUUCGGAUAUGCAUUGUUUUGGAUGUUGUCCAUUUUCUCCAUAUGAUGUUUCCAAUCUUGCUCAUGAGGAGACCCCCAUAGUUCCCUCAUACAUGUUAGGAGAUUUUGAUCCAUCCCAUCCAUUGCAUGAUCCCAACAAUUGUGUGCACCAUAUGCUCCCCAUGAAUAAACAUGCUAUUGAUGUGCCAUAUACUUGCAUUCUCAAUUUGUGUCCCCAUCGUGUCAUACAUAAUAACUAUUCUUUCAUGAUGGAUGACAUGUUCUUAUACCAUGCAUCAAAUUUCGUUGAGCGAUGCUUAUCUUGUGCUAACUCACACGUGCACAUACACAUCAUGAUGGAUGAUGUGUACAUUUACCACACACACAAUUUAUUUGGUUUGUGUCUCUUUUGUGUAGGUACCCAGGAAUACUUGUCAACCUCGCAAUCCCACGAGUUGACAAAACGAGCUCUAGAGAGCAACGAUGAUUUGGGAUCCCAUGGAUUGUCUUUCCCACCGCUCUCUUCGCGCAAAGACUUAGCGCAUUUCUUCUACAUGGCCCUCACUUGGCUAUGGGUUGUUUUCCAUUACAUAUUAUAUGCCCAUCUUGCCAUGUUCACUUUGCAUGAUAUGCCCAUUCCCAUGCAUUUGUGACCCAUACUUUGCUUUACACAUGAUGAUUGACUCUCAUACUUUUAUGUGUAUUUGCAAGCUUGGUGGAGAUAUUGCUUGUUGUUUCCCUAUUCCAUUUUUGACCCACCCCUAUGAUGAUACUAUGAUCUUGCUUUGUGUUCGUGCUUGUGAUAUGUCAUGUGCAUUGUCUAUCCCUAUUAUUUGCUCACAUGACAUGAUUGCCAUGAUUUACUCUGGUGUGUUGCAUCUUCGCUCCACUAGUUUGCACCACAUGAUUGAUAUGCUUGCUUGUAUUGCAUCCCCCAUGAUUCAUACUUGCUCAUUUCAUGCGAUUGAUGACAACCAUUUCCAUACUUUGCACGUGAUUGCUAUAGCUUCUUGUCACAUAUCUACAUAUGUUGCCUCUCUCAUGCUAGAUCACUUGCCAUGUAUUUAGUGCAACAAUGCUCUUAUUCUUGCUCAUGAGAUUGCCCCCAUAGCAUUCUCACAUAUGAUUGGAGUUGACAUAAUUCUUGUGAAGCAUGCUUGCCUUCCUUCUUUGCACCAUAUGCCUAGUGCCAUGAAUAUUGCCAUUGUUGCAUCAUAUUGUUCAUGCACUUGUGCUACUAAAGGUUAUGUGCAAGAGAUGAGAACCAUCAUGAUGGAUGAUGUGUUUCUCUACCAUGCGCAUAUACUCUUUGUUUUGUUGUGUGCAUGUGUAGGAUACUUGGACUUCGUCUCGACUUCCACUUCAUGUGAGUUGACCAUUCAAGCUCUUAAGAGCGAGCCUCACACAUUCUACCACUACUCGCUUCUACACCGCAUUUGCUUGCGCUUCGGCAUUGUGAAGAAUGCACAAGGACAUGCCUUCAAGGUGACAUCUUUCUUGAGCAUGGAUAUUGCGGAUCAUACUACUUGUGUAGCUUGCACUGUGAGACUUAUUGGUCAUCUUGGACCACUUGAUUGCGCACUUGCUAGAGAUCUUGCUUUGACUUGCCAUUUUCACAUUCCCAUGCAUCAUGAUAUAUAUGCCUUGUGUGUUGCAUCCAAUUCUUGGAUUACUAUCACAACCUAGCUAGUCCAUGCAUUAGAGUGUUGCAUCAUGUCUACCUUUUAUCAGAAACUUGAAUUGGGGAAGACAGAACCCCCCAGAACCCCUCUGAAUUCAACUAGUGCUUACUAAAAAUAUUUUCAAUGAACCUGAAAUGCCCUUCUAAAAAGUUCACCCUCUUUGUCUUGGGUUAGAACCUCUGGCAAAAUUGGUGCACAAUUUUCUAGGUCAACAAAAGGCCAUUGAAUUAAAUCAUAUCUACUUUGAGUUUGGGCAUUUAAACUAUAUAAAAUAUUUCAAAUGCUCAAAUAACUCCAAACUAAAAUGUUCCAUACUGGAUAUAUUCCAACUAGGGACCAUGUGCAGUUUGGUGAUUUUUGGAGUUGCCUAAGUAUUUUUAGAAAUGCAACAAACUUACAGAAACAAUUAAAAACAGAAACAAAUGGGAAAAACCCUUACCUGGCCGAACCAAGCCCCAGCCCAGCUGGCCGGCCCAGCACUGUGCUGGCCCAUGCCAGCCAGCUGCUUCGCCGUCGCCACGCAGGCACAGAGCUGACGCCGGCAAGCGUGAGCUCGCAACGGCGCCAGCUGCUUGCCGCCCGCGCCCCCGAGCACCUGGGUGAGCUCCACGUCGCCGCCCCGACCCCGUGGACACCUCAUUCGCCCCCUGCCUCUCUCCCUCGCUCUCCCGCACCAUGGCCGACGCACCCGCCGCCGCACCCCCGACGUAGUCGCGCCCUCCGUCGUCCUCGUGCUGCACCACCGUGUCCCUUCGCUCCGCCGUCAUCGACUACAUCGAGUAGGCCGAGCCCCGAGCGCUCGCUGGCCCUGUUUCAUCUUCUUCGAGCUCGUCUUCACCGAGCACCGCCACAGAUCCCCUUCGCCGUCGCCGCCGUACCAGCUCGUCCCCGACCUUGCCGACCACUCCGUUGUGACCGCCGUGAGCUCAGCCACCUCCCCAUCCUCCCCGUUUGCCUUCUCGUGCACCGUAGCAACCGCAUGGAGCUUCAUCGCACGCACCACCGACGAGCUCGUCGCCGACGUGCCUCCGGCCAUCCACCGUCCACACCACGGUGUCUAACAUGCUCACCGCAUCGUGUAGAGUCUAACGCCCCACUCCACGCGCCUCGCCGUGCCCCGUAGCCAUGGGUCCAUUUUCAUCCGACUCCGGCGACCGCCGUGGUCGUCGCCGGCGACGUUCCUGGCCACCUCGACCUCAACCACCACCACCAAACGCCGCGACUUGUUCCCGGCUACACGUAGAUGGUCUCCGUCGUCCAUUUGGUCGCCAGAACAUGCUAACCCACUUCCUCCGCCGCGUCUGGCCUCGCCGGCGGCUAGACACCGGCAUGUUUGACCCGUUGACAUUCACUGGGUGGGCCAGGUUGACUCCCCUGAGUCUAUGACAAGUGCCCCCCCCUCUGCUAAUUAACCUAGUUUAGCUCUUACUAAAAUCAGUUAGUUUAAAUAAGUGCUGACAUGCGGGACCCACUGGUCAGUUUGACCUGAACGACCCCUUUGACCACUGACGUCACCCUGAUGCACUGCUGACGCAAUAACCAAUUUCUGGAUUUAUUGUUAUAUAGGAAAUUCCAGAAAUUGUUGCAAACUUCAAAAAUUCAUAGAAAUUAAUCUGUAACUCCAAAUGCAAAGAUUUAUAUAUGAAUUUUGAUCAGAAAAAUUCAAUCUAUCCAUUGGUAAUGGUUUCAUGCAUGUCAGAACAAGUUAACCUUGCUGUUUAAUCAAAACAAGUUAAUGCACUAAUAUGACUAUGUUAAAUGAACUACCAUUUGCAUCUUUGAUUCAAAUGAGUUCAUACCUUUCUGUUCUAGCUUGCAUUAGGCCAGGACACAUUCAUGUUGCCAUGUCAUAGCAUGCAUCAUAUUGUUGUAUAUCGUCAUGUGUUGUUCAUGUUCGGUGUGUUUUCGUGAUAGGUUCUGCCUCCGAGGAUAACCCCGAAUAUCCGUCUGAAGGGCUGUAUCCUACUACCACUACAUCAGGCAAGCAACCCAUUGAUCAUUCCGAUACAAACCCAUGUUCUUGCCUCUGCUCUUGUUUACUGCAUUAAGACAAUGCGAUUCAAACUUUUGUGUGUUGUGGUAGUUGAACCCACUUCCUUUGCAUGACCUGUCAUUGCCACAGUAACUAGAUGAAACUCAGUAGCAUGUGUAGGAGUUGAUUGAGCCAUAUCUGUGUUACCUACCAUGCUAUGCUUGCUAUGCUUAGAGUUGUGUCAGGUCUGGCUCAUUGGGAUGAUGAACUAGAGUGAAAGGUUGUGUCGGUAAUGAAGUGUUGAACACGAUUUGGUAAAGGUAUCGAUGAGAGGCCAUGUAGGAGUACAUGGUGGGUUGUUUCAUUGAGGCCGUCCUUAAGCACUGAGAUCUGUGUGUGUGAUUUAAGAUUCAGCUACUACCACGCAUUGGGCCCGAAACCAAUGGACCCUCUCGACUUAUUAACCACUCUUGUCCUCUGUCCGGGAGUUGCAAGUAGUUUUUGGUGUUUGUAGCAUGAUGGGGGCCGCACGCAGUGCUGACCUUAGGGGUGGGUUGGGUUGCGGUAGGCAUGUGGCACGGUGUAUCGAUUCGCCCGUUUGGUGUCUCGGGAACCAUGUUCACAUCAUUCGGGGCCGUUAGUGGAAACCUCGGCCGGACUCCCUGCGGAUGGAACCCGAAUAGGCGAUAAACCUGGACUAGGGACUCGUGUGUUUAGUCAGGCCGUGGCCGACACCCUCGCUGGGCUUCCGCUUGAGGCUUGCCGAGUACACGUCAUGUAGCGGUGAUAAGUGGUGAGAGCGUGUGUGAAGAAGUACACCCCUGCAGGGUAUAAAACUAUUCGAAUAGCCGCGUCCGCGGUAAAGGACUACUUGGUCACCUAUGCAGUUCAUAGACAAGUAAAUGGAUACUUCUAAAAGCCUCAAGUUAAGUGUGAGUACCGAGGAUGGCCCUCUCGUAGGUUGACAAGAGAGGAUCCUCGGUGGAGUAUUGUGUUGGUGAGUAGUGGACUCGUGUGCGACAAAUGUUUUGCAAGUUGUGUCUAUCGUAGAAUAGCUUAGCCAAGAGUCAAAGCUGGCUUGCUGCAAUAACUCCACUACCUUCUUGAGAAUGUGCAUGUAUGAUAGGAUUCUGUUGUAAGACUUGCUGAGUACCUCUGUACUCAUGUUUGCUUAAAUGUUUUCAGACGACAACACCAACCCCUCCGAUGGGUUCUACGUAGACCUCGACGUUGACGAGUGACUAACCACCCAAGUGGUGAUCCGAGACUUGUGAAGGGCCGAUGUAGAUAGAAAGGCUUCGUCAAGCCCUCUUUCUUUCUAGUGUCUGUACUCAGACUAGUUGCUUCCGCAUGUGCUUGUAUGCUUGUAUGACUUGAGUCUCAGGUCAUGUGACCCCUAUCUGUAUGAACAUGUUAUGUAUGGCUCCUUGGAGCCACUUAAAUAAAGUACUUUGAGUUGUAGAGUUUUGUUGUGAUGCCAUGUUGUAUGUACUCAUAUCGGGCAUAUUGUGUGUAUGUUUGAAAUGCUUGGUAUGAGUGGGAUCCGACAAUCUAGUUGUUUAUCCUUGGCAGCCUCUCAUAUGGGGAAAUGUAGUCUAGUGCUUCCUGAGCGAUAGUAGUCCGCUACAGCCCGGUUCACCGGAGUCCUGCUAGCCCAGUACUACAGCUCUGGACACUUGACUGGACAGCAUGUGUUUCACUUCGUUCCUGUGUCUGUCCCUUUGCGGAAAUGUCACGCGGUGGCAUUCGGAGUCCUGCCUAGCCUGCUACAGCCCGGGUUACUGUUGGGAAACGUAGUAAUUUCAAAAUUUUCCUACGCACACACAAGAUCAUGGUGAUGGCAUAGCAACGAGAGGGGAGAGUGUUCGUCCACGUACCCUCGUAGACCGUAAGCGGAAGCGUUAGCACAACGCGGUUGAUGUAGUCGUACGUCUUCACGAUCCGACUAAUCCAAGCACUGAACGUACGUGGCCUCCGAGUUCAGCACACGUUCAGCUCGAUGAUGAUCUCCGGCCUCCAAUCCAGCGAAGCUCCGGAGAUGAGUUCCGUCAGCACGACAGCAUGGUGACGAUGAUGAUGUUCUACCUGCGCAGGGCUUCGCCUAAAAUCCGCGACGAUAUGACUGAGGUGGAAUAUGGUGGAGGGGGGCACCGCACACGGCUAAGGAACGAUCCAUAGAUCAACUUGUGUGUCUAUGGGGUGCCCCCCCCCCCCCGCCCCUGUAUAUAAAGGAGAAAGGGGGAGGCCGGCCGGCCCCUUGGGCGCGCCAAGGGAGGAGGAAUNNNNNNNNNNNNNNNNNNNNNNNNNNNNNNNNNNNNNNNNNNNNNNNNNNNNNNNNNNNNNNNNNNNNNNNNNNNNNNNNNNNNNNNNNNNNNNNNNNNNNNNNNNNNNNNNNNNNNNNNNNNNNNNNNNNNNNNNNNNNNNNNNNNNNNNNNNNNNNNNNNNNNNNNNNNNNNNNNNNNNNNNNNNNNNNNNNNNNNNNNNNNNNNNNNNNNNNNNNNNNNNNNNNNNNNNNNNNNNNNNNNNNNNNNNNNNNNNNNNNNNNNNNNNNNNNNNNNNNNNNNNNNNNNNNNNNNNNNNNNNNNNNNNNNNNNNNNNNNNNNNNNNNNNNNNNNNNNNNNNNNNNNNNNNNNNNNNNNNUCCGGUUUUCUCCGAAAUCACCCGGAACAAUUUCGGUGUCCGAAUAUAGUCGUCCAAUAUAUCAAUCUUUAUGACUCGACCAUUUCGAGAUUCCUCGUCAUGUCCGUGAUGACAUCCGGGACUCCGAACAAACUUCGGUACAUCAAAACUUAUAAACUCAUAAUAAAACUGUCAUCGUAACGUUAAGCGUGCGGACCCUACGGGUUCGAGAACUAUGUAGACAUGACCUAGAACCAUUCUUGGUCAAUAACCAAUAGCGGGACCUAGAUGCCCAUAUUGGUUCCUACAUAUUCUACGAAGAUCUUUAUCGGUCAAACCGCAUAACAACAUACGUUGUUCCCUUUGUCAUCGAUAUGUUACUUGCCCGAGAUUUGAUCGUCGGUAUCCAAUACCUAGUGCAAUCUCGUUACUGGCAAGUCUCUUUACUCGUUCCGUAAUACAUCAUCUCAUAACUAACUUAUUAGUUACAAUGCUUGCAAGGCUUAGGUGAUGAGUAUUACCAAGAGGACCCAGAGAUACCUCUCCGACAAUCGGAGUGACAAAACCUAAUCCCGAAUUAUGCCAACUCAACAUGUACCUUCGGAAACACCUAUAGAGCACCUUUAUAAUCACCCAGUUACGUUGUGACGUUUGGUAGCACACAAAGUGUUCUUCCGGUAAACGGGAGUUGCACAAUCUCAUAGUUGCAGGAACUUGUAUAAGUCAUGAAGAAAGCAAUAGCAGUAUACUAAACGAUCAAGUGCUAGGCUAACGGAAUGGGUCAUGUCAAUCACAUCAUUCUCCUAAUGAUGUGAUCCCGUCAAUCAAAUGACAACUCUUUUGUCCAUGGUUAGGAAACAUAACCAUCUUUGAUAAACGAGCUAGUCAAGUAGAGGCAUACUAGUGACACUAUGUUUGUCUAUGUAUUCACACAUGUAUCAUGUUUCCGGUUAAUAUAAUUCUAGCAUGAAUAAUAAACAUUUAUCAUGAUAUGAGGAAAUAAAUAAUAACUUUAUUAUUGCCUCUAUGGCAUAUUUCCUUCAGUCUCCCACUUGCACUAGAGUCAAUAAUCUAGAUUACAUGGUAAUGAUUUUGACACCCAUGGAGUCUUGGUGCUGAUCAUGUUUUGCUCGUGAGAGAGGCUUAGUCAACGGGUCUGCAACAUUCAGAUCCGUAUGUAUCUUGCAAAUCUCUAUGUCUCCCACUUGGACUUGGUCCCGAAUGGAAUUGAAGCGUCUCUUGAUGUGUUUGGUCCUCUUGUGAAAUUUGGAUUCCUUUGCCAAGGCAAUUGCACCAGUAUUGUCACAGAAGAUGUUCAUUGGUCCCGAUGCACUAGGUAUGACACCUAGAUCGGAAAUGAGAUCCUUCAUCCAGACUCCUUCAUUUGCUGCUUCUGAAGCAGCUAUGUACUCCGCUUCACAUGUAGAUCCCGCCACGAUGCUUUGUUUAGAACUGCACCAACUUACAGCUCCACCGUUUAAUAAAAACACGUAUCUGGUUUGCGAUUUAGAAUCGUCCGGAUCAGUGUCAAAGCUUGCAUCGACGUAACCGUUUACGACUAGCUCUUUGUCACCUCCAUAUAUGAGAAACAUAUCCUUAGUCCUUUUCAGGUAUUUCAGGAUGUUCUUGACCGCUGUCCAGUGAUCCACUCCUGGAUUACUUUGGUACCUUCCUGCCAAGCUUAUUGCUAAGCAUACGUCAGGCCUGGUACACAGCAUUGCAUACAUGAUAGAGCCUAUGGCUGAAGCAUAGGGAACAUUUUUCAUUUUCUCUCUAUCUUCUGCUGUGGUCGGGCAUUGAGUUUGACUCAACUUCACACCUUGUAGCACAGGUAAGAAUCCUUUCUUUGCCUGAUCCAUUUUGAACUUUUUCAAAAAAAAUUCAAGGUAUGUGCUUUGUGAAAGUCCUAUUAAGCGUCUUGAUCUAUCUCUAUAGAUCUUGAUGAGUAAUAUGUAAGCAGCUUCACCGAGGUCUUUCAUUGAAAAACUUUUAUUCAAGUAUCCCUUUAUGCUAUGCAGAAAUUCUAUAUCAUUUCCAAUUAAUAAUAUGGCAUCUACAUAUAAAAUUAGAAAUGCUACAGAGCUCCCACUCACUUUCUUGUAAAUACAGGCUUCUCCAAAUGUCUGUAUAAAACCAUAUGCUUUGAUCACACUAUCAAAGCGUUUAUUCCAACUCCGAAAUGCUUGCACCAGUCCAUAAAUGGAACGCUGGAGCUUGCAUACUUUGUCAGCACCUUUUGGAUCAACAAAACCUUCCGGCUGCAUCAUAUACAACUCUUCUUCUAGAAAUCCAUUCAAGAAUGCAGUCUUGACAUCCAUAUGCCAAAUUUCAUAAUCAUGAAAUGCAGCAAUAGCUAACAUGAUUCGGACAGACUUAAGCAUCGCUACGGGUGAGAAAGUCUCAUCGUAGUCAACCCCUUGAACUUGUCGAAAACCUUUUGCAACAAGUCGAGCUUUAUAGACAGUUACAUUACCAUCAGCGUCAGUCUUCUUCUUAAAGAUCCAUUUAUUCUCAAUGGCUUGCCAAUCAUCGGGCAAGUCAACCAAAGUCCAUACUUUGUUUUCAUACAUGGAUCCCAUCUCAGAUUUCAUGGCUUCUAGCCAUUUUGCGGAAUCUGGGCUCAUCAUCGCUUCCUCAUAGUUCGUAGGUUCACCAUGGUCAAGUAACAUGACUUCCAGAAUAGGAUUACCAUACAACUCUAGUGCGGAUCUUACUCUGGUAGACCUACGAGGUUCAGUAGAAACUUGAACUCCUCACUAAUUGGUGUAGUUGUCACAGGAACCGGUUCUCGUGAUGAACUACUUUCCAAUAAGGGAGUAGAUACAGUUAUCUCAUCAAGUUCUACUUUCCUCCCACUCACUUCUUUCGAGAGAAACUCCUUCUCUAGAAAGGAUCCAUUCUUAGCAACGAAUGUCUUGCCUUCAGAUCUGUGAUAGAAGGUGUACCCAACAGUCUCUUUUGGGUAUCCUAUGAAAACACAUUUCUCCGAUUUGGGUUCGAGCUUAUCUGGUUGAAGUUUCUUCACAUAAGCAUCGCAGCCCCAAACUUUAAGAAACGACAACUUUGGUUUCUUGCCAAACCACAGUUCAUAAGGCGUCGUCUCAACGGAUUUUGAUGGUGCCCUAUUUAACGUGAAUGCGGCCGUCUCUAAAGCAUAACCCCAAAACGAUAGCAGUAAAUCAGUAAGAGACAUCAUAGAUCGCACCAUAUCAAGUAAAGUACGAUUAUGACGUUCGGACACACCAUUUCGUUGUGGUGUUCCGGGUGGCGUGAGUUGCGAAACUAUUCCACAUUGUUUCAAGUGUAGGCCAAACUCGUAACUCAAAUAUUCUCCUCCACGAUCAGAUCGUAGAAACUUUAUUUUCUUGUUACGAUGAUUUUCCACUUCACUCUGAAAUUCUUUGAACUUUUCAAAUGUUUCAGACUUGUGUUUCAUCAAGUAGAUAUACCCAUAUCUGCUCAAAUCAUCUGUGAAGGUGAGAAAAUAACGAUACCCGCCGCGAGCCUCAACAUUCAUUGGGCCACAAACAUCAGUAUGUAUGAUUUCCAACAAAUUAGUUGCUCGCUCCAUAGUUCCGGAGAAUGGCGUUUUAGUCAUCUUGCCCAUAAGGCACAGUUCGCAAGUACCAAGUGAUUCAUAAUCAAGUGAUUCCAAAAGUCCAUCAGUAUGGAGUUUCUUCAUGCGUUUUACACCGAUAUGACCCAAAAGGCAGUGCCACAAGUAAGUUGCACUAUCGUUAUCAACUCUGCAUCUUUUGGUUUCAACACUAUGAACAUGUGUAUCACUACUAUCGAGAUUUAAUAAAAAUAAACCACUCUUCAAGGGUGCAUGACCAUAAAAGAUAUUACUCAUAUAAAUAGAACAACCAUUAUUCUUUGAUUUAAAUGAAUAACCGUCUCGCAUCAAACAAGAUCCAGAUAUAAUGUUCAUGCUUAACGCUGGCACCAAAUAACAAUUAUUCAGGUCUAAAACUAAUCCCGAAGGUAGAUGUAGAGGUAGCGUGCCGACCGCGAUCACAUCGACUUUGGAACCGUUUCCCACGCGCAUCGUCACCUCGUCCUUGGCCAGUGCUCGCUUAUUCCGUAGUCCCUAUUUCGAGUUGCAAAUAUUAGCAACAGAACCAGUAUCAAAUUCCCAGGUGCUACUACGAGCUCUAGUUAGGUACACAUCAAUAACAUGUAUAUCACAUGUAGCUUUGUUUACUUUGCCAUCCUUCUUAUCCGCCAAAUACUUGGGGCAGUUCCGCUUCCAGUGACCAGUCUGCUUGCAGUAGAAGCACUCAGUUUCAGGCUUAGGUCCAGACUUGGGUUUCUUCUCUUGAGCAGCAACUUGCUUGCUGUUCUUCUUGAAGUUCCCCUUCUUCUUCCCUUUGCCCUUUUUCUUGAAACUAGUGGUCUUGUUGACCAUCAACACUUGAUGCUCCUUCUUGAUUUCUACCUCCGCAGCUUUUAGCAUUGCGAAGAGCUCGGGAAUAGUCUUGUUCAUCCCUUGCAUAUUAUAGUUCAUCACAAAGCUCUUGUAUCUUGGUGGCAGUGAUUGGAGAACUCUGUCAAUGACGCUAUCAUCCGGAAGAUUAACUCCCAGUUGAAUCAAGUGAUUAUUAUACCCAGACAUUUUGAGUAUAUGCUCACUGACAGAACUAUUCUCCUCCAUCUUGCAGCUGUAGAACUUAUUGGAGACUUCAUAUCUCUCAAUCCGGGCAUUUGCUUGAAAUAUUAACUUCAACUCCUGGAACAUCUCAUAUGCUCCAUGACGUUCAAAACGUCGUUGAAGGCCCGGUUCUAAGCCGUAAAGCAUGGCACACUGAACUAUAGAGUAGUCAUCAGCUUUGCUCUGCCAGACGUUCUUAACGUCGUCAGUUGCAUCAGCAGCAAGCCUGGCACCCAGCGGUGCUUCCAGGACGUAACUUUUCUGUGCAGCAAUGAGGAUAAUCCUCAGGUUACGGACCCAGUCCGUGUAAUUGCUACCAUCAUCUUUCAACUUUUCUUUCUCAAGGAACGCAUUAAAAUUCAACGGAACAACAGCACGAGCCAUCUAUCUACAAACAAACAUAGACAAGCAAAAUACUAUCAGGUACUAAGUUCAUGAUAAAUUUUAAGUUCAAUUAAUCAUAUUACUUAAGAACUCCCACUUAGACAGACAUCUCUCUAGUCAUCUAAGUGAUUACGUGAUCCAAAUCAACUAAACCAUAACCGAUCAUCAUGUGAGAUGGAGUAGUUUUCACUGGUGAACAUCACUAUGUUGAUCAUAUCUACUAUAUGAUUCAUGCUCGACCUUUCGGUCUCCGUGUUCCGAGGCCAUAUCUGCAUAUGCUAGGCUCGUCAAGUUUAACCUGAGUAUUCUGCGUGUGCAAAACUGGCUUGUACCCGUUGUAGAUGGACGUAGAGCUUAUCACACCCUAUCAUCACGUGGUGUCUGGGCACGACAAACUUUGGCAAUGGUGCAUACUCAGGGAGAACACUUCUUGAUAAUUUUUGUGAGAGAUCAUCUUAAAAUGCUACCGUCAAUCAAAGCAAGAUAAGAUGCAUAAAGGAUAAACAUCACAUGCAAUCAAUAUAAGUGAUAUGAUAUGGCCCUCAUCAUCUUGUGCUUGUGAUCUCCAUCUUUGAAGCACCAUCGUGAUCACCAUCGUCACCGGCGCGACACCUUGAUCUCCAUCGUAGCAUCGUUGUCGUUACGCCAUCUAUUGCUUCUACGACUAUCUAUACCGCUUAGUGAUAAAGUAAAGCAAUUACAGGGUGUUUGCAUUUCAUACAAUAAAGCGACAACCAUAUGGCUCCUGCCAGUUGCCGAUAACUUCGGUUACAAAACAUGAUCAUCUCAUACAAUAAAAUAUAUCAUCACGUCUUGACCAUAUCACAUCACAACAUGCCCUGAAAAACAAGUUAGACGUCCUCUACUUUGUUGUUGCAAGUUUUACGUGGCUGCUAUGGGCUUAGCAAGAACUGUUCUUACCUACGCAUCAAAACCACAACGAUAGUUCGUCAAGUUGGUGCUGUUUUAACCUUCGCAAGGACCGGGCGUAGCCACACUCGAUUCAGCUAAAGUGAGAGAGACAGACACCCGCCAGCCACCUUUAAGCACGAGUGCUCGUAACGGUGAAACCAGUCUCACGUAAGCGUACGCGUAAUGUCGGUCCGGGCCGCUUCAUCUCACAAUACCGCCGAACCAAAGUAUGAAAUGCUGGUAAGCAGUAUGACUUGUAUCGCCCACAACUCACUUGUGUUCUACUCGUGCAUAUAACAUCAACGCAUAAAACCUAGGCUCGGAUGCCACUGUUGGGAAACGUAGUAAUUUCAAAAUUUUCCUACGCACACGCAAGAUCAUGGUGAUGGCAUAGCAACGAGAGAGGAGAGUGUUCGUCCAUGUACCCUCGUAGACCGUAAGCGGAAGCGUUAGCACAACGCGGUUGAUGUAGUUGUACGUCUUCACGAUCCGACCGAUCCAAGCACCGAACGUACGGGGCCUCCGAGUUCAGCACACGUUCAGCUCGAUGACGAUCUCCGGCCUCCGAUCCAGUGAAGCUCCGGAGAUGAGUUCCGUCAGCACGACGGCGUGGUGACGAUGAUGAUGUUCUACCGGCACAGGGCUUCGCCUAAACUCCGCGACAAUAUGACCGAGGUGGAAUAUGGUGGAGGGGGGGCACCGCACACGGCUAAGGAACGAUCCGUAGAUCAACUUGUGUGUCUAUGGGGUGCCCCCCGCCCCUGUAUAUAAAGGAGCAAGGGGGAGAGGCCGGCCGGCCCCUUGGGCGCGCCAAGGGAGGAGGAAUCCUCCUCCUAGUAGGAGUAGGACUCCUCCUUUCCUACUCCUACUAGGAGGGGGAAGGAAGGAGGAGAGGGGGAAGGAAAGGGGGGGCGCCGCCCCCCUCGUAGUCCAAUUCGGACCAGAGGGGGGGAGGGGGCGUGCGGCCCAUGCUGGCCGCCCCUCUCUCCUUUCCCCUAAGGCCCAUAAGGCCCAAUACUCUCCCGGGGGGUUCCGGUAACCCCCGGCACUCCGGUUUUCUCCGAAAUCACCCGGAACAAUUCCGGUGUCCGAAUAUAGUCGUCCAAUAUAUCAAUCUUUAUGUCUCGACCAUUUCGAGAUUCCUCGUCAUGUCCGUGAUGACAUCCGGGACUCCGAACAAACUUCGGUACAUCAAAAGAUAUAAACUCAUAAUAAAACUGUCAUCGUAACGUUAAGCGUGCGGACCCUACAGGUUCGAGAACUAUGUAGACAUGACCUAGAACCAUUCUCGGUCAAUAACCAAUAGCGGGACCUGGAUGCCCAUAUUGGUUCCUACAUAUUCUACGAAGAUCUUUAUCGGUCAAACCGCAUAACAACAUACGUUGUUCCCUUUGUCAUGGGUACGUUACUUGCCCGAGAUUUGAUCGUCGGUAUCCAAUACCUAGUUCAAUCUCGUUACUGGCAAGUCUCUUUACUCGUUCCGUAAUAUAUCAUCUCAUAACUAACUUAUUAGUUACAAUGCUUGCAAGGCUUAGGUGAUGAGUAUUACCGAGAGGGCCCAGAGAUACCUCUCCGACAAUCGGAGUGACAAAACCUAAUCUCGAAUUAUGCCAACUCAACAUGUACCUUCGGAAACACCUGUAGAGCACCUUUAUAAUCACCCAGUUACGUUGUGACGUUUGGUAGCACACAAAGUGUUCUUCCGGUAAACGGGAGUUGCACAAUCUCAUAGUUGCAGGAACUUGUAUAAGUCAUGAAGAAAGCAAUAGCAGUAUACUAAACGAUCAAGUGCUAGGCUAACGGAAUGGGUCAUGUCAAUCACAUCAUUCUCCUAAUGAUGUGAUCCCGUCAAUCAAAUGACAACUCUUUUGUCCAUGGUUAGGAAACAUAACCAUCUUUGAUAAACGAGCUAGUCAAGUAGAGGCAUACUACUGACACUAUGUUUGUCUAUGUAUUCACACAUGUAUCAUGUUUCCGGUUAAUAUAAUUCUAGCAUGAAUAAUAAACAUUUAUCAUGAUAUGAGGAAAUAAAUAAUAACUUUAUUAUUGCCUCUAGGGCAUAUUUCCUUCAGUUACCGGAGUCCUGUUAGCCCAGUGUUACAGCCCGGAUGUAUACGUUGAUGACCGACAUGCUCGAUGUGACUCAUGUAUGCCUGUCCCCAUAGGUUAGCGCCGCUUUGGGUUCAUGACUAGCCAUGUCAGCCCGGGUUCUCUGUCAUAUGGAUGCUAGCGACACUAUCAUAUACGUGAGCCAAAAGGCGCAAACAGUCCCGGCCAUGGUAAGGCGACACCCGUGGGAUUACCGUGCGUGAGGCCGCAAAGUGAUAUGAGGUGUUACCGGCUAGAUCAAUGUGACUUGGAAUCAUGGUCCAGACAGCAUUGGCAUCAGAGCCGGACUGCCUGUAGGUUCCUAAGCCAAACUGGUCGAUGUCGAGUCUAGAAAUGCUUUAGUUAUAUGUAGGGGAAUUUAUUGUGGGAGGAAACGUAAGGCUCUUUUUACCCCUUUACCUUAUGCCCUCUGAUCUGUGUCAUCCUCUUCUCAUUCUACGUGGGUUAAGGACUAGGCUCUCUUCUCUCUAUCAGGUUCACGUGUUACUAAUCCGUAGUAACUUAUAGGAUUGUUGGUUACCAGUCUCAGUACAGUUCCUACUACUUUAGUAUGUUAUCAGUUGAACCUGAACCUUGAUAUGAUGUUGUUGAGUGGUUUUGCAAUCCGUUGUGAAUGUCUCAAAUCUGCUCCUGAGCAUUUACAGCUGUUAUGUUGUCCAAUUUUCCCUAGGAAUUCUAAUGUCUUUGCAUUGUGGUUGUGCUUUCAGAUGGCCACUCGCGCUCAGAACCAAGUGGUUCGCCUGACGCGGUGCCUCAAUGUGCCCGGUCAUACUGCUAUGUUAGUCCGGGUCAUGAUCGAGACAGGUUACCGUUGGUAUCCCGAAUACAUUGCCGAAGAGCAAUUCCAAGACUUUAAUCAAAGCCAAUACUUCUGCACUGUCAGGAUAUUUCCUUCAUAUCCUGGAUCCACCGAGCCCCUUCACUGCUCCUAUGGACUCGGGGUCACCAUUGAGAUGGCUGUACAGGAUGCGGCCUAUUCUAUGAUGACCAUCAUGCGAGUCAGGACUGGUCUGCUUCGGAACACCGACUUCCGUUAUAUGCCAGCAUCGCUCCCAGGAGCGCAAGGGUAUCUCCAGGCUAUCUAUGCUGAUUCCACCCAUGAGGACUCACUAACUCGCACCAUUGCGGAGAUGCUCGAGGAUAAGGACCGAGAGAAUCAGGCCUUGAGGUUGGAGCUUUUCAACACCUGCGCCGAUCAUUGGGCCACUUUGACUCGGUUUGCACCGGCUGUGCAAGCUGGAUGUAUGGAUAUGAGGGAUCUGUUUCCUGUGAGAUCUGCUCUGCCAGACAUGGUGGAUUGGCGUGAUGUGGGAGGCAUCAUCCCACCCCGUGGUCCCCGUAGGCCAUCGUUUGUUGGUCCAAGACCUCAUCCUAGCCCCUAUGGUCCACAGGCUCCUCAGGACCGUCUGUUCCCGGAUGAUCACGUUGAGCUUCCAAGCUAUGGAGGGGACUUCUAUGAGGACUACUACGGAGCUGUCUGAGUUAGUAGUAGUAUCUUUAGUAUUGUAAUAGUUGUAAUUCCAUCGUCCUGCGUGACCUGUGGAAUAUGACUUAGUGUGUAUCAGUUCCGGAGGUGUAGAAAAAUAAUGUAUCGGAGCUUGGAAUGCCUCCGAUGAGAUGUAACUUCUUCCACCGUAGUUGUACUAUAGUCGGGCUUGUACUAAACUAUGUAUGGUGUGUAUGACUGUUGGUGCAUAUAUGGCAGUUUCUGUAUUACCAUGUCAUACAGAUGAACAUCUCUGCAUUCCUUGUUAUCCAUUACAUUCUGCACUUCCUUGUCCAGAUUUGCCAUCCUUGUCUAAAGCGAUGUCUUGUUUUCCUAGGAUGGUCAACACCCGUAACAACCCUGCUACUCCGGAGCAGGGUGAAGCCAGUGCAGCUAGGAAUGAAAAUCUGCCUCAACCACCUUCUCUGGUCGAAGUUAUGCUGGAGGCAGAGCGAAAUAAGCGUGAGACCAAUCGCUUGCUGGAGCGGAUUGAGCAGAAUACCGCACGCCAGCCGAGGAACGACCUGGUGUCACUUAAUGACUUUGUCAAGCUGUAUCCACCGAAGUUUAAACAUUCCGUCGAGCCCCUUGAUGCGGAUGAAUGGCUUCGCAGCAUUACCCACAAGCUACGUUCUGUCAAUGUGGCCGAAGCUGAUAAGGUUAACUUUGCUACCUAUCACCUCGAAGGCCCUGCUAGCCUUUGGUGGGAAAACUUUGAGGCUAUGCGCCCGGUCGGCCAAAUUACUACUUGGGCUGAAUUCAGUAUGGAGCAUCACAUUCCGGAAGGUCUUAUGGAUCGCAAGCGUGAAGAGUUCUGCAACUUCACCCAGGGUAGACUGACUGUGGAUGCAUACAGUCGCGAGUUUGGAUAUCUAGCACGAUAUGCUCCUAAAGAGGUAUCCACCGACGCCAAGAAGCAGGCAAGGUUCCGCAAGGGACUUAGCCCCGAGCUUCGUCGUGAUCUUCGUCUGCACGAGUGCACCUCCUUCCAGAAGUUAGUCAACAAGGCCAUCAGUGCUGAGACAGGGCAGUCGGACUUUGAAGCUUCACGCAAGCACUCCCGUGACUUUGGACUUCAUCCGGCUGUGCAUCUCAGAAGCGCCGGGUCUGGAUUCCAAGCACUGCUCUGCCACCCAGGUUCACCCCGAGGCCAUCCUUUGACGCGCCUCGCCCCAACCAAUAGUAUACACCGCCCAAGGCCUAUGGUGGCCCCACUGCUAAUGCUACUCCAUGCCCCAAUGUGAUAACUUGUUUCAAGUGUGGGGAGACGGGUCACUACAUUCGUGAGUGUCCCCAAAACAACCCCAACCAGAUUGGAAAGUCUGUUGGCCGUGGCAAGCCAGCAGGAAAGGUGCUCUACGCCAAGCCAGCCACCACUGCCCGUGGCCAUGUCAACUAUGUCUCAGCAGAGGAGACUCAUGAGGAUCCCAACGUCGUUCUCGGUACGCUUCUUGUUAAUUGCCACCCGGCAACCAUUCUCUUUGAUACUGGAGCAUCUCAUUCAUUUAUAUCUGAAAGCUAUGCUCGAUUGCACAACACCACAUUUUGUGACAUGCCCACCUCCAUGGUAAUUCAAACCCCUGGUUCUAAGUGGCAAACCUCUAAAAUCAGCCAUGGAAAUGAAAUCCUUGUCGACAGAUUAGUCUUCCUUGCAUCACUAAUAGCUCUCAAGUCCUCGGACAUAAACAUCAUCUUGGGUAUGGACUGGAUGUCAGCCCAUUACGCUAAGAUCGAUUGCUCCACUAGAACUGUUCAACUCACCCACCCUUCGGGCAAGACAGCCAAUGUUUUGACCCGAGUGUCUAAGCGUCAGCUUUACUCUUUAAAUGCCAACCCCCUUCCAGACCUUGAAGAUAUUCCGGUAGUCCGUGACUUCCCGGAUGUCUUUCCAGAGGAACUGUCAGGUGUUCCACCUAACAGAGAUGUCAAGUUCGUGAUAGACCUUGUUCCAGGAACCAUGCCAACAUCUAGGAGACCUUAUAAGAUGGCACCCCUAGAACUAGCUGAGCUUAAGAAACAACUCGAUGAGUCCUUGCAAAAGGGUUUCAUCCAUCCUAGCUCUUCUCCAUGGGCUUGCCCCGUCCUUUUCGUCAAGAAGAAGGAUGGAACGGAUCGGAUGGUUGUAGAUUACCGGCCAGUCAACUUGGUCACUAUCAAGAACAAGUAUCCGCUCCCCAAGAUCAACGACCUGUAUGAUCAGCUCGCUGGAUCCUCAGUCUUUUCUAAAAUGGAUUUGAGGUUGGGCUACCAUCAAAUCAAAAUUAAGAACGGGGACAUUCCUAAAACGGCCUUUGUUACUCGAUAUGGCCAAUACGAGUACACCGUCAUGUCCUUCGGUCUAACCAAUGCCCCAGCCACCUUCUCUCGGUUAUUGAACUCGAUCUUCAUGGAGUAUUUUGAUAAAUUCGUCGUGGUUUACCUUGAUGAUAUACUCAUCUACUCCAAGAAUGAAGAAGAACAUGCCGAACAUCUAAGGCUAGUGUUGAUGAAACUUUGAGAGCAUUGUCUUUAUGCCAAAUUCUCUAGGUGUGAGUUUUGGUUGCCAGAAGUAACCUAUCUAGGACAUGUAAUCUCUGGUAAGGGCAUUGCUGUCAAUCCCAAGCGAGUUCAAGCCAUCCUUGACUGGACUCCACCUGAAACGGUCAAGCAAGUUCAGAGUUUUGUUGGUUUAGCGAGCUAUUGCCGCUGCUUCAUCGAGAAUUUCUCCAAGGUUGCUAAGCCUCUAACCGAACUCCUCAAGAAAGAUAAAAAGUUCGAAUGGACGCCAUAGUGCGAGUUCAGUUUUCAGGAACUGAAAAGACGCCUGACAUCUGCUCCUGUACUUGUUCCACCAGAUUUCUCUAAGGACUUCGUUAUCUACUGCGACGCCUCGCGACAAGGACUAGGUUGCAUACUCAUGCAAGAUCGUCAUGUGAUUGCCUACGCUUCUCGACAGCUGCGUCCACAUGAGGAUAACUAUCCCACACAUGAUCUACAGCUUGCAGCAGUGGUCCAUGCACUCAAAACCUGGCGACAUUACCUUCUCGGUAAUCGUUGCGAGAUUUACACCGAUCACCAAAGUCUGAAAUACAUCUUCACCAAACCGGAUUUGAAUCUCAGACAAAGACGUUGGGUCGAGUUGAUUACGGAUUACGAUCUAGGAAUAACCUACACCCCAGGAAAAGCCAAUGUCAUGGCUGAUGCAUUAAGCCGUAAAUCUUAUUGUAACAACCUGAUGUUACAACAAAGCCAACCAUUUCUCCACGAGGAAUUUCGUAAGCUUAACCUUCACAUCGUUCCUCGAGGUUUUCUUUCCACCCUGGUGGCGAAACCUACCCUUACGGAUCAGAUCAUCAAGGCACAGAAGGUAGAUCCGGGAAUAUCCCGUAUCAAGAGAAACAUCAAAAGGGAGUUGGACUGUUUCUCCAUAGAUGAUCAAGGUGUUGUGUUCUUUGGAGGCCAUCUAGUGGUUCCCAAGGUAUGCAACCUGAGGCGAUUGAUCCUUAAGGAAGCUCAUGAAUCCCCUCUCACUAUUCAUCCCAGUAGUACUAAAAUGUAUCAAGACCUACGCCAGAGGUUUUGGUGGACUAGGAUGAAGAGAGAAAUCGCUCAAUACAUUACCAAUUGCGACGUCUGUCGUCGAGUUAAAGAAGAGCAUCAACGACCUGCUGGCACCCUGCAACCUUUGGAAAUUCCCGAAUGGAAAUGGGAUAAAAUCGGUAUGGAUUUCAUUACCGGGUUUCCCAGGACCAAGAGGGGGAAUAAUGCUAUCUUCGUUGUUGUCGAUCGUCUUUCCAAAGUAGCCCACUUCCUACACGUUCGUGAGAGUUUAACCGCUAGCCAGCUAGCUGACUUAUACAUCUCCCGAAUAGUGUCUCUUCAUGGUGUUCCAUUGGAGACUAACUCAGACCGUGGAAGUCUCUUCACCUCUCGAUUUCGGGAAAGUUUCCAAAAUGCGAUGGGAACUCGUCUUUCUUUUAGCACCGCUUUCCAUCCUCAAUCAAGUGGUCAAGUAGAACGAGUCAAUCAAAUUCUAGAGGAUAUGCUUCGAGCUUCUGUCAUCUCUUUUGGUAUGAAUUGGGAGAAGUGCCUUCCAUUCGCUGAGUUCGCUUAUAACAAUAGUUAUCAAGCUAGCUUGGACAAAGCUCCUUUCAAAGUUCUCUAUGGAUGAAAAUGUCGAACACCUCUUAACUGGUCAGAAACCGGGUAAAGACAACUCUUUGGCCCGGAUAUGAUCCAGGAAGCAGAGGAGCAGGUUCACGUUAUUCGUGAGAAAUUGAAAACAGCCCAAUCUCAUCAAAAGAGCCAAUAUGACCGCAAACAUACACUAGUAGAAAAGGGGCCAAUGGUCCAGGCCGGUCCAGCCCAUUAGUCCCGGUUCAAUCCAGAACCGGGACCAAUGGGGGCAUUGGACCCGGUUCGUGAGCCCUGGGGGCCGGCCGGGCCACGUGGGCCAUUGGUCCCGGUUCGUCCUGACCUUUCGGUCCCGGUUGGUGGGACGAACCGGGACCAAUGGGCCUCGCUCCUGGCCCACCAACAUUGGUCCCGGUUGGUGGCUUGAACCGGGACCAAAGGCGUCCCUUUAGUCCCGGUUCAAGUCACCAACCGGGACCAAUUAGUUGCCUAUAUAUACCCCUCGCCUGCGAGCAGAGCACUCCCAGUGCUCUGUUUUUCGUGGCUGGCGAGGGGAGAGCUUUGUGGUGCUCUAGCUCACGUCCUAUGCACACAAGGUGUUCGAUGGAAUGCCCGAGCCACACUACUUAAGCUUUCUCCUCUCCAAGCUCGACCUCCAAGCUCCAUUUUCCUUCAUAUUUGUCUAGGUUUAGCGGUUCGUCACGUCCCGUCCCCAUCUUCACCACCGUUGAUCGCCCGCGCCGAUCUCGUCGCCGGCACCACCGUGGUGAGCCUCUUGUUCUUAUCUUCUUUCUGAAAGGAAAAAAAAUUCUUACUUGUAUGUUUAUAUAGAUACUUGUAUAAUUUUCUUACUUUUAUUAUUGCAUCUUAUAUAGUGCGAUGGUUUUGGUAUCCGCCCCCGUCGGCCCUCGUCCUGUCUAUGAUUCAGAUGUGGUAUAUAUAUAUUAUCUUUUCAUAACUAGUGGUUCAUUUAUUGUUUAUGACAAUUAUGCCGACCAACGUGACAUAGAUUUUAUUUAUCUAGGAGGUUGUUGAACCGGAAAUUCCAACCGACCCUAUUGUCGAGAGGUUAAAUUUAGUUGAAGAAAACAAUUUGUUGAAGGGAAAAAUUAGAAAAAUUGAGGAGGAGAAGAUGAUAUUGGAGUUGCAUGUUGCGGAUGUCAUCGAUGAUCACAAGAUCAAGAUGGAUGCAAUGCGCUUGAAGAUUAGAAAGAUUAGAAAAUAUGCCAUUCAUACCGAGGCUUGGUAUCAUUAUGUCGUUGGAUCAGUUGUUACAUUGGUUGCGAUUAUGAUCGUAUUUGUUUUCGCAUUGAAAUGUUUUACAUAGUUUCAGUGUAUGGUUUAAUUAAUUUAGAUGCCCUGCAGAGCUUUAUGUUGUUAGAUGAGAACUAUGUAUGUACUUUGGUUUUAAUGUGAUGAUGAACUUCUAUUAAUUUCGUCACUUAAUUAUCUAUUCAUGAUGUUCUGUAAUGAUUUUUGACACACUUAAUUAUAUAUAAUGCACGCAGAUGAACCGGCAAUGGAUGUACGGUUCAAGACACACCUCCGAGUACAUUAAGGGCGUGCAUGAUUUUCUCGAAGUGCCUGAGGCAACAAGAAGAAUGGUUUUAUGUGUUGUCCAUGCCCUAUAUGUGGGAAUACGAAGUCUUACUCUGACUGGAAAAUCCUCCACACCCACCUUCUUUACAAGGGUUUCAUGCCACACUAUAAUGUUUGGACGAGGCACGGAGAAAUAGGGGUUAUGAUGGAAGACGGCGAAGAAGAAGAGUACGAUGACAACUAUGUGCCCCCUGAAUACGGUGAUGCUACUGAAGAUCAAGAGGAACCAGACGAUGUGCCCGAUGAUGAUGAUCUCCGCCGGGUCAUUGUCGAUGCAAGGACGCAAUGCGAAAGUCAAAAGGAGAAGCUGAAGUUCGAUCGCAUGUUAGAGGACCACAAAAAAGGGUUGUACCCCAAUUGUGAAGAUGGCAACACAAAGCUCGGUACCGUACUGGAAUUGCUGCAGUGGAAGGCAGAGAAUGUUGUGCCUGACAAAGGAUUUGAGAAGCUACUGAAAAUAUUGAAGAAGAAGCUUCCAAAGGAUAACGAAUUGCCCGACAGUACAUACACAGCAAAGAAGUUCGUAUGCCCUCUAGGAUUGGAGGUGCAGAAGAUACAUGCAUGCCCUAAUGACUGCAUCCUCUACCGCGGUGCGUACAAGGAUCUGAACGCAUGCCCGGUAUGCGGUGCAUUACGGUAUAAGAUCAGACGAGAUGACCCUGGUGAUGUUGACGGCGAGCCCCCCAGGAAGAGGGUUCCUGCGAAGGUGAUGUGGUAUGCUCCCAUAAUACCACGGUUGAAACGUCUGUUCAGAAACGGAGAGCAUGCCAAGUUGAUGCGAUGGCACAGUGAGGACCGUAAGAAAGACGGGAAGUUGAGAGCACCCGCUGACGGGUCGCAGUGGAGAAAAAUCGAGGGAAAGUACUGGGAUGAGUUUGCAAGUGAGCCAAGGAACGUAUGGUUUGCUUUAAGCGCGGAUGGCAUUAAUCCUUUCGGGGAGCAGAGCAGCAAUCACAGCACCUGGCCCGUGACUCUAUGUAUGUAUAACCUUCCUCCUUUGAUGUGCAUGAAGCAGAAGUUCAUUAUGAUGCCAGUUCUCAUCCAAGGCCCUAAGCAACCCGGCGACGACAUUGAUGUGUACCUAAGGCCAUUAGUUGAAGAACUUUUAUAGCUGUGGAAUGGAAAUAGUGUACGUACGUGGGAUGAGCACAAACAGGAGGAAUUUAACCUAAAGGCGUUGCUGUUCGUGACCAUCAACAAUUGGCCCGCUCUCAGUAACCUUUCAGGACAGACAAACAAGGGAUACCACGCAUGCACGCACUGUUUACUUGACACCGAUAGUAUAUACCUAGCAAGUUGUAGGAAGAAUGUGUACCUGGGCCAUCAUCGAUUUCUUUCGACCAACCAUCAAUGUUGAAAGAAAGGCAAGCAUUUCAAAGGCGAGGCAGAUCACCGGAAGAAGCCCUCCAUGCGUACUGGUAUCACGUACUUGCUAUGGUAGUGAUUUACACGUAAUCUUUGGAAAGUGUCCCGGCGGACUAGCUGUUCCGAAUGACGCUGAGAAUCACGCACCCAUGUGGAAGAAGAAAUCUAUAUUUUGGGACCUACCCUACUAGAAAGACCUAGAGGUCCGCUCUUCGAUCGACGUGAUGCACGUGACGAAGAACCUUUGCGUGAACCUGCUAGGCUUCUUGGGCAUGUAUGGGAAGACAAAAGAUACAACUGAGGCACGGGAGGACCUGCAACGCUUGCACGAAAAAGUGGGCAUGCCUCCGAAGCAGUAUGAAGGUCCUGCCAGCUACGCUCUUACGAAAGAAGAGAAAUAAAUCUUCUUUGAAUGCCUGCUCAGUAUGAAGGUCCCGACUGGCUUCUCUUCGAAUAUAAAGGGAAUAAUAAAUAUGCCAGACAAAAAGUUCUAGAACCUAAAGUCUCAUGACUGCCACGUGAUUAUGACGCAACUGCUUCCGGUUGCAUUGAGGGGGCUUCUACCGGAAAACGUCCGAUUAGCCAUUGUGAACCUAUGUGCAUUCCUCAAUGCAAUCUCUCAGAAGGUGAUCGAUCCAGAAAUCAUACCAAGGCUAAGGACUGAUGUGGUGCAAUGUCUUGUCAGUUUCGAGCUGGUGUUCCCACCAUCCUUCUUCAAUAUCAUGACGCACGUCCUAGUUCAUCUAGUUGACGAGAUUGUCAUUCUGGGCCCCGUAUUUCUACACAAUAUGUACUUCUUUGAGAGGUUCAUGGGAGUCCUAAAGAAAUAUGUCUGUAACCGCGCUAGGCCAAAAGGAAGCAUCUCCAUGGGCUAUCAAACAGAGGAUGUCAUCGGGUUUUGUGUUGACUUCAUUCCUGGCCUUAAGAAUAUAGGUCUCCCUAAAUCGCGGUAUGAGGGGAGACUGACUGGAAAAGGCACGCUUGGAAGGGACUCAAUUAUAUGCAGGGACGGAUAUUCUUGGUCUCAAGCACACUACACAGUUCUACAGAACUCUACCUUGGUGACCCCGUAUGUCGAUGAACACAAGAACAGUCUGCGCUCCAAACACCCGGAGCAGUGCGACGACUAGAUUACAUGUGAACACAUCAGGACUUUCAGUAGUUGGUUGGAAGCACAUAUCAGAGGUGACAACACUGUUUGUGAUGAGUUGUACUUGUUGUCCAGGGGACCAUCUUUGACUGUAUUGAUUUGGAAAGGAUACGAGAUAAAUGGGAAUACAUUUUACACGAUUGACCAAGAUCAAAAGAGCACCAACCAAAACAGCGGUGUCCGCUUUGAUGAAACAACCGAGAGGGGAAAGGACACAUAUUGUGGUUACAUAGUGGACAUAUGGGAACUUGACUACGGACACGAUUUUAAGGUCCCUUUGUUUAAGUGCAAAUGGGUCAAUCUGUCAGGUGGCAGGGUACAGGUAGACCCACAGUACGGAAUGACAAUAGUGGAUCUGGAAAAUCUUGGAUACACUGACGAACUGUUCGUCCUAGCCAAUGAUGUGGCACAGGUUAUCUAUGUGAAGGACAUGUCUACCAGACCAAGAAAGAGAAAAGAUAAGGAAGCGAAUACAUCAUACGAUGAGCCAAAGUGCCACAUAGUUCUUUCAGGAAAAAGGGACAUCGUGGGAGUGGAGGACAAGACAGACAUGUCUGAAGAUUAUGAAAAGUUUCAUGAAAUUCCUCCCUUUAAUGUCAAGGCUGACCCCAGCAUCCUGAUAGACGAUGAAGAUUAUCCAUGGUUACGGCGCAAUAAGCAAAUGACACAAGCGAAGAAAAAGUGAAGACUUUCUCCCGCAACUAUUAUGAUGAUACCAUGCCAAAUUUGUAACUGACGAGUAUGAUACCAUUGUCCGUUUUGUACAUGCACAUGCUAUGUGGGUCAAUUUAUGAUACCAUGCCAACUUUCAACUUUUUCAGAGUUCAUUUGAAAUGCUUUAAUGUCUUAUGGUUCGGCCCUCGUAAUGAUUAAAAAUAGCAACAAUAAGUAUUUUGUUGUAAGUAGAAACAAAAUAAAAUAAAUAAAGCAAGAAAGAAAACAAAAAAAACAAAAAAAGUGUUUUCAAAUUUGAAAACUAAUGGUACUAACAGAAAGUUUAUAAUUUUCCUAAAACUAAAAGCAAAAAGAAUUGAAAAAUAAAGCAAAAAACAAAAGACAAUAAAUAAUGCAGAAAUCAAAACAAAAAACAACAAUAAGUAUUUUGUUGUAUGUAGAAACAAAACAAAAUAAAUAAAGCAAGAAAGAAAACAAAAAAACAAAAAAAGUGUUUUCAAAUUUGAAAACUAGGGCACUAACAGAAAGUUUAUAAUUUUCCUAAAACUAAAAGCAAAAAGAAUUAAAAAAUAAAGCAAAAAACAAAAGAAAAUAAAUAAUGCGGAAAACAAAACAAAAAAACUGGAAAAAAAAUAAAAUAGCAAAAAUAAGUAAAGAAAACAAAAAAAUGCCUCCUACUGGGCCCCCACGGCCUGAAUACGACUAGAAACCCUACUAUGGGCCAGGAUUCAGGCCCGCAGUAGGCCCAGAAGGCCCAUCAGGCAAAGCAAUAGCAAGUAGGCCCGAAAGCCUGCGGUGGAGAGGAGCUCGAGAGGGGUGCGGCAGUGGGGCUUAUAAACCACUGCACGCCCCUCUCAACUAGCGAGGUGGGACUAAACUUUGGCCCCGACGCGGGAAGCACAGGGGCCUUUGGUCCCGGUUGGUGGCACCAACCGGGACUAAAGGGGGGGGCAUUGGUACCGGUUCGUGGCACCAACCGGUACCAAAGGCCGCCGCUUCCCGCCCUUUGGGCUGCCGAAAAGGAGGCCUUUGGUCCUAGUUGGUGGCACUAACCGGGACUAAAGGGUGCAUUAGUCCCGGUUGAUUUCACGAACCGGGACCAAUGCCUUUGCUAUAUAAGCAAACACUUUGCAAAAUUUCAGAAUCCCAUCGCCAGUUGCCCCCGACGACGCCGACCCUCCUCGACGCUGCCAGGCUGCUCCACCUCGCCGUCGUCGCCGCCACCGCCAAGCCGUCGCCUCCCCGAGCCCGCGCCAUCCUCGUCGCCGGCCUCCCUGAGCCCGCGCCGUCCUCGUCGCCGGUCUCCUCGAGCCCGCUCCCCGUCCCGCCCCCGCGCGCCGCCGCCCCGAGCCCCUGCCCCGUCCUGCCCCCAUGCGCNNNNNNNNNNNNNNNNNNNNNNNNNNNNNNNNNNNNNNNNNNNNNNNNNNNNNNNNNNNNNNNNNNNNNNNNNNNNNNNNNNNNNNNNNNNNNNNNNNNNNNNNNNNNNNNNNNNNNNNNNNNNNNNNNNNNNNNNNNNNNNNNNNNNNNNNNNNNNNNNNNNNNNNNNNNNNNNNNNNNNNNNNNNNNNNNNNNNNNNNNNNNNNNNNNNNNNNNNNNNNNNNNNNNNNNNNNNNNNNNNNNNNNNNNNNNNNNNNNNNNNNNNNNNNNNNNNNNNNNNNNNNNNNNNNNNNNNNNNNNNNNNNNNNNNNNNNNNNNNNNNNNNNNNNNNNNNNNNNNNNNNNNNNNNNNNNNNNNNNNNNNNNNNNNNNNNNNNNNNNNNNNNNNNNNNNNNNNNNNNNNNNNNNNNNNNNNNNNNNNNNNNNNNNNNNNNNNNNNNNNNNNNNNNNNNNNNNNNNNNNNNNNNNNNNNNNNNNNNNNNNNNNNNNNNNNNNNNNNNNNNNNNNNNNNNNNNNNNNNNNNNNNNNNNNNNNNNNNNNNNNNNNNNNNNNNNNNNNNNNNNNNNNNNNNNNNNNNNNNNNNNNNNNNNNNNNNNNNNNNNNNNNNNNNNNNNNNNNNNNNNNNNNNNNNNNNNNNNNNNNNNNNNNNNNNNNNNNNNNNNNNNNNNNNNNNNNNNNNNNNNNNNNNNNNNNNNNNNNNNNNNNNNNNNNCGCUGCAUUGGCUCUGUUUUUUUUUCAUUUUUAUUAGUUUAAUUAUUUUUUUGUUCAUAUAUAUAUAUAUAUAUAUAAUGUAUAUGUGUAUGUAUGUGGCUAUAUAUGUGUAUGUAGAUGUUCAAAAAUUAUUCAGAGCACGUUUUUAUUCAUAUAUGUAUUUUUUGUUCAUAUGUGUAUUAAUGUUUUCAUAUAUGCAAAAGAUAGAUUUUUAGAAAAGUUAGGGUUUUUUUUUCUAUUCAUAGAUUUUUUUGGUGAUAUUAAUUAUUGUAGAAUAUGCAAAUGUUUGUAUAUUCAUAUGAACAAUGCAUUAGGCAAAACCUUUGUUUUUUUUGAAAUUUUUUAUUUGAACAUUUUUUAAAAACAAGCAAUACUAAAAGAAUGAGAGGAAAAAGGAAAAUAAGAAGAGGAAGAAAGGAGAAGAAGAGGAGAGGAAGAAGAGGAGAAAUAAAUAAGAAGAGGAAAAAAGAAGAGGGGAAGAAGAAAGGAAUAGAGGAGAAGAAGAAAAAUAGAAAUUUUCUAUUUUUCUUCUUCUCCUCUAUUCCUUUCUUCUUCUCCUCUUUAUUUUCUUCUUUUUUUUCUUCUUCCUUCUUCCUCUUUUCUUCCUUUUCCUUAUUUUCCUUUCUCGAGGGAGAAGAAGAAAAAGAAGAGUAAAAGAAGAAGAAAGGAAUAGAGGAGAAAGAAGAAACUUCAACACAAGGGGGGGUUACCGAUACCCCCUCCCCGAUAACAUUAUUUUCCCAUGUAUAUGUAUGUCGCGUCAUUGUCGAUAUAACCCCCUCGAGAUAACUUCGACAUGAGGGGCGGUCGAUAUAUAUACCCCCUCUCGACCGUGAUAACUUAUACAACGGCAGCACCCCCCUCGGCCCUCUCGCUCGACCAAAACUCUUGAGGACACCCAAACCCUAGAGAGAAAACGAUGUUGGUCUCCUACCCCCUCCCGCCGCGCCCCUACCCGACAUAUUAACUCUCUCGAGGCCACCCAAAUUUACCAAGUUAAAAGAGCGUUGUCGUCGAGGCCACCCCAAACCCUUGAAGCGUUGUGUCGAGGAGACCCCAAACCCUAGAGAAGCAGCGUCGAGGCCACUAACAUGGAUCGAUCCAUCUGUAAUAAUAAUUGACAUGGUGUAAAUAUUUGCAGAAACUAUGGAGCACUCCCGAGACGAAGAAACAGAAGCGAUGUUGGGGGACAUUAUCGCACAAGGAAGUGAUGAAGUUGCGUCAUUUCUCAACGACACCGAUGGUCAGGAACGACUGGGUGAAGAAGAGGGCUAUGUUCAUGAUGGCUUCGACCCAUUAAUGCCGGUACAAGAAGAGGACUAUGUUCAUGAUGGCUCUGGUGACACAAUGGAGGUACAAGAAGGAGACCGUGCUGACUGCUCCGGUGACCGAACCGAGUCCGGCCAGGUAUAUAUAUAUAUAUUAGUUAAGCCCGUGCUGACUAGUUAAUUGAUGCAUCCAUUGUUUUGGUAUAUGUACACAUAUUAAUUACUCUCGUCUUUCUUCCUUAUAAUUUCUAGCCCUCCGGAUCGAGCACAACUUCGGUAAGAAGACGAAGCCCGAAGAAAAAGUUGAGCUCGGAUGAAAAGUUUGAGAUCAUAGAAAUCGCGCCCGACGGCGAACCGAUUGAACCCAUCCGGACAAGGAAGGCAUUUUCUGCUCAGUGCGGGGUUCUUGUUAGGGACAAGAUCCCGAUCAGCAUCCAUCAAUGGUAUAAGCCUAAGGAGGAAGACCCCGAGGUGUCUUAUGUCAAUGAUAUGCAGAAAGAAGAUCUUUGGACUGAGCUAAAGGCAAAUUUCACCCUACCGCUAGAGGAGGAUCCGGAGAAGCCAGUUAUAGAGCAAUUAAUCAAUUCUUGUGCUCUUAAGAAGAUGGCAACCCUAAUGAGGAGGUGGAGGAAAGAGGUGAACCAGUUUGUCGAGAAAGAUAAGACACCAGAAUUCAUCGGCAAAUAUGAGAAGAUCAAAGAUCACUGGCCCGCAUUUGUGGCCCACAAGACAUCGGAAAAGAGUAAGAAGAUGUCGGCAACAAACAAGAAAAAUUCUGCAAAGAAGAAGCUUCACCAUCGCACGGGGUCAGGUGGCUACCUCAAAGCCCGGCCUAAGUGGUCCAAGGCUGAGCAUGAUCUGCUUGAAAAAGGGAUCGAACCAGAGACAAUGUACUGGCCAGACCGUUGUCGGACUUGGUUCUUCGGGGCUGGCGGAACCUUGGACCCUGUAACAGGGAAGUGCCAGUGGACGGAUGAGCAACUACAAAUACCAGUCAAGAAACUUCGACACUAUAUCGAUGCAGCGUAGCGAGGGACGCUCCUUCCAAACAGGGAGAAGGACGAGCUCACAAUGGCCCUUGGGAAUCCUGAGCACCCUGGAUGGACACGAGGCACGCCAGGCUCCAUUCCAUGGAAGGUUGGUCUUCCGCACACAGGGGGUUACAAAACCCACGAGAGGAGGAAGAAACUGGAGCAGGACCAAAUGCAGGCGCUGCACGAAAGGGUAAUGGGGCUAGAGGAACGAGAAGCAGCAGAUCGCAGCAAACGACAUGCCGAAGCUUCCCCCGAAGCUACCUCGCCAUCUCAGCGGAGAAGCAGCGUGGCUUCCACCGAGCUGCUUCAGCCGGAGCAUGUCUUGACGUCUCCUGCCAGCUAUCCCGUGGAUGGUAUCACGGAGUCUCAAAGUUGCCACAUUAUGACGCAAUGUAUGAAUUUGAAGGUCAAGGCGGCUGUUGGCCAAGUUUAUCCUAGUGGACCCGGCACAACUUAUCACUGCCAGCCGAUUCCAGAAGGAUUUGCUAAGGUGAUGGUGGAUGAAAUAACGGAGGGAUUUGAGGACCUCCUGCUUGAGCACCCUACCGGUGAAGGGGAGACUAGGCUGGGUUCUGCUCUGAAGACUCCAUGCCUAUGGCGGAAGGAGCUCAUCAACCUUCCGAACUGGACGCCUCCGCCUCCUCCUCCUCCUCCGGCGAGUCAGGGCACUCCGCCUCCUCCACCGCCUCCUCCUCCGGCGAGUGAUGAUCAGGGCACACGUGGCAGCACUCCGCCUCCUUCUCCGCCUGCGCCGGCGCGCCCGAGCAGCCAGCCUCCUCCUUCUCCGCCUCGUCAGCAAGGGCGAAAGAGACCCGCCGCUGCUCCGGCUGCUCCGGCGCGUCGUAAUCCUUCUCCUCCGCCUCACAAAAAGCAAGCAAAGAAGACAUCCACUCCGUCUGCUCUGUCGGUGUCUAGCAGUACAGCCAAAGGCGGGAAGAAAUACAGAUUUGGUCCUUCUCCGAAGACUCCAGAGAAGUUACCGUACGAGAGGACCGAGGAGGAAAACGCGGAGAUCACGCAGAACGAACUGGAUGGCUGGUUUGCAGGGUUGAAAGCAAAGAGACAUCCACCUCCGGAGGAGAAGGUAGAUCCGGUGAAAGUGAAGCGCACUCUGGCUGCCCUGAGGAAACCGGCAAAGUCUCCGCCGAGAACCAACUAUGAGCGCAUUACUGAACAGACAUAUCUCCAAGCGGAGCAGUCGGGAAGUACUGUCAGACAUCAAAGAGCAAAAGAACGAGCAGCUGCGAAAAAAGUUGACCAGCUCGGCGAACAACCAAACCAAUCGUGCCCCCCGCUCAAUGUGUCUAGCGGCAACAUCGUCGCUAAUGUUCCGGGGAUCAUGGACGGUUAUGGCAAUCCACAAUAUUACCUGCCUGACGAUGCACUUCCUGAAUUCAUGAUGGUGGAAGAACGCAGAUACGAGUACGGGAAGCCUCUCAUCAAAGAUGUAAAAUCUCUAACAACGAUGAUGCGAAGAUUCCAUACUUGGUACAUGAAAACCUGCAGAGAGUCUGGGGGGACGAAUAGUUUGUAUCUACACAUUAAAGAGGAGCACGACCUCGUUGGAACUGAUCUGUUGUGUGUUCCAUUUGAGGAGUUCUUCGCGUUCUUCAAUCAAAUAGCCCUCGAUAAAUUAACGGUCUUUUGCUACUGCCUGUAAGUACUAUUUCUGUCAUUAAGUCUCUAUAUAUAGCUUGGCUUUCAUUACAUGUAUUUAUAAUUAAUUAUCCUCAAUAUAUUAUGCAGAUUGAAGAUCGUCGAGUGCAAAAAAAUGAAAUCUAUGAUAUUGGGUUCAUUAACACAAAUAUCAUAGAUGUAUUUCUGGUUGAAAAGCACAUCGAAGAGGCCGAGGACAACUUGCUACGAUCAUUGAUCAAAAAUCAAAACAAAGAUACCAUACUCUUUCCUUACAACACCAAGUGAGUGUUACUGAUCAUUUGCAUAUUCGGUUUCCCUUAUUACUCGAGCGAGGUUAUAGUAAUGUAAUUGAUGAGUUAUGCAUGUGUGCGCAGGUACCACUAUAUUCUUCUGGAGAUUAAGCUUGAGCGUGGACUAGUAACCGUCUUAGACUCGAGACGGAAAGAUCCCAGCACCUAUGCGGACAUGACUGAAAUGCUCAGCAAGUAAGUUCAAUCGAUCAUUAUCGCACCAUAGCGGCAACUUUUUGUUCAUUUCCUGAUAUCUCAAGUAAUAAUAAUUAUUUUCUUUGUCUUGCAGGGUUUGGAAACAGUUCACCACAGUAGCUCGGGGACUGCCGAAGGAGCUGCGAUAUAUAUACCCGAAAGUAAGUACUACUGGCUAGCUAGUUGUGUGCAUCUCCUGUUGAUUCUAUAGCUAUACUUUCAUCACAUUUAUAAUGCUUCAUUAUCAGUUUGAUAGACCUCUAUUUCUCGUAAAGUGCUUGUGGUAGGAACAAGGGAAUGAUUUCUAUAGAUACUACGUGUGCGAGUUCAUCUACAACGCGACUUUGAAAAAUAAGCGGGGCUACUCUCAAAGACAAUAUGAAGUGCGUAAGCAAUUAAUAAUAUUCACAAUUUCUGUUGAGUUUCAUUCAUAUAUAUAUAUAUAUAUAUAUAUAUAUAUAUAUAUGUAUUAAUUAACCCCCUUCUUCAAAUUAGACGUGGCAGAUGCGGAAUGAACUCCUAGAACCAGAUCGCAUGAAAGGAAUUCAAGAGGAAUUGGCGGGAUUCUUUCUUGACCACGUCAUCAAUAAAGCCGGAGAAUACCAUGUGGAACUUGAUUUCAAAUGCUAGGGGACUGUAAUUGAGAGAUCUUAUAUAUUGUACAUGUUGUAUGUAGCCAGUAGCGUCGGACAUACAUGAUACAAAAACUUGUUGUUUGACCAAUCUCUCGGAGAAGGAGACGUCGAUCGAUCACUUCUCUCGGUAUGCAUGACGAACUUCUGUACUUAAUGGUUUCCUUCAUUUUCUUACUAGCUAGCGUGUCGAGAGCCUCUCUAUGUAUAGUACGUAGCGUCGACCAAGCACGGACAUAAGAGAGGACACUUCUCUCUAUUAAUUAGCUAGCUAACACAAUAUAUGAAACACCUAAAUUAACCCCCAAAACCNNNNNNNNNNNNNNNNNNNNNNNNNNNNNNNNNNNNNNNNNNNNNNNNNNNNNNNNNNNNNNNNNNNNNNNNNNNNNNNNNNNNNNNNNNNNNNNNNNNNNNNNNNNNNNNNNNNNNNNNNNNNNNNNNNNNNNNNNNNNNNNNNNNNNNNNNNNNNNNNNNNNNNNNNNNNNNNNNNNNNNNNNNNNNNNNNNNNNNNNNNNNNNNNNNNNNNNNNNNNNNNNNNNNNNNNNNNNNNNNNNNNNNNNNNNNNNNNNNNNNNNNNNNNNNNNNNNNNNNNNNNNNNNNNNNNNNNNNNNNNNNNNNNNNNNNNNNNNNNNNNNNNNNNNNNNNNNNNNNNNNNNNNNNNNNNNNNNNNNNNNNNNNNNNNNNNNNNNNNNNNNNNNNNNNNNNNNNNNNNNNNNCCCCCUGCCUGGGCUCGGCGCGUGGAUGCCUUUUGGUCCCGGUUGGUGCCACCAACCGGGACCAAAGGCCCCCCUGCCUGGGCUCGGCGCACAGGCCACGUGGAGGACCAUCUAUCCCGGUUCGUGUUACAACCGGGACUAAAGGGGGGAGGUAUUAGUAACGACCCAUUAGUCCCGGUUCAUGAACCGGGAGUAAAGGCCCUCACGAACCGGGACUAAUAGGUGUUUGUCUACUAGUGAUAAGCCUAUGACUUAUGAAGUUGGUGAGAAGGCUUACCUUCGGGUUACACCUUUAAAGGGAACCCAUCGAUUCGGUAUCAAGGGCAAGUUGGCCCCUUGUUACAUUGGACCCUUUUGCAUUCUUGCCAAACGAGGGGAAGUUGCCUACCAGUUGGAACUACCUCCACAUCUUUCUAGAGUUCAUGAUGUCUUCCACGUCUCUCAACUCAGGCAUUGCUUCUCGAAUCAUAUCCGCGAAGUAGACCAUGAAACGCGUGAUCUCCAAGAAAAUCUCACUUAUCGAGAAUAUCCAAUUCGCAUCCUUGAUCAAGCCGAGCGUACCACUCGACGCCAGAAUAUCAAGUUUCUCAAGGUUCAAUGGUCACACCACUCCGAUCAAGAAGCAACUUGGGAAAGGGAGGAUCAUCUACGACUUGAGUAUCCCACCUUCUUCCCGAUAGACCCUAAAUCUCGGGAUGAGAUUCUUUUGAGUGGGGGUGAGUUGUCACAACCUAGCUAGUCCAUGCAUUAGAGUGUUGCAUCAUGUCUACCUUUUAUCAGAAACUUGAAUUGGGGAAGACAGAACCCCCCCAGAACCCCUCUAAAUUCAACUAGUGCUUACUAAAAAUAUUUUCAAUGAACCUGAAAUGCCCUUCUAAAAAGUUCACCCUCUUUGUCUUGGGUUAGAACCUCUGGCAAAAUUGGUGCACAAUUUUCUAGGUCAACAGAAGGCCAUUGAAUUAAAUCAUAUCUACUUUGAGUUUGGGCAUUUAAACUAUAUAAAAUAUUUCAAAUGCUCAAAUAACUCCAAACUAAAAUGUUCCAUACUGGAUAUAUUCCAACUAGCGACCAUGUGCAGUUUGGUGAUUUUUGGAGUUGCCUAAGUAUUUUUAGAAAUGCAACAAACUUACAGAAACAAUUAAAAACAGAAACAAAUGGGGAAAAAACCCUUACCUGGCCGAACCAAGCCCCAGCCCAGCUGGCCGGCCCAGCACUGUGCUGGCCCAUGCCAGCCAGCUGCUUUGCCAUCGCCACGCAGGCACAGAGCUGACGCCAGCGAGUGUGAGCUCGCCACGGCGCCAACUGCUUGCCGCCCGCGCCACCGAGCACCUGGGUGAGCUCCACGUCGCCACCCCGACCCCGUGGACACCUCAUUCGCCCCCCUGCCUCUUCCCUCGCUCUCCCGCACCAUGGCCGACGCACCCGUCGCCGCACCGCCGACGUAGUCGCGCCCUCCAUCGUCCCCGUGCUGCACCACCGUGUCCCUUCGCUCCGUCGUCAUCAACUACAUCGAGCAGGCCGAGCCCCGAGCGCUCGUGGGCCUUGCUUCGUCUUCUUUGACCUCAUCUUCACCGAGCACCACCGCAGAUCCCCUUCGCCGUCGCCGCUGCACCAGCUCGUCCCCGACCUCGCCGACCACUCCGUUGUGACCGCCGUGAGCUCAGCCACCUCCCCAUCCUCCCCGUUUGCCUUCUCGUGCACCGUAGCAGCCGCAUGGAGCUUCAUCGCACGCACCACCGCCGAGCUCGUCGCCGACGUGCCUCCGGCCAUCCACCGUCCACACCACGGUAUCUAACAUGCUCAUUGCAUCGCGUAGAGUCUAACGCCCCACUCCACGCGCCUCGCCGUGCCCCGUAGCCACGGGUCAAUUUUCACCCGACUCCGGCGACCGUCGCGGUCGUCGCUGCCGACGUUCCUGGCCACCUCGACCUCAACCACCACCACCAAACGCCGCGGCUUGUUCCUGGCUACACGUAGAUGGUCUUCGCCGUCCAUUUGGUCGCCGGAACGUGCUAACCCACUUCCUCUGCCGCAUCUGGCCUCGCCAGCGGCUAGACGCCGGCGUGUUUGACCCGUUGACGUUGACUGGGUGGGCCAGGUUGACUCCCCUGAGUCUAUGACAAGUGGGCCCCCCCCUCUGCUAAUUAACCUAGUUUAGUUCUUACUAAAAUCAGUUAGUUUAAAUAAGUGCUGACAUGCGGGACCCACUGGUCAGUUUGACCUGAACGACCCCUUUGACCAUUGACGUCACCCUGAUGCACUGCUGACGCAAUAACCAAUUUCUGGAUUUAUUGUUAUAUAGGAAAUUCCAGAAAUUGUUGCAAACUUCAAAAAUUCAUAGAAAUUAAUCUGUAACUCCAAAUGCAAAGAUUUAUAUAUGAAUUUCGAUCAAAAAAAUUCAAUAUAUCCAUUGGUAAUGGUUUCAUGCAUGUCAGAACAAGUUAACCUUGUUGUUUAAUCAAAACAAGUUAAUGCACUAAUAUGACUAUGUUAAAUGAACUACCAUUUGCAUCUUUGAUUCAAAUGAGUUCAUACCUUUCUGUUCUAGCUUGCAUUAGGCCAGGACACAUUCAUGUUGCCAUGUCAUAGCAUGCAUCAUAUUGUUGCAUAUCGUCAUGUGUGGUUCAUGUUCGGUGUGUUUUCGUGAUAGGUUCUGCCUCCGAGGAUAACCCCGAAUAUCCGUCUGAAGGGCAGUAUCCUACUACCACUACAUCAGGCAAGCAACCCAUUGAUCAUUCUGAUACAAACCCAUGUUCUCGCCUCUGCUCUUGUUUACUGCAUUAAGAUAACGCGAUUCAAACUGUUGUGUGUUGUGGUAGUUGAACCCACUUCCUUUGCAUGACCUGUCAUUGCCACGGUAACUAGAUGAAACCCACUAGCAUGUGUAGGAGUUGAUUGAGCCAUAUCUGUGUUACCUACCAUGCUAUGCUUGCUAUGCUUAGAGUUGUGUCAGGUCUGGCUCAUCAGGAUGAUGAACUAGAGUGAAAGGUUGUGUCGGUAACGAGAGUGAAGUGUUGAACACGAUUUGGUAAAGGUAUCGAUGAGAGGCCAUGUAGGAGUACAUGGUGGGUUGUUUCAUUGAGGCCGUCCUUAAGCACUGAGAUCUGUGUGUGUGAUUUAAGAUUCAGCUACUACCACGCAUUGGGCCCAAAACCAAUGGACCCUCUCGACUUAUUAACCACUCUUGUCCUCAGUCCGGGAGUUGCAAGUAGUUUCUGGUGUUUGUAGCAUGCUGGGGGCCGCACGCAGCGCUGACCUUAGGGGUGGGUUGUGUUGCGGUAGGCACGUGGCACGGUGUAUCGAUUCGCCCGUUUGGUGUCUCGGGAACCCUGUUCACAUCGUUCGGGGCCGUUAGUGGAAACCUCGGCCGGACUCCCUGCGGAUGGAACCCAAAUAGGCGAUAAACCUGGACUAGGGACUCGUGUGUUUAGUCAGGCCAUGGCCGACACCCUUGCUGGGCUUCCGCUUGAAGGUUGCCGAGUACACGUCAUGUAGUGGCGAUAAGUGGUGAGAGCGUGUGUGAAGAAGUACACCCCUGCAGGGUACAAAACUAUUCGAAUAGCCGCGUCCACGGUAAAGGACUACUUGGUCACCUAUACAGUUCAUAGACAAGUAAAUGGAUACUUCUAAAAGCCUCAAGAUAAGUGUGAGUGCCGCGGAUGGCCCUGUCGUAGGUUGACGAGAGAGGAUCCACGGUGGAGUAUUGUGUUGGUGAGUAGUGGACUCGUGUGCGACAAAUGUUUUGCAAGUUGUGUCUAUCGUUGGAUAGCUUAGCCAAGAGUCAAAGCUGGCUUGCUGCAAUAACUCCACUACCUUCUUGAGAAUGUGCAUGUAUGAUAGGAUUCUGUUGUAAGACUUGCUGAGUACCUCUGUACUCAUGUUUGCUUAAUUAAUGUUUUCAGACGACAACACCAACCCCUCCGAUGGGUUCUACGUAGACCUCGACGUUGACGAGUGACUAGCCACCCAAGUGGUGAUCCAAGACUUGUGAAGGGCCGAUGUAGAUAGAAAGGCUUCAUCAAGCCCUCUUUCUUUCUAGUGUCUGUACUCAGACUAGUUGCUUCCGCAUGUGCUUGUAUGCUUGUAUGACUUGAGUGUCAGGUCAUGUGACCCCUAUCUGUAUGAACAUGUUAUGUAUGGCUCCUCGGAGCCACUUAAAUAAAGUACUUUGAGUUGUAGAGUUUUGUUGUGAUGCCAUGUUGUAUGUACUCAUAUCGGGCAUAUUGUGUGUAUGUUUGAAAUGCUUGGUAUGAGUGGGAUCCGACAAUCUAGUUGUUUAUCCUUGGCAGCCUCUCAUAUGGGGAAAUGUAGUCUAGUGCUUCUUGAGCGAUAGUAGUCCGCUACAGCCCGGUUCACCGGAGUCCUGCUAGCCCAGUACUACUGCUCUGGACACUUGACUGGCCGGCAUGUGUUUCACUUUGUUCCUGUGUCUGUCCCUUCGGGGAAAUGUCAAGCGGUGGCAUCCGGAGUCCUGCCUAGCCUGCUACAGCCCGGGUUACCGGAGUCCUGUUAGCCCAGCGUUACAUCCCGGAUGUAUACGUUGAUGACCAACAUGCUCGAUGUGAUUCAUGUAUGCAUGUCCCCAUAGGUUAGCGCCGCUUGGGUUCACGACUAGCCAUGUCGGCCCGGGUUCUCAGUCAUGUGGAUGCUAGCGACACUAUCAUAUACGUGAGCCAAAAGGCGCAAACGGUCUCGGGCCAUGGUAAGGCGCCACCCGUGGGAUUACCGUGCGUGAGGCCGCAAAGUGAUAUGAGGUGUUACCGGCUGGAUCAAUGUGACUUGGAAUCGGGGUCCUGACAAUUACUUGCUCCUAUCAUAUGUUUGGUUGCAACAAUGUCACUUCUUCACAUAUGCCAUGUCCCAUUGCUUGUCUCAUGCUUGACUUCAUUGCCUCACACAUGAUGAACAAUUGCUCUUUAUAUUGUGUUGAGUGUUACACUAUAUUCACUACAUCCUAUGCACGUUAUGUUUGGAUUGUCUUGCACUUGACCCAUGUGUUUAGACACUUCAUUUUAUUUGGUGUUGUGAAUCCUUCCUAUGCCUACCAUAGACCUUUCAUUGAGCAAUUUGUGAAUGCUUGCUAUGACCUCGAGGUAGAUGCUUAUGCUCUUGUCACACAUAUUUGCAUCUCUACCUCACAUUUACAUGCUUGUUCCCAUGAUAUUUUUGCUUGUGCUCGAUUGAUAUGCUUACAUGCCAUGUCACAAUCCUUUGUCACACCCUAUGCUAUGCUUGAUGACAACACUUGUUUGGUGAAUCACCUCUUGAAUGCUUGGUUUUGCACGAACGCAAACCACAUUUGUUUUUCCACGGGUUUGUUCUAUUUGCUCCUUUUGAAGGAAUCACAAGAUGGUGCGACACUGGAGAGUGCCCACUUCGAGCUACUAGACGAUGAGUGCUUGGUGAUCGACCACUUCGAUAUGGCACCGCCAUCUCUUUCCUAUGGUGAUUUGGUUUUCGAUCCGAGGUCGAAUCCUUCUCAAGGGGGAGGGGAUGAUGCGGAGCAUCCUAUGGACAUCACCAUGUCAAGAGUCCAUUCGGCAAGUGACACGUGCGACAUCUACUUCUCAUACAUAAAGGUGAAUCUUCUCCUUUACACGUGUUCACUUGACCCCUUCGAGGAUGGUAUACUACUUGACACUUCUCCCGUGUGCAUGCAUAGGUAUUGUCAGAGCUUUACGGAUGUCGAGGAGUGCAAGCGCCAAGGAACGACUACACCGUCCGCGAGGGAAGCAUGGAAGAGAAGGAGGAAGAGAACCUGGUGUUGGGGAACGUAGUAAUUUCAAAAUUUUCCUACGCACAUGCAAGAUCAUGGUGAUGAUAUAGCAACGAGGGGAGAGUGUUGUCUACGUACCCUCGUAGACCGAAGCGGAAGCGUUGACGCAGCGUAGAGGAAGUAGUCCUACGUCCUCCCGGUCCGACCGAUCCAAGCACCGUUACUCCGGCACCUCUGAGUUCUUGACACACGUACAGCUCGAUGACGCACCCUCGAUCUCCAAUCCAGUAGAGGCUCCAAGGGGGAGUUCCGUCAGCACGACGGCGUGGUGACUAUCUUGAUGUUCUCCUGUCGCAGGGCUUCGCCUAAGCACCGCUACAAUAUGACCGAGGUGUAAUAUCGUGGAGGGGGGCACCGCACACGGCUAAGGAACGAUCAAUGAUCAACUUGUGUGUUCUAGGGUGCCCCCUACCCCCGUAUAUAAAGGAGGGAGGGAGGAGGUGGCCGACCCAAGGAGGGGGCGCGCCAUGGGAGGAGGAAACCUACUCCAAGUAGGUUUCCCCUCUUUUUCCUUAUCUUAUUUGGAGGGGGAAGGAAGGAGUACUAGUAGUAGGAAGGAGUACUAGUAGUAGGAAAGGAAGAGGGGGAAGGAGAAAGGAAAGGGGGGGCCGGCCCCCCUCCCCAAUUCGGAUUGGGCUUGGGGGGGCGCGCCCCCCUCCCUUGCUCCUUCUCCCUUCCUCCUACAUGGGCCCAAUAAGGCCCAUAUACCUCCCGGGGGGGUUUCGGUAACCUCCCGGAGCUCCAAACUCUUCCGGAACCUUUCCGGUGUCCAAAUAUAUCCGUCCAAUAUAUCGAUCUUUAUGUAUCGACCAUUUCGAGACUCCUCGUCAUGUCCGUGAUCAUAUCCGGGACUCCGAACAAACUUCGGUACAUCAAAAUACAUAAACUCAUAAUAUAACUGUCAUCGAAACCUUAAGCGUGCGGACCCUACGGUUCGAGAACGAUGUAGACAUGACCGAGACAUGUCUCUGGUCAAUAACCAAUAGCGGGACCUGGAUGCCCAUAUUGGUUCCUACAUAUUCUACGAAGAUCUUUAUCGGUCAAACCGCAUAACAGCAUACGUUGUUCCCUUUGUCAUUGGUAUGUUACUUGUCCGAGAUUUGAUCGUCGGUAUCCAAUACCUAGUUCAAUCUCGUUACCGACAAGUCUCUUUACUCGUUCUGUAAUACUUCAUCUCAUAACUAACUCAUUAGUUAUAUGCUUGCAAGGCUUAUGUGAUGAGCAUUACCGAGAGGGCCCAGAGAUACCUCUCCGACAAUCGGAGUGACAAAACCUAAUCUCGAAUUAUGCUAACUCAACAUGUACCUUCGGAGACACCUGUAGUACUCCUUUAUAAUCACCCAGUUACGUUGUGACGUUUGGUAGUACCCAAAGUGUUCCUCCGAUAAACGGGAGUUACACAAUUCUCAUAGUUACAGGAACAUGUAUAAGUCAUGAAGGAAGCAAUAGCAGAAUACUAAACGAUCAAGUGCUAAGCUAACGGGAUGGGUCAUGUCAAUCACAUCAUUCUCCUAAUGAUGUGAUCCCAUUAAUCAAAUGACAACACAUGUCUAUGGUUAGGAAACAUAACCAUCUUUGACUAAUGAGCUAGUCAAGUAGAGGCAUACUAGUGACUAUAUGUUUGUCUAUGUAUUCACACAUGUAUCAUGUUUCCGGUUAAUACAAUUCUAGCAUGAAUAAUAAACAUUUAUCAUGAUAUGAGGAAAUAAAUAAUAACUUUAUUAUUGCCUCUAGGGCAUAUUUCCUUCAGUCUCCCACUUGCACUAGAGUCAAUAAUCUAGUUCACAUCGCCAUGUGAUUUAACACCAAUAUUCAUAUCUGUAUAUGAUUAACACCCAUAGUUCACAUCAUCAUGUGACCAACAUCCAAAGUGUUUACUAGAGUCAAUAAUCUAGUUCACAUCGCUAUGUGAUUAACACCCAAAGAGUACUAAGGUGUGAUCAUGUUUUGCUCGUGAGAGAAGCUCAGUCAACGGGUCUGUCACAUUCAGAGCCAUAUGUAUUUUGCAAAUAUUCUAUGUCUACAAUGCUCUGCACGGAGCUACUCUAGCUAAUCGCUCCCACUUUCAAUAUGUAUCCAGAUUGAGACUUAGAGUCAUCUGGAUCGGUGUGAAAACUUGCACCGAGAUAACUUUUACGACGGGCUCUUUUAUCACCUCCAUAAUCGAGAAAUAUUUCCUUAGUCCUCACUAAGGAUAUUCUUGACCAAUGUCCAGUGAUCUACUCCUAGAUCACUAUUGUACUCCCUUGUCAAAUACAGAGCAAGGUAUACAAUAGGUCUGGUACAUAGCAUGGCAUACUUUAUAGAACCUAUGACUGAGGCAUAGGGAAUGACUUUUCAUUCUCUUUCUAUUUUCUGCUGUGGUCGGGAUUUGAGUCUUACUCAAUUUCAUACCUUUGCAACACAGGCAAGAACUCUUUCUUUGACUGUUCCAUUUUGAACUACUUCAAAAUCUUGUCAAGGUAUGUACUCAUUGAAAAUCUUAUCAAGCGUCUUGAUCUAUCUCAAUAGAUCUUGAUGCUCAAUAUGUAUGUAGUUUUACUGAGGUCUUUCUUUGAAAAAACUCUUAUUCAAGUAUCCUUUAAUGCUUUGCAGAAUAAUUCUACAUUAUUUCCGAUCAGCAAUAUGUCAUUCACAUAUACUUAUCAGAAAUGCUGUAGUGCUCCCACUCACUUUCUUGUAAAUACAGGCUUCACCGCAAGUCUGUAUAAUACUAUAUGCUUUGAUCAACUUAUCAAAGCGUAUAUUCCAACUCUGAGAUGCUUGCACCAGUCCAUAGAUGGAUUGCUGGAGCUUGCACAUUUUGUUAGCACCUUUAGGAUUGACAAAACCUUCUGGUUGUAUCAUAUACAACUCUUCUUUAAUAAAUUCAUUAAGGAAUGUAGUUUUGACAUCCAUUUGCCAAAUUUCAUAAAAUGUGGCAAUUGCUAACAUGAUUCGGACAAACUUUUAAGCAUCGAUACGAGUAAGAAAAUCUCAUCGUAUUCAACACCUUGAACUUUGUCAAAAACCUUUUUUCGACAAGUCUAGCUUUGUAGAUAGUAACACUACUAUCAACGUCCGUCUUCCUCUUGAAGAUCCAUUUAUUCUUAAUGACUCACUGAUCAUCGGGCAAGUCAAUCAAAGUCUACACUUUGUUCUCAUACAUGGAUCAUAUCUCAGAUUUCAUGGCCCCAAGCCAUUUCGUGGAAUCUGGGCUCAUCAUCGCUUCCUCAUAGUUCGUAGGUUCAUCAUGGUCUAGUAACAUGACUUCCAGAACAUGAUUACCGUACCACUCUGGUGCGGAUCUUACUCUGGAAGACCUACGAGGUUUGGUAGCAACUUGAUCUGAAGUUUGAUGAUCAUCAUCAUUAACUUCCUCACUAAUUGGUGUAGGAAUCACUGGAACUGAUUUCUGUGAUGAACUACUUUCCAAUAAGGGAGAAGGUACAAUUACCUCAUCAAGUUUUACUCUCCUCCCACUCACUUCUUUCGAGAGAAACUCCUUCUCUGGAAAGGAUCCAUUUUAGCAACGAAUGUCUUGCCUUCGGAUCUGUGAUAGAAGGUGUACCCAACAAUUUCCUUUGGGUAUUCUAUGAAGACGCACUUCUCCGAUUUGGGUUCGAGCUUAUCAGGAUGAAACUUUUUCACAUAAGCAUCGCAGCCCCAAACUUUAAGAAACAACAGCUUAGGUUUACUGCUAAACCAUAGUUCAUACGGUGUCGUCUCAACGGAUUUAAAUGGUGCCCUAUUUUAAAACGUGAAUGCAGCUGUCUCUAAUGCAUAACCCCAAAACGAUAGUGGUAAAGAGACAUCAUAGAUCGCACCAUAUCAAAUAAAGUGCGGUUACGACGUUCGGACACACCAUAACGAUGUGGUGUUCCAGGUGGUGUGAGCUGUGAAACUAUUCCACAUUGUUUUAAUUGAAGACCAAACUCGUAACUCAAAUAUUUGUCUCCGCUAUCAGAUCGCAGAAACUUUAUUUUCUUGUUACGAUGAUUUUUCCACUUCACUCUGAAAUUCUUUGAACCUUUCAACUAUUUCAGACUUAUGUUUCAUCAAGUAGAUAUACCCAUAUCUGCUCAAAUCAUCUUGUGAAGGUCAGAAAAUAACGAUACUUGCCACGAGCCUCAACACUCAUUGGAUCGCAUACAUCGGUAUGUAUUAUUUCCAAUAAGUCAGUAGCUUGUUCCAUUAUUCCGGAGAACGGAGUUUUAGUCAUCUUGCCCAAAAGGCACGGUCCGCAAGCAUCAAAUGAUUCAUAACCAAGUGAUUCCGAAAAUCCAUCUUUAUGGAGUUUCUUCAUGCGCUUUACACCGAUAUGACCCAAACGGCAGUGCCACAAAUAAGUUGCACUAUCAUUAUUAACUUUGCAUCUUUUGGCUUCAAUAUUAUGAAUGUGUGUAUCACACGAUCGAGAUCCAACAAACCAUUUUCAUUGGGUGUAUAACCAUAGAAAGUUUUAUUCAUGAAAACAGAACAACAAUUAUUCUCUAACUUACAUGAAUAACCGUAUUGCAAUAAACAUGAUCAAAUCAUAUUCAUUCUCAACGCAAACACCAAAUAACACUUAUUUAGGUUUAACACUAAUCCCGGAAGUAUAGGGAGUGUGCGAUGAUGAUCAUAUCAAUCUUGGAACUAUUUCCAACACACAUCGUCACUACACUCUUAACUAGUCUCUGUUUAUUCUGCAACUCCCGUUUCGAGUUACUAAUCUUAGCAACCGAACAAGUAUCAAAUACUUAGGGGCUACUAUAAACACUAGUAUGGAACACAUCAAUAAUCUGUAUAUCAAAUAUACCCUUGUUCACUUUGCCAUCCUUCUUAUCAACCAAAUAUUCAGGGCAUUUCCGCUUCCAGUGACCAUUUCCUUUGCAGUGUAAACACUCAGUUUCAGGCUAUGGUCCAGCUUUGGGCUUGUCUUUCCACUUGAAGUUCCCUUUCUUUCCCUUUGCCCUUCUCUUGAAACUAGUGGUCUUGUCAAUCAUCAACACUUGAUGCUCUUUCUUGAUUUCUACCUUCGUCGAUUUCAACAUCACGAAGAGCUCGGGAAUCAUUUUUUCGUCAUCCCUUGCAUACUAUAGUUCAUCACGAAGUUCUAGUAACUUAGUGAUGGUGACUAGAGAAUUCUGUCAAUCACUAUCUUAUCUGGAAGAUUAACUCCCACUUGAUUCAAGCGAUUGAAGUACCCAGACAAUCUGAGCACAUGCUCACUAGUUGAGCGAUUCUCCUCCAUCUUUUAGCUAUAGAACUUGUUGGAGACUUCAUAUCUCUCAACUCGGGUAUUUGCUUGAAAUAUUAACUUCAAUUCCUGGAACAUCUCAUAUGGUCCAUGAUGUUCAAAACAUCUUUGAAGUCCCGAUUCUAAGCCGUUAAGCAUGGUGCACAAAACUAUCAAGUAGUCAUCAUAUUGAGCUAGCCAAACGUUCAUAACGUCUACAUUUGCUCCUGCAUUAGGUCUUUCACCUAGCGGUGCAUUAAGGACAUAAUUCUUCUGUGCAGCAAUGAGGAUAAACCUCAGAUCACGGAUCCAAUCCGCAUCAUUGCUACUAACAUCUUUCAACACAGUUUUCUCUAGGAACAUAUCAAAAUAAACAUAUGAAAGCAACAACGCGAGCUAUUGAUCUAUAACACAAUUUGCAAAAUACUACCAGGACUAAGUUCAUGAUAAAUUAAAGUUCAAUUAAUCAUAUUACUAAAGAACUCCCACUUAGACAGACAUCUCUCUAGUCAUCUAAGUGAUCACGUGAUCCAAAUCAACUAAACCAUGUCCGAUCAUCACGUGAGAUGGAGUAGUUUCAAUGGUGAACAUCGCUAUGUUGAUCAUAUCUACUAUAUGAUUCACGCUCGACCUUUCGGUCUCCGUGUUCCGAGGCCAUAUCUGUAUAUGCUAGGCUCGUCAAGUAUAACCUGAGUAUUCCGCAUGUGCAACUGUUUUGCACCCGUUGUAUUUGAACGUAGAGCCUAUCACACCCGAUCAUCACGUGGUGUCUCAGCACGAAGAACUUUCGCAACGGUGCAUACUCAGGGAGAACACUUCUUGAUAAUUAGUGAUAGAUCAUCUUAAAAUGCUACCGUCAAUCAAAGCAAGAUAAGAUGCAUAAAGGAUAAACAUCACAUGCAAUCAAUAUAAGUGAUAUGAUAUGGCCAUCAUCAUCUUGUGCUUGUGAUCUCCAUCUCCGAAGCACCGUCGUGAUCACCAUCGUCACCGGCGCGACACCUUGAUCUCCAUCGUAGCAUCGUUGUCGAUUACGCCAUCUAUUGCUUCUACGACUAUCGCUACCGCUUAGUGAUAAAGUAAAGCAAUUACAGGGCGUUUCCAUUUCAUACAAUAAAGUGACAACCAUAUGGCUCCUGCCAGUUGCCGAUAACUUCGGUUACAAAACAUGAUCAUCUCAUACAAUAAAAUAUAGCAUCACGUCUUGGCCAUAUCACAUCACAACAUGCCCUGCAAAAACAAGUUAGACGUCCUCUACUUUGUUGUUGCAAAUUUUACGUGGCUGCUACGGGCUUAGCAAGAACCGUUCUUACCUACGCAUCAAAACCACAACGAUAGUUUGUCAAAUAGACUCCGUUUUAACCUUCACAAGGACCGGGCGUAGCCACACUCGGUUCAACUAAAGUUGGAGAAACAGACACCCGCCAGUCACCUGUGUGCAAAGCAUGGCGGUAAAACCAGUCUCGCGUAAGCGUACGCGUAAUGUCGGUCCGGGCCGCUUCAUCCAACAAUACCGCUGAACCAAAGUAUAACAUGCUGGUAGGCAGUAUGACUUAUAUCGUCCACAACUCACUUGUGGUCUACUCGUGCAUAUAACAUCAACGAAUAAAACCUAGGCUCUGAUGCCACUGUUGGGGAACGUAGUAAUUUCAAAAUUUUCCUACGCACAUGCAAGAUCAUGGUGAUGAUAUAGCAACGAGGGGAGAGUGUUGUCUACGUACCCUCGUAGACCGAAGCGGAAGCGUUGACGCAACGUAGAGGAAGUAGUCGUACGUCCUCCCGGUUCGACCGAUCCAAGCACCGUUACUCCGGCACCUCCGAGUUCUUGACACACGUACAGCUCGAUGACGCACCCUCGAUCUCCAAUCCAGUAGAGGCUCCGAGGGGGAGUUCCGUCAGCACAACAGCGUGGUGACUAUAUUGAUGUUCUCCUGUCGCAGGGCUUCGCCUAAGCACCGCUACAAUAUGACCGAGGUGUAAUAUCGUGGAGGGGGGCACCGCACACGGCUAAGGAACGAUCAAUGAUCAACUUGUGUGUUCUAGGGUGCCCCCCUACCCCCGUAUAUAAAGGAGGGAGGGAGGAGGUGGCCGGCCCAAGGAGGGGGCGCGCCAUGGGAGGAGGAAACCUACUCCAAGUAGGUUUCCCCUCUUUUUCCUUAUCUUAUUUGGAGGGGGAAGGAAGGAGUACUAGUAGUAGGAAGGAGUACUAGUAGUAGGAAAGGAAGAGGGGGAAGGAGAAAGGAAAGGGGGGGCCGGCCCCCUCCCCAAUUCGGAUUGGGCUUGGGGGGGCGCGCCCCCCUCCCUUGCUCCUUCUCCCUUCCUCCUACAUGGGCCCAAUAAGGCCCAUAUACCUCCCGGGGGGUUCCGGUAACCUCCCGAAGCUCCAAACUCUUCCGGAACCUUUCCGGUGUCCAAAUAUAUCCGUCCAAUAUAUCAAUCUUUAUGUCUCGACCAUUUCGAGACUCCUCGUCAUGUCCGUGAUCACAUCCGGGACUCCGAACAAACUUUGGUACAUCAAAAUACAUAAACUCAUAAUAUAACUAUCAUCGAAAACUUAAGCGUGCGGACCCUACGGUUCGAGAACGAUGUAGACAUGACCGAGACAUGUCUCUGGUCAAUAACCAAUAGUGGGACCUGGAUGCCCAUAUUGGUUCCUACAUAUUCUACGAAGAUCUUUAUCGGUCAAACCGCAUAACAGCAUACGUUGUUCCCUUUGUCAUCGGUAUGUUACUUGUCCGAGAUUUGAUCGUCGGUAUCCAAUACCUAGUUCAAUCUCGUUACCGACAAGUCUCUUUACUCAUUCUGUAAUACUUCAUCUCAUAACUAACUCAUUAGUUAUAUGCUUGCAAGGCUUAUGUGAUGAGCAUUACCGAGAGGGCCCAGAGAUACCCCUCCGACAAUCGGAGUGACAAAACCUAAUCUCGAAUUAUGCUAACUCAACAUGUACCUUCGGAGACACCUGUAGUACUCCUUGAUAAUCACCCAGUUACGUUGUGACGUUUGGUAGUACCCAAAGUGUUCCUCCGGUAAACGGGAGUUACACAAUUCUCAUAGUUACAGGAACAUGUAUAAGUCAUGAAGGAAGCAAUAGCAGAAUACUAAACGAUCAAGUGCUAAGCUAACGGGAUGGGUCAUGUCAAUCACAUCAUUCUCCUAAUGAUGUGAUCCCAUUAAUCAAAUGACAACACAUGUCUAUGGUUAGGAAACAUAAUCAUCUUUGACUAAUGAGCUAGUCAAGUAGAGGCAUACUAGUGACUAUAUGUUUGUCUAUGUAUUCACACAUGUAUCAUGUUUCCGGUUAAUACAAUUCUAGCAUGAAUAAUAAACAUUUAUCAUGAUAUGAGGAAAUAAAUAAUAACUUUAUUAUUGCCUCUAGGGCAUAUUUCCUUCACCUGGCCGCUCCAGAACGAGCGGUACUACCGCCCACUCCAAGCGGUACUACCGCUGAGGCCACCCAAGAGGCACUACCGCCCAGCAUCCGCCCUACUACCGCUCAACCCGACAAACUCCAGUGAUCGAGCGGUAUAAGCCCGGUACUACCGCCCCUCCAAGCGGUACUACCGCUCAAGCGGUACUACCACCCAUGAGUCCGGUACUACCGCCCUGCUUGUGAGCAGCCGCGGGCCUUUGGCCUUGUAUCCCUCUCCCACUUACCCCUUCGUGGCUUAGACUAUAAAUAGACCACCUCCACCUCCUUUCUAGGGUUAGAACAGAUUGAGCUUAUUUUGAGAUAGAGCUUUACUCAUCCAUACGGAUCUACUCCUCGUGAGAGACUGCGGCCUCUUCGGAGAAGAUCGAUCUUGGAUUCAAGACCCCUCGUGGGAAGAUCCGUCUAGGAUCAUCAAGACCUCCUCUUGGAGAUGAACCUUACCUUGUAUCUUUCCCUUUGUUGUUCAUGUACCCUUGUGGAUCUUGUGUGUUUGAUUGUCUAGUGGAUGUGUGAUUGGACUUGUUCUUGAGUGUUUCCCCUUGUGAUUUCUCUCCGUUCUUCCCUGUGUUCUUCGUGUUCUUCGUGGGGAUCCACUCCAAACGUGAAAAAUCGGCCUCUAGGGUUCUACCCUACAUCAUCAUCCUUCAAAAAUAUGGAGGGCCAUUAUUGACGGAAGGGAUAUUAUAUGGCGCAAGGUAUAAUCAGACGCAUCGGGGAUGGAGCGACUACACACAUAUGGGAUCACAACUGGAUUAUGAUGGAAAGCUAUAAGAGGCCAAUAACUAAGUUAGUGCAGAACCCCCCUCAGAAACAUUUUAUGUAUACACGUUAACAUUUCCCAGAUAUAUGAUUAAUAUUUUUGGAAAACUUCUAUUUUUUAUGUGUACUUUUUUAUACAUUUUGUAAUAUCAGAAAUAGUUUUUAUAGAAGGUUUAACAUUUUUCAAAUACAUGAUUACCUUUUUGUAAACUUAUAUUGUUUGACGUUUACUUUUUUUCAUAGACAUAGUGAGGGGUUAUAUCUAAGGAAUAGGCCCAAGUACAUGUAUGGCACAACCAAAUGCCCAUGUUAAUCAAGGAUGUUCCACAAGACAAAUGGGGAAACACACCAAGGCCAAUGGAGCUACAAGGCCAAGGCAUCGGAUACAAGGGGAGAGUCAACUAUGUACAGUCGGAUUACACAGCCCUUAACAGACAAGACUCAUCAGUUGGUCCACUAUUGGAAUCAGGUCAUUUGCCGUCAGCCCAGAAUAGACGCGAAGACUUUGCCGUGAGCAAGUUGACGACAAACACAAUCAGCAAAGACUAUAUCGGCAGAGAGCUAAUUUGACGUCAACUUUUCAUCGCGCUGAUGACAAAGACUUUGCCGUCAAUUAAACUAUGUGUUUGUAGUCUGUAGAGAAAACACAAACGGCAAAGAAAUUAAAAAAAUGGUCAUUUUAAAAUAAUUUUUAGAAAUCUAUAUACUGUUUUUUAAAAUGUUUAAUAUGUACCAAGAAUUAUUUCGUAAGUAUACAAAAGAUGUAUAACGUGUAUGAAAAUUACGUAGACAUCAGAACAUAUUAUAGAAAUGUUAAUCUUGUAUUUAAAAAUUUUAAAUACACAUGCAUAAAAAUGUUUUUGAUGUACAUAAAAAAAUUGUACAUAGUGUGUGAACAAAGUAUGCAUUGAAAAAACAAAAAUCUUGUUGGAAAAAAAUCUCGUGUUGUAUACGAAAAUGUAAAAGGUGUAUGAAAAUAAUUAGAUAUAUGUUUAAUGAAAAAAGGAAAGAAGGCGCAAAAAAUCCGAUUAACACCAAGAUAGGAACAAGAAAACCUGAAGAAGACCAUUGAAAAAAAGAAAUGAAUACAAGAAAGAGGAAGAAAAACAAAAAAAAUGAAGAAGCUGAUGCAGAACAGGGAACUUAGUGAAAACGAAUAAAAAUUGAUGAAAACCGAGAAGAAAAACAAGAAAACUGAAGCAAAAAUUAAGAAAAAUAUGUAAAAAAAAUGAUGAAACAUUGCGAAACAGUGAAAUACUAUGAAAACCAAAGGAAAAAAAGACUCAAAAAUAAGAACGUACAGCAAGCGAAUGAACAACAACUGAGUGAACGAGCGAACAUGCGAGAAUACGUUAAUUGUCUGGCCCAUACUUGUGGAUUCCAGAGGCGAGCCAGAAUAGGCGAGAUAUAGCUAUGACGAUUUGAUACCCUUCAUAGCUUCACGAAUGCUAUAUCUCGCUCACAGCGAAAGUAUUUUUUGUCUGGCCUGAAGGUGAAAGAAUAGCAUCAGGUCGCUGUAAGUUUUGUGAUCCUACAAUCAGAGCUCGAUAAGAUUAAAAUUCAUGUUUCUGACAACCAGUCAUUCGCUCACUCAAUUCCACGUACUAGUUUGGUUAGGUUUUUUUUUCAUUUUUUUCUGUUUUUUAUUUCUUCACUGGCUUUCUUUGGUUUUUUUAUCGGUUUUCUUUGUUUCCUUCACGUUUUACUCUUUCUUUUCCUUUUUACUGGUUUAUCUAUUCCUUUUUUCUUUGUUUCUUUCUUGGUUUUCUUUGUUUUUUCUUUCUUUUGAUGUCAACCUUUUUACAUACACAUUCAACAAUUUUCGUAUACAUCAGAAACAUUUUAUGUAUACACGUUAACAAUUCCCAGGUACAUGAUUAAUAUUUUUGGAAAACUUCUAUUUUUUAUGUGUACUUUUUGAUACAUUUUGUAUAUAUCAGAAAUAUUUUUUAUAGAAGGUUUAACAUUUUUUAAAUACAUGAUUACCUUUUUGUAAACUUAUAUUGUUUGACGUUUACUUUUUUUCAUAGACAUAGUGAGGGGUUAUAUCUAAGGAAUAGGCCCAAGUACAUAUAUGGCCCAAGUACAUUUAAUCAAGGAUGUAGUCCACAAGACAAAUGGGGAAACAGACGGGGGCCAAUGGAGCUACAAGGCCAAAGCAUCGGAUACAAGGGGAGAAUCUACAGUCGGAUUACACAACCCUUGACAGACAAGACUCAUUAGUUGGUCCGCUAUAGGAAUCGGGUAAUUUGCCGUCAGCCGAGAACAUACUCAAAGACUUUGCCGUCAGCAAGUUGAUGACAACUUUUCAUCACGUUGAUGACAAAGACUUUGCCGUCAAUUAAACUAUGUGUUUAUCGUCUAUAGAAAAAACACAAACGGCAAAGGAAAGCACCUUUGCCAUCAGCGGCUAAUCUGCAUGUGUCUUCAACAAGACUCGUCUUGUCACUAGCCUCAAACAUCACAGAUGGAAAAGAAAUUUUUUAUUUUAAAAAAUCUGCGUCGACCACCCUACUUCGCACAUGUAGCCACCGCCUGGCCGCGCUCGCUGAUCACCCACAAGUGUAGGGGAUCUAUCGUAGUCCUUUCGAUAAGUAAGAGUGUCGAACCGAACGAGGAGUAGAAGGAAAUGACAAGCGGUUUUUAGUAAGGUAUUCUCUGCAAGCACUGAAAUUAUCGGUAACAGAUAGUUUUGUGAUAAGGUAAUUCGUAACGGGUAACAAGUAACAACAGUAAAUAAAGUGCAGCAAGGUGGCACAAUCCUUUUUGUAGCAAACGACAAGCCUGGACAAAUUCUUAUAUGAAGGAAAACGCUCCCGAGGACACAUGGGAAUUAUCGUCAAGCUAGUUUUCAUCACGCUCAUAUGAUUCACGUUCAUUACUUUGAUAAUUUAAUAUGUGGAUGGACCGGUGCUUGGAUACUGCUCUUUCUUGGAUAAGCAUCCCACUUAUGAUUAACCCCUAUUGCAAGCAUCCGCAACUCAAAAGAAAUAUUAAGGUAAACCUAAUCAUAGCAUGAAACAUUGACACGGCACAUUAUAAAGAGUUCAACCCAAAUUUUGUAGUAACACUAUUAUAUUUAAAUAGUGAUUAUUCCAACACAUGGAUAAUUAAUUAAGGCACCAGGUUGCGCUUGUGACCAGGAAAGACAAACUUAUGAACUUGCAAGCAUGACAAUCAGAUCGACAUCCACACAAUGUCAAUAUGAACAUUGUCUUGAUACAACUUUAUUUGUAUUUUAUUUCAGAAUUUAAACAACUAGUUUGGGCGGGUCACACACGACGUUGUGUGACACUUUAUUUGUCACCGCUGCAUCGACAUAUCCAUCGACUAAACAACGGUGAUCCAACUAUAUAUUACUAGAGACCUUUCCUUAUCAGUAGGCACCAACUCCAGUGCCAACGCCAAAUGGCACACUAGUGGUGGUCCUAUACAACGGCACAUUGACACGGCACAUCAUUGGCAGGGUACGGAGCGCAAUGGAAGUCAUCACCUCAAGCUGAGCUAUCUGGUGUGGCUGCAAAAAGGUACCCUGUGCCAAUUGUUGUUGUUGAGGUUGUUGCCCGAGUUGCUGCUGUGACUGCUGUUGGGGUUGGGAAACGCAUUGGCCCAACUGUUGCGGUUGCUGCUGCUGAGUUUGGAUGGAACCCCGAACCUGUUGUUGUUCUUGCAGGACGAUGGAGUAGAUGAUAGCACGGAUUGCCUCAUAGCGGGAUUGCUGGGGGAUUUGCGGCAACUGCUGGCAACAUUGUUGUUGCAUCACAUGGCAACUACUCUGCUGCAACAUUUGCGACCUAGCAAGACUUUGUGGCAUUGCCACAGGGCUGCAUUGCUGCUGGAGGAAUACCUUGCAUGGGUUCAGCUGCUGCAAGAUAGAUGGAUGAACAAAUGGUAUUUGUUGUUGCGGUAGAACUAGUUGUUGUUGUUGUUGCGAAAAUGAUGGUUGUUGUGGUAGAAUUGGUUGUUGUUGUUGUUGUUGCGAAAAUGGUGGUUGUUGCGGUAGUACUGGUUGUUGUUGUUGUGAAAACGGUGGUUGUUGUUGUGAAAAUGGUGGUAGUUGUUGCUGCGAAAAUGAUGGCUGUUGCGGUAGAACUGGUUGUUGUUGCUGCGAAAAUGGUGGUUGUUGCUGUGAAAAUGGUGGUUGUUGUUGCUGUGAAAAUGGUGGUUGUUGUUGCUGCGAUAAUGGUUGUUGUUGUUGUUGUUGUUGUUGUUGUUGUUGUUGUUGUUGUUGUUGUUGUUGUUGUUGUUGUUGUUGUUGUGAACAUGGUUGCUGUUGUGGAAAUUGUUGUGGUUGUUGUUGGAUGGGUUGUUGUGGUUGUUGGUGCGAUAAUGUUUGUUGUGGUGGUAAUGGUUGUUGCUGCGAUGGUCUCUCCAAACCAGGGAUGUGGCUAUUCUCCAUUUGUGCAAUGGCACUUGUCGCCGCAACGGCGAGGAGGGCAAAGAUGAGGAAGGUCUUCAUGGUGGACUAGUGUUAACUAGUAUUUCCUGGUUUUGAUGCUUGUGUUUGUGAUGAUCUUUAUACUUCAUGCCUAUUUAUAGUAGCCAGGGCACCACCUCUUUUCUUCUUUGCAUUAGCUUUAAUAAUUCUGUUUGGAUGCAUCUAAAAUGAUUUUUGAUACAGUGUGUUAGGUUGCACUAGCUACACGCAUACUUUUGGAUUGAUCAUCAAAGUUUCUUUUUAGUUGUGCAUAUGAUCAUACACAAAGUAUAGAAAUCCUGAUGCUUGCUAAAGAUGACUUGCCUUAUUCACUUUACAUGUCACACACUUAUCUGUAUAGUAUCACUUUUGCAACCGAGUUUGGAACCUUGUAUAGGUUGUCAGCCAUAAACAAGAAAGGCAAAACUUGUGUAGGACUAAGUUGCAAUCGUGUGUGGGCUGUUAAGAUAUGCUCGAUUGUUAAAGCCUUGCGUCUGGAGGGUUCUUCUAGACUCGGUUGCUUUUCAUAAAACUAACUUUGUAUUUUCCUCUAAGAUGAUAAGAUGAAAUGACGCCUGUAGAGCAUGACAUGACUCAUUGAAUUCCCUUUACACGUAAAGGAUGGUAAUUGCUUACAAGCUACUCCUACUAGCAUAUAUCCGGUCCUAACUCUAGACACGUCAUCACCAGUUCCAUCUUUUUUUUUUAGAUAAAUCAUCAGUUCCGUGUUUUUUUUUUUUGAGACAAUCAGUUCCAUCUAUGUUUUUUUUUGAGAGAAAUAGUUCCAUCUAUGGGUGAAGGAUUUUUUUGGGGGCAAAUGAUAGAUGGGGCUGGAACAGAGGCCCCAGCCUGGAACGAGAGAUUAGGCCCAACGUAAGCGAUGUGUGUGUUAGGGCACCAAAUUCGAACUGGGCUAUAGUUUUCGGAGGCCCCAACGUCAGAAGCCCAGCCCACACUCCGCCGAUCUGCGUCGUCUUCGUCUCCCCUUCCCCGUCCUCCUCGCCGGCCGGAUCGCUCGCCGGCGCACGACGUCUCCCGGACCCCACCGCCCGCGGCCGCUCCACGUACGCGCGCGGCGGCGGAGGCGUCGGCCUCCCUCCCACCCUCCGCAUCCGGCCCCCCACCACCACCGCCACCGCCACCGCUCGAGGUACCCACUCGUUCCCCUUCCCAUUCCUCCCUACCCUCAACCUCUCUCGUAUCCUCUUCUAACAGCUCUUUUUACUUCCGUUGCAGAUGGUCUCUGAGCUCCCCCGUCGGCUGCGCGCCGUAGGCCUCCCCUCCCGGUCGACACAAGGUAUCGAUCCUGUCCGUCCGUCUCUUCCAGCGAUUCGAUUCACAUGAAUUCGAGAGGCGUGCCCAUCUCCAUGCUAGCUGCGUGGAUCAGGAGGGUCAGGAAGCAGAAUUCAGAUGCCUGACAGUGACAUACUACUACAUUUGUGGCUUUGGAAGCUGAGCAACUCCGUGCUUUAUGUGGAUGUCACUUCAAGUAAUCAUCAAAUUUCCGCCUACGCGCGCUACCCAGGUGGAGUGGAGGAGAAGCAGUUGGCAUGGGCAUUCCGUUUCUCUCCCAUGUCUGAGAAGAAAGUUCGUCUCCGGUGCAGCGAUAUCCAAGUUAGUUACAGCAUCCAGUCAUCUAUAUAAUCUCAGUGUUUAUUCUGUUUUGUACUGUCGUAUUUCAUAUGUGCAUCAGAGCAAAUGUGCUUUCUAGAGGCAUGUUGCAGCUGGCCGAGUCCCAGAUCUCGUUUCAUGUAUAUGGCCAUAGGCAGCGAUCAAUAAAAGGGUACUGGAAUUGAUCUUCUAACGUCACUGUUGUUUCUAGCUCCCUGUCUUUGUUUUUGUUGCUUCCGUCGUAUGGUUGCAAAGUUAGGCUUCAUCUGAUUUUAGUUAGUUAAUCUGAUCUCGUUAACCUGAUAAAGAGAAUUCCACCCUGCCCUUUAUUCCGCUCUUCACUGUCUCACAAUAAGGGAACAUAUUAAGCUCACCAAAUUGUGUCCCUCAAAAAUAAAAAAUAAACUCACCAAAUUGUAUCACAGGAGAUUGUCAAGUUGUGUUUUAUCAUAUCAGUAUAGUAAGUGUAUCAUUUGUCCAUAUCAACAAGGGAUAGUCAUCUGCCAGCUUAUUAUGCUCAUCUCUGAGCUCGAUCAUGCCCUUCAAUGUUAGUUAGAGGUGUCAUUAAAACAGGACAAGAAAUUAACCACUUUCCACCGGGUCUUCUCUCUUGAGCAGGAAGCAUGUGAUGCAUUCAAGAUUCGAUGAAUUCACGAAAACCAAUAUCGUGGUCCUCCCUGUGCAGCAGGUACCUGAGAUGAAUUGUAUUUUGUAAGUGCUCUGUAUGCGUGCUGUCAGCCGGCAGUGGAGGUAAUUGUUUAAUUUGCAUUCCUGCAACUUCUUGUAUUUGUAAAGAAAAUUCUUACUAUUUGCUGAGUGCACAGCCAUUGCAUUGUCACUUUUGAAAAACCGCAUUGGAUGUACUGAGAUAAAUAAUAGUAUAAUCUCUACUUGCAUACUACGAACGAGAAAUCUUCAUUCUGACUUGCAAUAAGGGAGUUUGUUUAGCUGUGCCUUAUUAGGAAAUGAAGAUACCCCCAGCUGUUAACGUGGUAUCCAAGCUAUCCUUAUUAUAUGUCAGCUCAAAAGGAAUGCCAAGUGCCGAGCUGUUGUGAGAGUUGAUGGUUGUGAUUGGUUACCAAAAAUCAAAGUCACCCACUCAAGAGAGAAAGUCAAUGCUCACGUUGGCUUCCAUUUUUCUCACACGCAAACCAAACACAUCUUGCUCACACCAUUAUCUUCUCCAUUUUGCACUGUGCUUGUGCUAAUCUGUGUAGUAUUGUUGGCAAUUUGGGAUAUGUUGGUCUCGCCAGGAGGCCUGUGCUAAUCUGUGCUAUUUCUGAAAAUAUGCUCCCCUAAUCUCCAAUUAUAUUAUGCGUAAAACCAAAAAGGUCAGACUUCUUGAGAACAUGCCAGUGCUGAUUUGUGUUUUUCCUGCUGAUAUGCACUUUAGUAUAUCAAAAUGUACACUUAAUUAGAUGUUUUAAUUUUAAAGUCACAGUUAGAGAGAGGGACAGUGCACCAACCAGCUGGUGCAAACGAAUGACCUGUGUGACGACCUGAGCGUAUUCUUGAAAAAGAAACCCGAAAUACCACCUAGAUCCAUCCACCAUUAUUGCCAGUGUUAAAAAAAAAUACAGGCGUCUUCUGGGCUCUAAAAGCCAUUUCUGGGUCUUAUCUCUUGAAGAAGCAUUUGAUGCAUUUAAGAUUCAACCAAUUAAGAAAACCAAUGUUCUGGCCUUCCAUCCGUGGCAGGAACUCAGAGAUGAAUUGUCUUUUGCACAAGUAUGCUGACACACGUCUAGUCAGUCGAGGUAAUUUUUGGAUUUGCAUUCCUGUGACCUCUGGUAUUUGGAAAAAGUAAAUCAUAUUUGCUAAGUUCACAGCCAAUGGAGCGAAAAUUUUGAAAAACUGCUUUGGAUUUACUGGCAUAAAUAUCUAGAGAGAAUUCCUUAUUAGACACUCCCUUAAAAUCAUGUUCCUUAUUUGACACUAGAAAAAAUUUCUUCCCUAUAUGACCUAUAGUCUUAAUUUCUUUCCCUAUAUGACACUCUAGUGCAUUUUGUUCACGUGAAAAGACCAUUUUACCCAUAUGUAUAAUGUGACCGCAAAUAUGUACAAGAUAAUAGUUGUUCCAAAAAAAUCAGUCGAGUUAUCCAUAUGUGACAUCAUAUAUGCUGGUAUUGUCAUGUCAGUCGAUUUACUAUUGUGCUAAGAAAUCAUGACCGAGGCCUUCGAUGGUUCAUGUGCUAAUUGACCUCAGCUAGUUGUCUAUACGUAUUUGUGUACAUAUACGUGGCCAGCUUGCCGGCCGGAGCGUAGAUAUUUAAAUACGUACGCGCACCCUGACGAUCAAGCGAAUACAUGUAUUCUAGCUUCGUAUGACCCGGUUCAUAUACAUACGUAUGUUGGCUGCACCGAACCGGGCCUACAUUCGUGCUAGCACGCAACUUCCUUCCAUACUUGCAAAUACGUGCACAUGCACUAAUGGCAUGCACGUAGGCGAUCACGGAAGCACACACAAAAAUGCUUAAAAAAUUCAUUCAUUUUUAAGAAUGCAUUUUAGUGUUAAAGCACACGUACAAAAGUACGUCAAACAAUCACACUCACAAACCAUACCGCAUGAACUAGACCCACAGCUGAAUACGUUCUAAAUACAUUGGAUGCAUGCGCUCAGGUAUACAGAAUACACAUGCAUCCCAAAAAAGACCAACGGAGGAGAUAACAUGUUCAGCUGUGCUCACUCUUAGAAACGAUUUUUUCCUAAUUAGGCUCAAUGCUACAUAUUUCUGGUCACAUUAUGUACAGGGGCAAAAAGGUCUUUUCACGUGUACAAAAUGAACUAGAGUGUCAUAUAGGGAAAGAAAUUAAGACUAUAAGUCAUAUAGGGAAGAAAUUUUUUCCCGUGUCAAAUAAGGAACACAAUUUUAAGAGAAUGUCAAAUAAGGAAUUCUCUCAAAUAUCUAAUACAAUGACCCACUUGCAGAAUUCAGCUGCGUAGCCUGACAGUGAUGUACGUACAUUUGUGGCUUUGCUAGCUGAGUAACUCUGUGCUUUAUGUGGAUGCCACUUCAAAUAAGCAUCAAAUUUGUGCCUAUGCGUGCUAUGCAGGUGGACGAGAAGCAGUUGGCAUGGACAUUCCUUUUCUCUCUGAUGUCUGGCAAGAAAGUCCGUCUUCUGUGCAGCGAUAUCCAUGUUAGUUACAAUAUCCAAUCAUCUCUAUAAUUAUAAUCUCAGUGUUUAUUCUGUUUUGUAUUGUCGUAUUUCAUAUGUGCAUCAGAGGAAAUGUGCUUUCUAGCUAGAGGCAUGUUGCAGCUGGCCGAGUCGCAGAUCUCAUUUAUAUGGCCAUAGGCGGUGACCAAUACAAGGGCACUGGAAUUUAUCUUCGAAUGCCACUGUUGUUCUAGCUCUUUGUCUUUACUUUUGUUGCUUCUGUUGUAUGGCUGCAAAGUUAGGCUUCAUCUGAUUUUAGUUAGUCAAGCGAUCUCGUUAAGAUGAUAAAAAGAAUUCCACACGAUGACACGACCCUUUAUUCCGCUCUUCACCGUCUCACAAUAACGGAACAUAUUAAGCUCAACAAAUCGUAUCCCUCAAAAAUAAAAAAGCUCACCAAAUUGUAUCGCAUACUCAUACAUAUCUUUCAUCGUCAAAUAACAGGAGAUUGUCAAGUUGUGUUUUAUCAUAUCAGUAUAUUAAGUGUAUCUUUUGUCCAUAUGAGCAAGGGAUAAUCAUCUGCCAGCUUAUUAUAUGCUCAUCUCUGAGAUCGAUCAUACCUCUUCAAUCUUAUUAGAGGUGUCAUUAAGAAAUGACAAGAAAUUAACUACUUGCCACCGGGUCUUCUCUCUUCAGCAGGAAGCAUGUGAUGCAUUCAAGAUUCACGAAAACCAAUAUUGUGGUCCUCCCUAUGCAGCAGGUACUUGUGAUGAAUUGUAUUUUGUAAGUGCACUGUAUGUGUGCUGUCAGCCAGCAGUGGAGGUAAUUGUUUAGCUUGCAUUCCUGCAACUUCUUGUAUCUGGAAAGGACACUCUUACUAUUUGCUGAGUUCACCGCCAAUGUAUCUUCACUUUGGAAAAACUGCAUUCGAUGUACCCACAUAAAUAUAUAAUAUAAUGAUGAUCUAAUAGCAAAUUAUAUGGCCAUAGGCAGUGAUGAUCAAUAAAAGGGCACUGGAAUUUAUCUUCUAAUGUAUACGUCACUAUUUUUUUAGCUCUCUGUCUUCAUUUUUGCUUCCUCUGUUGUAUGGUUAAAAAGUUAGGUUUCAGCUGAUUUUAGUUAGUUAUAAGCGGAUCUCGUUAAGCUCUUUAUCUUUAUUUUUGCUGCCUCCGUUGUAUGGUUAAAAAUUUAGGUUACAUCUGAUUUUAGUUUGUUAGGCGGAUCGCGUUAAACUGAUAAGAACUCCGUAUAGUCCUUUAUUCUGGUCUUCACUGCCUCAAAAUAACAGAACCUAUUAAGUGUCGAAAUUGUAUCUCACAAUCAUACAUAUCUUUCAUCGUUGAAUAACACAAAUUAUCAUAUCAGUACAAAAGUAUAUAUCGUUUGUCCAUAUGCACAAGAGAUAAUCAUCUGCCAGCUGAUUAUUCUUAUCUUUGAGAUCCGAUCCUGUACUCAAUGUUAAUUAGGGGUGUCAUUAAAAAAGACAAGAAAAUAACCACUUGCCCUCGGGUCUUCUCUUGUCAGCAGAAAGCAUGUGAUGCAUUCAAGUUUCAAUGAAUUCACGAAAACCAAUAUUGUGGUCCUCGAGAUGAAUUGUAUUUUGUAGGUGUACUGUAUGUGUGCUGUCACCCGUCAGUUGAGGUAAUUGUUUAAUUUGCAUUCCUGCAACCUCUUGUAUGUAUUCGGAAAGAAAAUUCUUACUAUUUUCCGAGUUCACAGCCAAUCCAUUAUCACUUCCGAAAAACUGCAUUGGAUCUACUGACGUAAAUAUAUAAUAGAGUGAUCUACUUGCAAUAUUAAGAACGAGAAAUCUUCAUUCUGACUUGCAAUAAGAGGGGUUAGUCUAGCUUUUUCCUGCUAAUAAAUGAAGGUACCCAUUACUGUCACCAGUUAAUGUGGUAUGCUAGUUGUCCUUAUUAUAUAUCAGCCCCAAAAAAGAAUGCCCAGUGCUGAGCUAUUGCAAGAUCGGAUAGUUUGUGAUUGGUUCCCAGAAAUCAAGCUCAUGCACUUGGCUCCCAGAAAGUCAACACUCACGUUCGCUUCCAGUUUCCUGACCAGCAAGACGUGCUUCUGCUAAUGUAGGCUUGUGCUCCAAAAUUCCCCAUCAAGCUGGCUCCUGCUCCCCCGAAUCCUACCCCCACCCAUCCAAAAGCUUCAAGAUCUCACAGAAAUCUCACAACUUCCGUUCGUCGGAGUAGAGCCUUCAAACAGCCCCGCCCACACAUCCACGCGGCGGCUGCUGCCAUAACUUCACCGGAGUCGCCUUCUCCUUCCGCGCCACGUCACCGGUGCCGGCCAGGCUCUGAAUCUUCUGCUGCUGCCGCCGAUACGAUGCUGGAGCUGGCAUCGACAUGCUUGUGAGGGCCACUUCUUCCGUGCUGUUACUGUGCUGCUGGUUCUGGGUGCUGCUGAUCAGGGGCAAGCUCGUGAAGGUAACUAUGCCUGCAAGAUUGGGAUUUUACUUGUAAUUCGUUCAAGAUCUACCUAUGAACGUCUUGCUCACACCAUUCUCUUCAUUAAUUUCUGCAGUGCACCUGUGUUGGAGGAGUUUCCUCCGAGAGUUCCAAUGGCAGAGCUGGUGGUCACCAUGGCGCUCCGGCCACUGGUCGCCAUGCUCAGGGACAAGGCGUCCAGCUAUCUCCUUGACCAGUACAAUGUGAUGGAGGGAAUGGAGAAGCAGCACAUGAUUCUGAAACGCAGACUUCCUAUCGUCCUGGACGUCAUCACUGACGCCGAGGAGCAGGCGACAGCCAACAGAGAAGGGGCGAAAGCCUGGCUCCAGGAGCUCAAGAGAGUAGCCUAUGAGGCAAAUGAAGUCUUCGAUGAAUUCAAAUAUGAAGCACUUCGCCGUGAAGCCAAGAAGAAUGGACACUACAAAAAGCUUGGAUUUGAUGUGAUAAAACUCUUCCCCACUCACAACCGUGUUGUCUUCGUUCAGAGAAUGGGUAGCAAGCUUUGCAGGAUUCUGGAGGAUAUCAAUGUCCUCAUUGCAGAGAUGCAUGACUUUGGGCUGAGGCAGACAUUUUUGGUGUCUAAUCAGUUGAGGCAGACACCAGUGUCCAAGGAGUGGAGACAGACAGAUUACGUCAUCAUCGACCCACAAAAGAUUGCCAGCAGAUCCAGACAUGAAGAUAAGAAUAAUAUUGUUGGUAAACUACUUGGUGAAGCUAGCAAUGCAGAUCUCACAGUAGUUCCCAUCGUUGGAAUGGGGGGCCUUGGCAAGACCACAUUAGCGCAACUCAUAUACAAUGAACCUGAAAUUCAGAAGCAUUUUCCGUUGAAGCUCUGGGUCUGCGUCUCUGAUACCUUCGAUGUGAAUUCGGUGGCUAAGAGUAUAGUUGAAGCAUCCCCCAAGAAAAAUGAUGAUACAGACAAACCACCACUGGAUAGACUUCAGAAACUGGUCAGCGGGCAAAGGUAUCUCCUUGUAUUGGAUGAUGUCUGGAAUAGAGAGGUUCAUAAGUGGGAAAGGCUGAAGGUCUGUCUUCAGCAUGGCAGCGUGGGUAGUGCUGUGUUGACAACAACCCGUGAUAAACAAGUUGCUGAAAUUAUGGGUGCAACUAGAACCUACAAUCUCAAUGUUUUGAAGGAUGACUUCAUAAAGGAGAUUAUUUUGGAUAGAGCAUUCAGUUCAGAGAAUGAAAAGCCUCCCGAGCUACUCGAGAUGGUUGGUGAGAUUGUGAAGAGAUGCCGUGGCUCUCCUUUAGCUGCAACUGCACUGGAUCUGUACUUCGUACCAAGAUCAGCGUGGAAGAAUGGAAGGCUAUAUCAUCUAGAAGCAGUAUUUGCACUGAGGAAACUGGAAUUUUGCCAAUACUCAAGCUUAGCUACAACGAUUUGCCAGCACACAUGAAGCAGUGCUUUGCUUUCUGUGCCAUAUUCCCCAAGGAUUACAAGAUUAAUGUGCAGAGGCUUAUCCAACUAUGGAUCGCAAAUGGCUUUAUCCCUGAACACAAGGAAGAUAGUCUUGAAACCAUUGGACAACUUAUUUUUGAUGAGCUUGCUUCAAGGUCAUUCUUUCUGGAUAUAGAGAAGAGUAAAGAAGACUGGGAGUAUUAUUCCAGAAAUACAUGUAAAAUCCACGAUCUUAUGCAUGAUAUUGCAAUGUCUGUUAUGGAAAAGGAAUGUGUUGCUGUGACUAUGGAUACAAGUGAAAUUGAGUGGCUUGGAGAUACUGCUCGGCAUUUGUUUUUAUCAUGUAAAGGAACAGAAGGUAGUUUGAAUGAUUCUUUGGAGAAAAGAUCUCCUGCCAUUCAAACACUGAUAUGCCAAAGUCAUAUGCGAAGCUCAUUGAAGCAUCUGUCAAAAUAUAGCUCUUUGCACGCCUUGAAGCUCUGUAUUAGAGGCAAAGAAUCAUUUCUUCUGAAAUCAAUGUAUCUGCAUCACCUGAGGUACCUUGAUCUCUCAAACAGUUCUAUCAAAUCACUUCCUGAAGAUAUAAGUAUUCUAUAUAACCUUCAAAUGUUGGACCUUUCCUACUGUUGUUAUCUUUAUCGACUUCCAAUGCAAAUGAAGCAUAUGACUUUCCUCCGUCACCUCUACACUCAUGGAUGUCAGAAGUUGAAGAGCAUGCCUCCAGAACUAGGAAAACUCACUAACCUGCAGACGUUGACAUGGUUUGUGGCAGGAGUUCCUGGCCCUGAUUGCAGUGAUGUUGCAGAGCUGCAGCAUUUAAACCUUGGUGGUUAUCUAGAGCUACGUCAGAUAGAGAAUGUUAAAGAAGCAGAGGCAAAAGUGGCAAACCUUGGAAACAAGAAGGAUCUCAGAGAACUGUCAUUAAGAUGGACUGAGGUUGGCGACAGCAAGGUGCUCGACAAGUUCAAACCUCAUGGUGGGCUGCAGGUUCUGAAGAUAUAUUCCUAUGGAGGAGAGUGCAUGGGUAUGCUGCAAAACAUGGUUGAGAUCCAUCUUUUUCAUUGUGAAAGAUUGCAAAUUUUGUUCAGAUGCAGUGCAAUCUUCACUUUUCCAAAACUGAAGGUGCUUAUGCUAAUACAUCUGUUGGAUUUUGAGAGAUGGUGGGAAAUAGAUGAGAGGCAAGAAGAACAGACAAUAUUUCCUGUGCUUGAGAAGUUGUUUAUUAGUAAUUGUGGAAAGUUGGUAGCAUUACCUGAAGCACCAUUGCUGCAAGGACCUUGUGGUCAAGGUGGUUAUACAUUGGUUUGCUCAGCAUUUCCUGCCCUAAAGGUGCUCAAAAUGAAAAACUUGGAGAGCUUUCAGAGAUGGGCUGCAGUGGAAGAGACUCAAGGAGAACACAUACUGUUUCCUUGUCUGGAGGAACUAUCAAUUGAGAAAUGCCCAAAGUUGACGGCGUUACCUGAAGCACCAUUGCUUCAAGAACCAUGUAUUGAAGGUGGUUACAGAUUGGUACGCUCAGCGUUUCCUGCCUUAAAGGUGCUCAAAAUGGAAAACUUGGAGCGGUUUCAAAGAUGGGGUGUGGUCGAAGGGACAUUGUUUCCUCAGCUUGAGAAACUAUCAGUUCAGAAGUGCCCCAAGAUGAUAGAUUUACCAGAGGCACCAAAACUCAGUGUCUUAAAAAUUAAAGAUGGUAGGCAAGAGAUCUCCGAUUUUGCAGAUAGAUAUUUUUCUUCAUUGACCAAACUGAUAUUGAAUCUAGAAAACACAGAAACAACAUCAGAGGUUGAGUGCACUUCAAUUGUAUCUGUGGACAGCAAGGAGAAAUGGAACGAGAAAUCCCCUCUUACAGUGAUGGAGCUAAGAUGCUGCAACUCAUUCUUUGGACCAGGUGCACUAGAGCCGUGGGACUAUUUUGUACACCUUGAAAAGUUGGAAAUUGAUAGAUGUGAUGUGCUUGUCCACUGGCCAGAGAAAGUGUUCCAAAGCUUGGUAUCCUUGAGGACAUUAGUGAUUACAAGCUGCGAAAAUCUGACUGGAUAUGCACAAGCUCCUCUUGAGCCAUUGGCAUCCGAAAGGAGUCAGCACCUGAGAGUUCUGGAGUCUCUUUGCUUAGAAAACUGCCCAAGUUUAGUAGAGAUGUUCAACGUCCCGACAUCUCUCAAGAAAAUGUAUAUUAAUGGGUGCAUUAAGCUUGAGUCCAUAUUCGGCAAGCAGCAGGGCAUGGCUGAGUUAGUCCAAGGAUCUUCUAGCAGUGAGGCAAUCAUGCCUGCAGCUGUAUCAGAGUUGUCAUCCUCACCCAUGAAUCACUUUUGUCCAUGCCUAGAAUAUCUACAGUUAUCUGAUUGUGGAAGCUUACCAGCGGUUCUACAUCUGCCUCUGUCCUUAAAGACCUUAGAAAUUUAUAACUGCAGUAGUAUUCAAGUCCUAUCAUGCCAGCUGGGUGGGCUCCAGAAACCAAAAGUCACUACCUCCAUAAGCAGAAGUCCUGUCAUGCCAGAGCCACCACCACCAGCAGCAGCUGCUGCAAGAGAGCAUUUACUUCCUCCCCAUCUCGAAUCUCUAGUAAUACUGAACUGUGCUGGCAUGUUGGGUGGGACUCUCCGUCUGCGUGCACCCCUCAAGAGACUGCGCAUUAUUGGCAACAGUGGGUUGACAUCGCUGGAGUGUCUGUCAGGAGAGCACCCCCCAUUGCUGGAAGUCCUUGAUCUUCAAAAGUGCAGUACCCUAGCUUCCCUGCCGAAUGAGCCGCAAGUAUACAUGUCUCUCUGGAAUCUUGAAAUUAGAGGCUGCCCUGCUAUAAAGAAGCUCCCUAGAUGCCUGCAGCAGCAACUGGGCAGCAUUGAUGACGAGUACAAAGAACUAGAUGCCCAUUAUGAAGGUAUGCUUGGAGCACGUCCUUCUAUCUUUGCCACAUUUAAUAAACAGAUGCAGUCAUCCAUUCCAUUAAAUCUACCACGCCAGCAUGUCUGUACAAGUUUGUUCUCCAUUAUUUUACUUUCGAAUGUUACAUUAGUUUGUAUGUGUUUGUUCUGACGCCAUUUGCAAUAUGUGCAGUGAUGGCACUUAAACCGAAGACAUGGAAGGAGAUGCCAAGGCUAGUCCGUGAGCGGAGGAAGGCCGCUCGAGAAGCCAAGGAGCGCCAGCAAUCCGCCAUGCAGGAGUAAACAGGUUGGAAACCAUGUAGAAAGGGCAUGGAUUCCAAUUGCUCUGAACAAUGUACAAGAUUAUGUCGUGACUGUAAUCAAUCGGCUUUGUUGAGCUUUGGCCUCUACCUAGUUCAGAUAUUUGUAAUGCGAAUCAAAUGAAUCUGCCCGGUUCAGUAGAAGUUAGGAUAAUAUACUCACAUGUGUGUCUGUGAGCUAUCUAUCGUAUCUAUCUGUUUUUGCUUUGCUUAGUUAACUGCGAAGACACUAGCCUUUAAUUGUUCAAUAAAGUUUUUCAACUGUGGCUUUUAUCUGUCGAUUUUCGUGGUUGACAGGCCUAAUCCCUGAUUGUUGCUCUUCUCUGCUCUGCUCUGCUAGGGGAAUGAGCUGUUAUUGCUUCUGCAACUUAACUGUGCCGCAGUCCGCUCUCCGUCGAGAACUGUCAGGGCCUGCGGUGUAGGGCGGCUGCUGCUUGGCGUCGAGUGGAGCAUAUCUGAAUCAACAUCCUAGGCUGAGACCAUCUCAUCUUGAUCUGGUUUGCUGUUGUCCAGUCAAGCGAGGAAACACAGGGAAGAAACAACAUAGAAAGGGCAUGGUAGUUUAUUUUAUUUUGCUUCAGAAACUGUACCAAUUUAUGUCAUGAUUGUUACCUGCUCCGUUAAACUCUGACCUUGAUCUUGUUAUUAAAGAUUCAGACACUUGCCUCGUUUAGUAGAAGCUGGGGUACUUGUAAUGUGUGCCAUAUAUAUUUCUAGUUUCAGCCAUUUCCAUAUCAAGUACAAGCUCGGAAAGGCUUAGGUGGUCUGUGAACUUUCUGGCCCUGCUUGCUUGACGCAAGUUUUACAGACAUAUAAAACAUAAGUUUAUAUAUAUAUAAUAUACAGUUAAGCAGCAGUUUCCUCGCAUGUAAGAUGGUUAAGUAGCAGCCGCAGGUAUCAGUCAGUCCGGUACUUGUUGAAUGGGAUCGACAGUUGAAUUGCUCUGCUCUGCUGCAAAACUCUGUGUUUGCCUGUGGAGGAAUGAAUAUUUCAGUUUCAGAAUUUGUGAGCUACUCCUAUUUAGUUUCUAGUCUGGUUGUGGUACUAUCUAGUUUCAGCACUGUUUAUUUAGUUUAGAAGAAAUUUACUGUUGACCUUUUUAACGUGUUUACAACACGUGCUAUUUGAAAUAUAAUUCUUUUUUUACCUGUUUCGAUACUUGUACAGAUCAAGUAGUACAAGUUGGGAGGAAAAAACCUCAGGUCCGUGAACUGUUUGGUCCUGUCUGUCUGUACAAAAUCAAGUUUGUUCGCUGUAGCCAGUAUAGUGUUGUAGAUAUCUGAAUAACUUGGUGUCUGCUUACGAGAGCAGAGGACGUGGAUGGAUGUUUGCUGCCGGCUGAUGCUGCAGGAACCGAAAGAGCCUUCUCAGUAUGCACUUCAAUGAAGAAGCAACGGACAGAUGUUCAGAUACAUCCGUUUGAGCUGACCGCUAUUUCUGGACGGAGGGAGUAUUAUGUAAGAUUUUGUGUACUUUCCCUUUAUUACUUUUGGUGCAGCUUCAGUUGAUGGUUUGCAUGCUCUUCUUAAGGAUUUACAUUCUCUUAGUGUCUUUGUUUCGUAUGUUUCUUUAGAGCCUCCUGUAGUUAAUCAGGCACUUCUCUGCUUUUAUAGACUAGUGUUAUUAUUGGUUUAUUAUUCAUGUUACUUAGGAAUUAGGGUCAAACAAGCACCUCCUGCUCUGCUGGUAGCUAGCUUAAUUCCCAGGUUUGGUAUAUAUCUAUGUUGUGAUGCAUACUCAUGUUUGUGAGCUAGUAUAUAUCUAUUUUCAGUGUCGUUUAAUGGUUCAGAGAGUGGGCUGUAACUUGUUCAGAUACUUUGUGUUAAACUGUAGAAUUGACCUGCUGCAGUAAUUUUGACAGCUGAGGUGGGAUGAGCUGCAUAUCAUUCUCUGAUUGGGAGUAACAGGUUGUUGUUGUUUGGUUCUGAUGUUGCUAAGCUGUGGUGGUGGUCACAAUUAUCUUCCUAAUCCGGCAA
Molecule: long non-coding RNA, 181853 nt
Filed under: Triticum aestivum (bread wheat)
Lineage: Eukaryota; Viridiplantae; Streptophyta; Magnoliopsida; Poales; Poaceae
Description: long non-coding RNA (TAES_LNC028382)
Source: RNAcentral